Molecule: long non-coding RNA, 213111 nt
Filed under: Durio zibethinus
Lineage: Eukaryota; Viridiplantae; Streptophyta; Magnoliopsida; Malvales; Malvaceae
Description: long non-coding RNA (DZIB_LNC001573)
Source: RNAcentral
AAAAUCACAGCUUCCAUAUGCCGUCCCUACCCAAUUGAAACCACCUGCAAUCCAAUAUUCUUAAACUCUUGGAAGUAACAUCCUAGAUCCUGCCAGUAUGUGUCAUCGAGACUAGGAUUCUGAUCUGAUCAAGCUGAAUUCUUGGCCAUUAUGAAGGUUGUGAAGUUGGAUGCCGAUUCUUGGAAAGUUAAUACUGGAUUGCACAGCUAUCUCUAGGUACAAGAAAUGCUACUUCAUGGGUAAAAGGCAGCAAUAGGGUUUGUUGGCAUCUUAGGAACGCCAAUUUUGUAUAUACAUUACAAGUUUUACAAUUGUCUACUCAUUCAGUUGUUUUCGACGACUCUUGGAAGUUCAUGUAAAAACCUAAUUCUUACUCUGCUUAAUACUAUCACUCAACUCACAAGUCUGUUGUGGACUGACACAAAAAAUGCUUACCUAAAUACUAAAGCACAUGCCUGCAGCAACAAUGAUUUUAAAGAGCUCAUCAUUGCAUAAUCCAAAAUUCCCCCAAGCUCAAGCGGGGAAAUGAUUUCGUUUAAUAAGGUAUUCAGACAAGGGAAAUGAUUUUAAAGGGCAAUGAAUCGUCAGUGUUAUCAUCAUUCUGGCCUAGCCCUGCCUCAUCAUCAUCAUAAUCGCCACCCAAAGCCAGCUAUCUCUUCCUUGCUUUCUCUGCAUCUUCCCAGUCCUUCUCUAAUUGCUAUCCAGACUUGUAAUCUCCAAGAUCAUGCAUAAACUUACAUGAAUCCUGUAACCACAGUAACCAGUUUCUUUGUAGUCUUUACAGAUGUCAGGUUGAUAAUCGAAUCUCUCUGAAACCCUGAGGUGGGCAGAAGCCCUAAGAGGUCCAUGUGAGCCACCAGCUUUCUUACUGGCAACUGUCGGCUCUCUUCAAACCCACCCUGAUGAUCCACAUAGCCAUGCAUUCCUUUAUACAACUUCUCUCCCACAGAGCUUGUGUUUUCCCCUUCAAAGCCUCCUCUGCUCGUUUGAGAACUUUCUUACCUAUAGCUCGAGCAUCUUAUAUAAACUCAGUCUCAGUUUCUAAGGUUGCCGUAGCUCUGCUAUCAUUUUGAACUUGAAGUUCCUUCGAAGACUCAAAUUGAAAAAUCGGUUUGUCAAAUUCUGUAUUUGAUUCAUUGACAGCAGCACUCCUGGAGGAUCCAGUCGAAAAGUAUAACUUAUUGUCAGGCUUGAAAGCCGUUUUCUGAUUGUGUAACGGAGAUGUGCCAUUUCUGGAGUCUUCAUCUUCAUCUUCAUUUAUUGUCCUUUUCCUGACGUUUUUGCCCUUUGUUAGCUUCCUAAAGAAAUUGCAGACUGAAAAAUCAAAAUAAUUUGAGUUAACAUACACAGUUAUUAAGAUAAUGAUCUUAAUUUGAUGCAGAAAAUACAUUAAACAGAAGGAAUAGUUCUUCUUUCUUAUUAUUUUUUUAAAAUAAAAUGUCAAUAAGUGGCAAUGGAGGAGAAUCAUUAAUCCCUCAGUGAGUACUUCCCCCUUUUAUUUGGACAUCUAUACGAGUUUCAAGUUAUUCCUUUUCUUCUAUUUAUUUGAUCGUCUUCCGCGUCUUUCUUUAUUUCAUGUUAAAAAAAUUUCUUUUGAUAGUGCUGAUUGAUCAGUUAUUAAAUAUUAGAUCUGAUCAAAUUAUUAAGAAUAAGGCAUUUUUAAUUACUGCUAGAUUACUUUUUUUAUCUUUUUUGUUCUUGAUCAUUUAUUAGGCUUAGGCACUUAUAUUUCUUUUCUCUCAUGUAAAUUUGAGGUCUUUCUCGCUUUCAUUGGAGAUUAACGUUUCUCUUUUGUAUGCUGUUUUUCUUUUGAUAUAUGCUAAAAGUUUAGUGGGUUUGUCAUGCAGGGUUUGAAAGGGCUUUAUGCAGGCUUCUUUCCUGCAGUUUUAGCGUCCUCUUUUCAUGGGGCUUAUAUUUCUUCAUGUAAGUGCCAUCAUCAAUUUACAUGUUACAACCUUUCCUUUGAUUACAGUACAUUUGUUGUCAAAUAUGUGUGCACAUUUGAAUUAUUAGCUGCAGCGGAAACGACUUAUUUGCUGAUUUUUUUUAAUGUAAAUAGAUUGAUUUUAGUAUGCAAUGGGGAAUACAAAGAGUUAAUGUGUUUUGAUUUGUUGGAAAAUGUAGUGUGACAAUCAAUUAAUCUAAAGUGUCUGCUACUACUGUCUUAAUUUGAUGCAAGUUGCAAAUUAUCUCUGUUGAAACCCAGUUUUGAUGUUUAGAAACCAAAAUUCUUAGUAGAGUUUGAUAUGCAAUCAAACGGAAAAAUGGAAAAAAACUCAACAAAAGAAAUGUGCUUCUGCAAUCUGCAAAAUUGGCUCGAAGAUCUUUCCUGAUUGAAGUGAAGCUUCAGAGAUGGAAAAUUAGCAAGUAAUAAUAAGCAAACAGAUAUUAAUUACCUGCUUAAUCCAUUAAAUAAGAGAAAAAAACCUUAAUGACUUCAUAUCAAUAAUGAAAUGGGCGUACUGCAACGAUUCAGAAAAUGGAAUCAUACUUCAAAAACCUUCCAUUUGCUACAAUAUUGAUUGUACUGGUGACAAUGUCUAACCCAUAAGCAUGAGCUCCAUGACCAAAAGUCCCUGCAAAUAGCUUCCACCAAUGCCGAGGAUUCAAAAGCUGUACAUAGCAAUUUGGUUGAAAGCAGAUUUGUGAAGCUUUCAUUUCAUAUAACUUGGCAGCAAGAAAAUGAUUGGGAGAAGCUAGUGAGUAUGGAGAAACUAUAUGGACAGGAUCACUAUCUUCAAUUUUGGACAGGAUGUUUUGAAGUCAAGAUCAGCUUGACGGGGUAAAGCAAAGACUUGGUGACUGGUGAGGAACUAAAUAAAAACUGAAAUAAUACCUUCAAUUUCCUUAAAAAUAUAAAUAAAACUCAAUGACAAUGAAGUUGAUGUAUUUUCAAAUUGUUCAAUGUUUAAAAACUGAAAACAAAAGAAGUAAUAGCAUCUUAUGUUGGCUGUUGGGUUAAGAAUAAUUUGUUGCUUACUUAACAUUAAAUCAUCUAUAAAGAAACUAUUUAGUCCCUUUUAGAUGCCAUCACUGACUCACUGUGAUAGAAUUCAAGUCAAAAUAUGGAUUCAUCAUCAUUUAUAUAUUUGUAUCUCACAUAUAUUUCAUUAUUGAUUUUAAUCUCUAUGCUAUUAUAUCUAAUCUCACCAUAAUAAUAAUUAGUUUUUUUAUUAUCGUUAUUUUUAAUUUCACGGAAACUAAUUUUGCUUCUCGUCUAAAUUGUUAUCGAAAAAAAAAAGAGAUCUAGCACAAUACUUAUUACCCUUUUCAUUAUAUUAUAUAUAAAAAAAAACCUACAUAAUGCACAAUAGAUGGCACACUUUUUAUGUAUAAAUAAGAACUCAUGAAUUUAAGUAUAAUCAUAUUUUGUUUUUAUUUUUUUAAAAAAUUUAUAUUAACAUUUGAAAUUUAUAUCCCUUUCUUUUGAAUUCAAAUUUCUAAACACAAAUUUAAUUAACAAAAGAAAUUCCUCUUUCAUUGAUCAAACAACAAAAAUUAAGAAACAAUCAUUGAGGAAAGAAAAACUAAUACCUCGAAAAAAAAAAUAAGAAUUUAGGGCUUUAAUAAUGUUUGUUUUUCAAAAAAAAAAAGAUUGUAAAAAAAAUUCAUACAUAUAAAUAAAAUUAAUAAUCAGCCAAAAAGAGCAAAAUUAAUUACCCGAAUUAGUAUGGAUAAGCCUAUGGGUCAAAAGACUCUUUUUUUUACAUGGGCUGGCCCAUUAAUACCGAAAUCGUGCUUCCCUUUGACUUCUUGCACUAAAAAUACAAUGAUGGAUUCCGAAUUUGGCAAUUUUUGUGAAUCAUAAAGUGUUUGAAGAAAAAUACGAAAAGCAAUUAACUGAGAAAAGCAAAAUUUUAAAAAAAUGUUGUCAAAAGGGGUUUAAAGUUAGGGCGUUUUAAUCGAAUUUUCCUUUCCUUUUUUCAUUUUCCUGGUAAAAACUUCCUCAUGCCCAGUUUUAUUUUCAAUCUUAAAAUUUUUUUAAUUGAUUUUAUCUCCUGUUUUUGCAGUGACACUGUAAUUCAAGAGCUGGAGUCAUUGCAGCUAAUUUUUGGAAGCCCCACAUUGGCAAAGGCAGAGUAUUUGAUUUUUUUUUUAAUUUCUUUUUUCUGUGAUCUUUUUUAGACUUUCACUGUGUAGAAAGGUUCUAUUUUUUGCUAAGCAUAAAUUUUUUUUUCUUAUUUGUGUUUCUCAGGCUUUAUUGUAUGUUGGUUUUGUUCUGUUUUAUCCAUAUUUCAUUUAUUUUUAUGAUUUGAAUUGAACUACUAUGUGAAAAGGAAUAUUGAGUAUUGCCAAGUAGUAUUUUCUUUGACUAUUACUGUACAUAAUUGUCAAUUCUGUUAUUCAAUUGCUGGCUGUUAAAUUUGCUGCAAAAGAAUGAUUAUUGCAGUUUGAAUCUCUUGUUAUUAUGGGGAAGAGUGUGAGGGUUGAAAAAAGGGAAAGCAAAAUAAAAUGAAAUAGUUGGGUGGAAAGUGUUACCUUUUAUGGAGUUCUAGCUUGCAAUCAUCAUUUGUUUAAUUGUACAUUUUGCAUUUUCCAACAAUUGAAUGGAGCGAGUUUUUCGGAUUUCCAUUUCAUUGCUUUCAAGUAUCUUGGUUUAGAUAAGUUUCGUCAGUGUUUUCUGUUUUCAAAAUGAAUUAAUAUACAUGACAUAACAGGUUCUUCUUGCAAAUCGGGAAUUGAAUGCUUAUGUGAAAAGGUGUUUAAAAUCUGAUCUUUUCUUUGUGGCAUCCAUAUUCUGCAAAGAUCUUUUGCCCUGUCUUUGUUCACCUCCUAGGUAUCAGUAUUUUGUCGGUUUGCUUAUGGUAGAGUUUGAUCUCCUUCUCUCCCAUUUUCCCUUUGCCCCCGCUAUUCCUCUUCUUCCUCUUUAGCCUUUGAAAUUGCUUUUUAGAGCCUUGGUUGUUAUAGUGGAUUACAAGCAUACAUAACACUAUGUUCAAGCUGUUGAAUUUUAGGUUCAACUUUCAAGUGUUAAGAGUUUUAUUAAAGUUUUGAUUUCUUGUGUAAGCCUUGUUUUACCCCCUUUUUUAGAGGGAGAGGAGGUUUGGGAGAGAUAAAAAUAGCACUUAUUUUAGUGUAUAUGGAUGUAUGUAUGUAUGUAUGUAUGUAUAUGUAUACAUAAACAUAGGUUUAAAAAAUAUGCUACAUACGAUGUUUCUAUAAUACAAAAUUGUGUAAUUGCAAAUAAAAUGUAAAUUUCAAGUACUGUGCACACUUAAAUUAUUUCUUAAAAAUUCUAAAAAUUAAAUUCAAUAAAAUUAGAGUUAUAACUUAAUGACCAAAUAACAAAUAAAACUAAAAAGGGAACCAUCAAGAACAUAAAAUUACUUGUGCAAAAUUAAUGCAUUAGCGAACCAUAUGAGGUUUCUUGGUUGUUUUGCCUUAUUUAGAGGCUGUUUGAUUGGGUUUUUGCUAUUUGCUUUUUGCUUCCGAAAGUAAAAAAGCAAAAAUUGCAUUCCCAUAAGCAAUAAAAUAUUGAAGAGUUUAAACACAAAUAUGUAAAUUUUUUAUGAUUAACUACAUGAUUCUACUUCUAUAUAUACUAAUUGUGUUAUAACUGAUUUUAUAUUUUAAUUAUUUUUUCUGUUUCAGAUCAGUUAUGAUAUAUUUAUUGUUUACCUUUUGCUUUUCCUUUCUAGUAAAAUAUAUACGUUUUAUUCAUGUUCAUUUGUAACUUACCAAACUUCUUGACCAUGUUCUAGAAAUGCUAGUAUGUAACGAGUUUGCUUUGAAUAUGGCAGCUAACAAUAUCAGUGAAUCUUAGGUUUGUUGAUGCAAAUCAUGGCUAAUAGAUUCACUUGAAGCCUACUUAUCUAAAGAUCUUUAGAUUUUUGGAGGAUGAAAUACAGAGGUGGUGCUGAUGUUAAUAAUAUUGGACAUUGAACACUGUCAAACAACAUAGAGGUGGAAAUAUACUGACUUUUUCAGGAUUCAGGGUUGGUUUUAUUUGUUGACUUCAUUCUAAUACUUUUGUUUUUGGAAAGAUAUAUACCCGACAUCUUCUGUAAAUAUGCAACUUGAUGUAGAUAAUUUGUAAUUUUGGGAAGAGAGAAGGAAUGAAAUUGAGAAGAUAGUGGUUUUUCUUUGAAAUUUUGCCAUGAUAUGAAGUUGUUUUAGUCAGAUUUUCUUGAUGUUAUGAUGCUUAAGAAAUCCAGAUGCUACUGAAAUCUUGCCCCAAUAUAGUUCAUUCUUCAACUCCAUCUAUUUUAUCUGGUUUGUUUCUGGGAAUAAAAGCAGAUUCCUUAUUGGUUGCAAAAUUUUCAUUCAUUUUAUCUUCAAAUUUAUCGAACAAUUAAAUUAUUAAUUGACUUGGUUAGUAUUUGUUGAAUCAUAUCACUUAGAAAAUGUUAUCAGUUAGUGGAGAUUUUAGAUUAUACAAGUUAGAGGGCUGUCACAAACCCUUUUACAAAUAUAUUAAAAAAUUAUAUAAAAGAAUUAAGAUAUGUGAUAAUUUUUUAAUACUGUUUAUAAAAUUUAAAAACUCUAUUAAACAUAUGUGAAGAAAUCAAAAUAUAUAAAAAUUAUCUCGUAUAUAUGAAAUUUGCAAAAGAAGAAGAUUGUCUUUUUUUUUUUUUAUGUGAGAUUGUUAGGAUUUAAACUUAAAUUAUUGAAAGUAAGGUUUUUGCGUUUUAUUAACAAAUUAUAUAGUUAUUGGCUCAUUGAAUUUUUAAAUCAAAGGAUCUUUUUAAAAUAUAUUAACAAUUAAAAACUAAAAAGAUGCACAUACCAUGAAAUAUAAUAGUAAAUUAGGAACGAAAGCAUGAGAAACAAGUUGCUUAAUCAAUAAAUUGAUUGGCCCAAAAAAUCAACAAAUUAAAAACCUGUGUUUCAUUUUUGCUCAAAGUUUGAAAAAAAAAUCUAAAGAACACAUUUAUUCGCACUUCUCAAACUUAUUUAUUUUGGAAAUUGUGAUUUUAUAAUGGUGGAAUAAGAAAGAAAAUGAUAGAUACUAUGGUAAUGCAUUGGUCUAAGUCUUAGUCUUUGCUUUAUACUUAGUUUUGGCAUCAAGCAUACAAAUGUAUCAAUCUUUUUGCCCCCAUCUUUACUUCACAAGAAUAAUAAUUUUUGUAGUUAUUUCAGUCUAAGUCAUUAAAAAGACUAAAUAUUACAAUAAUAAUUAAUAUCCUUAAAAUUCAUUCCCUGUGUGCCAAUUUAACCGGAAGACAAAAAGCAACCUCCAUUGAGAAAAUUUUUUUUUUUAUCUUUUUUAAAAGACAAACUUGAUUUAAGCAAAUUGCUAAGAAGAUUAUUUUUAACAGAGUAAUGAUAGGUUAAGAAGACUUAAAUAUUUGUAUGAUUGGAAGACUUAUAAGUAUAAAGCAAAGAAAAGACUAAAUAUCAAUAAAAAAAAUCUCAUACUAUCAUUUUCUUUGUGAGUCCAAAAUUAGAAUAUCAAUUUUUUUAUAAACUAUAAUUUUAUGAUGGGUGACUCAAAAUACAUCAUCAUUUUUUUACUCUAUAUCCAUUUUAAAAAAAUUUUUUAAGUGAAAUUAUUUAUUUACCCAUCUCAUUUUAAUUUUAAACUUUUAGAUAUGCAUUUCUGAUAAGUUAUAUAACUUUUCAGAUUUUCAUAUUUGGUAAGUUAAAAGAGAUAUAUUUAGGUUAGGAAAAAAAGUAGUUAAGAGAAAAUAUCUUACAGAAAGUUUGAGAUUCUAAAACCAUUGAAAAAAUUUAAAAACUCUAUUAAUCAUAUAUAAAGAAAUUCAAAUAUAUAAAAAUUAUCUCGUAUACAUGAAAUUUGUGAAAAUAAAAGAUUGUCUUUUUUUUUUUCUUGUAUAUGAGGUUGUCAAGAUUUGAACUUUAAACUAUUAAAACUAAGAGUUCGACAUUUUACUAACAAAAUACAUGGUUAUUAGCUCAUUGAAUUUUUAAAUUAGUGCAUCACUUAAAAAUAUAGUAACAGUAAAAAACUGAAAAAAAAUGUGCAUAACAUGAAAUAUAAUAGUUCAUUAGGAACAAAAGCAUAAGAAACAAGUUGCUUAAUCAACAAAUUGAUUGGCUAAAAAAAUCAACAAAUUAAAAACCUGUCUUUUAUUUUUGUUGAAAAGUUUGAAAAAAAAAAUUUAAAGAACACAUUUACUCCCAUUUCUCAAAUUUGUCUAUUCUGGAAAUUGUGAUUUUAUAAUGGUGGAAUAAGAAAGAUAAAGAUAGAUCCUAUCGGAAUGCAUUGAUCUAAAUCAUAGUCCUUGCUUCAUACUUGGUCUUGGCAUCAAGCAUGCAAUGUGUCAAUCUUUUUGCCCCUAUUUUUACUUCAAAAAAAUAAUGAUGUUAGCAAUUGCUUCAAUCUAAGUCAUUGAAAGACUAAAAUAUAACAAUAUUAAUUAAUAUACUUAAAAUCCAUUCCCAAUUUGCCAAUUUAAUUAGAAGAUAAAAAACAACCACCAUUGAGAAAAUUGCUAUUUUUUUGUCUUUUUUAAAAGAUAGACUUGACUUAAGCAAACUGCUAAGAAGAUUAUUUUUCACAGAGUAAUGAUGGGACAAGAAGACUUAGACAUUAGCAUGAUGGGAAGACUUAAAGUAUAAAGUAAAGAAAAGACUAAAUACCAAUAAAAAAUGUCUCAUAUUAUCAUUUUCUUUGUUAGUCCAAAAUUAGAAUAUCAAUUUUUUUUUUUUUGUAAAGUAUAAUUUUGUGAUGGAUGAUUCUAAAUACACCAUCAUUUUUCUCUACAUCCACCUUUUUAAAAAAAUUUUUAAGUGAAAUUACUUUAUUUACUCAUCUUGUUUUAAUUUUAAAAUUUUUAAAUAAGCAUUUUUGAUGAGUUAUAUAACUUACAAAAUUUUCAUAUCUGGUAAAUUAGAAAAAGUUACAUUUAGGUUGGAAAAAAAAAAAUAAUUAAGAGAAAAUAUCUUAUAGAAAGUAUGAGAUGUUAAUAUUGUUUAUAAAAUUUAAAAACUCUAUUAAUUAUAUGUAAAUAAAUUAAAAAAUAUAUAAAAAUUAUCUCAUAUACAUGAAAUUUUUUCAUUCGAAGAUUGUCUUUUUUUUUUUUUUAAUUUUUUUAUAUGUGAGAUUGUCAGGAUUUAAAUUUUGAACUACUGAAACUAAGAGUUUAGCAUUUUACUAACAAAUCAUAAGGUUAUUAGGUCAUUGAAUUUUUAAAUUAAAGGAUAUCUUUAAAGUAUAUUAACAAUAAAAAACUAAAAAAGUGCUGAUACCAUGAAAUCUAAUAGUACAUUAGGAGCAAAAGCAUAAGAAAUAAGUUGCUUAAUCAACAAAUUGAUUGGCCAAAAAAAAUCAACAAAUUAAAAACUUAUGUUUUAUUUUUGCUGAAAGGUUUGAAAAACAAAAAUCCACAGAAUAUAUUCAUUUUCACUUCUCAAACUUCUCUAUUUUGAAAAUUGUGAUUUUAUAAUGGUAGAAUAAGAAAAAAAAAAUGAUAGAUACUUUGGGAAUGUAUUGGUCUAAGUGUUAGUCUUUGCUCUAUACUUAGUUUUGGCAUCAAGCUUGCAAAUGUGUCAAUCAUUUUGCCCCCAUCUUUACUUCACAAAAAUAAUCUUAGCAAUUGCUUCAGUCUAGGUUAUUAAAAAGACUAAAAUAUAACAAUAAUAAUUAAUAUACUUAAAAUCCAUUCCUUGUGUGCCAAUUUAACUAGAAGACAAAAGAUAACUUUCAUUGAGAAAAUUAUUUUUUUUUUUUGGUCUUUUUUAAAAGGUAGACUUGACUUAAGCAAAUUGCUAAGAAGAUUAUUUUCACAUAUUAAUGAUGGGGCAAGAAGACUUAGACCUUUACAUGAUGGGAAGACUUAAAAGUAUAAAACAAAGGAAAGAUUAAAUACCAAUAAAAACAUCUUAUACUAUCAUUUUCUUUGUGAGUCCAAACUUAAAAUAUCAAUUUUUUUAAAAAGUAUAAUUUUGUGAUGGGUGAUUAUGAAUAUAUCAUCAUUUUUUUCUCUAUAUCAAUUUUUUUUUUAAAUUUUUAAGUGAAAUUACUUAUUUACCCAUCUUUUUUUAAUUUUAAAGCAUAUAGAUAUAACUUAUUGGAUUUUCAUAUCUGGUAAGUUAGAAAAAAGUUACAUUUAGGUUUGAAAAAAAUAGUUAAGAGAAAAUAUCUUGCAUAAAGGAUGAGAUUCUAAUAACAUUUAUAAACUUAAAAAUCUCUAUUAAUCAUAUAUGAUGAAAUCGAAAUAUAUAAAUUAUCUCGUAUACAUGAAAUUUGUGAAACUAUAAAAUUUUCUUUUUUUUUUUUUAUGUGAGGUUAUCAGGAUUUGAACUAAGAACUAUUGAAAAUGAAAGUUCAACAUUUUACUAACAAACUACAUGGUUAUUAAUUUGCUCAUUUAAUUUUAAAUAAGAGAAUCUCUUUAAAAUAUAUUAACAAUAAAAAACUAAAAAAUAAAAAAUACACAUACCAUGAGAUCUAAUAGUACAUUAGGAACAAAAGUAUGAGCAAGAAGUUGCUUAAUCAACUAAUUGAUUGGCAAAAAAUAAAAAUCAAUAGAUUAAAAACCUAUAUUUUAUUUUUGCUGAAAAGUUUGAAAAAAAAAUUUAAAGAACACAUUCAUUCCCACUUCUCAAACUUGUCUAUUUUGAAAAUUGUGAUUUUAUAAUGGUGGAAUAAGAAAGAAAAUGAUAGAUACUAUGGGAAUGCAUUGGUCUAAAUCUUAGUCCUGCUUUAUACUUAGUCUUGGCAUCAAACACGCAAAUGUAUUAAUCUUUUUUCCCCCAUCUUGACUUCACAAAAAUAAUAAUUUUAGCAGUUACUUCAAUCUAAAUCAUUAAAAAGACUAAAAUAUAACAAUAAUAAUUAAUAUACUUAAAAUCCUUUCUUAGUUUGCCAAUUUAAUUGAAAAACAAAAGAUAACCACCAUUGAAAAAAUUGUUAUGUUUUUUUGUCUUUUUUAAGAGAUAGACUUAACUUAAACAAAUUGCUAAGAAGAUUAUUCUUCACAUAGUAAUGAUGGGGCAAGAAGACUUAGACAUUUGCAUGAUAGGAAGGCUUAAAAGUAUAAAGCAAAGAAAAGACUAAAUACCAAUAAAAAAAUCUCAUACUAUCAUGUUUUAUGUGAGUCCAAAAUUAGAAUAUCACUUUUUUUUAUAAAGUAUAAUUUUGUGAUGGGUGAUUCUAAAUACACCAUCAUAUUUUUCUCUACAUCCACUUUUUUUUUUAAUUUUUAAGUGAAAUUAUUUAUUUACUCAUCCCGUUUUAAUUUUAAAGCUUCUAGAUAUGCAUUUCUUAAGUUAUAUAACUUAUUGGAUUUUCAUAUCCAAUGAAUUGAAAAAGGUUACAUUUAGGUUUGAAAAAAAAUAAUUAAGAGAAAAUAUCUUAUAGAAAGUAUGAGAUUUAAUGUUUAUAAAAUUUAAAAACUCUAUUAAUCAUAUGUGGAGAAAUAUAUACAUAUAUAUAUAAAUUAUCUCACAUACAAGAAAUAUUUUAAAUUAAAAGAUUUUUUUUAAUAUGAGAUUGUCAGGGUUUGAACUUUAAACUAUUAAAACUAAGAGUUAUACAUAAACUAUUAAAACUAUUAUAAAUAGCCCUUAUAUUAGUGUGUAUGGAUGUAUGGAUGUAUGUAUAUGGUAUACAUAAAAUAGGCUUAAAAAAUAUGCUACUUACGAUGUUUCUAUAAAAAAUCAUGUAAUUGCAAAAUAAAAUGUAAAUUUCAAGCACUGUGCAUACAUAAAUCAUAUCUAAAAAAAUUCUAAAAAUUAAAUUCAAUAAAAUUAGAAUAUAACUUAAUAACCAAAAACAGAAAACACUAAAAAACGGAACUAUCGAGAAUAUAAAAUUACUCAUGCAAAAUUGAUGCAUUAGCAAACCAUAUGAAGUUCGGUUGUUUUGUCUUAUUUAGAGUACGUUUGAAUGGAUUUUUGCUAUUUGCUUUUUGCUUCCUAAAGCAAAAAGCAAAAAUUGCAUUUCCACAAGCAAUAAAAUUUUGAAAUAUGUAAAUUUUUUAUGAUUAACUACAUAAUUCUACUUCUAUAUAGACUAAAUAUGUUAUAAUUGAUUUUAUAUUUUAAUUAUUUUUUCUGUUUUAGAUCAAUUAUGAUAUCGUUUUUUCUUUCACCUUGGCUUUUCCUUUCUGGUAAUUCUUCUAAAAGCAAGAAGCAAAAAGUAGAAGCUCCACCUAGAUGGGGACUUAUAGUUUCUUUUAUACUCUUAGUUGUUUCUUUUAAGCAGUUGGGAGACAUAUUGAAACUUUAACCCUUUGGUAUGGAGUCAAAAGUUGGCAAGUAUUGCAUUUAUAAGUAUCCAUUACAAACAAAUUAAUCAUUUACCGAUUCAAUUUUGGUUAAAACUUACCCUGAAUAAAAGAUUUUCCAGUACAAAACUGUUUCCAUUUUAUAGGACUUUUAUGUGGAAGGGCAACGAUAUUCUCACCCAUGCAGGGGCCAAAAUUUUAUUAAUGUGAGAAAAAUUAUACUGAAAAAUAUCCUUACUGAAAUUGGAAGGUGUUCAGGACUUCUGCUAAGCCCCUUCACUUCCCUAUUGGAAAAGAUGGAUUCGACAUCAGCAGUGUCCAUGUGGUGAUUGGAAGUGUUAUGUUAAGUAUGAAGGAGAAGAUCAGACAUCAGUAAGCUUUCAGCACUCUCAGGUAAUAAAGAAUGAGACAGCUUCAACAUCCUUAUCAUCAGAAGCUGUCUUUAUGCCAUAUGUAUGUCAAAUAUUCAAAGGUGAUGAUGAUUAUUUCGAGUACUAUAGCAAUUUUGCACGGAAGAAUGGAUUUUCAAUAACAAAAGCAUGCUCCAGAGAAAGCUAGAAUUUAGGGAUCUACCAUCGAGAGUUUAUCUGUUAUAGAUAUGGGUUUAACCAACUAAGAAAAAAGGUCAAUGUGGAGCAUCCAGGAGACUGGAAUUCAGUGCGAUGUGGAUGUGAUGCAAAAUUUUAUUCCACAAAAAAAGUCAUCCAUGAUGUUACUCAAUGGUGUGUUUCACAAUUUAGUAAUGUAAAUAACCAUGAAUUAUUGGAAGAUGACCAAGUCAGUUUGCUUCCUGCAUAUCGGAAAAUACAGGAAGCAGAUCAGGAAAGAAUUCUUUUACUCUCCAAAGCUGGGUUUCCUGUCAAUGGUAUCAUGAAAGUUUUGGAAUUAGAAAAGGGAGUCCAGCGCGGACAGUUGCCUUUUAUCAAGAAGGAUGCUAGGAAUUUUGUACGGACAUGUGAAAAGACUGUUCAAGAAAGUGAUGCUUUGCUUACCGAGAAAAGAGAAAAUGAUACAUUGUAACUUCUUGAGGCCGGCAAGGCUAUGGCAGAGAGGGAAGAUAAUUUUGUUUAUGAUUAUACUACAGAUGAAAAUAGUAAGGUUGAAAAUAUUUCAUGGUCAUAUGCAGAUUCUAUUCCAGCAUAUACAGUAUUUGUUGAUGCUGGUACCUUUGACACUACAUAUUGUUCUAUCACUUACGGAUUGCUUCUUGGAUAUGGUUUGGUAUAGAUAAUCAUGGAAAGAUAAUUUUCUUAGGAUGUGUAUUACUGCAAGAUGAAAGUGUGUCAAUCUUUUUGCCCUCAUCUUUACUCUACAAAAAUAAGUAUAAAGCAAAGACUAAGACUUAUCAUAGAAAUUAAGGGAGGUUUUAAAAAGAAAAGUAAAACCAAAGAAAAAAUGAUAAGUCUUAGUCUUUGCUUUAUACUUAGUCUUGGCAUGAAGCAUGCAAAUGUGUCAGUCUUUUUGUCCCCAUCUUUACUUCACAAAAAUAAGUAUAAAGGAAAGACUAAGACUUAUCAUAGAAAUUAAGGGAAGUUUUAAAAGGAAUAGUAAAACCAAAGAAAGAAUGACAAGUCUUAGUAUUUGCUUUAGAUUUAGUCUUGGCAUAAAGCAUGCAAAUGUGUUAAGUCUUUUUGCCCCAUCUUUACUUCACAAAAAUAAUAAUAUUAGCAUUUACUUCUGUCUAAGUCAUAAAACAGACUAAAAUACAAUAAUACACUUAAAAUCCAUUCUCAAUUUGUCAAUUUAAUUAGAAGACAAAAGAUAACCUCCAUUAAGUAAAUUACUAUUUUUUUUUGUCUUUUUCAAAAGAUAGAAUUGACUUAAGCAAACUAUUAAGAAAAUUAUUUUUCAUAGAGUAAUGAUGGGGCAAGAAGACUUAGACAUUUGCAUGGGAAGACUUAAAAGUAUAAAGCAAAGCAAAGGCUAAAUAGCAACAAAAAUCUCAUUCUAUUGUUAUCUUUGUGAGUCCAAAAUUAGAAUAAUAAUUUUUUAUAAAGUAUAAUUUUGUGAUUCACUUAUAACAUAUAAUAUUUAUAUAUUGACAAUGUUUCAAAUAUAAAUUAUUUUUAAAACAAAAUAUGUUGAGAGUUAGAAAAAUAAUAAAUCUUUUUGUUUAUUAAUUACUCAAUCCCAUUAAUACGUAUAAUAUUUUUUAAAAAUUUAUUUUAUAUUUAUAUAUUAUUUGUAAUUAAUUUUAAAAUUUAUUUAUUAUAUUUACGAUAUGGUAUGAUACUUAAUAUUAGAUUCUCAAAUUAUAAUACCUAUUUCAAUUUAAUAAUUAUACUAAUAUUCUUUUUUCAACUUUUACUUCGGAGCUUAUAAUUAUCCAAAGUUUGACAUAUAUGUAACACUUUUAUAAGUUUAUCCAUCUAUUUCAAAUUUAAUUUAACAAUAACGUUUUAUCAUCUUUUAAAUAGAAAACUUAUUAAUCAUACUGUAACAUUUAAAUAUAGGAUUUCUUCCGUCUCAUUUUCUUUGUUUAUCUUUAACGAAAAUGUUAUAAUCUUUUAAGCUCUUUGUUAUUGUUGCACUUAAGUGGAAAUAUCAGUAGCAAUAUAGUCGAUCUUACACAUGGAAGCCCGGUUAGCCAUGUAGUCACCCACGAGAUAGGAAAAAUAGAAUCAAACUAGACAUGUGAUUUUGUAAUAUCCCAGCCCAAAUGAUAAUUUGACUAGACUAUUACUAAAGUUCAUUAAGUUAAUUAAAAGGUUAAUUACUACAGAAAAAGUAACUGAGCUAUUUUACUAGAAAAAAAUCUAGUUAUUGUGAAACAAAAAGAAAAUGACAGUUUUUCUUCCCCAUCUUUCUUAAGAUUAGAAAGUAUAAAAAAUCAAGUACAAGAUCCAAAAUCGGAGAUGACAAUCGAGUUAAUCUCUUAAUGGUAUAUGUCUUCUUUUUAUUUAAGAAAAAUAUACCAUUUUGGUUACUUUUAAAUGGAGUUAAAGUUUUGAGAGAAAAACUAAGAAAAUUACAAAAUCUUUUAUUAAUCUUCAUGAUCCAUUUGGGAAAAUUAUUGGGCUUUGUUUAUUUUAUGUUCUUAAGAUUUAUUGAUGAUUAUUGAUGGAGUUUAAAGGCUAAAAGUGGGGAUUUGAGUUUUUAAAGAUUGAAGGAGAAACUUGGUUUUUGGAUGAGAUGCUAUGAUUUACAAUAGUGAAUUAAAAUAGAAUUUUGUAUUAAUAGAUAGAUUAUUGCUAUGAUUAUUAUAUAUCAUUGGAAAGCGGUUAAAUCUACUUUCUAAUGAAAUAAACGGAAGUCAAAUCCAAGUUUUUUAUGAAGAGUUAUCUAAUUUUUACUUAAGGAUAUAUAAACUGUAUGGUAGCAUCAUCAUGGUUGAAUUGUGAAAAUUGUCUUAACUUUUAUACAAGGAAUUAAGAAUUGAGCCAUAUAUGUUUGAAAAGGUUAUUAAGUCUACUUUCCAACGAAAUAAGUGGAAUUGAAUUUGGAGUUUCAUAUGAAUAAAUGUGUAAUUUUUAUUAGAAGGUAUACAUGCUAUUUGAUAGGAGUAUAUGAUGUGCAUUAUAAAAUUUUUAUAAUUAAUCUAUAAAGAAUCAUGAGAUGGGCUAUAUAUAGUUAGUAAGCUUAUCGAGUCUAGUUUCUAACGAUGCUAAAAAGAUCUUAAUUCUAAGUUGGAUAUCUUGAGAUAUGGCUAUUUUAGUGAAUGGAGCUCAGGCUAUCAGUAUUAAUUAGUUGAGUUAACCCUUGUUUAACUUAAUUGUUUUUGGUAUAAUUAGUUUCAAAAUGGGUUGAUUGAUUCUAAUGGUUAUUGAUUCUAGCCUAAGAGAUGCUAUUGCAAGAGAAUCGCCAAAUACAGAACAUGUUAUAUGUUCAUGGCAUGUUCUUUCCAAAUUAUCAAGUUGGUUCUCUCUACCAUUUGGGUCACAGUAUGAAGAGUUCAAAGCUGAGUUUGAUAUGUUGUGUCACUUAGAGGGAAUAGAGGAGAAAACAUCAGUGGAAUCAUUUGACUGCUCUGAUGUAAAUAUGCAACUUGAUGCUGAUGUUUAGUUGCUGUGGUCAGAUUUUCUUGAUGUUAUAAUGCUUCAAAAAUCCAGAUACUAGUGAUUUCUUGUCCCAAAAUAGUUCAUUCUUCACCUUCAUCCAUUUCAUCUGGUUUGUUUCUGGGAAUAAAAGCAUAUUCCUUAUUGGCUGCAAAAAUUUCAUUCAUUUUACCUUUAAAAUUUUCAAACAAUUAAAUUACUAAUUAACUUGGUUGGUAUAUGUUUAAUCAUAUAACUUAGAAAAUGCAAUCAGUUUGUAGAGUUUUUAGAUUAUAAGUGUUAGAGGGUUGUCACAAACCCUUUUAUAAAUAUAUUAAAAAUUACAUAAAAAUAUUAGGAUAUGUAUUAAUAUUUACAAACUCUAUUAAUCAUAUGUGAAUAAGUUGAAAUAUAUAAAAAUUAUCUUGUAUAAAUGAAAUUUGUGAAAUUAAAGGAUUUUUUUUUGGUACAUGAGGCUAUCAAGAUUUGAACUUUAAAUUAUUGGAACUAAGAGUUUAGCAUUUUAUUAAUAGACAACGUGAUUGUCGAUUCAUUGAAUUUUAAAUGAGAGGAUCUCUUUAAAACAUAUUAACAAUAAAAAACUUAAAAAAAAGGACAUAUCAUGAAAUCUAGUAGUACAUAGGUAAGCAUGAGAAACAAGUUCCUUAAUAAUCAAAUUAACUGGCAAAAAAAAUCAACAAAUUGAAAACCUAUGUUUUAUUUUUUCUAAAAAGUUUGAUGAAAAAAUCUAAAGAACACAUUCAUUCUUACUUCUCAAACUUGUUUAUUUUGAAAAUUGUGAUAUUAUUAUAAUGGUGGAAUAAGAAAGAAAAUGAUAGAUACUAUGGAAUGUAUUGGUCUGAGUCUUAGUCUUUGCUUUAUAUUUAUUCUUGGCAUCAAGCAUGCAAAUGUGUAAGUCUUUUUGCCCCCAUCUUUACUUCACAAAAGUAGCAAUCUUAGCAGUUGCUUCAGUCUAAGUCAUUAAAAAGAUUAAAAUGUAACAAUAAUAAUUAAUAUACUUAAAAUCCAUUCCUAAUAUGCUAAUUUUUCUGGAAAACAAAAGACAACCUCUCCUAAGAAAAUUGUUGUGCUUUUUAUCUUUUUUAAAAGAUUGACUUGACUUAAGCAAACUGUUAAGAUUAUUUUUCAUAGAGUAAUAAUGGGACAAGAAGACUUAGACAAUUGCAUGAUGGAUGACUUAAAAGAAUAAAGCAAAGAAAAGACUAAAUAUCAAUAAAAAAAAAUCUCAUUACUAUCAUUUUCUUUGGAAGUCCAAAAUUAAAAUAUCAAGUUUUUUAUAAAGUAUAAUUUUGUGAUGGGUGAUUCUAAAUAUACCAUCAUUUUUUUUCUCUACAUUCACUUUUUUUUUUAAAUUUUCUUAGUGAUACUACCAUUUACCCAUCUAGUUUUAUUUUUAAAGCUUCUAAAUUCACAUUUCUAAUAGAUUAUAUAACUUACCGGAUUUUUAUAUCCGAUAAGUUAAAAAAAAUUACAUUUAUGCUUAAAAAAAAUAGUUUAGAGAAAAUAUCUUACAGAAAAUACCAUUCAUAAAAUUUAAUUCCUCUACUAAUCAUAUGUGAAGAAAUCGAAAUAUAUAAAUAUUAUCUCAUACACAUGAAAUUUGCGAAAUUAGAAAUUGGUUUUUUUUUUCUUUGUGAAGUUGUCAAGAUUUGAACUUUAAACUACUAAAAAACUAAGAGUUUAGCAUUUUACUAAUUAGACUAUAUGGAUAUUGGCUUAUUGAAUUUUUAACUCAAAGAUCUCUUUAAAAUGUAUUAAUAAUAAAAACUAAAAAAUAUAAAAAAAUGCACAUGUGAUGAAAUCUAAUAGUACAUUAGGAACAAAAAUAUGAGAAACAAGUUGCUUAAUCAACAAAUUGAUUGGCCAAAAAAAAUCAACAAAUUAAAAACUUGUGUUUUAGUUUUGCUGAAAAGUUUGAAAAAAAAUUCUAAAGAAUACAUUCAUUCUCACUUUUCAAAUUUGUCUAUUUUGGAAAUUGUGAUUUUAUAAUGGUGGAAUAAGAAAGAAAAUGAUAGAUACUAUGGUAAUGUAUUGGUCUAAGUCUUAGUCUUUGCUUUAUACUUAGUCUUGGCAUCAAGCAUGCAAACACAACCUUCAUUGAGAAAAUUGCUAUGUUUUUUUGUCUUUUUUAAAAGAUAGACUUGACUUAAGCAAACUGCUAAGAAAAUUAUUUUCCAUUGAGUAAUGAUGGGGUAAGAAGACUUAGACAUUUACAUGAUAGGAAGACUUAAAAGUAUAAAGCAAAAAAAAGAAUAAAUACCAAUAAAAAAUAUCUCAUACUCUCAUUUUCUUUGUAAGUCCAAAAUUAGAUAUAAAUUUUUUUAUAAAAUAUAAUUUUGUGAUAGGUGAUUCUAAAAACACCAUCAUUUUUUCUCUACAUACACUUUGUUUUAAUUUGUAAGUGAAAUCACUUAUUUUUCCAUUUCAUUUUAAUUUUAAAGCUUCUAGAUAUACAUUUAUGAUAAGUUAUAUAACUUACCGGAUUUUCAUAUUCAGUAAGUUAAAAAAAGUUACAUUUAGGUUUGAAAAAAAAUAGUUAAAAAAAAUCUUACGAAAACAUAGCAAUAUUCUCAAUAGAGGUUAUCUUUUGUCUUCUAGUAAAAUUAGCAAAUUGAGAAUAGAUUUUAAGUAUAUUAAUUAUUAUUGUUAUAUUUUAGUAUUUUUAAUGACUUAGACUGAAGCUACUGCUAAAAUUAUUAUUUUUGUGAAGUAAAGAUGGGGGCAAAAAGAUUGACACAUUUGCAUAUUUGAUGCCAAGACUAAGUAUAAAGCAAAGACUAAAACCAAUACAUUCGCAUAGUAUCUAUCAUUUUCUAUCUUAUUCUACCAUUAUAAAAUCACAAUCUUCAAAAUAGACAAGCUUCAAAGGUAAGAAUGAAUGUGUUCUUUAGAUUUUUUUUUCAAACUUUUCAACAAAAAUAAAACAUAGGUUUUUAAUUUGUUGGUUUUUUUUUUAGCCAAUCAAUUUGUUGAUUAAGCAACUUGUUUCUCAUGUUUUUAUUUCUAAUGUACUAUUAGAUUUCAUGGUGUCUGCAUUAUUUUAUUUUUUUAGUUUUUUUCUUGUUAAUAUAUUUGAAAGAGAUUCUCUGAUUUAAAAAUUCAAUGAGCCAAUAACCAUGUAAUUUAUUAGUAAAAUAUUGAAUUCUUAGUUUUGGUAGUUUAAAGUUCAAAUCCUCAUAACCUGACAUACAAAAAAAAAAAGAUAAUAUUAUGAUUUCAUAAAUUUCAUGUAUAUGAGAUAAUUAUAUAUAUAUACAUACGCACAUAUAUCUAUUGAUUUCUUCACAUAUGAUUAAUAGAGGAUUUAAAUUUUAUAAACGGUAUUAGAAUCUCAUACUUUCUGUAAGAUAUUUUCUCUUAACUAUUUUCCUCUAAACCUAAAUAUAACUUUUUUUAACUUACCAGAUAUGAAAAUUUAAUAAGUUAUAUAACUUAUCAUAAAUGUAUAUCUAGAAUCUUUAAAAUUAAAAUGAGAUGGAUAAAUAAGUAAUUUCACUUAAAAAUAAAAAAAAAGUAUAUGUAGAAAAAAAAUGAUGGUGUAUUUAGAAUCGACCUUCACAAAAUUAUACUUUUAUAAAAAAAAUUGAUAUUCUAAUUUUGAACUCACAAAGAAAAUAGUAGUAUGAGAUUUUUUUUUGUUGGUAUUUAUUCUUUUCAUUACUUUAUACUUUUAAGUCAUCCCAUCAUGCAAAUGUCUAAGUCAUCUUGCCCCACCAUUACCUUGUGGAAAAAUAAUUUUCUUAACAGUUUGCUUAAGUCCAGUCUGUCUUUUAAAAAAAAAAAAAAAAAAAACAUAGCAAUUUUCUCAAUGGAAGUUAUCUUUUAUCUUCCAUUUUAAUUAGUAGACUGAGAAUGGAUUUUAAGUAUAUUAAUUAUUAUUGUUAUAUUUUAGUCUUUUUAAUGAUUUAGACUAAAGCAACUGUUAAGAUUAUUACUUUUGUGAAGUAAAGAUGGGUGCAAAAAGAUGUCAAGACUAAGUAUAAAGCAAAGACUAAGACUUAGACCAACACAUUCCUAUAGUGUCUAUCAUUUUCUUUCCUAUUGCACCAUUAUAAAAUCACAACUUCCAAAAUAGACAAGUUUAUAAAGUGAGAAUGAUUUAGAUUUUUUUUUCAAACUUUUCAGCAAAAAAAAAGCACAGGUUUUUAGUUUAUUGAUUAUUUUGGCCAAUCAAUUUGUUGAUUAAGCAGCUUGUUUCUUAUGUUUUUGUUCUUAAUGUACUAUUAGAUUUCAUGGUAUAUGUAUUUCUUUCUUUAGUUUUUUUUGUUGUUAAUAUAUUUUAAAAAGAUCCUCUAAUUUAAAAAUUCAAUGAGCCAAUAACCAUGUAGUUUGUUGGUAAAAUGUUAGAUUUUUAAUUUCUGUAGUUUAAAGUUCAAAUCUUGACAACCUCGCAUACAAAAAAAUAAUCUUUUGAUUCCACAAAUUUCAUGUAUACAAGAUAAUUUAUUUAUAUAUAUAGUUCAAUUUCUUCACAUAUGAUUAAUGGAGUUUUUAAAUUUUAUAAACAGUAUUAGAAUCUCAUACUUUUUAUAAGAUAUUUUCUCUUAACUUUUUUUUUCAAACUAAAUGUAACCUUUUUUUAACUUAUCGGGAUAUGAAAAUCUGAUAAGUUAUGUAACUUAUCAAAAAUGCAUAUUUAGAAGCUUUAAGAUUAAAAUGAGAUGGGUAAAUAAGUAAUAUCACUUAAAAAUUAAGAAAAAAGUAAAUGUAGAGAAAAAAUGAUGGUGUAUUUAGAAUCACCCAUCACAAAAUUAUACUUUAUUAAAAAAAUUGAUAUUCUAAUUUUGGACUUGCAAAGAAAUUGAUAGUAUGAGAUUUUUUUUAUUGGUAUUUAGUCUUUGCUUUGCUUUAUAAUUUUAAGUCUUUCCAUCAUGCAAAUGUUUAAGUUUUCUUGCCCCAUCAUUAUUCUUUUUCAUAGAGUAAUAAUAGGGCAAGAAGACUUAGACAUUUGCAUGAUGGGAAGACUUAAAAGAAUAAAGCAAAGAAAAGACUAAAUACCAAUAAAAAAGUCUCAUACUAUCAUUCUCUUUGUGUGUCUACAAUUAAAAUAUCAACUUUUUAUAAAAGUAUAAUUUUGUGAUGGGUGAUUCUAAAUACAUCAUCAUUUUUCCUUACAUCUACUUUUUUUUUUAAUUUUUAAGUGAAAUUACCUAUUUAUCCAUCUCAUUUUAAUUUUAAAACUUCUAGAUAUGCAUUUAUGAUAAGUUAUAGAACAUAUGGGUUUUCAUAUUCGGAAGCUUAAAACAAGUUACAUUUAGGUUUGGAAAAAGAUAGUUGACAGAAAAUAUUUGAUAAAGAGCAUAAGAUUCUAAUACUAUUUAUAAGUUUAAAUCCUCUAUAAAUCAUAUGUGAAGAAAUCAAAAUAUACAUGAAAAUUGUGAAAUCCAAAGAUUGUUUUUUUUUUUUUUUUUGUAUGUGAAGUUGUGAGAAUUUGAACUUUAAACUACUGAAACUAAGAGUUUAGUUUUUUACUAACAUACUGCAUGGUUAUUGGCUUAUUAAAAUUUUAAAUCAGAGGAUCUAUUUAAAAUAUAUUAAGAAUAAAAAAAAUGUACAUACCAUGAAAUCUAAUAGUACAUUAGGAACAAAAGCAUUAGAAACAAGUUGCUUAAUCAACAAAUUGAUUGGCAAAAAAAAAAAUAGAAAUCAACAAAUUAAAAGCCUAUGUUUUAUUUUUGUUGAAAAGUUUGAAAAGAAAAAUCUAAAGAACACAUUCAUUCUCACUUCUCAAACUUGUCUACUUUGGAGAUUGUGACAUUAUAAUGGUGGAAUAAGAAAGAAAUCUAUAGAUACUAUGGGAAUGUAUUGGUCUAAGUCUUAGUUUUCACUUUAUACUUAGUUUGGCAUCAAGCAUGCAAAUGUGUCAGUCUUUUUGCCCCCAUCUUUACUUCACAAAAAUAAUAAUCUUAGUAGUUGCUACAGUCUAAGUAAUUAAAAAUACUAAAAUAUAACAAUAAUAAUUACUAUACUUAAAAUCCAUUCUCAGUUUGUUAAUUUAACUAAAAGACAAAAGACAACAUCCAUUAAGAAAAUUGCUAUGUUUUUUUUUGUCUUUUUUAAAAGAUAGACUUGACUUAAGCAAACUGCUAAGAAGAUUAUUUUUCACAAGAGUAAUGAUGGCGCAAGAAGACUUAGACAUUUGCAUGAUGAGAAGACUUAAAAGUAUAAAGCAAAGAAAAGAAUAAAUACCAAUAAAAAAAAUCUCAUACUAUCAUUUUCUUUAUGGGUCCAAAAUUAGAAUAUCAAAUUUUUUUAUAAAGUAUAAUUUUGUGAUAGGUGAUUCUAAGUACACCAUUUUUUUUCUCUACAUACACUUUUUUUUUAAUUUUUUAAGUAAAAUCACUUAUUUAUCCAUCUCAUUUUAAUUUUAAAGCUUCUAGAUAUACAUUUUUUAUAAGUUAUAUAACUUACCGAAUUUUCAUAUUCGAUAUGUUAAAAAAGUUACAAUUAGGUUUGAAAAAGAAAAUAGUUAAGAGAAAAUAUCUUACGUAUAAAAAGUAUGAGAAUCUAAUACCAUUUAUAAAAUUUAAAUCAUGUAUUAAUCAUACGUGAAGAAAUUGUUUUAUAUAUAUAUAUAUAUAUAAGUUAUCUUGUAUAUAUAAAAUUUGUGAAAUUAGAAGAUUGUCUUUUUUUUUUUUUUUUUUGGCUUGUGAGGUUGUCAAGAUUUGAAUUUUAAACUACUAAAACUAAGAGUUUAGCAUUUUACUAACAUACUGCAUGGUUAUUGGUUCAUUGAAUUUCUAAAUCAUAGGAUCUUUUAAAAAUAUAUUAACAAUAAAACAAAAACAAAAAAAAAAAAAAGAGCACACCAUGGAUCUAAUAGUAUAUUAGGAACAACAGCAUGAGAAACAAGUUGCUUAAUCAACAAAUUGAUUGGCAAAAAAAAAUCAACAAAAUAAAAACCUGUGUUUUAUUUUUGUUGAAAGUUUUGAAAAAAAAAAUCUAAAGAACAUAUUCAUUCUCACUUCUCAAACUUAUCUAUUUUGGAAAUUAGGAUUUUAUAAUGGUGGAAUAAGAAAGAAAAUAAUAGAUACUAUAGGAAUGUAUUGGUCUAAGUCUUAGUCUUUGCUUUAUACUUAGUCUUGGCAUUAAGCAUGCAAAUGUUAGUCUUUUUGCCCCCAUCUUUACUUCACAAAAAUAAUAAUUUUAGCAGUUGCUUCAGUCUAAGUCAUUAGAAAGACUAAAGUAUAAUAAUAAUAAUAAUAAUAAUAAUAAUAAUAAUAAUAAUAUAAAUAUACUUAAGAUCCAUUCUCAAUAUGCCAAUUUAACUAGAAAAGAAAAGAAAACCUCCAUCGAGAAAAUUGUUAUUUUUUUUGUCUUUUUACAAAAAUAGACUUAACUUAAGCAAAUUGUUAAAAAUUGUUUUUUUUUUUUCAUAGAGUAAUGAUGGGACAAGAAGACUUAGACAUUUGCAAGAUGGGAAGACUUAAAAAUGUGAAACAAAUAAAAGACUAAAUACCAAUAAAAAAACUCAUACUAUUAUUUUCUUUCUGAGUCCAAAAUUAAAAUAUCAAUUUUUUUUAUAAAGUAUAAUUUUGUGAUGGGUGAUUCUAAAUGCACCAUCAUUUUUUCUCUAGAUCCAUUUUUUUUUUUACUUUUUAAGUGAAAUUACUUAUUUAUCCAUCUUGUUUUAAUUUUAUAACUUACUAGAUUUUAAUAUCCAAUAAGUUAAAAAAAAAGUUACAUUUAGGUUCUAAAAAAAAAUAGUUAAGAAAAAAUAUCUUAUAGAAAAUUUUAAGCUUCUAGAUAUGCAAAUCCGGAAACUUUUAAAAGCUUUUGGAUAUACAAAUCUAGAGGCUUUUAAGAGCUUCUAGAUUUACAACUAUGAAAACUCUUAAAAGUUUUGAAUUUUGUAAAUCCAAAAGCUUAAAAGUAGAAGAAGUGUGAAGAGAAAAGAGAAAGAGUAAUUAAAUAAUUUCAUUUAAAAUAAUUUUGAAAUAAAAAGGGUGUGGAGAGACAAAAUGGGAAUAUAUUUAGAAUUUUCUUUUGUGAUUCACAUAUAGCAUAUAAUAUUUAUAAAUUAACAACAUAUCAAACAUAUAUAUUUUUUGAAAAUAGAAUGUGAUGAAAGUUUGAAAAAUAAUCAUAUUUUAUAUUUAUGUCCAUUAAUCACUUAAUCCCAUUAAUAUGUAGAGUAUUUUUUAAAAACUUUUAUUUGAUUUAUAUAUAUAUUAUUCAUAAUUAAUUUUAAAAAUUAUAAAAACUAUUUAUAAUAUUUACGAUAUGAUAUGACACUCGAUAUUAGAUUCUCACAUUACAAUACAUAUUUUACUUUAACAAUUAUGCUGAUUUUUUUUAAAACUUUUACUUCGUGAUUUAUAACUAUCCAAAGUUCGACAUAUAUGUAACUCUUUUUAAGUUUAUUAUUUAUUUAUAAUUUGAUUUAUAAUAAAGUUUUAUCAUCAUUUACUAUAGAGAACUUAUUAAUGAUUCUAAUGGUAAUGUCUAAAUAUAGUAUUCCCACAGUCUCUUGUUUUUUUUUUUUUUGUUUUAGAUAUCUCAAAAUUAUAUCAUCUUUCUUUAUUGGAAUAACUCAAACUCUUACUUUUUAUAUUUUAAAAUUAUUUUUUAUGAUUUUUUUUUUACUUUUGACAUUAAAAAUCAUGAAACUUUAAUCUUAUAAAAAAUUGAAUUUUAAUCUUAAAAAUAUUAAAAUCAAAAUUUUUUUCUUAAACUCUGUAAAAAAUUAAUAACACAAAAAAAAAAAAGCUCACAUGGCAUAAAUACUAAUGCAUAUGCCUGCAGCAAACAAUGAUAUUUAAGACUCGUUCAAUUCAGCAUUAUAUCUAACUUAGUUUUUACAAUUAGAACAAUUCAUUUUAUUUAAAUGCUCAAGUUAUAUGAGGUAGUAAAAAUUUAAUUUAAUUUGGAAGUGGUAAGGUCGUCGAUCAUUGGAAAUGUCAAAAUAAAUGUGCGGAUUGUCAAGUGGUAGUUAUUUAGUUUUUUUUUUUUGUUAAUUUUCUUUACAUAGAAAAUAUUUUGUUUAUUAGUUUAAACAUUGUGUCCAUACAAAUGAAAAUAAACGGCAAGCAAACAAGACUUUAAGGAAGAAAAUUUUCAAUAAUCCAUUUCUGAAAGAUGUGCGUGAUUAUAUAUCAAGAUAAGCUUUCAAGUAAUAAACAACAUAUAUUAUAUAUUAAAAAUUAUAAAAAAAAUAAAACAUGUGAUAAUAUAUUAGCACCAUUUAUAAAACUUUAAAACUCUACUAAUAAUAUAUAUAAAUAUCUAUAAAUUAUGUGAAAUUUAUGAAGUUGGAGGAUUGUUAUAUAUUCCGAUAAGUUAAAAAAUAAAAAGUUCAUAUAAUUAAAAAAUACAAUUGCCAUUAAAUCUAAUAGUAUAUUACAAACAAAAGCAAGAGAAACAAGUUGCCUAAUCAACAAUUGAAAAAAUCAUGUUUUAUUUUCGUUGAAAAUUUUGAAAAAAAAAUUUGAAGAACACAAAUUUUUUCUCUGACGUUUCAAUUGAUUCAAGGACUUUGAAAAAAAAAAAAAGAUAAUUUUCAAAUCCUAAAGUUUUUCUUUCAUCCUAUUAUUUUCAAAUAAUCAAAAAUUUAGAUCCUAUUAUUUUUGAAUAAUUAAAAAUUUAAGUAUCUGAUUGAAUACUACCAUCAACAUCUUGACUCUUUCAUUGUGCUUUCUCAAUUCUUAUAGAUAAGAUUCCAUCAAGCAAUUAAUUGCUAAUUAUUUAAGAUGAUUAAUUAUAAUAUAGAUUUCAUUUGGUUUGUAUUUUUUUCCUUUACUAUUUGUUUUUUGUUUUCAAUUCAUUUAUUAAAAAAAAUAAAAACCCUAAACUGAAAAAUAUAAUUUAGAUUUCGUUUGGUUUGUAUUUUUUUUCUUUUACUAUUUUUUAAAAUUUCAAUUCAUUUAUUGAAAAAUAUAAAAACCAAAGGCAUCCAUUAAUCUCUGACUUGACAUCAAUAGACCAGGGAACUGAAUACAUGGAAACUCAGUUUCAGCACUUGCACUCUGUUGGCUGGAUGUUUCCUCCUUGCUUUCAUCUUUUGCCCUCGUUUCGUUCAUUCAUACUUUUGCUCUAGAUUUUCCAGGUUAGGUAGCAAUGUUCUUAAUUACAACAUAUGUGCUGCCAUAUUACAAGAUGUUAGGUGGGAUGCAACAAAUUAAAAAUGCAACCCAAACGAUCAUACCCCUUUUUCUUUUAAUGCUCUAUAUAGAUAAAAAUAAUUGUAUUAUUGCAGGAAGUUGAUAAGGAUACCAAAAGGAGGUUCAAGCUUUUCCAUAAGAAAGAAGAAAUAACUUAGAAUUUUUCAAAAAAAGAAUUUCGUAUAAUUUCAUAAUCAGUGGUGAAAUCAAAUUUUUUUAAAAAAUAUUCCAUUUAAUAUUAUAAAAAUUAAUAUAAAAAUUAAAAUAAUAUAUUAUUCAUAUUACAUGAUUUUAAUUUUAUUGAAAAUUGUCUACUCAUAAAAAAAAAAAGCAGGUCAGCAUUUUUUUUAAAACUUUGAUUUUUUUUUCUUGCAAAUUUGUCAUUGUGUUGCCAAAAACAUUGGAGGUUCAAUCGUUUUAGAGUUUACUGUGUUUAUUAUAUAAUUGUAUUUAUUAAUUUCAUGGAUGAAAAAAAUUAAAAAAUUAGAGAUGUUGAAAAAUUCUCUUUCGAAAUUUCUUCUCCUUCCAUGUUCGGAGGUGUUCAUGAACAACUCACCCAUAGUCUUGCAUCUUCCUUUGUCCUUAAUAAUAGAAUUGAUUUGAUUGAUAAAUCUUUGUAAAAUUACUCUUUCAGACAAGUUGAUAGAUGAGCAAAGCUUAGUGAAAAUUUUCAUUCUUUUGAGAAAAUUAAUUUUUUAUUUAAUUGUUAUUUGUACGAAUGCAUAAUAUGAAAUAAAAAGUGGAAGAAAAGAAAAGAUAUAGUGAUAAAGAUUAAUUUACAAAAGCAAAACUAUAAGCCUUAUCACCAUUGACCCAUUAUUCAUUCCUUAAAAUUCAAAAUGGACAAGCAAUAAAUAUGUCUGUCUUCCACCUAUUUUGAUUUAACUCUUAUAGAAAUAGCUCAAACUCAUGAUUUGUACAAACACGUGGUUGGAAAAACGCAUUUGAACUUAUCUCUUGAGAUCAAGGGAGAUAUGUAGCUACAAUAACAGUACCUAAUAUGAAGUACUUGUCUAUAAAUAACGUGUAAGCAAAUCUCAAGCUCCAUAAUUUUCCCUUCAUUUUUUCUUUAUAGAGAGCCAACAAAACAUGAAGAAUCUUCAUAUCCUAAUUUCAAUCAUUUUUCCUACCUUGUUUCUCCUCUCAUUCUCUAUAUCUCUUGUGUUAUCUUUUUCCCCUCCUGAUCUCCAAAACCAAUGCCUUCAUCACCAGAAAUCUGCUCUGCUAAAAUUGCACCAUGAUCUUUACUAUGCCCCAAAUUUUACUUUCUCUUCCAAAGUUGAGCUUUGGGAUCCCAACAUUGACUGUUGCUCUUGGAAAGGAAUUACAUGUGAUGCUUUGGGUCAUGUGAUUGAACUUGAUCUCAGUUACAAAAACCUUUCAGGCAGCUUUCACUCCAUUUUCAAUCUCCAUCAUCUUCAACGCCUUAAUCCUGCUGCAAACAAUUUUAACACCACUCUGUUUCAAUAUGAGUUUGAUAGACUCCCAAAUUUAACUCAUCUCAAUCUUUCAAACUCAUGUUUCCAUGGCCAAAUUCCAGUGGGGAUUUCAUACUUAACAAGGUUAGUCUCUCUUGAUCUAUCUCAUCAAGAUUCUUGCUAUCUGCACAAUUACAAAAUUCUUGAUCCAAAUUUCUGGUACUAUGAUUUUCCUUUCAACCUUCAACCUUUAAAACUAGAAAACCCAAACUUCAAAUCAUUAAUCCAAAAUUUGAGACCUCUUACAGAGCUCUACUUGGAUGGUGUGAACAUUUCAACUCAAAGUAGUAAAUGGUGUGAGAUCACAUCCACAAUACUUCCUAACUUGCAUGUGUUAAGUCUGUCGAGUUGUGGGUUGACAGGUCCAUUUUGUUCUUCACUCUCAAGACUUCCUUUUCUUUCCAAACUUGUCCUUGAUUGGAACACGAUCUCUUAUUUACCUCCCAAUUUGUUGGAAAUUUCCUCUCGUUUGGUUUCUCUCAGUUUAAUGAAUUGCAAUUUAGGUGGGCAUUUUCCAACAGAAAUUCUCAAGUUGCCAAAAAUAGAAAGCAUUGACAUUUCAAAUAAUUACGGUCUUGGAGGUCAGUUGCCAGAAUUUCCAUCAAACAAUGCUUUACGGAUCUUAACGAUUUCUCAAACAAAUUUCAGUGGCAAACUACCAGAAUCAAUUGGCAAUCUCAAAUUCUUGACAAAUUUAGAUCUCUAUGGUUGCAAUUUCUUUGGACAAAUUCCAUCAUCAAUUGCAAAUCUUACUAAUCUUGUGGAACUGGAUCUGUCCAGUAACAAUUUCAGUGGUUUUAUCCCCGCAUUUCAUAGAUCCGGAGUUCCAAAUCUUGCACAUCUUUAUUUGUCGGGGAACCACCUCUCUGGAUCAAUGCAUUCUUCUUUAUUUACUCUCCCAUCAUUGCAGGACUUGAUUGUUUGGGGAAAUCAAUUGGUCGGUGAAAUUGAUGAGUUUGUCAACGCAUCUUCUUCCUUGAUUGAAAUAUUGUCUUUAGGCGACAAUAGCUUUAGUUCUGUGAAGCUUGACAUGUUCUCCCAACUCAAGAACUUAAGGGUUCUUUACCUUUCCAAUACGAGCUUAUCAAUUGAAAGCGACAUCACAAGCCUCGCUUUUCCCCAAUUAGAGGAGCUAUGCCUAAGUUCAUGCAACUUUACUGAAUUUCCAGAAUUCAUCAAAACACAAGACAAGUUGGCUUUUCUAGAUCUCUCUAACAACCAAAUCCAUGGUUUUGUGCCUAAUUGGUUGUGGAAGACCACUCUUUCAUGGUUAAACAUUUCUUUUAAUGCGAUUGACUUUCCAAAAGAGAUUCCUUUUGGUGACGCAAAUUCCUCUUUUCCAAUGUUGAGUAGUUUAGAAUAUCUUGACCUUUCAAAUAACAAAAUAAGUGGUGCAGUACCAAACUGGGUGUGGAAGAAAAGUUUGAGAUAUCUGGAUCUUUCUAACAAUUCUCUCACAUCUUUGGACCAAUUUUCGCUCAACCAAUCUCUAACUUCUUCACAAGGCUCUUUGUCAAGACCUAUUUGCAAUUUGAGUCGACUUGAGACCUUUAAUGCAUCCUUUAACAAAUUAAGCCGGCCAAUCCCAAGUUGCUUGGGCAAUAUCAGUUCUCUCGGCUCUUUGGAUCUACAAAAAAAUAAUUUCAGCGGCAGCAUACCAGAUUUUGCAAAAGCAACCCAAUUAUAUUGGCUACGACUCAAUGACAAUAAAUUGGAAGGGAAGUUGCCAAGGUCAUUAGCCAAUUGCACAAUCCUCCAAGUUUUAAACCUUGAAAACAAUACUCUGUACGACACAUUCCCUUUGUGGUUGGGAAAAUUGCCUGCUUUGAAGGUCCUUCUAUUGCAAGCAAAUAGGUUUUAUGGUCCAAUUAAACAUGUGAAAAAUUAUUUUCAAGAUUUGGAUGUACUAGACAUUGCUUUCAAUAAUUUUUCUGGUCAAUUACCAACUGCAUUCUUUCAAGCCCCUCGACUAAGGUCACUCAAAAUUGGUGGGAAUAAACUGGAAGGAAAGUUGCCGAGGUCAUUAGCCAAUUGCACAAAGCUUGAAGUUUUGGACGUUGGAAAAAAUAUGAUACAAGACACAUUUCCGUUUUGGUUGGUAAAAUUGCCAUCUUUGAAGGUUCUUGUACUAAGAGCAAAUAGAUUUUAUGGUCCAAUUAAAAUUUCUGAGGAUGAAAAUGUUUUCCUAGAGUUACACAUACUGGAUCUUGCUUCCAAUAACUUUUCAGGUGAGUUACCUGUUGAAUUUUUUCAAUCUUUGAAGGCAAUGAGGAUGAUGAUUGUUGGCAACCAAGCUAAGCCAGAUUAUAUUGGAGAUAAUUACUACCAGGACUCUGUGACAAUUGUGAAUAAAGGGUUUGAACUUUUUUACGAGAAAAUCUUAACCAUCUUUGCUUGUCUUGACCUUUCCAAUAAUAGUUUCCAUGGGAGAAUACCGGAAGAAAUACAAAAGCUCAAGUCACUCAAAGUGCUAAACUUGUCCCACAACAGCUUCCUCGGCCCAAUUCCUUUAGCACUUGGAAACUUAACUGAGCUUGAGUCGUUGGACCUCUCCCAGAACAAACUCUCCGGAAAGAUUCCUCUUCAGCUUACAAGCCUAACUUUUCUUGCAGUAUUGAAUCUCUCUUACAACCGACUUGAGGGAAGCAUACCACAAAGCUACCAAUUUGGUACAUUUUCAAACGAUUCUUACAAAGGGAAUCCAAGAUUAUGUGGGCUGCCUCUGACAAGGAAAUGCAAUGAAAAUGGUCCUGGAAUGCCACCCCCUAAGGAAGAUGGAGAUUCAUGGGUAGAUGGUUUGUCUGAUUGGAAAAUUGUGUUGAUGGGUUAUGGAUGUGGAUUGGUCAUUGGAUUAUGUAUUGGAUAUACAGUGCUGAAUGAGUUGGGGAACAAAUGGUUGGACAGGUUUACACAGAGUCGGAAUAAAAAAUGGAGAAGAUCUUCUAGGUGACUCUAUCAAAAUUCAAGUUUCAAUGUCAUUUGGUAAGUAUUCUAGAAUACUUAAUAACUCAAAAGUUUUUCUGUUGACUCUGUGAACUGUAGCUUAAACAAAUAAAAUUAUUUAAAUGCUCUCUUAUAUUAUCUUUUAUCUGCACUAAAUAAUAAUUUACUAAAGUGAUUGUGUUUAAAAUUUAAUUCAAGAACGUUUCAACUUUUGAUGCCUCUUUUCCUUUUUGAAACUUGGCAAUGCUUUUCAAACUAAGAACAAAAAUUGCCUGCAAACUAGGAUGUCUUUUGAAUUUCCUAACCUCAUUUUACAAAUGAAAAUUAGCUUCCAAGUAAUUAAUUUGUAUAAGACUUGGGGGUCACUGGUACUUUGAGUUAGAUUGGUCUGUCAACCAUCUUAAGAGUAAAGUAAAGCUCUGGCAUCUAUUGUAAUUAAUUAGAUUGGCUUGGGAUGCUCAUAUAUAUUUUAUUUGGCAGGAGCACAAUCAAAGGGUUUGGCAGGCCAUCCAAAGAUAUAGAAGCUAUUGUUUCAACUAUCAGAAGUUCCUUUUAGCUUAGUUCAAUAACAAGAUUGCAGUCUCGAGUUCCACUCUUCCUCUUCAACAACAGAAAUUGUGUCUGAAUGUUUUUGGCUUGGUGUUACUGUACUUGUGUAUCAGUUCAUUCUCUUCUGCUCGCCUAAGAUGAUUGGCGGUAUGUCUGGUUGUAUUGUGCUUGUCUUCUGUUCUGUCUAUGGGGUGGUGUUUUACUGCUGAGUUAUUGGGUUCCCCUGUUGUUCACCCUAUUGUGUAACUCUGUUUUUAUUAAUAAUUUCUGGCUUAGCAAAAGAAAAAUGUGUCUGAAUUGGGGACUGGUUCCUCUAUGUUGCUUAGUUUAAUUAGUUUACUUUAUUAGGUUGCUCUUUGACGUUUGUAAGGUCUUGAUAGCCUACUGUUUAUUUGUAGCAGGUCUACUGCUUUUUUUGGAUUAAUAAAAAUCAUUUAUCCAAAAAAUUUUCUUAAGGAAAAUCUUAUUAUCUUUUAAGCUCUUCAGUAUUAUUAUAUCUAAGUGGUCAUGUCAGCAAUCACAUAAUAGGUUUUACACAUGAAAGCCCAGUUUGCCACAUUAUUACCCAAGAGGUAUAAAAAGUAAAAUCAGACGAGUUAGGUGAUUCACUACUCAACCCUCUUUACUCUCUUUAACUACUUCCUGCUCUUUUACAUUUUCUUGCUUCUGGUGUAUCUUACUAUCUUAACUUGUGCGUCGGAGCAUGCUUCAAAAUAACAUGUUCCGCACCCCUGGCUUUCUAUUCUGUGACAGGUCACACAUACUCUCCUCUCAACCUCCAGUAGGACUUUCGACUACCAGACCAGGAAUUACAUUAACAACCAAGAAUUACAUUAACGAAAUCAAUGAUUCAACUCAACUAUUUGCAUUGCAAGAAUCUGAUACAAGCCAUGGCAUGUACAAAAAUGACCAUGCCUACUACUUUAACUGCCAAAACUAGAAGUUACAUCUGCUAACACAGAAAAAUCUUUACAGACCAAGCUCAAGCUAAGAUGCUUUAUUCCUGUAUUAGCUACUACAUCACUACAGAGAAAGAAAAAAAAAGAACAAAGCUUCCAGUUCCAGGUAUAAAGCUCGACAAUUCCAAAGGAUACUAUUUCAUUGCCCCUAAUAACUAUAGAUUUGACUAUGGCGAGAGAGAUUUAAAUAUUUCCUUUAUUAUUUUCUUAACUUUAAUCCCGUAUCAUCCUUUGUUUUUCUACUUCUGGACUCCCACACAGACAAAAACAAAUGGCUUUUUGUAAGCUCUAUUGCUAUUGCUAUACGAUUGAUAUCCAUAUAGAAUAGACCUUCACUAAACAAAAACAUGUGGGCAAUACAAAGAAACUUUUAACAACUUGAAAGUUAUGUGAAUGCCAUUCUUAAAUUAUUAUGUGGACUUGAUUAAUUGAUUUAAUUUUAUCUUAGAAAAGUAGUGGUAAAAUCUUUGUUAUGAAAAAGAGCAUCCAGUAAUUUUCUUAUGAUUUUUUCCCCUUACACUCAUCACUUAUUCCUGGUCAAAUUGAGUUUAUGCAUAUAAAAACUUGAUUGUUUCUAACAAAAUGGAGUAACUUCAUCGUUUGAAUUGUCAGGCCAAUGAUUUCAGAAGAUACUAGGAAAAGAAAGCAUGGGUUGCCAGAAUACAGUUCAGAAAAGGAUAUGACUUCCUGACUAAAAGCUUGUUCUGCUUAUCUGUUUCUUACAAAACUGAUGUUUCGGCUACAUUUUUUGUCCAGUCAGGAGCAAAAAUGACAGCUGUAUUUGAAAGUGAAAACCAUCCAAGGUGGGACAUGGAAAAUUUGUAUUGGGUAACAGAGGAGAUCACUAGUUUGAACAGAAAUUUGUAUCAGGCACCAAAGCAAGCCUUUCGACCAGCAGAUCAGGAUAAUCAAUGACUCAACACAACUAUUUGCAGUGCAAGAAGAUGAUAACAGCCAUGGCAUGUACAACAAUGACUAGGCCUACCACUUUAAUUGCCAAAACAAGAAGUUAAUUGCAUCUACUAACACAGAAUAAUUGUCGACACAGACAAGAUCAAGCUAAGAUGCUACAUCACCAUAAAAACACAAAAAAGGAAUAGAAGAAAGCUUCUGGUUCCAGGUCUCAAGCUCGACAAUUCCAAACUAACUUUGAUAGUGUUUAAUUUUCCCUAACAACUAUAGAGGGUAAAAAGGGAAACUAAAGGUCAUACUAAGAAUUUGAUGAGUAUACAUCAGCUGUUAAGAGCCAAAGAUUACAAUUUCUUGAAUUUAAGUUUAGGUUUGGUAGCUGAUUUCAUAAUUUUUUUGCCUUAAAUGCAGGAACUGUUUUUUCAAGGAAGAAAACUGUUCAUUAAAGCUUUCUAUGCUUUGGACUUGGACAGCACAAAAAAUCACAGCUUCUAUUAGCUGUCCCUACCCAACUGAAACUAUCAGCAAUCCUACAGCCUUAAACUCUGUGAAGUAACAUCCUUCCUAGAUCAUAACCCUACCAGUAUGUGUAAUCUAGACAUGGAUUUUGAUAUGAUCAAGAUGAAUUCUCGGCCAUUGUGAAGGUUGUGAAGUUGGAUGCUGAUUCGUGGAAAGUUGAUACUGCAUUGCACUGCUAUCUCGAGGUAGAAAUGUUACGUCAUGGGCAAAAGGCAGCAGUGGCAGCAUGACACAGAAACAAUACUUACCUAAAUACUUGGUGUAAAAACACCAUUCCAGCAGCAACAAUGAUUUUAAAGAGCUCAUCACUGCAUAAUCCCAAAUUCCCCCAAUAUCUAGCUGGGAAAUACAUUUUGUUCAAUAAGGUAUGCAGACAAGUAAAUCUUUCCACUACAAUGGCAAAACAAAGAAAUAAAAAUAUUAAUGGCAGCAGGAGUUGAAAAAAAGCAUCAAUGGACUUAUCGUUACCCUCUUCAGCCAUCUUUCUACGUAUCUCAUGAGCAGUAUUGAAAAUGCCAAGGGUGGGUUGGUUGCACAUAAAGCACUUGUUGUUCUUUGUCUGAUGCUGAAAAACCAAAAGAUGCAGUUGGUUAGUUUACAUUCGAAUGAGAAUAAAAAUGUAAAUUAUACUGACAUGAGGCACCAAAAGUUGAUGAUGUAAAGUUAAAAUAUGUCCUAUUUCUAUAGCUGAAAAAAGUUGGACCACAUAAAAUAUUCUUUGUAUGUAAGUAACCAAAAAAGUUUUGCAUCUAAGUGAUGCAUUAACAACAAACAUAACAAAAACUAAUAGAUGUUAACCUAGCACAAAAAAAGACACUAAAAAAAAAUUAAUCCACGUGAAAAGGCAUUGAGGGCACCUUUAAAGCACAAUGCUGGCAGAAGUAGUACUUGCACUUCCACAAAAGGUUGCCAGCAACUAAAACAUGCAGAGGGCAACGAAUCAUCAUCGUCAUCAUCACUCUGGUCUACCCCUGCCUCAUCAUCAUCAUCAUCGCCACCCAAAGCCGGAUUUCUCUUCCUUGCUUUCUCUGCUUCUUCCCAGUCCUUCUCUAACUGCCAUCAAGACUUGUAAUCUCCACAAUCAUGCAUAAACUUACAUGAAUCUCCGUAACCACAGUAACCAGUUUCUUUGUAGUCUUUACCGAUGUCAGGCUGAUAAUCAAAUCUUGCUGAAACCCUGAUGUGGGCAAAAGCCCUAAGAGGUCCAUGUAAGCCACCUGCUUUCUCACUGGCAACUGUUUGCUCUCUUCGAAACCCAGCCUUAUAAUCCACAUAGCCAUGCAUUCCUUUAUACAACUUCUCUCCCCCAGAGCUUGUGUUUUUCCCCUUCAAAGCCUCCUCUGUUCGUUUAAAAACUUCCUCGCGUAUCGCGCGAGCAUCUUUUGUAAACUCAGUCUCAGUUUCUAAGGUUGCCAUAGCUCUGCUAUCAUUUUGAACUUGAAUUUCCUUCGAAGACUCAAAUUGAAAAAUCGGUUUGUCAGAUUCUGUAUUUGAUUCAGUGGGAGUAGCACUCCUGGAGGAUCCAGUUGAAAAGACUAACUUAUAGUCAGGCUUCAAAGCGUUUUUCUGAUUGUGAAACAAAGAUGUGCCAUUUCUGGAGUCUUCAUCUUCAUCUUCAUAUUCAUUUAUUGUCCUUUUCCUUAUGGUUUUUUGCCCUUUGUUGGCUUCCUAAAGAAAUUGCAGACUGAAAAGUCAAAGAGUUAGCUAUAUAAGUAAAUAUACAUAUACACCUUUAAAAAGAAUUAAAAAAAAGGAACAAAUUUUACCUUGCUCAGAUUGUUGAGGUUCUGUUUCAGAUUGCUGAGGUUCUUUUCCUGGCUACUGGGGCUCGCUUGAAUCAGUCAUCUUAACAGAAACAAGAGAAAAGGUUUAUAGAUUCCUUGCCUCAAGCAAUAUGAACUUCAAUUCUCAUUCACGACUGUUGCUCCAAUCACUUGAAAGAAGGUUUUAAACUAAGUGAGUGAAAAUCCUUAUUACUAUUAAUUAAGGUAAUGAAACAAACGUGAUCAACACACUAACUGGUGUCAUAAUUAAAUUUCCAUAGAUAAGAUCAAGCAUUCUCUCAUGAAAAGGCUAAAUGCUCAAUUUUUUUACCCAAAUCAUAAAUUUCUAUUGAUGUAAGAAAAGGAAGGAAUUAAAUUUUUUAUCCAAAUAACAAAAUAUUUACAGUACUCACCUGAACAAGAAGUCUAAAACGCCCAAUACAUUUAACUUUUACCCACGAUUGACUAAUCCGAAUUGAAAUUACCCAACAAGAAGAGAUCGUCCUUCGUCAAUUAAUUCCUUUCGAUCAUCGGAUUUGGGAUUUUUUGAAAUCAGAAUUGGAAUUGGAUAGGAAUCGACUGAAGGAUUGAAGAAUUGGAUAUGAAUCGACUGAAGGAUUAAAGAACGAAGGAGUAAAGAAGGAACCCAAAACGCCAAAUUCUUUUAUCGGGCUUUCCGAUUCUUUUUCGGCCUUCUUGUUUUGAAAAUCAGUCAAUUUUUUGUCCAAAUUGCACAGGUAGACAACAGCUUGCCUACGUGCAUGCCACCUCACCUGAAAAUUACACGUCCUCUACAUAAUAUUCUGGCUCAGCAAUUAAAAGCACGUGUAGUACACGCGAAUAAUUCCUUCCCAUGUUGGCAAUGCCCAUCGGAAUAAUCUUUUGCACCAAUUGGACUUUUGUGUUGGUUGUCCUUUCAAACUAGCUUUGACGAAAACGCAAAAAAAAUUGCUUCUUCUAAACUGCUAAAUUUCUUCAAUUAAAGAAUUUUCGUUUCUGAUGACUUUUUUUUUAUUCAAAUUCGAUGAAAAAUCUAAUCUUUUUAUCUGAAUAAGAAUAAAAAUAUGUAUUUAAAAUUUAAGAAUAAAAACUAAAAUAAUAUAAUUUUAAAAUUUUAUCAAACAUAAUAAUGAAAAUUUUUUAUUUUUUUUAAGUUAUAAAUAUGGGCUGUUCAACCCAUUAAAUCUCCACAAAAAUAAAAAUGGAUAUAAAUUUAAAAUAUAUAUAAAAUAUAGAUAUAAUGUAAAAAAAUUAAAAAUGAGAAUAAAAAAUGUUAUACCCGUCCCAUUGACAUCUUUUAUUUCAGCAUUUGCUGUAAGUUUCAACCUUCUGUGCUGCAAUGUGUUUAAGGGUAAACAAAGAUCAAGAAGAGAAAGUUAAUCAAAUUGACCGGCUCUCAACUCCCUGAUGAUAUUAUAAUCAAUAUACUGCUGAAGAUACCAGUCAAAUCUCUCUUAAACAUUCAAAUGUGCAAUGCAAACCAUGGCGGUCUUUGAUCUCUGACGCUCAAUUUCCCAAACUGCACCUCAAGUGAGCGCUCCAUGGAGCAAUGUGCAAUCCAAUAACAAUGACUCAUCAUUCCAUUCUUGUUGGUAAAGUUAUCUAUCAAACUCACCUGGUAGCCACAAGACAAAUAUUUUCUGUCAAACAGACCUAUCAACAAAGACCCUCAAAUUCUUCAUAUUAUGAUUGUUGAAAGAUUUAAGAUGAUAAUUCUCGGUUUAAUUAAAGCUAAACAUGUACGAAACUUCCAAACUUUUACAAUAUUAACCUGUUGAUAUGGUGCAUAAGAUCUUUCUGUGUAGAAUUUAAAAUAUGCUUACUACAUCAACAAGACACCUUAAGAAACAAACUAGCCGUCCACUCCUGCCUUCAAUAUUUAAGUGAGCUUAAAUGGGUACAAUUGCUAUCACAGAUUCAGAGAAAAUAUUUUACCAAUAUCCAAAGGUUAGAGUCCUAGUCAUUUUCAUUAAAUUUUAGGUGAACAAAUUCCUCUUAACUGUCUCUGGAGACACAACACUGGCUGGCUGACAAUUUCUUUCUUUAUUUUUUUUUUCUAUAUAAAAAGAGCUGAAUCAGCAUGCAUAUCCAUUUGCACUGGUUACUCCUAAAUUGUUUCAUACAGCCCAUAUGUGGGGUAAAAAUAAGUCAUAUUAAGAACAAAAACUAUGUUAGUCUUAUGUGUUAGGCUAAACCUUGAUCAAUUAUUAGAUAAGUGAAAUCAGGAUCAAAUAACAAAUUAUUCAUGUAAAAGAUAAUAAUUUAUCGUGAUUCAAAAAUUAAAUAUUAAAAGUUGUGAAUGACAGUAAAAUAUUAUAAAAAAAUAUAGAUUUGUGGUCUAAUUUACUCAAAAUUUAAUGCGUUUAUCAUAGAAAUUAAAGGAAAGUUUAAAAAAAUAAACAAAAAAAAGACAAGUAUUAGUCUUUGCUUUAUACUUAAUCUUGGCAUGAAGCAUGCAAAUAUGUCAAGUCCUUUUGCUUCUCAUCUUUACUUUACAAAACAAUAAUCUUAGCAGUUGCUUCAUUCUAAGCAAUUAAAAAGAUUAAAAUAUAAUAAUAAUAAUUAAUAUAUUUAAAAUCCAUUCUCAAUCUAUCAAUUUAAUUGGAAGACAAAAGAUAAUUUUCUAUGAGUAAAAUUGCUAUGUUUUUAUCUUUUUUAAAGGAAAGACUUGACUUAAGUAAAUUGUUAAGAAAAUUAUUUUUCAUAUAUUAUUAAUGAUGGGACAAGAAAACUUAAAUGUUUGCAUGAUGGAAGACUUAAAAGUAUAAAGCAAAGAAAAGAAAAAAAUACUAAUAGAAGACACUUGCAUGAUGGAAGACUUAAAAUAUUAAGCAAAGAAAAGAUAAAAUACUAAUAGAAAAAAAUCUCAUACUAUCACUAUCUUUGUGAGUUCAAAAUUAGAAUAUCAAAAUUUCAAAAGACCCGUUUUUCUUACAUGAGAUGGGUCCAUUAAAACCGAAAUCGGGCUUCCGUUUGACUUUUGCACCAAAACACAAUUGGGCAAUUUGUGCGAAUCUUAAACUGAUUAUAGAACGAUACACAAAACAAUUAACUGAGAAAAGCAAAAUUAAAAAAAAAAAAAAAAGGUUGUCAAAAGGGAUUUAAAGUUAUGGGGUUUUUAAUCAAAAUUUCCCCUUCUUUUCUUCUUUUUCCAGGUAAAAUUUUCCUCAUGCCCACUUUUAUUUUCAAUCGUAAAAAAUUCUUUCUUUUUUUUUUAAAUGUAAAAUAUGGGUUUUUUUUUUAUAUCUUCUGUUUCUACAGUACACUGUAAUUAGGAGCUGGAGCAAUUGCAGCUAAUUUUUGGAAACCUUACAUUGGCAAAGGCAGAGUAUUUUUUUUUUUUAAAUAUUUUUUCUAUGAUCCUUGUUAUACUUUCACUGUGUAGAAAGAUUCUAUUUUUAGCUAAGCAUAACUCAUUUUUUUUUCAAUUAUUUGUUUUUAGGCUUUAUCAUGUGUUGGGUCUUUUCUGUUUUACCCAUAUUUCAUUUAAUUUUAUGAUUUGAAUCGAACUGCUAUGUGAAUAGGAAUAUUGAGUUAUGCCAAGCAAUACUUUCUCUGACUAUUACUAUACAUAAUUGUCAAUUUGUCAUUCAAUUGCUAGCUGCUAAAUUUGCUGCAAAAGAAUGGUUAUUGCAGUUGGAAUCUCUUGUUAUUAUGGGGAAGAAUGUGAGGGUUGAAAAGGGAAAGAAAAAUGAAAUGAAAUGAAAUAGUUGGGUGGAAAGUGUUACCUUUUAUGGAGUUCUAGCUUGCAAUCAUCAUUUGUUUAAUUGUACAUUUUGCAUUUUCCAACAAUUGAAUGGAGCAAGUUUUUCGGAUUUCCAUUUCAUUGCUUUCAAGUACCUUGGUCUAGAUAAGUUUCGUCCGUGUUUCCUGUUCCCAAAAUGAUUUAACAUAUAUGACAUAACAGGUUCUUCUUGCAAAUUGGGACUUGAAUGUUUAUGUGAAAAGGUGGUUAUAGUCUGAUCUUUUCUUUGUUGCAUCCAUAUUCUGCAAAGAUCUUUUGCCCUGUCUCUUUGUUCACUUCCUGGGUCUCAGUAUUUUGUUGGUUUGCUUAUGGUAGAGUUUGAUCUCGUGCUUUUCCAUUUUCACUUUGCCCCCACUAUUCCUCCCCUUCCUCUCUAGCUUUUGAAAUUGCAUUUAGAGCCUUGGUUGUUGUAGUAGAUCACAAGCAUACUUUAACAUUAUGUUCAAGCUGUUUAAUUGUAGGUUCAAAUUUCUAGUGUUAAAGUUUGAUUAGGUUUUGAUUUCUUAUAUAAGCCUUGUUUUAACACCCCCCCCCCCCCUUUUUUUAGAGGGAGAGGGGGUCCGGGGAAAUAAAAAUAGCCCUUAUAUUAGUGCAUACAAAUGUAUGUAUGUAUACGGUAUAUAUAAACAUUGGUAUAAAAAAUAUGUUAUAUACAAUGUUUGUAUAAAAAUUGUGUAAUCCCAAAAUAAAAUAUAAAUUUCAAGCACUGUACAUACAUAAAUUCUAAAAAAUUCAAAAAAUUAAAUUCAAUAAAUAGAAUAUAACUUAAUGACCAGAAAUAGAAAAACUAAAAAAGGUAACUACCGAGAACAUAAAAUUGCUUGUGCACAAUUAAUGCAUUAGCGAACCAUAUGAAGUUCUUGGUUAUUUUGCAUUAUUUAGUAUUUGUUUGAUUGGGUUUUUGCUAUUUGCUUUUUGCUUCGAAAGCAAAAAAGCAAAAAUAGCAUUUCCAUAAGCAAUAAAAUUUUGAAGAGUUAUACACAAAAUAUUUAAAUUUUUUAUGAUUAACUACAUGAUUCUACUUCUAUAUAUACUAAUUGUGUUAUAAUUGAUUUUAUAUUUUAAUUAUUUUUUCUGUUUUAGAUCAGUUAUGACAUAUAUACAUUUUACCUUUUGCUUUUCCUUUCUAGUAAAAUAUAUAUGUUUUAUUCAUGUUCGUAGGGAACUUACCAGACUUCUUGGCCAUGUUCUAGAAAUGCCAGUAUCUAACGAGUUUGCUUUGAAUAUGGCAGCUAACAACAUCAGUGAAUCUUAGGUUUGUUGAUGCAAAUCAUGGCUAACAGAUUCACUUGAAGCCUACUUAUCUAAAGAUUUUUCGAUUUUUAGAGGAUGAAAUGCAAAGGUGGUGCUGAUGUUAAUAAUGUUGGACAUUGAACACUGUCAAACAACAUAGAGGUGGAAAUAUACUGACUUUUACAGGUUUCAGGGUUGGUUUUAUUUGUUGACUUCAUUCUAUUACUUCUUUUUUUGGAACGAUAUAUGCCAACAUCUUAUGUAAAUAUGCAACUUGAUGCAGAUAAUUUGUAAUUUUGGGGAAGAGAAAGAAGGAAUGAAAUUGAGAAACUANNNNNNNNNNNNNNNNNNNNNNNNNNNNNNNNNNNNNNNNNNNNNNNNNNNNNNNNNNNNNNNNNNNNNNNNNNNNNNNNNNNNNNNNNNNNNNNNNNNNNNNNNNNNNNNNNNNNNNNNNNNNNNNNNNNNNNNNNNNNNNNNNNNNNNNNNNNNNNNNNNNNNNNNNNNNNNNNNNNNNNNNNNNNNNNNNNNNNNNNNNNNNNNNNNNNNNNNNNNNNNNNNNNNNNNNNNNNNNNNNNNNNNNNNNNNNNNNNNNNNNNNNNNNNNNNNNNNNNNNNNNNNNNNNNNNNNNNNNNNNNNNNNNNNNNNNNNNNNNNNNNNNNNNNNNNNNNNNNNNNNNNNNNNNNNNNNNNNNNNNNNNNNNNNNNNNNNNNNNNNNNNNNNNNNNNNNNNNNNNNNNNNNNNNNNNNNNNNNNNNNNNNNNNNNNNNNNNNNNNNNNNNNNNNNNNNNNNNNNNNNNNNNNNNNNNNNNNNNNNNNNNNNNNNNNNNNNNNNNNNNNNNNNNNNNNNNNNNNNNNNNNNNNNNNNNNNNNNNNNNNNNNNNNNNNNNNNNNNNNNNNNNNNNNNNNNNNNNNNNNNNNNNNNNNNNNNNNNNNNNNNNNNNNNNNNNNNNNNNNNNNNNNNNNNNNNNNNNNNNNNNNNNNNNNNNNNNNNNNNNNNNNNNNNNNNNNNNNNNNNNNNNNNNNNNNNNNNNNNNNNNNNNNNNNNNNNNNNNNNNNNNNNNNNNNNNNNNNNNNNNNNNNNNNNNNNNNNNNNNNNNNNNNNNNNNNNNNNNNNNNNNNNNNNNNNNNNNNNNNNNNNNNNNNNNNNNNNNNNNNNNNNNNNNNNNNNNNNNNNNNNNNNNNNNNNNNNNNNNNNNNNNNNNNNNNNNNNNNNNNNNNNNNNNNNNNNNNNNNNNNNNNNNNNNNNNNNNNNNNNNNNNNNNNNNNNNNNNNNNNNNNNNNNNNNNNNNNNNNNNNNNNNNNNNNNNNNNNNNNNNNNNNNNNNNNNNNNNNNNAAAAAAAAAAAAAAUUUUUUCUCAAUGAAAGUUGUCAUUUGUCUACUAGUUAAAUUGGCUCACAAGGAAUAGAUUUUAAGUAUAUUAAUUAUUAUUGUUAUAUUUUAGUCUUUUUAAUGACUCAGACUAAAGCAACUACUAAGAUUAUUUUUGUGAAGCAAAUAUGGGGGCAAAAUGAUUGACACAUUUGCAUGCAUGAUGCCAAAACUAAGUAUAGAGCAAAGACUAACACUUGGACCGAUACAUUCCCAUAUUAUCUAUCAUUUUCUUUCUUAUUCCACCAUUAUAAAAUCACAAUUUUCAAAAUAGACAAGUUUGGGAAGUGAGAAUGAAUAUAUUUUGUAGAUUUUUUUUUCAAACCUUUCAACAAAAAUAGAACACAUGUUUUUGAUUUGCUAAUUUUUUUUUUUUGUGAAUUAAUUUGUUGAUUAAGCAACUUCUUUCUCAUGCUUUUGUUCCUAAUGUACUAUUAGAUUUCACGGUAUGUGCAUUUUUUUUUAGUUUUUUAUUGUUAAUAUAUUUUAAAGAUAUCUUCUAAUUUAAAAAUUCAAUAAACUAAUAACCAUAUAGUCUAUUAGUAAAAUGCUAAACUCUUAGUUUUAGUAGUUUAAAAUUCAAAUCCUAGCAAUCUCACUAUAAAAAAAUUAUAAAAAAAAGACAAUCUUAAAAUGAAAAAAUUUCAUGUAUACAAGAUAAUUUAUAUAUAUAUUUUAAUUUUCUUCACAUAUGAUUAAUAGAGUUUUUAAAUUUUAUAAACAGUAUUAAAAUCUCAUACUUUUUAUAAGAUAUUUUCUCUUAACUAUUUUUUUUUCAAACCUAAAUGUAAUUUUUUCUAACUUACCAGAUAUGAAAAUUCUGUAAGUUAUAUAACUCAUUAGAAAUGCAUAUUUAAAAGGUUUAAAAUUAAAACAAGAUAAGUAAAUAAGUAAUUUACUUAAAAAUUUUCUAAAAAAGGUGGAUGUAGAGAAAAAAUAAUGGUGUAUUUAAAAUAACCCACCACAAAAUUAUACUUUACAAAAAAAAUUGAUAUUCUAAUUUUGGACUAACAAAGAAAAUGACAGUAUGAGAUUUUUUCAAUUGGUAUUUAGUCUUUUCUUCACUUUAUACUUUUAAGUCUUCCCAUCAUACAAAUGUGUAAGUCUUCUUGCCCCAUCGUUACUCUAUGAAAAAUAAUCUUAUUAGCAGUUUGCUUAUGUCAAGUCUAUCUUUUAAAAAAGACAAAAAAAAUAGCAAUUUUUUCAAUGGUGAGUGUCUUUUGUCUUCCAAUUAAAUUUGCAGACUGGGAAUGGAUUUUAAAUAUAUUAAUUAAUAUUGUUAUAUUUUAGUCUUUUCAAUGACAUAGACUAAAGCAAUUGCUAACAUCAUUUUUUUUUUUGAAGUAAAAAUAGGGGCAAAAAGAUUGACACAUUUGCAUGCUUGAUGCCAAAACUAAGUAUGAAGCAAAGACUAUGAUUUAGACCCAUGCAUUCUGAUAGGAUCUAUCUUUUUCUUUCUCAUUCCACCAUUAUAAAAUCACAAUUUCCAAAAUAGACAAGUUUGAGAAAUGGGAGUGAAUGUGUUCUUUAGAUAAUUUUUUCAAACUUUUCAGUUAAAAUUAAAGAUAGGUUUUAAUUUAUUUUAUUAUUAUUAUAUUAUUAUUUUGCUAAUCAAUUUGGUGAUUAAGCAACUUCUUUCUCAUGCUUUGUUCCUAAUGUACCAUUAGAUCUCAUGGUAUGUGCCAUUUUUUUUAUUUUUUAGUUUUUUUACUAUUAAUAUAUUUAAAGAGAUUUUUUUAUUUAAAAUUAAAUGAGCAAAUAACCAUGAGUUUGUUAGUAAAUGUUGAAUUCUUAAUUUUAGUAGUUUAAAGUUCAAAUCUUGAUAACCUCACAUUACAAAAAAAAAGGACAAAUUUCUAAUUUCACAAAUUUCAUAUAUACGAGAUAAUUUUUAUAUAUUUCAAUUUCAUCAUAUAUGAUUAAUAGAGAUUUUAAAGUUUAUAAAUGGUAUUAGAAUCUCAUACUCUAUGCAAGAUAUUUUCUCUUAAUUAUUUUUUUCCAAACCUAAAUGUAACUUUUUUUAACUUACUGGAUAUGAAAAUCCAAUAAGUUAUAUCAAGAUGCUUUAAAAUUAAAACGAGAUGAGUAAAUAAGUAAUUUCACUUAAAAAUUAAAAAAAUUGAUAUAGAAAAAAAAUGAUGGCAUAUUUAGAAUCACUCAUCACAAAAUUAUGCUUUAUAAAAAAUUUGAUAUUUUCAUUUUGGACCCACGAAGAAAAUGAUAGUAUGAGAUCUUUUUAUUGGUAUUUAAUCUUUUCUUUGUUUUAUACUUUUAAGUAUUCCCAUCAUGCAAAUGUCUACAUCUUCUUGCCCUAACAUUACUUUAUGAAAAUAAUCUUCUUAGCAAUUUGCUUACAUCAGGUCUGCCUUUUAAAAGGGACAAAAAAAAAAAAAACAACAAUUUUCUCAAUGAAAGUUGUCUUUUGUCUUCCAGAUAAAUUGACACACAAGGGAUGGAUUUUAAGUAUAUUAAUUAUUAUUGUUAUAUUUUAGUCUUUUUAAUGACUUAGAUUGAAGUAACUGCUAAGAUUAUUUUUGUGAAGUAAAGAUGGGUGCAAAAAGAUUGACUCAUUUGCAUGCUUGAUGCCAAAAUUAAGUAUAGAACAAAGACUAAGACUUAGACCAAUACAUUCCCAUAGUAUCUGUCAUUUUCUUCCAUAGAAUAUAUUCUGUAGAUUUUUUUUCAAACCUUUCAGCAAAAAUAAAACUCUGGUUUUUAAUUUGUUGAUUUUUUUGGCCAAUCAAUUUGUUGAUUAAGCAACUUCUUUCUCAUGCUUUUGUUCCUAAUGUACUAUUAGAUUUUAUGGUGUGUGCAUUUUUUCAGUUUUUUAUUGUUAAUAUAUUUUAAAGAUAUCCUCUAAUUUAAAAAUUCAAUGAGCUAAUAACUAUAUAUUCUAUUAGUAAAAUACUAAACUCUUAGUUUCAGUAUUUAAAAUUCAAAUCCUAACAAUCUCACAUAUAUAUAUAUAUAUAUAUAUAAAAAAGACAAUCUUCAAAUGAAAAAACUUCAUGUAUAUGAGAUAAUUUAUAUAUAUUUUUUUAAUUUCUUCACAGAUGAUUAAUUGAGUUUUUAAAUUUUAUAAACAGUAUUAAAAUCUCAUAUUUUCUGUAAGAUAUUUUCUUUUAACUAUUUUUUUUCAAACCUAAAUGUAACUUUUUCUAACUUUUUGGAUAUGAAAAUUCUAUAAGUUAUAUAACUCAUCAGAAAUGCAUAUUUAGAAGUUUUAAAAUUAAAACAAGAUAAGUAAAUAAGUAAUUUCACUUAAAAAAUUUUUAAACAAGGUGGAUGUAGAGAAAAAAUGAUGGUGUAUUUAGAGUCACCUAUCACAAAAUUAUACUUCACAAAAAAAUUGAUAUUCUAAUUUUGACUAACAAAGAAAAUGAUAGUAUGAGAUUUUUUUUAUUGGUAUUUAUCUUUUCUUUACUUUAUACUUUCAAGUCUUCCAUCAUGCAAAUGUCUAAGUCUUCUUGCCCCAUCAUUAUUCUGUCAAAAAUAAUCUUUUUAACAGUUUGCUUAAGUCAAGUCUAUCUUUUAAAAAAGACAAAAAAAUAGCAAUUUUCUCAAUGGUGGUUUUUUUUUGUCUUCCAAUUAAAUUGGCUGGGAAUUAAUUUUAAGCAUAUUAAUUAAUAUUGUUAUAUUUUAGUCUUUUCAAUGACUUAGACUAAAGCAAUUGCUAACAUCACUAUGUUUUUGAAGUAAAAAAGGGGGCAAAAAGAUUGACACAUUUGCAUGCUUGAUGCCAAGACUAAGUACGAAGCAAGGACUAUGAUUUUGACCCAUGCAUUCCGAUAAGAUCUAUCUUUUUCUUUCUUAUUCCAUCAUUAUAAAAUCACAAUUUUUAAAAUAGACAAGUUUGAGAAAUGGGAGUGAAUGUGUUGUUUAGAUUUUUUUUUCAAACUUUUCAGCAAAGAUAAAACACAGGUUUUUAAUUUAUCGAUUUUUUUGGCCAAUCAAUUUGUUGAUUAAGCAACUUGUUUCUUAUGCUUUUGUUCCUAAUGUACUAUUAGAUUUCACGAUAUGUGCAUUUUUUUUUUUUGGGUUUUUUAUUAUUACUAUAUUUUAAAGUGAUGCAUUGAUUUAAAAAUUCAAUGAGCCAAUAACCAUGUAAUUUGUUAGUAAAAUAUUGAACUUUUAGUUUUAAUAGUUUAAAGUUCAAAGCUUGACAACUUUAUAUACAAGAAAAAAAAAAAAGACAAUCUUCUAUUUUCACAAAUUUCAUGUAUAAAAGAUAAUUUAUAUAUAUUUUGAUUUCUUUAUAUAUGAUUAAUAGAGUUUUUAAAUUUUUUUAAUGGUAUUAGAAUAUCAUACUUUCUAUAAGAUAUUUCAUCUUAACCAUUUUUUUUCAAUCCUAAAUAUAAUUUUUUUAACUUACCGGAUAUGAAAAUUUGAAAAGUUAUAUAAUUUAUCAUAAAUGCAUAUCUAGAAGUUUUAAAAUUAAAAUGAGAUGGGUAAAUAAGUAAUUUCACUUAAAAAAACUUUUAAAAUUGGAUGUAGAGAAAAAAAAUGAUGAUGUAUUUUGAAUCACCUAUCAUAAAAUUAUAGUUUCUAAAAAAUUGAUAUUUUAAUUUUGGACUCACAAAGAAAAUGAUAGUAUGAGAAUUUUUUAUGAGAUUUUAAUUCUUUUCUUUGCUUUAUCACAUUUCUUAAUUUUUUUUAUAUAAUUUUUUAGUAUAUUUGUAAAAGGGUUUGUGACAGCCCUCUAACUUGUAUAAUCUAAAAACUCCACUAACUAAUUGCAUUUUCUAAGUUAUAUGAUUCAACAAAUACUAACAAGUCAAUUAAUAAUUUAAUUGUUCUAUAAAUUUGAAGGUAAAAUAAAUGAAAAUUUUGCAACUAAUAAAGACUAUGCUUUUAUUCCCAUAAACAAACCAGAUGAAAUAGAUGGAGUUAAAGAAUAAACUAUUUCGGGGCAAGAUAUCAGUACUAUCUGGAUUUCUUAAGCAUCAUAAUAUCAAGAAAAUCUGACUAGAACAACUUUACAUCAUGGCAAAAUUUCAAAGAAAAACCACUAGUUUCUCAAUUUCAUUCCUUCUUUCUCUUCCCCAAAAUUACAAAUUAUCUGCAUCAAGUUGCAUUUUUACAUAAGAUGUUCGCAUAUAUCUUUCCAAAAAAAAAAGUAGUAGAAUGAAGUCAACAAAUAAAACCAACCCUGAAACCUGUAAAAGUCGGUAUAUUUCCACCUCUAUGUUGUUUGACAGUGUUCAAUGUCCAACAUUAUUAACAUCAGCACCACCUUUGCAUUUCAUCCUCUAAAAAUCGAAAAAUCUUUAGAUAAGUAGGCUUCAAGUGAAUCUGUUAGCCAUGAUUUGCAUCAACAAACCUAAGAUUCACUGAUGUUGUUAGCUGCCAUAUUCAAAGCAAACUCGUUAGAUACUGGCAUUUCUAGAACAUGGCCAAGAAGUCUGGUAAGUUCCCUACGAACAUGAAUAAAACAUAUAUAUUUUACUGGAAAGGAAAAGCAAAAGGUAAAAUAUAUAUAUGUCAUAACUGAUCUAAAACAGAAAAAAUAAUUAAAGUAUAAAAUCAAUUAUAACACAAUUAGUAUAUAUAGAAGUAGAAUCAUGUAGUUAAUCAUAAAAAAUUUAAAUAUUUUGUGUAUAACUCUUCAAAAUUUUAUUGCUUAUGGAAAUGCUAUUUUUGCUUUUUUGCUUUCGGAAGCAAAAAGCAAAUAGCAAAAACCCAAUCAAACAAAUACUAAAUAAGGCAAAAUAACCAAGAACUUCAUAUGGUUCGCUAAUGCAUUAAUUGUGCACAAGCAAUUUUAUGUUCUCGGUAGUUACCUUUUUUAGUUUUUUCUAUUUCUGGUCAUUAAGUUAUAUUUUAUUUAUUGAAUUUAAUUUUUUGAAUUUUUUAGAAUUUAUGUAUGUACAGUGUUUGAAAUUUAUAUUUUAUUUUGGGAUUACACAAUUUUUAUACAAACAUUGUAUAUAACAUAUUUUUUAUACCAAUGUUUAUAUAUACCGUAUACAUACAUACAUUUGUACGCACUAAUAUAAGGGCUAUUUUUAUUUCUCCGGACCCCCUCUCCCUCUAAAAAAAGGGGGGGGGGUUAAAACAAGGCUUAUAUAAGAAAUCAAAACUUAAUCAAACUUUAACACUAGAAAUUUGAACCUACAAUUAAACAGCUUGAACAUAAUGUUAAAGUAUGCUUGUGAUCUACUACAACAACCAAGGCUCUAAAUGCAAUUUCAAAAGCUAGAGAGGAAGGGGAGGAAUAGUGGGGGCCAAGUGAAAAUGGAAAAGCACGAGAUCAAACUCUACCAUAAGCAAACCAACAAAAUACUGAGACCCAGGAAGUGAACAAAGAGACAGGGCAAAAGAUCUUUGCAGAAUAUGGAUGCAACAAAGAAAAGAUCAGAUUAUAACCACCUUUUCACAUAAACAUUCAAGUCCCAAUUUGCAAGAAGAACCUGUUAUGUCAUAUAUGUUAAAUCAUUUUGGGAACCGGAAACACGGACGAAACUUAUCUAGACCAAGGUACUUGAAAGCAAUGAAAUGGAAAUCCGAAAAACUUGCUCCAUUCAAUUGUUGGAAAAUGCAAAAUGUACAAUUAAACAAAUGAUGAUUGCAAGCUAGAACUCCAUAAAAGGUAACACUUUCCACCCAACUAUUCAUUUCAUUUCAUUUUUCUUUCCCUUUUCAACCCUCACAUUCUUCCCUAUAAUAACAAGAGAUUCCAACUGCAAUAACCAUUCUUUUGCAGCAAAUUCAACAGCUAGCAAUUGAAUGACAAAUUGACAAUUAUGUAUAGUAAUAGUCAGAGAAAGUACUGCUUGGCAUAACUCAAUAUUCCUAUUCACAUAGUUGUUCGAUUCAAAUCAUAAAAUUAAAUGAAAUAUGGGUAAAACAGAAAAGACCCAACACAUGAUAAAGCCUAAAAAAACACAAAUAAUUGAAAAAAAAAAAAAGAGUUAUGCUUAGCUAAGAAUAGAAUCUUUCUACACAGUGAAAGUAUAACAAGGAUCAUAGAAAAAAUAUUUAAAAGAAAAAAAUACUGUGCUUAAAAAAAUAUUUAAAAAAAUAUUUAAAAAAAAAUAUAUUUAAAAGAAUGAAAUCAACAAAUAAAACCAACCCUGAAACCUGAAAUAGGCUGUGAAGAAAAAAAACAAAAAAAGCCGCUAUAUUUCCUCCUCUAUGUUGUUUGACAGUGUUCAAUCUUCAAUGUCCAUUGUUAUUAACAUCAGCACCACCUCUGUAUUUCAUCCUCCAAAAUAGUAUUUGAGUUUAAAUAUUCCUGUACGAUCAAUCUUAUGCUCUGUUUUGGAAUAAUUGGUCGAGGAUCUUUAAAAAUAAUAAAAAAAAAAGUCUCUGAAAUUUGUAUCUGUAUGGGCUUUUGUAGAUCCCCAAAGGUUGUGUUUUAACUUAGGAUUACAUAUGUUACCAUGUAGGCUUGAACCCAUGUGUGUGCUUGUGUGUGUGUUAGUGAGUGCAAGGGAAACAAUAGUUUUGCUAAAAUAUUGAGUUUAUGGACAUUGCUCUCUCCGUACAUAUGGCCCAUUAAAGCAUGUUGUUGUUCCACAAUACACGGUCUCUAGUCACCUUUUUAAUUUGACCAUGUGAUUUUGAAUAUCAUUCCAUCUCUCCAAUCUAAAAAGGCUUUUAUAUUUCCACAGAGCUGUUUUUGGAGCUAUGCAAGCAGUAUGACCAGCCAAUAGGGUCUUUUUUUGCCCGUAAGUUUUCAAGGAUGUAUUAAUUUGGAUACUUAUAGUCAAGUUUGAUUUCCUUAAAAUUGAAGUUAACAGUUUCAAGAAAUUUUUUCAUGCCUUUCUAAGCUCAUGUACUCAUUAGAAUUGUUCAAAAUUGUAAUUGACCGUUCUGGACCUCCAUUUGUGUCCAAUUUUAUAUGCUCAUAAUUGGAUUACAAGUAAGAAAGUUAUGCCUCGUUUUAAUUUGUGCUCCUCUGAAAGGAAGAAACCUGUUGUCACCUGUUUGAUGAAAUAAUUUGCAAAAUGAAGAAACCUUUUAUACACAAUAUAUGUUGUAUCAUAUUAUUUAUUUUGGAUCCUUGGAUAAUGAUUUGAGAAAUAUAUUUAUUUCCUUUUGCAGAAUUUUGAUGACGUCCUGGUGCAUGCUGAUCACGUAAGCAGGAGCUAUAAUGAUACAUACUAUGUUGACUCUCAAAUUAUAUUGAGGUGUCAUACUGCUCAUCAAGCAGAGCUGUUGAGAAGAGGAUACACUCAUUUCCUUGUAACUGGCGAUGUUACCGUAGAUCUUCUAUAGAUUCUACUCAUUACCCUGUGUUUCAUCAUGUUUCAUUUUGUUGAAAAUCUCUUUAAUUUUGACUAGCUUUUAAAAAUUUUCUUCGCUUCAGAAAUUAUUCCAAGUACAUGUGAAUUUUGCAUCACAUGCUACAUGCGUAGCACAGCCAUCCAUAUGUUGGGCCUUACAAUGGGCUCCUUCGUAGGUUCACAUGAUGAACAGCUGUGAUUUGACAUGUAACAUUUGUUGUAAGAUGGCCAUGUUCAUAAAUUAAGGUUCCUUAUUUUUUUCCCUCUGAAACAUACGCCCUUUUACCAUACAGAUGGAAGGGGUUCGUGUUUUUACUCCAAAUAAUUGGGAGGCAUCAUCUGGUCUGGAUCCCACACCAUUUGCAGCCUAGGACUUAAAGAAAAGUCUAGAGGGCCUGGCUUGUCACCUAUCUGGCAAUUUUUAGAGUCAAAGCUUUGUUGAGGGAUUACAAUUUUGCAAAUGGUCAUGCAUUUCUAUCCGAAAGAGAUAUAGGGAUUAAGAGAUCAUAUUGAGUCCAAUUUGUGAUUUACAUCUUGAAUGCACUAACUGAUUUGGCAAGACGUGGCAAUUAUUGUAACAAGAAAUCAUUACAGAUUUGCAAAUUUUUUUUGGGGAUACCAUGGAGAUAUAUGUACCAAUGUGCAAGACAUCCAGUCCUAUGUGCAAUAGCAAAACUUUUGGUAAAAUACAUAUAGGUUUUUGAGUUUUAAGCAUAAUUUAACUAGAUCUAUUAACUUGAAAAAAAGACUUCUUGUCCCAAAACUUUUUAAUUAAUAAUACACUAAGAUCUUUCUAUUAGUUAGCUUAGUUAAAAGGCUCAUUAAAAGAUCAUUUUACAUUUAAAAAAUCAAUAUCUUAAAAGACUCACAUAAAAUAAUUAUUUAUAAUAUUAAAUUUUUUUCUUAAAAUAUAUAAAAUAUAUUAAUGAUAUAUAAAAAAAAUUUUAGGUGCAAAAUAUAAAAAAAAAAUUCACAAUCAUAAAUAACAUUUUUUUCAAUCAAAUAUUUUUUCUUAUUAUAUGUUACAUGUUUUUAAUAUAACAUUUUUCGUAUUAUAAUUUUGAAUUUUAUUUUUAUAUAUUGCACGUAAAAAUCUUUUUAUAUAUUAUUAACAUAUUUUAUAUAUUUCAAGAAAAAUUAUUAUUAUAAAUAAUUAUUUUAUGUGAGUAUUAACUUAUUAUAUUUACAUGCUCUUACAUGAAAACAAAAUUCACAAUUAUAAAUAACAUUUUUUUCAACCAAAUAUUUUUUUUAUUAUAUGUUACAUGUUCUUGUUAUAACAAUUUUUUUCUUAUUAUAAUUUUGAAUUUUAUUUUUAUAUAUUGCACUUAAAAUUUUUUAUAUAUUAUUAUAUAUUUUAUAUAUAAUUUUAAAAAUUAUUAUUAUAAAUAAUUUUUUAUGUGAGUAUUUGCUUAUUAUAAAUAACAUUUUUUUCAACAAAUUUUUUUUUAUUAUAUGUUACAUGUUCUUAUUAUAACAUUUUUUCUUACUAUAAUUUUGAAUUUUGUUCUUAUAUAUUGCACCUAAAAUUAUUUUUUAUAUAUUAUUAAUAAAUUAUUAUAUUUUAAGAGAAAAUUAUUAUUAAAAAAUAAUUAUUUUAUGUGAGUAUUUGCUUAUUAUAUGUUACACAGUUUCUUAUUAUAACAUUUUUCUUAUUAUAAUGUGAAGUUUGUUUUUAUAUGUUGCACCUAAAAUCUUUUUUAUAAUAUAUUAUUAAUAUAUUUAUAUUAUUUUUUAAAAAUUUAUUAAUUAUAAAUAAUUAUUUUAUAUGAAUAUUUAAGGAUAUUGAUUUUUAACGGGUCAAAAUGAUCUUCUUAAUGAAUCUUUUAAUGAAGUUAAUUGAAAGAUCUUAGUGUCUUAUUAAUAAAAAAUUUGAGUCAGGAUGUCCAAUUUUCAAAUUAAUAGACCUGAGUUGAAUUAUACCUUAAACUCAAAGACCUAAAUGUAUUUUACUCAUAAAACUUUUCAUGGGAAAGUAUCUAAACCAAACUGCUAUAAAUUCAUAUCACUUGCAAAAUUUUAUAAAGUUAAUCAUGAUGUGUUUGCAUCAGGGGUUGAUAAUGUACUGUGUAAGUACUGCUAUAUGUGGAAGCCAAUUAGCCUCACUCUGUUAACAUUCCAGCUGCUGUGGAGAUGCGUUGGAUCAAUGCCUAUUUCCCAUUUACCAGUCCUUAUGAAGUUGAAAUCUAUUUCAAGGUAUUCUCUUUAUCCCUUUUAGAGGAUAUUGUUAGUAUUUUCUUUAAGAUCGAGUUAUUUAGUCGGAAGAAUCUUGAUUCAUUUUUUUGCCUUUUUCCCUUGCUUUAUUGCAAUGCUUAUGGUCAUUUUGUCAAAAAAUUCUUUUAUGAUUGUUUGACAGCCAAAUUUAGGGGUGAACACUAUGCUUAUUAUUGUAAUGAUAAAUUCUAUUAAGAUAAAUCAAGAUUUGGACGUUUCUAAUACCUUACCUACAUGUUUGUACUCUGUGUUGUUAGCCCUUUUAUUUUUAUUGAUUGCUGUUCAAUAUGAAUCUUUUUAAAUCAAUGGCUAUUGCAUGUGAUAACUUUAGCACCGAGCAUAACUUACCAGUGACCUAGAUGGAGGUUUUGGGUUGCAGGGUAAUGGAGCAAGAAAUAUUGAAAAGUCAUGGUAGAUUAAACAGUGUUGCUCGGGCCUUUGGACUUGGAUUGGAGCGGCAAGCAAUGGUUUGAUUUGACAUACCAGAUAUUCGUCUUUUUGGCUGAACUGAUGAGCGAUUUACCUCACAGCUAGCCUCUGAAUGUAGCUUCAUGAUUUGAAUGUUGAAGUUCACGGAUUCCUAAUUUAAUAUCUCCGCCCAAGUCUGAUUAAGCUACUUGACUGCAGUUUUCCGAAGGCCAAUUGGAGUAAAGUUUAAACCCUUUUCAAAGGUAUAAAUUAAGCAAAUGGUUUCUUUUGUUUCCACUGUAUAUUCCUUUUGUUAUUUAAUACCUAUUACAGAAACAUGACUUGACUCCUCCACAGUUUUUGCAGUAUUCUCCCUGUUAUAAAGACAUGAGUUUUUGGAUCAAUGAAUUAUUUAGUGAGAACAGUUCAUGUGAAGUUCUAAGAGGAAUAGCUGGGGAUCUUGUUGAAGAGGUAUGCAAUUUAAUAUUUUUAGCCAGAAAUAUCUUCUGAAGAUAUAAACAUGUUCACCUAUAUGGUAAAUUUGACUAACUGAAUGUUGUAUAGAGUACGUGUUAUCAGUUAAUAAAUAUUAUAAUUGUCCAAAUGAUGGACAAGGUAUUGACCUAGAUGAGUUUAUUUGAUUGACUUCCUUUAUGUCGUCCUUUAUAAACAGCAAAACAGAAAUAAAUGUUAUUAGAUUUCUAGUUUUUUUCUUAAUAUGACUUAUUUUUACCCCACAUAUGGGCUGUAUGAAACAAUUUAGGAGUAACCAGUGCAAAUGGAUAUGCAUGCUGAUUCAGCUCUUUUUAUAUAGAAAAAAAAAAAGGAAAGAAAUUGUCAGCCAGCCAGUGUUGUGUGUCCAGAGACAGUUAAGAGGAAUUUGUUCACCUAAAAUUUAAUGAAAAUGACUAGGACUCUAACCUUUGGAUAUUGGUAAAAUAUUUUCUCUGAAUCUGUGAUAGCAAUUGUAACCAUUUAAGCUCACUUAAAUAUUGAAGGCAGGAGUGGAUGGCUAGUUUGUUUCUUAAGGUGUCUUAUUGAUGUAGUAAGCAUAUUUUAAAUUCUACACAGAAAGAUCUUAUGCACCAUAUCAACAGGUUAAUGUUGUAAACGUUUGGAAGUUUUGUACAUGUUUAGCUUUAAUUAAACCGAGAUUAUCAUCUUAAAUCUUUCAACAAUCAUAAUUUGAAGAAUUUGAGGGUCUUGUUGAUAGGUCUGUUUGACAGAAAAUAUUUGUCUUGUGGCUACCAGGUGAGUUUGAUAGAUAACUUUACCAACAAGAAUGGAAUGAUAAGUCAUUGUUAUUGGAUUGCACAUUGCUCCAUGGAGCGCUCACUUGAGGUGCAGUUUGGGAAAUUGAGGGUCAGAGAUCAAAGACCGCCAUGGUUUGCAUUACACAUUUGAAUGUUUAAGAGAGAUUUGACUGGUAUCUUCAGCGGUCUAUUGAUUAAAAUAUCAUCUGGGAGUUGAGAGCCUGUCAAUUUGAUUAACUUUCUCUUCUUGAUCUUUUGUUUACCCUUAAAGACAUUGCAGCGCAGAAAUAUGAAGCUUAUACAAAUGCUGAAAUAAUGGAUGUCAAUGGGAUGGAUACAACAAUUUUAUUCUCAUUUUUAAUUUUUUUACUUUAUAUCUAUAUUAAUAUUUUUAAAUUUAUAUUUUUAUUUUUGUUGGGGGAGUUAAUGGGUUGAUCGGCCCAUAUUUACAACUUAAAAACUAAAAAAAUUUUGUUAUUAUGUUCGAUAAAAAUUUAAAAUUAUAUUUAUUUUCGUUUUUAUUUUAAAAUUUUAAAUACAUAUUUUUAUUCUUAUUCAGAUAAAAAGAUUAGAUUUUUCAUCGAAUUUGAAUAAAAACAAAGUCAUCAGAAACGAAAAUUCUUUUAUUGGAGAAAUUUAGCAGUUUAGAGGAAGCAAUUUUUUUGCGUUUUCGUCAAAGCUAGUUUGAAAGGACAACCAACACAAAAGUCCAAUUGGUGCAAAAGAUUAUUCCGACGGGCAUUGCCAACAUGGGAAGGAAUUAUUCGCGUGUGCAAUUUGGACAAAAAAUUGACUGAUUUUCAAAACAAGUAAGAAGGCCGAAAAAGAAUCCGAAAGCCUGAUAAAAGAAUUUGGCGUUUUGGGUUCCUCCUUUACUCCUUCGUUCUUUAAUCCUUCAGUCGAUUCAUACCCAAUUCUUCAAUCCUUCAGUCGAUUCCUAUCCAAUUCCAAUUCUGAUUUCAAAAAAUCCCAAAUCCGAUGAUCGAAAGGAAUUAAUUGACGAAGGACGAUCUCUUCUUGUUGGGUAAUUUCAAUUCGGAUUAGUCAAUCGUGGGUAAAAGUUAAAUGUAUUGGGCGUUUUAGACUUCUUGUUCAGGUGAGUACUGUAAAUAUUUUGUUAUUUGGAUAAAAAAUUUAAUUCCUUCUUUUUCUUACAUCAAUAGAAAUUUAUGAUUUGGGUAAACAAAUUGAGCAUUUAGCCUUUCAUGAGAGAAUGCUUGAUCUUGUCUAUGGAAAUUUAAUUAUGACACCAGUUAGUGUGUUGAUCACGUUUGUUUCAUUACCUUAAUUAAUAGUAAUAAGGAUUUUCACUCACUUAGUUUAAAACCUUCUUUCAAGUGAUUGGAGCAACAGUCGUGAAUGAGAAUUGAAGUUCAUCUUGCUUGAGGCAAGGAAUCUAUAAACCUUUUCUCUUGUUUCUGUUAAGAUGACUGAUUCAAGCGAGCCCCAGUAGCCAGGAAAAGAACCUCAGCAAUCUGAAACAGAACCUCAACAAUCUGAGCAAGGUAAAAUUUGUUCCUUUUUUUUAAUUCUUUUUAAAGGUGUAUAUGUAUAUUUACUUAUAUGGCUAACUCUUUGACUUUUCAGUCUGCAAUUUCUUUAGGAAGCCAACAAAGGGCAAAAAACCAUAAGGAAAAGGACAAUAAAUGAAUAUGAAGAUGAAGAUGAAGACUCCAGAAAUGGCACAUCUUUGUUUCACAAUCAGAAAAACGCUUUGAAGCCUGACUCUUUUCAACUGGAUCCUCCAGGAGUGCUACUCCCACUGAAUCAAAUACAGAAUCUGACAAACCGAUUUUCAAUUUGAGUCUUCGAAGGAAAUUCAAGUUCAAAAUGAUAGCAGAGCUAUGGCAACCUUAGAAACUGAGACUGAGUUUACAAAAGAUGCUCGCGCGAUACGCGAGGAAGUUUUUGGAGGCUUUGAAGGGGAAAAACACAAGCUGGGGGAGAGAAGUUGUAUAAAGGAAUGCAUGGCUAUGUGGAUCAUAAGGCUGGGUUUCGAAGAGAGCAAACAGUUGCCAGUGAGAAAGCAGGUGGCAUGGAUAGGGCUUUUGCCCACAUCUUCAGCAUUUGAUUAUCAGCCUGACAUCGGUAAAGACUACAAAGAAACUGGUUACUGUGGUUACGGAGAUUCAUGUAAGUUUAUGCAUGAUCGUGGAGAUUACAAGUCUGGAUGGCAGUUAGAGAAGGACCGGGAAGAAGCAGAGAAAGCAAGGAAGAGAAAUCUGGCUUUGGGUGGCGAUGAUGAUGAUGAUGAGGCAGGGGUAGACCAGAGUGAUGAUGACGAUGAUGAUUCGUUGCCCUCUGCAUGUUUUAGUUGCUGGCAACCUUUUGUGGAAGUGCAAGUACUACUUCUGCCAGCAUUGUGCUUUAAAGGUGCCCUCAAUGCCUUUUCACGUGGAUUAAUUUUUUUUAGUGUCUUUUUUGUGCUAGGUUAACAUCUAUUAGUUUUUGUUAUGUUUGUUGUUAAUGCAUCACUUAGAUGCAAAACUUUUUUGGUUACUUACAUACAAAGAAUAUUUUAUGUGGUCCAACUUUUUUCAGCUAUAGAAAUAGGACAUAUUUUAACUUUACAUCAUCAACUUUUGGUGCCUCAUGUCAGUAUAAUUUACAUUUUUAUUCUCAUUCGAAUGUAAACUAACCAACUGCAUCUUUUGGUUUUUUCAGCAUCACACAAAGAACAAACAAGUGCUUUAUGUGCAACCAACCCACCCUUGGCAUUUUCAAUACUGCUCAUGAGAUACGUAGAAAGAUGGCUGAAGAGGGUAACGAUAAGUCCAUUGAUGCUUUUUUUCAACUCCUGCUGCCAUUAAUAUUUUUAUUUCUUUGUUUUGCCAUUUUAGUGGAAAGAUUUACUUGUCUGCAUACCUUAUUGAACAAAAUGUAUUCCGAGCUAGAUCUUGGGGGGAAUUUUGGAUUAUGCAGUGAUGAGCUCUUUAAAAUCAUUGUUGCUGCUGGAAUUGGUGUUUUUUUACCAAGUAUUUAGGUAAGUAUUGUUUCUGUGUCUGCUGCCACUGCUGCCUUUUGCCCAUGACGUAACAUUUCUACCUCGAGAUAGCAGUGCAAUGCAGUAAUCAACUUUCCAAGAAUCAGCAUUCCAACUUCACAACCUUCACAAUGGCCGAGAAUUCAUCUUGAUCAUAUCAAAAUCCAUGUCUAGAUGACACAUUCUGGUAGGGUCAUGAUCUAGGAAGGAUGUUACUUCACAGAGUUUAAGGCUGUAGGAUUGCUGAUAGUUUCAGUUGGGUAGGGACAGCUAAUAGAACCUGUGAUUUUUGUGCUGUCCAAGUCCAAAGCAUAGAAAGCUUUAAUGAACAGUUUCUUCCUUGAAAAAACAGUUUCCUGCAUUUAAGACAAAAAAAAUUAUGAAAUCAGCUACCAAACCUAAACUUAAAUUCAAGAUAUUGUAAUCUUUGGCUCUUAACAGCUGAUGUAUACUCAUCAUAUUCUUAGUAUGACCUUUAGUUUCCCUUUUUACCCUCUAUAGUUGUUAGGGAAAUUAAAACACCAUCAAAGUUAGUUUGGAAUUGUCGAGCUUGAGACCUGGAAACCAGAAGCUUUCUUCUAUUCCUUUUCAGUGUUUUUAUGGUGAUGUAGCAUCUUAGCUUGAUCUUGGUCUGUUGUCGACAAUUAUUCUGUGUUAGUAGAUGCAAUUAACUUCUUGUUUGGCAAUUAACGUGGUUACGCCUAGUCAUUGUUGUACAUGCCAUGGCUGGUAUAUCUUCUUGCACUGCAAAGUGUGUUGAGUCAUUGAUUAUCCUGAUCUGCUGGUCGAAAGGGCUGCUUUGGUGCCUGAUACAAUCUCUGUUCAAACUAGUGAUCUCCUCUGUUACCCAAUACAAAUUUCCAUGUCCCACCUUGGAUGGGUUUUCACUUUUCAACACAGCUGUCAUUUUUGCUCUGACUGGACAAAAAUGUUUAGCCGAACAUCAGUUUUGUAAGAAACAGAUAAGCAGAACAAGCUUUAGUCAGGAAGUCAUAUCCUUUCUGGAACUGUAUUUGGCAACCCAUGCUUUCCUUUUCCUAGUAUCUUCUCAAAUCAUUGGCCUGACAAUUCAAACGAUGAAGUUACUCCAUUUUGUUAGAAACAAUCAAGUUUUGUAUGCAGUAAACUCAAUGUUGACCAGGAAUAAGUGAUUGAGAGUAAAGGGAAAAAUCAUAAGAAAAUUACUGGAUGCUCUUUUUCAUAAACAAAGAUUUUACCACUAACCUUUUUCUAAAGAUAAAAUUAAAUCAUAUUAAUCAAGUCCACAUUAAUAAUUAAGAAUGGCAUUCACAUAACUUUCAAGUUGUUAAAAGUUUCUUUGUAUUGCCCACAUGUUUUUGUUUAGUGAAGGUCUAUUCUAUAUGGAUAUCAAUCGGAUAGCAAUAGCAAUAGCAAUAGAGCUUACAAAAAGCCAUUUGUUUUUGUCUGUGUGGGAGUCCAGAAGCAGAAAAACAAAGGAUGAUACGGGAUUAAAGUUAAGAAAAUAAUAAAGGAAAUAUUUAAAUCUCUCUCGCCAUAGUCAAAUCUAUAGUUAUUAGGGGCAAUGAAAUAAUAUCCUUUGGAAUUGUCGAGCUUUAUACCUGGAACUGGAAGCUUUGUUCUUUUUUCUUCUUUCUCUGUAGUGAUGUAGUAGCUAAUACAGGAAUAAAGCAUCUUAGCUUGAGCUUGGUCUGUAAAGAUUUUUCUGUGUUAGCAGAUGAAACUUCUAGUUUUGGCAGUUAAAGUAGUAGGCAUAGUCAUUUUUGUACAUGCCAUGGCUUGUAUCAGAUUCCUGCAAUGCAAAUAGUUGAGUUGAAUCAUUGAUUUCGUUAAUGUAAUUCUUGGUUGUUAAUGUAAUUCCUGGUCUGGUAGUCGGAAAGUCCUACUGGAGGUUGAGAGGAGAGUAUGUGUGACCUGUCACAGAAUAGAAAGUCAGGGGUGCCGAACAUGUUAUUUUGAGGCAUGCUCCGACGCACAAGAUAAGAUAGUAAGAUACACCAGAAGCAAGAAAAUGUAAAAGAGCAGGAAGUAGUUAAAGAGAGUAAAGAGGGUUGAGUAGUCAAUCACCUAACUCGUCUGAUUUACUUUUAUACCUCUUGGGUAAUAAUGUGGCAAACUGGGCUUUCAUGUGUAAAACCUAUUAUGUGAUUGCUGACAUGACCACUUAGAUAUAAUAAUACUGAAGAGCUUAAAAAAUAAUAAGAUUUUCCUUAAGAAAAUUUUUUGGAUAAAUGAUUUUUAUUAAUCCAAAAAAAGCAGUAGACCUGCUACAAAUAAACAGUAGGCUAUCAAGACCUUACAAACGUCAAAGAGCAACCUAAUAAAGUAAACUAAUUAAACUAAGCAACAUAGAGGAACCAGUCCCCAAUUCAGACACAUUCUUUUUUGCUAAGCCAGAAAUUAGUUAAUAAAAACAGAGUUACACAACAGGGGAACCCCAUAACUCAGCAGUAGAACACCAACCUAUAGAUAGAACAGAAGAGAAGCACAAUACAACCAGACAUUACCUUCAAUCAUCCUCGAGCAUAAGAGAAAGAACUGAGACACAAAUACCAUAACACCAGGCCAAAAACAUUCAGGCACAAUUUCUGUUGUUGAAAAAGGAAGAGUGAACUGGAGACUGCAAUCCUGUUAUUGAAUCGAAGCCAAAAGGAACUUUUGAUAGCUGAAACAAUAGCAUCUAUAUAUCUAGAUGGCCUGCCAAACUUCCUUUGAUUGUGCUCCUGCCAAAUAAAAUAUAUAUGAGCAUUCCAAGUCAAUCUAAGGAAAAUAAAUGCCAAAACUUUGCUCUUAAAAUGGCCGACAGCCCCAAUCUAACUCUAAAUACCAGUCACCCACAGGUCUUGUACAAAUUACUAACUUGAAAAUUAAUUUUCAUUUGUAAAAUGAGGUUAGGAAAUUCAAAGGACUUCCUAGUUUGCAGGCAAUUUUUUUUACCAAGUUUCAAAAAGGGAACGAGACAUAAAGUUGAAAUGUUCUUGAAUUAAAUUUUGAAUGCAAUCACUUUAGUAAGUUAUUAGUUAGUUAGUGCAGAUAAAUGACAAUAUAAGAGAGCAUUUAAAUAAUUUUAUUUUUUUAGGCUACAGUUCACAGAAUCAGUAACAAAACUUUUGAGUUAUUAAGUAUUCUAGAAUGCUUACCAAAUGACAUUGAAACUUGAAUUUUGAUUGAGUCACCUUGAUCUUCUCCAUUUUCGAUUCCAAUUCCGUGUAAACCUUUCCAACCAUUUGUUCCCCAACUCAUUCAGCACUGUAUAUCCAGUACAUAAUCCAAUGACCAAUCCACAUCCAUACCCUAUCAACACAAUUUUCCUGUCAGAUAAACCAUCUACCCAUGAAUCUGCAUCUUCCUUAGGGGUUGGCAUUCCAGGACCAUCUUGAUUGCAUUUCCUUGUCAGAGGCAGCCCACAUAAUCUUGGAUUCCCUUUGUUAAGAAUCGUUUGAAAAUGUACCGAAUGUAGCCUUUGUGGUAUGCUUCCCUCAAGUUGGUUUGUAAGAGAGCAUUCAAUACUUUCAAGAAAUGUUAUGGCUUGUAAGCUGUAGAGGAAUCCUUCCAGAGAGUUUGUUUUUGGGAGAGGAUCCAACGACUCAAGCCUCAGUUAACGUUUUCAAGUGCUAAAGGAAUUGGGCCAAGGAGCUGUUGAAGAUAAGUUUAGGCACUUUGAGCUGACUUGGGAGGUUUGUAUUUCGUCAUGGUAUUUCUCCCUUGGAAACUAUUAUGGAAAGGUCAAGACAAGAUAAGGAUGGUUAAGAUUUUCUCGUAAAAAAUUACAAACCCUUUAUUCACAAUUGUUACAGAGUCUGGUAGUAAUCAUCUCCAAUAUAAUCUGGCUUAGCUCUGUUGCCAUCAGUCAUCAUUCUCAUUGCCUUCAAAGAUUGAAAAAAUCCAACGGAUAACUCACCUGAAAAGUUAUUGGAAGCAAGGUCUAGUAUGUGUAACUCUGGCAAAGUAUCUUCAUCCCCAAAAAUUUUAAUUGGACCAUAAAAUCUAUUUGCUCUUAGUACAAGAACUUUCAAAAAAGGCAAUUUCACCAACCAAAAAGGAAAUGUGUCCUGUAUCAUAUUUUUUCCAAGGUCCAAAACUUCAAGAUUUCUGCAAUUGGCUAAUGACCUCGGCAACUUCCCUUCCAACUUAUUCUCACUGAUUAUGAGUGACCUUAGUUCAGUGGUUUGAAAGAAUUCAAUUGGUAAUUGCCCAGAAAAAUUAUUAAAAGCAACGUCUAACACAUCCAAGUCUUGAAAAUAAUUUUUCACAUGUUUAAUUGGACCGUAAAACCUAUUUGCUCUCAAUAUAAGAACCACCAACCAAGGCAAUUUUCCCAACCACGAAGGGAAUGUAUCAUACAAAGUAUUGUUUCCAAGGUUUAAAACUUCGAGCAUUGUGCAAUUGGCCAAUGAUCUUGGCAACUUUCCUUUCAAUUUAUUGUCAUUGAGUUGAAGCCAAUAUAAUUGGGUUGCUUUCGCAAAAUCCGGUAUGUUGCCGCUGAAAUUAUUUUUCUGUAGAUCCAAAGAUCUGAGAGAACUGAUAUUGCCCAAGCAACUUGGGAUUGGCCCACUUAAUUUGUUAAAGGAUGCAUUAAAGGUCUCAAGUUGCCUCAAAUUGCAAAUAGGUCUUGAUAAAGAGCCUUGUGAAGAAGUUAGAGAUUGGUUGAGCGAAAAUUGGUCCAAAGAUGAGAGAGAAUUGUUAGAAAGAUCCAGAUACCACAAACUUUUCUUCCACACCCAGUUUGGUACUGCACCACUUAUUUUGUCAUUUGAAAGGUCAAGAUCUUUUAAACUAGUUUGACUCUUUAAAAACUCUGGAAACAUACUUAGGUUACAGAAUCGUAAACGCAAGUAACUCAACAUUGGAAAAGAGGAGUUUGCAUCACCAAAAGGAACAUCUGUUGGAAAAUCAAUCGUAUUGAAAGAAAGGUCUAAACUCAAAAGAGUGGUCUUGCACAACCAAUUAGGCACAAAACCAUGGAUUUGGUUGUCAGGAAGAUAUAGAAAAGCCAACUUGUCUUGUGUUUUGAUGAAUUCUGGAAAUUCAGUAAGGUUGCAUGAGUGUAGAUACAGCAUCUCUAAUUGGGGAAAAGCAAGGCUUGUGAUGUUGCCUUCAAUUGAUAAAUUUAUAUUGGAAAGUUGAAGACAACUUAAGUUCUUGAGUUGGAAGAAUACGUCGAGCUUUACGCAACUAAAGCUAUUGAAGCCUAAAUACAAUACUUCAAUCAAUGAAGAAGACGCAAUGGGGAUCUCACGAAUUUCACCAACCAAUUGAUUUACUUCAAGAAGCAAUGUAUGCAAUGAUGGGAGAGUAAAUAACGAAGAAUGUAUUGAUCCAGAGAGGUGGUUCCCCCACAAACAAAGAUAUCCAAGAUUUGGAACUCCAGAUCUAUGAAAUGGAGGGAUUAAACCACUGAAAUUAUUAUCUCCUAAAUUCAGUUCCACAAGGUUUGUGAGAUUUGCAAUUGAUGAUGGAAUUUGUCCAAAGAAAUUGCCAUAAAAAAGAUUUAAAUUUGUCAAGAACUUGAGAUUACCAAUUGAUUCUGGUAGUUUUCCACUGAAAUUUGUAUCAGAAAUCGUUAAGAUCCGUAAAGCAUUGUUUGAUGGAAAUUCUGGCAACUGACCUCCAAGAGCGUAAUUAUUUGAAAUGUCAAUGCUUUCUAUUUUUGGCAACUUGAGAAUUUCUGUUGGAAAAUGCCCACUCAAAUUGCAAUUCACUAAACUGAGAGAAAUCAAACGAGAGGAAAUUUCCAACAAAUUGGGAGGUAAAUAAGAGAUCGGGUUCCUACCAAGGAAAAGUUUGGAAAGAAAAGGAAGUCUUGAGAGUGAAGAACAAAAUGGACCUGUCAACCCACAAUUCGACAGACUUAACACAUGCAAGUUAGGAAGUAUUAUGGAUGUGGUCUCACAGCAUUCACUACUUUGAGUUGAAAUGUUCACACUAUCCAAAUAGAGGUCUGUAAGAGGUCUCAAAUUUUGGAUUAAUGACUUGAAGUUUGGGUUUUCUAGUUUCAGAGGUUGUUGAAGGUUGUCAGGAAGAUCAUCGUACCAGAAAUUUGGAUCAAGAAUUUGAUUAUACCGUAGAUAGCAAGAAUCUUGAUUAGAUAGAUCAAGAGAAACUAACCUUAUUAAGUAUGAAAUCUCCACUGGAAUUUGGCCAUGGAAACAUGAGUUUGAAAGGUCGAGAUGAGUUAAAUUUGGGAAUCUAUCAAACUCAUAUUGAAACAGAGUAGUAUUAAAAUUGUUUCCAGCAAGAUUAAGGCGUUGAAGAUGAUGGAGAUUGAAAAUGGAGUGAAAGCUGCCUGAAAAGUUUUUGUAACUGAGAUCAAGUUCAAUCACAUGACCCAAAGCAUCACAUGUAAUUCCUUUCCAAGAGCAACAGUCAGUGUUGGGAUCCCAAAGCUCAACUUUGGAAGAGAAAGUAAAAUUUGGGGCAUAGUAAAGAUCAUGGUGCAAUUGUAGCAGAGCAGAUUUCUGGUGAUGAAGGCAUUGGUUUUGGAGAUCAGGAGGGGAAAAAGAUAACACAAGAGAUAUAGAGCAUGAGAAGAGAAACAAGGUAGGAAAAAUGAGUGAAAUUAGGAUAUGAAGAUUCUUCAUUUUUUGUUGGCUCUCUAUAAAGAAAAAAUGAAGGGAAAACUAUGGAGUUUGAGAUUUGCUUACACGUUAUUUAUAGACAAGUACUUCAUAUUAGGUACUGUUAUUGUAGCUACAUAUCUCCCUUGAUCUCAAGAGAUAAGUUCAAAUGCGUUUUUCCAACCACGUGUUUGUACAAAUCAUGAGUUUGAGCUAUUUCUAUAAGAGUUGAAUCAAAAUAGGUGGAAGACAGACAUAUUUAUUGCUUGUCCAUUUUGAAUUUUAAGGAAUGAAUAAUGGGUCAAUGGUGAUAAGGCUUAUAGUUUUGCUUUUGUAAAUUAAUCUUUAUCACUAUAUCUUUUCUUUUCUUCCACUUUUUAUUUCAUAUUAUGCAUUCGUACAAAUAACAAUUAAAUAAAAAAUUAAUUUUCUCAAAAGAAUGAAAAUUUUCACUAAGCUUUGCUCAUCUAUCAACUUGUCUGAAAGAGUAAUCUUACAAAGAUUUAUCAAUCAAAUCAAUUCUAUUAUUAAGGACAAAGGAAGAUGCAAGGCUAUGGGUGAGUUGUCAUGAACACCUCCAAACAUGGAAGGAGAAGAAAUUUCGAAAGAGAAUUUUUCAACAUCUCUAAUUUUUUAAUUUUUUUCAUCCAUGAAAUUAAUAAAUACAAUUAUAUAAUAAACACAGUAAACUCAAAAACGAUUGAACCUCCAAUGUUUUUGGCAACACAAUGACAGAUUUGCAAGAAAAAAAAAUCAAAGUUUUAAAAAAUGCUGACUGCUUUUUUUUUUUUUUAUGAGUAGACAAUUUUCAAUAAAAUAAAAUCAUGUAAUAUGAAUAAUAUAUUAUUUUAAUUUUUAUAUUUAAUUUUUAUAUAUUUUAAAUGAAUAUUUUUGAAAAAAUUUUUGAUUUCACCACUGAUUAUGAAAUUAUACGAAAUUCUUUUUUUGAAAAUUCUAAGUUGUUUCUUCUUCUUAAUGGGAAAGCUUGAACCUCCUUUUGGUAUCCUCGAUCAACUUCCUCAUAUAUAUCAAAUUUUUUUAUCCAAAUAAGCAUUAAAAGAAAAAGGGAUAUGAUCGUUUGGUGCAUUUUUAAUUUGUUGCAAUCCCACCUAACAUCUUGUAAUAUGGCAGCACAUAUGUUGUAAUUAAGAACAUUGCCUACCUAACCUGAAAAUCUAGAGCAAAAGUAUGAAUGAAAUGAAACGAGGGCAAAAGAUGAAAGCAAGGAGGAAACAUCCAGCCAACAGAGUGCAAGUGCUGAAACUGAGUUUCCAUGUAUUCAGUUCCCUGGUCUAUUGAUGUCAAGUCAGAGAUUAAUGGAUGCCUUUGGUUUUUAUAUUUUUCAAUAAAUGAAUUGAAAUUUUAAAAAAUAGUAAAAGAAAAAAAAUACAAACCAAACGAAAUCUAAAUUAUAUUUUUCAGUUAGGGUUUUUAUUUUUUUUAAUAAAUGAAUUGAAAGCAAAAAAUAAAUAGUAAAGGAAAAAAAUCCAAACCAAAUGAAAUCUAUAUUAUAAUUAAUCAUCUUAAAUAAUUAGCAAUUAAUUGCUUGAUGGAAUCUUAUCUAUAAGAAUUGAGAAAGCACAAUGAAAGAGUCAAGAUGUUGAUGGUAGUAUUCAAUCAGAUACUUAAAUUUUUAAUUAUUCAAAAAUAAUAGGAUCUAAAUUUUUGAUUAUUUGAAAAUAAGAGGAUGAAAGAUAAACUUUAGGAUUUGAAAAUUAUCUUUUUUUUUUUCCAAAGUCCUUGAAUCAAUUGAAACAUCAGAGAAAAAUAUGUGUUCUUCAAAUUUUUUUUCUCAAAAUUUUCAACAAAAGUAAAACAUGUUUUUCAAUUUGUUGAUUAGGCAACUUGUUUCUCUUGCUUUUAUUUGUAAUAUACUAUUAGAUUUAAUGGCAAUUGUAUUUUUUAAUUAUAUGAACUUUUUGUUUUUUAACAUAUCGGAAUAUAUAACAAUCCUCCAACUUCAUAAAUUUCACAUAAUUUAUAGAUAUUUAUAUAUAUUUAUAUAUAUUAUUAGUAGAGUUUUAAAGUUUUAUAAAUGGUGCUAAUAUAUUAUCACAUGUUUUAUUUUUUUUAUAAUUUUUAAUAUAUAAUAUAUGUUGUUUAUUACUUGAAAGCUUAUCUUGAUAUAUAAUCACGCAAAUCUUUCAGAAAUGGAUUAUUGAAAAUUUUCUUCCUUAAAGUCUUGUUUGCUUGCCGUUUAUUUUCAUUUGUAUGGACACAAUGUUUAAUCAUAAUAAACAAAAUAUUUUCUAUGUAAAGAAAAUUAACAAAAAAAAAAAAACUAAAUAACUACCACUUGACAAUCCGCACAUUUAUUUUGACAUUUCCAAUGAUCCGACGACCUUACCACUUCCAAAUUAAAUUAAAUUUUUACUACCUCAUAUAACUCGAGCAUUUAAUAAAUGAAAUAUGUUCUAAUUGUAAAAACUAAGGUAGAUAUAAUGCUCAAUUGAACGAGUCUUAAAUAUCAUUGUUGCUGCAGGCAUAUGCAUUAGUAUUUAUGCAUGUGAGCUUUUUUUUUUUGUGUUAUUAAUUUUUACAGAGUUUAAGAAAAAAACUUUGAUUUUAAUAUUUUUAAGAUUAAAAUUUAAUUUUUUUAUAAGAUUAAAGUUUCAUGAUUUUUAAUGUCAAAAAGUUAAAAAAAAAUCAUAAAAAAUAAUUUUAAAAUAUAAAAAAGUAAGAGUUUGAGUUAUUCCAAUAAAGAAAGAUGAUAUAAUUUUGAGAUAUCUAAAACAAAAAAAAAAAACAAGAGACUGUGGGAAUACUAUAUUUAGACAUUACCAUUAGAAUCAUUAAUAAGUUCUCUAUAGUAAAUGAUGAUAAAACUUUAUUAUAAAUCAAAUUAUAAAUGAAAGAAUAAACUUAAAAAGAGUUACAUAUAUGUCGAACUUUGGAUAGUUAUAAAUCACGAAGUAAAAGUUUAAAAAAAAUUUAGCAUAAUUGUUAAAGUAAAAUAUGUAUUGUAAUGUGAGAAUCUAAUAUCGAGUGUCAUAUCAUAUCGUAAAUAUUAUAAAUAGUUUUUAUAAUUUUUAAAAUUAAUUAUAAAUAAUAUAUAUAAAUCAAAUAAAAGUUUUUAAAACAUACUCUACAUAUUAAUGGGAUUAAGUGAUUAAUGGACAUAAAUAUAAAAUAUGAUUAUUUUUCAAACUUUCAUCACAUUCUGUUUUCAAAAAUAUAUAUAUAUAUUUGAUAUGUUGUUAAUUUAUAAAUAUUAUAUGCUAUAUGUGAAUCACAAAAGAAAUUUCUAAAUACAUUCCCAUUUUGUCUCUCCACACCCUUUGUAUUUCAAAAUUAUUUUAAAUGAAAUUAUUUAAUUACUCUUUCUCUUUUCUCUUCACACUUCUUCUACUUUUAAGCUUUUGGAUUUACAAAAUUCAAAAACUUUUAAGAGUUUUCAUAGUUGUAAAUCUAGAAGCUCUUAAAAGCCUCUAGAUUUGUAUAUCCAAAAGCUUUUAAAAGUUUCCGGAUUUGCAUAUCUAGAAGCUUAAAAUUUUCUAUAAGAUAUUUUUUCUUAACUAUUUUUUUUUUAGAACCUAAAUGUAACUUUUUUUUUAACUUUUUGGAUAUUAAAAUCUAGUAAGUUAUAAAAUUAAAACAAGAUGGAUAAACAAGUAAUUUCACUUAAAAAGUAAAAAAAAAAGUGGAUCUAAAGAAAAAAUGAUGGUGCACUUAGAAUCACCCAUCACAAAAUUAUACUUUAUGAAAAAAAUUGAUAUUUUAAUUUUGGACUCAGAAAGAAAAUAAUAGUAUGAGUUUUUUUAUUGGUAUUUAUCUUUUAUUUGUUUCACAUUUUUAAGUCUUCCCAUCUUGCAAAUGUCUAAGUCUUCUUAUCCCAUCAUUAUUACUCUAUGAAAAAAAAAAAAAAACAAUUUUUAACAAUUUGCUUAAGUUAAGUCUAUUUUUGUAAAAAGACAAAAAAAAUAACAAUUUUCUCGAUGGAGGUUUUCUUUUCUUUUCUAGUUAAAUUGGCAUAUUGAGAAUGGAUCUUAAGUAUAUUUAUUAUUAUUAUUAUUAUUAUUAUUAUUAUUAUUAUACUUUAGUCUUUCUAAUGACUUAGACUGAAGCAACUGCUAAAAUUAUUAUUUUUGUGAAGUAAAAAUGGGGGCAAAAAGACUAACAUUUGCAUGCUUAAUGCCAAGACUAAGUAUAAAGCAAAGACUAAGACUUAGACCAAUACAUUCCUAUAGUAUCUAUUAUUUUCUUUCUUAUUCCACCAUUAUAAAAUCCUAAUUUCCAAAAUAGAUAAGUUUGAGAAGUGAGAAUGAAUAUGUUCUUUAGAUUUUUUUUUUUUCAAAACUUUCAACAAAAAUAAAACACAGGUUUUUAUUUUGUUGAUUUUUUUUUUGCCAAUCAAUUUGUUGAUUAAGCAACUUGUUUCUCAUGUUGUUGUUCCUAAUAUACUAUUAGAUCCAUGGUGUGCUCCUUUUUUUUAUUUUUCUUUUUGUUUUUAUUGUUAAUAUAUCUUUAAAGAUCCUAUGAUUUAGAAAUUCAAUGAACCAAUAACCAUGCAGUAUGUUAGUAAAAUGCUAAACUCUUAGUUUUAGUAGUUUAAAAUUCAAAUCUUGACAACCUCACAAGCCAAAAAAAAAAAAAAAAACAAUCUUCUAAUUUCACAAAUUUUAUAUAUACAAGAUAACUUAUAUAUAUAUAUAUAAAACAAUUUCUUCACGUAUGAUUAAUACAUGAUUUAAAUUUUAUAAAUGGUAUUAGGUUCUCAUACUUUUUAUACGUAAGAUAUUUUCUCUUAACUCUUUUCUUUUUCAAACCUAAUUGUAACUUUUUUAACAUAUCGAAUAUGAAAAUUCGGUAAGUUAUAUAACUUAUAAAAAAUGUAUAUCUAGAAGCUUUAAAAUUAAAAUGAGAUGGAUAAAUAAGUGAUUUUACUUAAAAAAUUAAAAAAAAAAGUGUAUGUAGAGAAAAAAAAUGGUGUACUUAGAAUCACCUAUCACAAAAUUAUACUUUAUAAAAAAAUUGAUAUUCUAAUUUUGGACCCAUAAAGAAAAUGAUAGUAUGAGAUUUUUUUAUUGGUAUUUAUUCUUUUCUUUGCUUUAUACUUUUAAGUCUUCUCAUCAUGCAAAUGUCUAAGUCUUCUUGCGCCAUCAUUACUCUUGUGAAAAAUAAUCUUCUUAGCAGUUUGCUUAAGAUAAGUCUAUCUUUUAAAAAAGACAAAAAAAACAUAGCAAUUUUCUUAAUGGAUGUUGUCUUUUGUCUUUCAGUUAAAUUAACAAACUGAGAAUGGAUUUUAAGUAUAGCAAUUAUUAUUGUUAUAUUUUAGUAUUUUUAAUUACUUAGACUGUAGCAACGACUAAGAUUAUUAUUUUUUUGAAGUAAAGAUGAAUUUUUGUGAAGUAAAGAUGGGGGCAAAAAGGCUAACACAUUUGCAUGUUUGAUGCCAAACUAAGUAUAAACUGAAAACUAAGACUUAGACCAAUACAUUCCCAUAGUAUCUAUAGAUUUCUUUCUUAUUCCACCGUUAUAAUGUCACAAUCUCCAAAGUAGACAAGUUUGAGAAGUGAGAAUGAAUGUGUUCUUUAGAUUUUUUUGUUCAAACUUUUCAACAAAAAUAAAACAUAGGCUUGUAAUUUGUUGAUUUCUAUUUUUUUUUUGCCAAUCAAUUUGUUGAUUAAGCAACUUGUUUCUAAUGCUUUUGUUCCUAAUGUACUAUUAGAUUUCAUGGAAUGUACAUUUUUUUUAUUCUUAGUAUAUUUUAAAUAGAUCCUCUGAUUUAAAAAUUUAAUAAGCCAAUAACCAUGCAGUAUGUUAGUUAAAAACUAAACUCUUAGUUUAAAUAGUUUAAAGUUCAAAUUCUAACAACUUCACAUACAAAAAAAAAAAAACAAUCUUUUGAUUUCACAAGUUUCAUGUAUGUUUCGAUUUCUUCACAUAUGAUUUAUAGAGGAUUUAAAUUUAUAAAUAGUAGUAGAAUCUUAUGCUCUUUAUCAAAUAUUUUCUGUCAACUAUCUUUUUCCAAACCUAAAUGUAACUUGUUUUAAGGGCUACCUGGCUAUGAAAAACCAUAUGUUCUAUAACUAUUCAUUAAAUGCCAUAUCUAGAAGCUUUAAAAAUUAAAUGAGAUGCGAUAACUAGGUAAUUUCACUUAAAAAUAAAAAAAAAGUAUGAUGUAGGGAAAAAUGAUGAUGUAUUUAGAAUCACCCAUCACAAAAUUAUACUUUUAAUAAAAAGUUGAUAUUUUAUUGUAGGACACACAAAGAGAAUGAUAGUAUUGAGACUUUUUUAUUGGUAUUUAGUCCUUUCUCUGCUUUAUUCUUCUAAGUCUUCUCAUCAUUGCAAUGUCUAAGUCUUCUUGGCCCAAUUAUACUCUAUGAAAAAAAAUAAUGAUGGGCAAAGAAAACUAAACAUGUGCAUGAUGGGAAGACUUAAAAUUAUAAAGCAAAGCAAAGACUAAAUACCAAUAAAAAAAAUCUCAUACUAUCAAUUUCUUUGCAAGUCCAAAAUUAGAAUAUCAAUUUUUUUAAUAAAGUAUAAUUUUGUGAUGGGUGAUUCUAAAUACACCAUCAUUUUUUUCUCUACAUUUACUUUUUUCUUAAUUUUUAAGUGAUAUUACUUAUUUACCCAUCUCGUUUUAAUCUUAAAGCUUCUAAAUAUGCAUUUUUGAUAAGUUACAUAACUUAUCAGAUUUUCAUAUCCGAUAAGUUAAAAAAAGUUACAUUUAGGUUUGAAAAAAAAGUUAAGAGAAAAUAUCUUAUAAAAAGUAUGAGAUUCUAAUACUGUUUAUAAAAUUUAAAAACUCCAUUAAUCAUAUGUGAAGAAAUUGAACUAUAUAUAUAAAUAAAUUAUCUCGUAUACAUGAAAUUUGUGAAAUCAAAAGAUUAUCUUUUUUUUUUUUGUAUGCGAGGUUGUCAAGAUUUAACUUUAAACUACUGAAAUUAAAAAUCCAACAUUUUACCAACAAACUACAUGGUUAUUGGCUCAUUGAAUUUUUAAAUUAGAGGAUCUUUUUAAAAUAUAUUAACAACAAAAAAAACUAAAGAAAGAAAUACAUAUACCAUGAAAUCUAAUAGUACAUUAAGAACAAAAAGAUGAGAAACAAGCUGCUUAAUCAACAAAUUGAUUGGCCAAAAUAAUCAAUAAAUUAAAGGCCUGUGUUUUAUUUUUGCUGAAAAGUUUGAAAAAAAAAUCUAAAGAACACAUUCAUUCUCACUUUAUAAACUUGUCCAUUUUGGAAAUUGUGAUUUUAUAAUGGUGCAAUAAGAAAGAAAAUGAUAGACACUAUAGGAAUGUGUUGGUCUAAGUCUUAGUCUUUGCUUUAUACUUAGUCUUGACAUCUUUUUACACCCAUCUUUACUUCACAAAAGCAAUAAUCUUAGUAGUUGCUUCAGUCUAAAUCAUUAAAAAGACUAAAAUAUAACAAUAAUAAUUAAUAUACUUAAAAUCCAUUCUUAGUCUACUAAUGAAAGUGGAAGAUAAAAGAUAACUUCCAUUGAAAAAAUUGCUAUGUUUUUUUUUUAAUCUUUUUUAAAAGACAUAUUGGACUUAAGCAAACUGUUAAGAAAAUUAUUUUUCCACAAGGUAAUGGUGGGGCAAGAUGACUUAAACACUUGCAUGAUGGGACAACUUAAAGUAUAAAGUAAUGAAAAGAAUAAAUACCAACAAAAAAAAAACUCAUAUUAUCAUUUUCUUUGUGAGUCCAAAAUUAGAACAUCCAUUUUUUUUAUAAAAGUAUAAUUUUGUGAAGGUCGAUUCUAAAUACACCAUCAUUUUUUUUCUACAUAUACUUUUUUUUUUAAUUUUUAAGUGAAAUUACUUAUUUAUCCAUCUCAUUUUAAUUUUAAAGCUUCUAGAUAUACAUUUAUGAUAAGUUAUAUAACUUAUUAAAUUUUCAUAUCUGGUAAGUUAAAAAAAGUUAUAUUUAGGUUUAGAAAAAAAUAAUUAAAAGAAAAUAUCUUAUAGAAAGUAUGAGAUUCUAAUACCGUUUAUAAAAUUUAAAUCCUUUAUUAAUCAUAUGUGAAGAAAUCAAUAUAUAUAUGUGUGUGUGCGUGUAUAUAUAUAUAUAUAAUUAUCUCAUAUACAUGAAAUUUGUGAAAUCAUAAUAUUAUCUUCUUUUUUUUUUGUAUGUUAGGUUAUGAGGAUUUGAACUUUAAACUAUCAAACUAGGAAUUCAAUAUUUUACUAAUAAAUUACAUGGGUAUUGGCUCAUUGAAUUUUUAAAUCAGAGAAUCUCUUUCAAAUAUAUUAACAAGAAGAAAACUAAAAAAAUAAAAUAAUGCGGACACCAUGAAAUCUAAUAGUACAUUAGAAAUAAAAACAUGAGAAACAAGUUGCUUAAUCAACAAAUUGAUUGGCCAAAAAAAAAACCAACAAAUUAAAAACCUAUGUUUUAUUUUUGUUGAAAAGUUUGAAAAAAAAAAUCUAAAGAACACAUUCAUUCUUACCUUUGAAGCUUGUCUAUUUUGAAUAUUGUGAUUUUAUAAUGGUGGAAUAAGAUAGAAAAUGAUAGAUACUAUGUGAAUGUAUUGGUUUUAGUCUUUGCUUUAUACUUAGUCUUGGCAUCAAAUAUACAAAUGUGUCAAUCUUUUUGCCCCUAUCUUUACUUCACAAAAAUAAUAAUUUUAGUAGUAGCUUCAGUCUAAGUCAUUAAAAAUACUAAAAUAUAACAAUAAUAAUCAAUAUACUUAAAAUCUAUUCUCAAUCUACUAAUUUUACUGGAAGACGAAAGAUAACCUCUAUUGAGAAUAUUGCUAUGUUUUCGUAAGAUUUUUUUUAACUAUUUUUUUUUCUAAACCUAAAUGUAACUUUUUUUAACUUACUGAAUAUGAAAAUCCGGUAAGUUAUAUAAUUAUCAAAAUAUAUAUCUAGAAGCUUUAAAAUUAAAAUGAAAUGGAAAAAUAAGUGAUUUCACUUACAAAUUUUAAAAAAAAAAGGUGUAUGUAGAGAAAAAAAUGAUGGUGUUUUUGGAAUCACCUAUCACAAAAUUAUACUUUAUAAAAAAAAUUGAUAUCUAAUUUUGGACUUACAAAGAAAAUGAUAGUAUGAGAUUUUUUUUAUUGAUAUUUAUUCUUUUCUUUGCUUUAUACUUUUAAGUCUUCCUAUCAUGUAAAUGUCUAAGUCUUCUUACCCCAUCAUUACUCAAUCGAAAAUAAUUUUCUUAGCAGUUUGCUUAAGUCAAGUCUAUUUUUAAAAAAAGACAAAAACAUAGCAAUUUUCUCAAUGAAGGUUGUCUUUUUUCUUCCAUUUUGUAGACACCCAAUUGGGUCCGGCCCCAGAUCAAUUGGGCCUGGCCCAAAUGGGUAAGGCCCAUUUCAAUCCUGUAUUUUUUUUUCUUUUCUUUUUCUUCUUUUGUAUUUUAUGUAUUUUAUUAUUAUUAUUAUUAUGUAUAUCUUUGUUUAUUUAUUUUUAUUUAGAUUAGAUUUAUAUGUAUUGUAUGUAUAUAGUUAUAUAUUUAUUAUUAUUAUUAUCUUUUUUUUUUUUGUAAUAUAUUUUUGGGUUUAUCUUAUGCUUUUUUUUUGUUAUCUGUUAAUUUUAUCUGAUUUUUUUUUUGAAUUAUCUGAUAUUAUUUUUUUAUUUUUAUACUAUCAUAUCUUUUGAUUAUCUAGUAUUUUUUUUUAUUUAUUUUGAUUUUAAUUCUGGAUGGCUAAGAUUCAAAGUUGAAGAAUCCCACUCUGGAGGGGAAUUCAAUCAGAAGAGUCCAGUUGGAUUCAAAGACUGAAUUCCCGUCCAAGGAGGAAUUGUUCCUGAUCAAUCCCUAUAAAAGAGACCCCCCUGGAACAGAAUAAGACACAAAAAAACAGUGAGCAAAGCUACUGAAUUUGAGAGAAAAGAAGUGCUUAGAAGAGUUUUCGAAGGCUAAAGAAGGUCGAGAAGUGUUAGGAUAGCUGUAGGGAUCAGAAAUAAUUUUUUGGAAAUUUUUGGCGAAAAAUUUUUCUGGAAAUUUCUGGGAAAUUUCCAGAUUCCGGCGAAAAUUCCGACGAAGUUUGAAUUUUUCGGCGAACAUUCCAGCCAACAUUGAAGUUUCCGGCAAUCAGCCCAGUUUCCGAUGAAGAAUCCCAGAAACCGGUAUUCUUCCGGUCAACUUCCGGCGAAAUUUCCAGAUUCCGGCGACAUUUUCUAGAUUCCGGCACCGGUGUUCUUCAGCUUUUAGAGAGAAGGGGGAGGAAAGAUAGAGGAAGAAUCCGAAUAGGAGAGGAAAAAAAAAAAACAGAGAAAAAGAUAGAGGAGGAAUCUGAAUAGGAAGAGGAAUCCGAAUUGGAGAAAAAAAAACUCGAAGGCAUUGUCACAAUGGCAUGGAGAAGUAAGCCCAAAGCUUGCAGCUUGGGCAGCUGAUUUAUCCUCUCCCUACCCCAAUUCUGUCCUUGGUUUUGAAGUAGUCUGCCAACUUGGCGCAUCAGCUCUUGCUUAUUGGCCAGUAUCUGGUUCGACUCCUGGCCUCUUCCACUUAAUUCUUGCAGUGUUCGAAUGACUUCAUCACUGGCCCUAGGGUCCAAAGGAGACUUGCAGUUUACUUCGUCCUUUGAAUAUCUUGUUGACGACGAUACUGAAUACAAUUCUGCAUCUGAUUUAUUGCUGGAACGCAACCGUGAACAGUGUUUGGUUCAUCUUUUGGUUCCUUCUCUUGCAUUGCUGAUCACUCUUGUGUAGAAAAUUACAGGAAGCUAAGGAGCAGCAACAGGAAGAAAGAUCCAGAGAUCAGAAACUGACAAAAAAAUUCCCCUGAUCCCGCUACCAAUUUUGCUUGAGCGCAUGAGCAGGUUAGUUGAGCAGUAAAAGCUGGCACAGGCGCAAGCCGAGGCCCAAUCGCAGCUGUCUCAGAUUCAGACUCAAGAGCCACGACGACAGUCCAUGAAGGAAGGCUUUGCUUCGAAGGAAGAGGUGAAAGAUCACCUGUACAACCUGUAAGUAUUCAUUUAUUUAUUUGGAAGAAUAUAUUAUUCACAGAAUCAUCAAAGUUUCGAAACAGAAAAAGUGAAACCAACCAACAGAAAACAGCAACAUGACAAUUGGUAGACAGCGAAGCUGAGAAAGUAAUAAUGGCAAUGAAAAGAGAUGGUGCUGCUGCCUCCAAGAAGCGAAGCAUCGAAAGGUUGGACUACAAAGAUGGUAUAUUCUAUCGAAAGCUGGAAGGGUCUAAGCCUAGAAAAGUUAAAGCUAGAGAAGGAACUUCAACGUGCUACAUCUGAAAUUCUUCGACUCAAAUUGAAAAUUAGAGAUCUAUUUCAACGUAUUGAUUCACUAUGUGCUAAAGGAAGGCUCCCAGAAUCUUUAUUUGAUUCUGAGGGAUAAAUUGAUAGUGAAGAUAUAUAUUGUACAAAAUGUGGGUCCAAGGACCUAUCUUUCGACAAUGAUAUCAUUCUAUGUGAUGGUGCUUGUGACUGUGGAUUCCAUCAAUAUUGCUUGUAGCCGCCUUUAUUAAAAGAAGACAUUCCUCCUGAUGAUGAGGUUGGGAAAAGGUUUUUCCUGAUGCAGCAGUAGCUGUAGGUGGACAAAGUCAAGAUCCUAACUUUGGACUACCUUCAGAUGAUUCUAACGAUAAUGAUUAUAAUCCUGAUAGUUCAAAAAUCGGUGAGAAGGAUUGGGGAGAUGAGUCAAGUUUUGAUGAAUCUGAUUUCACUUCUACAUCCGAGAAAUUGGAAGCCCCAGCUAAGGAGGCCAGAACAGAGGAGUCGGAAAAGCAAUGGCAGUGGGGUUCACAACGAUAAAGCCGUAGCUGAUGGUGGAAGCACCAAGGGUAGUUGAUGCACUGUAAUUUUACAAGAUCGCGUUUGACACUAUCGAUAAUAGCUGUACUCUUUACCCAAAGUGCAAGGCGGGGCAGGAGCUUAUUCAUAUCCUUUCGGUUCAGUUUGAGCUCACUGGCUUUACCGUUCUUGUAUCUGACUUCACUGGUAACUCUGCUCUUGUGAAAAGUGAGGAAACUGGAUGUGUGCUUUGCAUCAAGACUGAGGAGCGUGGAAGCUGUUAUAGCCAAAGUCGUGAGCAUUGGAGCCAUUGCAAAGGACGGUGACGCGUGCUGUGGUGGACAUGUGGGCAAGGACAAGGAUUCAUAUGGAUACGGUUGGCUCAUUUGCUCUCUUGCCAAAAAUGUUGCUGAUGUCCCUACAUUGUUGGGAUCUGGCUUCCUUAAAUAUUUUUGAGGAAAAGUUGAAAGUAUCAAUUUUCCUUAAAAAUAAAUUUUCAAAAAAAGGUUUUUGAGGAAAAGUUGAAAGUAUCAAUUUUCUUCGAAAAUCAAGGUUUCCAAAAAAAAUAUUUUUGAGGAAAAGUUGAAAGUAUCAAUUUUCCUUGAAAAUCAAAAUUUUCAAAAAAAAAUAUUUUUAGGGAAAAGUUGAAAGUAUCAAUUUUCCUUAGAAAUAAAUUUUCAAAAAAAAUAAAUUUUUGAGGAAAAGUUGAAAGUAUCAAUUUUCCUCGAAAUUAAAAUUUCAAGAAAAUAUUUUUGGGGAAAAGUUGAAAGUAUCAAUUUUCCCUGAACAAAAAAAUCCUUCUUUUCUUAUAUUCUGAUUUUGAUCUUGAUUUUUCUUUAAAUAAUCCGACGACGGAGCCUCUGCAAGUGAAACAGUAGUUUUUCUUGCAUACUCUUGAGGUGAGGGAAUUUUCUCAAUUUUCUGCUAAAAGUAUUAGAGUCAAUUGAGAAUGAUUUUCAAUAAUUAAUUACUUGGUAAAAUUUUAAGGCUUACUGGAUAACACAAAUUUAAGCUGGUACCAUCUUUUGAUGGGCGUUGUGAGGGUGCUAUAACCUUCCUCACACGUAACCGAACUCCCGAACCCUGUUCUGGUUAGCAGACCUAAACCUAUUCUUUUAGGGGCCCUUAAAUUUAGGUGUUCCCUGAAAGGACAGAUUCUUUAGGUGGCCAAUCGCACCUAGAUAAAAAAGAUUGGUGGCGACUCCUUUAAGUCAAUGUCUAGCGAUAGAUCCCCGGAUCUAGACGUUAUGACAGCUUGGUGACUCCACUGGGGACCUUGAGAGUCAGGCCAGCAAAUAAUUUGUGUUAUCCAAAAGCCUAAUAAAAUUGAUCCUUGUUGUAUGUAUAUGUGUAAUUUUUUAGUCAUGUUUAUUUACCUUAUUAAUUAUGUCAUUCAUGUGCAUGUGCAUAACAUGAGCUCUACACCCGAGCUCCAUCCCUCUAGGAGGGAGUAAAGUACCUAUUGCUUUCGUGAGGUCUAAUGCCUCCGCAGUGGCUAGCGAAAUACUCCCACUCAAAUUGAACCUUUUCCGCUUGUAGCCUGUAAUGGGUGAGGAUUAGGGUGCCUUACUAGUCUGUGAUGGACAAGGAUGUAAGGAACAAUUUGAGGACCUUUAGACUCUGACCUUAAAACCACAUGUAGUGAACUUUAAGAGUGCCUACACCUAAGAUAGAGCCCUUUCUACCCAAUGAUAGAUAUACCCUGAAAUUAGGACACAAAAGGGUGUUUAUCUAAUCAUUUUGAUUGCUUAACUUUGUGUAUUAUUUUUAUCAUAUGUAACACUAUGCAUCAGCAUCACUUUCAUGUCAUCCAUGGAACUAACUAUGUUGUUUGUCUGAUUGUAUGCAUCUGUAUUAUUUUCAUGAUCAUGUUUUAACACAAUCAUUUGCAUUCAUUUCAUACUAGAUUUCAUUCAAAAAAUGUACAUUUCAUUUGUGUAUCAAAGCAUCAUACAUAAGGCAUAGCAUAACAUUUCUAAUCAUAAGUAUGGUACUCAAGGUCCGAGGAUAGCUCCAUCUAGCGAAAACCCUGCUCAUCCAUACAACACAAGAUCCAGAGCAAGGCAAAUGGAAGAAGAAAGUUCUCAUAGAUUUGAAAAACUAGAAAAAGCACAAGAGAAGAUUGAAAAUGAACUAAGCAAGAUUCUUGAGGCUCUUAAUAACAUGAAUAAAGGAAAAGGAGUUGCAGGAAAUACAAGCCAGCAAAUUCCCCCAUCACAAGAAGUGGCUGACCCUUUGUACCCUCCAGGUUUUGGCCCACCUCAAGCCCAUUCUGCCCAAGAGGUCCCGCUACAACCAACAUAUCCUGGAAUGCCAUCAGCUUUCAACCCGGGACAGUAUAAUAGCUACAUAAAUCCUGUCUUCACUAAAAAGGUAGCAGAACCAAUUCCUGAUCUAGAUGAUUUAAAAGAAAAAGAGAAGGAAAAGAUGAGAGUGGAAGCUGAGGAAAGUUCCAAGAUUAGUAUGCUAGAGCAGAGGCUAAGGGCUGUGGAAGGAUUUAGCUUUUAUGGGUCAGUUGAUGCUGCUGGGCUCUGCCUAGUCCCUGAUGUGGUUAUUCCCUAUAAGUUCAAAGUACCAAAAUUUGAAAAAUAUAACGGUACAAAGUGCCCCAAAACCCACAUCACCAUGUAUUGCAGAAAGAUGGCAGCUCAUGCACAUGAUGAAAAACUCUUGAUGCAUGUUUUCCAGGAUAUCUUACUGGCUCUGCCGCCAGAUGGUAUGUUCAGUUGGAUAGGACUCGUAUUCGCUCUUGGAGUGAUAUGGCACAUGACUUCAUCAGUCAAUAUCGACACAUUAUCGAUUUGGCUCCUGAUCGUUUAUCUUUACAGAAUCUGGAGAAAAAGUCAAACGAGUCUUUUAAAGAGUACGCCCAGAGAUGGAGAGAUAUAACUUCACAGGUACAACCUCCUCUGACAGAAAAAGAGACCACAGUGCUGUUUGUUAGCACUUUGAAACCUCCUUAUUAUGAAAAGAUGAUAGGGAAUGCAACAAAGAAUUUUGCUGACAUGGUGAUCUCUGGAGAAAUUAUUGAAAGUGCCAUAAAAAAUGGUAAAUUGAAAGGAGGAGAAACCAAGAAGGCAUCAGAAAAGAAAGAAGCUGAAGCUCAAGCUGUGAGCUUUGAUAGACAACAAUUCAGGGGGUUAUCAACCCUAUCCAUCCCAAGGCUACUCUCCAUACUAUCCCGCUGUGAAUAAUGCCUCAUCCUACCCAUACCAGCUAGCUCCUCAACCAUCUUAUUCAUCCACUUAUCGCCUUAACAUUCAAGCUCCUGUAAGAACCCAAAUCCGCCCUACUAACCCAGCCAGUGACUCGCAGAACGACGGACUACUCGAGAAAAACCUGUAUUUGAUCCAAUCCCUAUGACUUAUACAGAGUUAUAUCGAGAACUCUAUAAUAGCCACUUGAUUGCCCCCAGCCAUGUGGAACCUCUUAAACCACCCUAUCCAAAGUGGUAUGAUCCUACAGCCCGUUGUGACUACCAUUAUGGAAUUACUGGCCAUUCUACUGAAAAUUGUACUGCUUUAAAGCAUAAGGUGCAACGGUUGAUCAAUGAUGGAAUGGUAAGUUUUGAUCAGGGAAAAGCAACAACAUCUAAUGUUAGCACCCUGAGUGAAAGUCAAGAACAGAAAGGGUCCGGAGAGUCACAAUGAAUUGAGGGGCAAGAUGUCAAUAGAGAUUCUUCACCUGAUCGCAUAGGGGGACAAUUUUAAAAAAUGGAGAUAAGGCUGGUUGAAGGUUUCUUCUGUCAUUUUAGGAUUUCUUUUCAAAUAAUGUUAGAUUUCUUUUUGCAAUAUGACUUCACUUGUUAUCAUUUUAAUAAAGGCAAGUCAAUGCAUUUCAUUACAUUUUUCUCUUUCACUUGACCAUUAUUCCAUGCCCUGUUACCUUUCAUAACUUUAUACUCCCAUUCUCAAAUUUCAGAUGAUGAAUAUUUAGACAAUGAUAACAGUAAUUCUGGGAUUUAAUUUUGAGAACUCAUCCACAUUUAAUAUGAGAAGAUGAUUUGAGCAAGAAGUAAGGUAGAGAGAUAUGUCUUGAAGAUAUGUAAUCUUUCAUACAGGUUCAUGAGCUUUGUUUAAUAGAUGAUGUUCAAGGAAGGUAUUCACAAUUGAGAUGAAAAAUGGCCAUCUUUUCUUUUACCAUUGGAAAAACCAUUUAUUGCUACCCCUUUGAGCCAAUCAUGAUUUUUUUUCUUGAAGACCCCCAACCAAGGAUCACCCUCUACACUGGAGGGUAAUUUUUGAAAAAAAAAAAAAAAACACCACAAAAGGUCUCAGAGAUGGAAAUAGAAAGAAAAACAAAAGAAAAAUAAAUGCCACACAUGACUUGGGGCAAAGUAAUGGGAAUCCUUUGUGUGAGGAAAAGAAAAAAACAGUGAAAUGAUGUGGGGGCAAAAUGCCAAGUUGCAUCAAAUGAUCAUUUGGUUUUGAACCUUUUCAAUACAUGUUUUGAGCCUAUUAUAUCUAUUUUUUUGUGACCCUUCACCUUGGCCUACAUUACAACCUUGAAAAGUUCAUUUGGAUCAAGUGUGAAUACUCAACUUGAAUGAUCAUAUGUUGAGCGAAGGUAUACUCAUGAUGAAGCAAUGGAAUCAUGCUACAUUGCUCUAAAGUUGGAUGUAUGAAAGAUAUCAACAAUGGAUGAAAAAUGAGAAAAAAAGAAGAUGAUGAAAAGAAAAAAAAGAAAAAAGGAAAAAAAGAAAAAAAGAAGGAAAAAAAUGAGAAAAUGAAAAAAGAGAUUCAAAUUGAAAACCUGAAAGGGUGAUUUUGAUAGAAAAAAAAAAGAUCUAGGUCAAAUGGCUCACAUGAAUGGAAGAUCAAAGACAUCUGAAGAUCCCUCAAAGAUUGGGGCAAAGUUGUAAAUGGAAUGAGUUUUUGAAAAAGAAUCCUAGAUUAAUGUUGAGAAUUGUCUGAAUAUUCAUCAUUUGGACAUACCAUCCACCCCAAUGACAUGUAUCCAAUUCAUUUCCUUUCCCAUUUGCUUUGUACCAAAACAAAUCUUCAUUGAUUAUCUUUACUAUAAUUCACCUUGCGUUCUCUUAUUGUUUCACCCCUAGAAUGAAUUGAGAAAAUGCUUGGUUGCAUUGUAUUUGUCAAAAAUUGAAAUGAUAAUAAAUGAAUGAAUAUGUGCUUAAAAGGGUCUUGCAUUCAUUUGAAAAGAAAUCUAAGGUGAUGAAGAAAUGGUAGAAACCUAAAGGAGAUGAUUUGAAAAAGGUAUAUGAUAUAAUAGGGCAAAUCUUGAAAAGUGAUGAAUUGAUCGAUAUGACUUGCAAGUUAUGAUUGAAUGAUGAGAACAAUCAGUGGAGAAAGUCUGUUUUGGAAUGGUAAAUGCUGAGACAAUGACCCAGUGAUGGUGGAUGAAACUUGUUUUGAAAUUUGUUAGUGUUGAGAAAUUCAUUGAAUGAUGGUCAAGUGAUGAUCGAUUGAUGAAGCUUAUUCCAAGGUAUUGAGAAACUGAACAAGGAAGAAUGUGAGUGGAAAAGACAAAUUGAGAGCUACACUGGUUCGAUCUUAGAAGAGCAGUGUAAUUGGAUCUCUGAAGAAUCAAAGGGCUUGACACCCAAGAAAAAAAGAGCUAGAGAAACUUGAGUACCAUACAUUGAAUAGGAAUUAAUUGGCCAUCAUUUGCAUAACAUGCAUUGAAAUUCAUAUGCAUUGCACAGCAUACACUACUUUCAGGAGAAUAUAGUGUAUAAAUUCAAGAAGUAGGGGUGUUCCAACAUCCCACAUGGAGAAGACAAAUAUGAAGAUAUUUUGCAAAACUGAAAAAGAGAAAGCUUGUCAGGUAAGUUCCUAAUCCUUGAAAUAGGAUGUCUUUUGGUAUCAGGGUUGAUUUAUAAGACCUUUGGGCAUAAUCUCCUGAAAUUCCUUCAAACACAACUUUCAACUCCUUUGGACAUGAUUGUCAAGGAGCAAUUUACUUUUUCAAAGUUUCGCUGCCUCUGUUUAGAGGAGCAAUUUACUUUCCAAAGUCGUGGUGCCUCUGUUGAGAGGAGCAAUUUAUUUUUUCAAAGUCGUGGUGCCUCUGUUGAGAGGAGCAAUUUACUUUUCAAAGUCGUGGUGCCUCUCAAGGAGCAAUUUACUUUUCAAAGUCGUGGUGCCUCUGUUGAGAGGACCAAUUUAUUUUUUCAAAGUCGUGGUGCCUCUGUUGAGAGGAGCAAUUUACUUUCCAAAGUCCGUUGCCUCUGUUUAGAGGAGCAAUUUACUUUCAAAAGUCGUUGAGUCUCUGUUUAGAGGAGCUUCGGCAAAAAAACAAAAAAACAAAAAAAACAAAAAAAAAACAAAAAACAAAAAAACAAAAAAAUAAAAAAAAUAAAAACAAAUCAAAAAAUAAAAACAAAUCAAAAAAUAAAAACAAAAAAAUCAAAAAUCAAAAAAAUAAAAAAAAUAAAAAAAUGUUGAGUUGAGUCUUGAUUGGGUGUCUACGUCUUUGCGCAAUUUCUGUUUCACAGAAAAUGUGCAAAGAGGGGCAGCUGUAGACACCCAAUUGGGUCCGGCCCCAGAUCAAUUGGGCCUGGCCCAAAUGGGUAAGGCCCAUUUCAAUCCUGUAUUUUUUUUUCUUUUCUUUUUCUUCUUUUGUAUUUUAUGUAUUUUAUUAUUAUUAUUAUUAUGUAUAUCUUUGUUUAUUUAUUUUUAUUUAGAUUAGAUUUAUAUGUAUUGUAUGUAUAUAGUUAUAUAUUUAUUAUUAUUAUUAUCUUUUUUUUUUUGUAAUAUAUUUUUGGGUUUAUCUUAUGUUUUUUUUUUGUUAUCUGUUAAUUUUAUCUGAUUUUUUUUUGAAUUAUCUGAUAUUAUUUUUUUAUUUUUAUACUAUCAUAUCUUUUGAUUAUCUAGUAUUUUUUUUAUUUAUUUUGAUUUUAAUUCUGGAUGGCUAAGAUUCAAAGUUGAAGAAUCCCACUCUGGAGGGGAAUUCAAUCAGAAGAGUCCAGUUGGAUUCAAAGACUGAAUUCCCGUCAAAGGAGGAAUUGGGAUUGAUCAGAAACUCCUGAUCAAUCCCUAUAAAAGGGACCCCCCCUGGAACAGAAUAAGACACACAAAAAAACAGUGAGCAAAGCUACUGAAUUUGAGAGAAAAGAAGUGCUUAGAAGAGUUUUCGAAGGCUAAAGAAGGUCGAGAAGUGUUAGGAUAGCUGUAGGGAUCAGAAAUAAUUUUUUGGAAAUUUUUGGCGAAAAAUUUUUCUGGAAAUUUCUGGGAAAUUUCCAGAUUCCGGCGAAAAUUCCGGCGAAGUUUGAAUUUUUCGGCGAACAUUCCAGCCAACAUUGAAGUUUUCGGCAAUCAGCCCAGUUUCCGACGAAGAAUCCCAGAAACCGGUGAUCUUCCGGUCAACUUCCGGCGAAAUUUCCAGAUUCCGGUGACAUUUUCCAGAUUCCGGCACCGGUGUUCUUCAGCUUUUAGAGAGAAGGGGGAGGAAAGAUAGAGGAAGAAUCCGAAUAGGAGAGGAAAAAAAAAAAACAGAGAAAAAGAUAGAGGAGGAAUCUGAAUAGGAAGAGGAAUCCGAAUUGGAGAAAAAAAAACUCGAAGGCAUUGUCACAAUGGCAUGGAGAAGUAAGCCCAAAGCUUGCAGCUUGGGCAGCUGAUUUAUCCUCUCCCUACCCCAAUUCUGUCCUUGGUUUUGAAGUAGUCUGCCAACUUGGCGCAUCAGCUCUUGCUUAUUGGCCAGUAUCUGGUUCGACUCCUGGCCUCUUCCACUUAAUUCUUGCAGUGUUCGAACGACUUCAUCACUGGCCCUAGGGUCCAAAGGAGACUUGCAGUUUACUUCAUCCUUUGAAUAUCUUGUUGACGACGAUACUGAAUACAAUUCUGCAUCUGAUUUAUUGCUGGAACGCAACCGUGAACAGUGUUUGGUUCAUCUUUUGGUUCCUUCUCUUGCAUUGCUGAUCACUCUUGUGUAGAAAAUUACAGGAAGCUAAGGAGCAGCAACAAGAAGAAAGAUCCAGAGAUCAGAAACUGACAAAAAAAUUCCCCUGAUCCCGCUACCAAUUUUGCUUGAGCGCAUGAGCAGGUUAAUUGAGCAGUAAAAGCUGGCACAGGCGCAAGCCGAGGCCCAAUCGCAGCUGUCUCAGAUUCAGACUCAAGAGCCACGACGACAGUCCAUGAAGGAAGGCUUUGCUUCAAAGGAAGAGGUGAAAGAUCACCUGUACAACCUGUAAGUAUUCAUUUAUUUAUUUGGAAGAAUAUAUUAUUCACAGAAUCAUCAAAGUUUCGAAACAGAAAAAGUGAAACCAACCAACAGAAAACAGCAACAUGACAAUUGGUAGACAGCGAAGCUGAGAAAGUAAUAAUGGCAAUGAAAAGAGAUGGUGCUGCUGCCUCCAAGAAGCGAAGCAUCGAAAGGUUGGACUACAAAGAUGGUAUAUUCUAUCGAAAGCUGGAAGGGUCUAAGCCUAGAAAAGUUAAAGCUAGAGAAGGAACUUCAACGUGCUACAUCUGAAAUUCUUCGACUCAAAUUGAAAAUUAGAGAUCUAUUUCAACGUAUUGAUUCACUAUGUGCUAAAGGAAGGCUCCCAGAAUCUUUAUUUGAUUCUGAGGGAUAAAUUGAUAGUGAAGAUAUAUAUUGUACAAAAUGUGGGUCCAAGGACCUAUCUUUCGACAAUGAUAUCAUUCUAUGUGAUGGUGCUUGUGACUGUGGAUUCCAUCAAUAUUGCUUGUAGCCGCCUUUAUUAAAAGAAGACAUUCCUCCUGAUGAUGAGGUUGGGAAAAGGUUUUUCCUGAUGCAGCAGUAGCUGCAGGUGGACAAAGUCAAGAUCCUAACUUUGGACUACCUUUAGAUGAUUCUAACGAUAAUGAUUAUAAUCCUGAUAGUUCAAAAAUCGGUGAGAAGGAUUGGGGAGAUGAGUCAAGUUUUGAUGAAUCUGAUUUCACUUCUACAUCCGAGAAAUUGGAAGCCCCAGCUAAGGAGGCCAGAACGGAGGAGUCGGAAAAGCAAUGGCAGUGGGGUUCACAACGAUAAAGCCGUAGCUGAUGGUGGAAGCACCAAGGGUAGUUGAUGCACUGUAAUUCUACAAGAUCGCGUUUGACACUAUCGAUAAUAGCUGUACUCUUUACCCAAAGUGCAAGGCUGAGCAGGAGCUUAUUCAUAUCCUUUCGGUUCAGUUUGAGCUCACUGGCUUUACCGUUCUUGUAUCUGACUUCACUGGUAACUCUGCUCUUGUGAAAAGUGAGGAAACUGGAUGUGUGCUUUGCAUCAAGACUGAGGAGCGUGGAAGCUGUUAUAGCCAAAGUCGUGAGCAUUGGAGCCAUUGCAAAGGACGGUGACGCGUGCUAUGGUGGACAUGUGGGCAAGGACAAGGAUUCAUAUGGAUACGGUUGGCUCAUUUGCUCUCUUGCCAAAAAUGUUGCUGAGGUCCCUACAUUGUUGGGAUCUGGCUUCCUUAAAUAUUUUUGAGGAAAAGUUGAAAGUAUCAAUUUUCCUUAAAAAUAAAUUUUCAAAAAAAGGUUUUUGAGGAAAAGUUGAAAGUAUCAAUUUUCUUCGAAAAUCAAGGUUUCCAAAAAAAAUAUUUUUGAGGAAAAGUUGAAAGUAUCAAUUUUCCUUGAAAAUCAAAAUUUUCAAAAAAAAAAUAUUUUUAGGGAAAAGUUGAAAGUAUCAAUUUUCCUUAGAAAUAAAUUUUCAAAAAAAAUAAAUUUUUGAGGAAAAGUUGAAAGUAUCAAUUUUCCUCGAAAUUAAAAUUUCAAGAAAAUAUUUUUGGGGAAAAGUUGAAAGUAUCAAUUUUCCCUGAACAAAAAAAAUCAUUCUUUUCUUAUAUUCUGAUUUUGAUCUUGAUUUUUCUUUAAAUAAUCCGACGACGGAGCCUCUGCAAGUGAAACAGUAGUUUUUCUUGCAUACUCUUGAGGUGAGGGAAUUUUCUCAAUUUUCUGCUAAAAAUAUUAGAGUCAAUUGAGAAUGAUUUCCAAUAAUUAAUUACUUCGUAAAAUUUUAAGGCUUACUGGAUAACACAAAUUUAAGCUGGUACCAUCUUUUGAUGGGCGUUGUGAGGGUGCUAUAACCUUCCUCACACGUAACCGAACUCCCGAACCCUGUUCUGGUUAGCAGACCUGAACCUAUUCUUUUAGGGGCCCUUAAAUUUAGGUGUUCCCUGAAAGGACAGAUUCUUUAGGUGGCCGGCCAAUCGCACCUAGAUAAAAAAGAUUGGUGGCGACUCCCUUAAGUCAAUGUCUAGCGAUAGAUCCCCGGAUCUAGAUGUUAUGACACAUUUAAAUUAGCCUGAGAAUGGCUUUUAAGUAUAUUAAUUAUUAUUGUUAUAUUUCAAUAUUUUUAAUGAUUUAGAUUGAAGCAACUGCUAAGAUUAUUAUUUUUGUGAAGUAAAGAUAAGGGCAAAAAGAUUGACAUGUUUGCAUGCUUGAUGCCAAGACUAAGUAUAAAGCAAAGACUUAAGAUUUAGACCAAUACAUUCCCAUAGCAUCUAUCAUUUUCUUUCUUAUUCUACCAUUAUAAAAUCACAAUUUCCAAAAUAGACAAAUUUGAAAAGUGAGAAUGAAUGUAUUUUUUAGAAUUUUUUUUUAAAACUUUUCAGCAAAACUAAAACACAAGUUUUUAAUUUGUUGAUUUUUUUUUGGCCAAUCAAUUUGUUGAUUAAGCAACUUGUUUCUCAUGUUUUUUGUUCCCAAUGUACUAUUACAUUUCAUCACAUGUGCAUUUUUUUUUAUAUUUUUUAGUUUUUAUUAUUAAUACAUUUUAAAGAGAUCUUUGAGUUAAAAAUUCAAUAAGCCAAUAUCCAUAUAGUCUAAUUACUAAAAUGCUAAACUCUUAGUUUUUUAGUAGUUUAAAGUUCAAAUCUUGACAACUUCACAAAGAAAAAAAAACAAAUUUCUAAUUUCGCAAAUUUCAUGUGUAUGAGAUAAUUUUUAUAUAUUUUGAUUUCUUCACAUAUGAUUAGUAAAGGAAUUAAAUUUUAUGAAUGGUAUUAGAACCUCAUACAUUCUAGAAGAUAUUUUCCUUGAACUAUUUUUUUUAAGCAUAAAUGUAACUUUUUUUUAACUUAUCAGAUAUAAAAAUCUAGUAAAUUAUAUAAUCUAUUAGAAAUGUGAAUUUAGACGCUUUAAAAAUAAAACUAGAUGGGUAAAUGGUAGUAUCACUAAGAAAAUUUAAAAAAAAAAGUGAAUGUAGAGAAAAAAAAUGAUGGUAUAUUUAGAAUCAUCCAUCUCAAAAUUAUACUUUAUAAAAAACUUGACAUUUUAAUUUUGGACUUCCAAAGAAAAUGAUAGUAAUGAGAUUUUUUUAUUGAUAUUUAGUCUUUUCUUUGCUUUAUUCUUUUUAGUCAUCCAUCAUGCAAUUGUCUAAGUCUUCUUGUCUCAUUAUUACUCUAUGAAAAAUAAUCUUCUUAAUAGUUUGCUUAAGUCAAGUCAAUCUUUUAAAAAAGAUAAAAAGCAUAGCAAUUUUCUUAAGGGAGGUUGUCUUUUGUUUUCCAGAUAAAUUAGCAUAUUAGGAAUGCAUUUUAAGUAUAUUAAUUAUUAUUGUUAUAUUUUAAUCUUUUUAAUGACUUAGACUAAAGGAACUGCUAAGAUUGCUACUUUUGUGAAGUAAAAAUGAAGGCAAAAAGACUUACACAUUUGCAUGCUUGGUGCCAAGACUAAAUAUAAAGCAAAGACUAAGACUCAAACCAAUACAUUCCCAUAGUAUCUAUCAUUUUCUUUCUUAUUCCACCAUUAUAAUAAUAUCACAAAUUUCAAAAUAAACAAGUUUGAGAAGUAAGAAUGAAUGUGUUGUUUAGAUUUUUUUUUCGUCAAACUUUUUAGAAAAAAUAAAACAUAGGUUUUCAAUUCGUUGAUUUGUUUUUUUUGCCAGUUAAUUUGAUUAUUAAGGAACUUGUUUCUCAUGCUUACCUAAUGUACUACUAGAUUUCAUGGUAUGUCCAUUUUUUUUUUUAGUUUUUUUAUUGUUAAUAUGUUUUAAAGAGAUCCUCUCAUUUAAAAUUCAAUGAUGUCUAUUAAUAAAAUGCUAAACUCUUAGUUCCAAUAAUUUAAAGUUCAAAUCUUGACAACCUCAUGUACCCAAAAAAAAAAAAAAACAAUCCUUUAAUUUCACAAAUUUCAUUUAUACAAGAUAAUUUUUAUAUAUUUCAACUUAUUCACAUAUGAUUAAUAGAGUUUUUAAUUUUUAUAAAUGGUAUUAGAAUAUUAAUACAUAUCCUAAUAUUUUUAUAUAACUUUUAAUAUAUUUAUAAAAGGGUUUGUGACAACCCUUUAACACUUAUAAUCUAAAAACUCUACAAACUGAUUGCAUUUUCUAAGUUAUAUUAUUCAACAUAUACCAACCAAGUUAAUUAGUAAUUUAAUUGUUUGAUAAAUUUGAAGGUAAAAUGAAUGAAAUUUUCGCAGCCAAUAAGCUUUUAUUCCCAGAAACAAAACCAGAUGAAAUGGAUGAAAGUGAAGAAUGAACUAUUUUGGAACAAGAAAUCACUAGUAUCUGGAUUUUUGAAGCAUUAUAACAUCAAGAAAAUCUGACCAUAACAACUAAACAUCUGCAUCAAGUUGCAUAUUUACAUCAAAGCAAUCAAAUGAUUCCACUGAUGUUUUCUCCUCUAUUCCCUCUAAGUGACACAACAUAUCAAACUCAGCUUUGAACUCUUCAUACUAUGGCCUAAAUGGUAGAGAGAACCAACUUGAUAAUUUGGAAAGAACAUGCCAUGAACAUAUAACAUGUUCUAUAUUUGGCGAUUCUCUUGCAAUAGCAUCUUUCAGGCUAGAGUCAAUAACCAUUAGAAUCAAUCAACCCAUUUUGAGACCAAUUAUACCAAAAAUAAUUAAGUUAAACAUGGGUUAACUCUAUUAAUUAAUAUUGAUAGCCUGAGCUCCUUUCACUAAAAUAGCCAUAUCUCAAGAUAUCAAACUUAGAAUUAAGAUCUUUUUAAUAUGUUAGAAACUAGAGUCAAUAAGUUUACUAACUAUAUAUGGCCCAUCUUGUGAUUCCUUAUAGAUUAAUUAAAUAAUUUUUAUAUAUACCUUCUAAUAAAAAUUACACAUUUAUUCAUAGGAAACUCGAAAUUCAAUUCCACUUAUUUUGUUGGAAAGUACACUUAAUAACCUUUUCAAACAUAUAUGGCACAAUUUUUAAUUCCUUGUAUAAAAUUUAAGAUAAUUUUCAUAAUUCAACCCGGAUGAUGCUACCAUAUAGUCUGCAUAUCCUUAAGUAAAAAUUAGACAACUCUUUAUAAAAAAACUUGGAUUCGACUUCUGUUUAUUUAAUUAAAAAGUAGAUUCAACAUACUUUCCAACAAUAUAUAAUAAUCAUAGCAAUAAUCUAUCCAUUAAUACAAAAUUAUAUUUUAAUUCACUCUUGUAGAUCAUAGCAUCUCAUCUCAAAACAAAAUUUCUCCUUCAAUAUUUAAAAACUCAAAUCCCACUUUCAGCCUUUAAACUCCAUUCAAUUAUCAUCAAUAAAUCUUAAGAACAUGAAAUAAACAAAGCCUAAUAAUUUACGCAAAUUGAUCAUGAAGAUUAAUGAAAGAUAUCAUAAUUUUCUUGGUUUUUCUCUCAAAACUUUAACUCCAUUUAAAAGCAACCAAAAUAGUAUAUUUAUCUUAAAUAAAAAUAGGGCUUAUGCUCACCAUUAAGAGACUAACUUGAAUGUAGUCUCUGAUUUUGGAUUCUAUAUUUGAUUUUCAUGCUUUCUAACCUUAAGGAAAACCGGUAAGAAGAAUUCUCAUUUUUCUUUUCUGUUUCAUUAUAACUGGAUUUUUUCUCUAGUAAAACACCUUAGCCACUUUUUCUUUAAUAAUUAACCUCUUAAUUAACUUAAUGAGCUUUAGUAAUAGUCUAGCCCAAUUAUCAUUUGGGUUGGGUAUUACAGAAUCACAUAUCUAGUUUGAUUCUACCUUUUCUAUCUCGUGGAUGACUACGUGGCUAACUGGGUUUCCAUGUGUAAGACCAACUAUAUGGCUGCUAAUAUUUUUCACUUAAGUGUAACAAUAAUAAAGAGCUUAAAAAAUAAUAACAUUUUUGUUAAAGAUAAACAAAGAAAAUGAGACGGAAGAAAUCCUAUAUUUAGACGUUACAGUUAAAAUGAUUAAUAAGUUUUCUAUUGUAAAAGAUGAUAAAACGUUAUUGUAAAUUAAAUUCUAAAUAAAUGGAUAAACUUAUAAAAGUGUUACAUAUAUGUCAAACUUUGGAUAAUUAUAAGCCCUGAAGUAAAAGUUCGAAAAAGAAUAUUAGUAUAAUUAUUAGAUUGCACUAGGUAUUAUAAUUUGAGAAUCUAAUAUUAAGUAUCAUAUCGUAUCGUAAAUAUAAUAAAUAAAUUUUAAAAUUAAUUGUAAAUAAUAUAUAAAUAUAAAAAAAAUUUUAAAAAUAUUAUUCAUAUUAAUGGGAUUGAGUGAUUAAUGAAUAUAAACAAAAAGAUUUAUUAUUUUUCUAACUCUCAACAUAUUUUGUUUUAAAAAUAAUUUAUAUUUGAAACAUUGUCAAUAUAUAAAUAUUAUAUGCUAUAAGUGAAUCACAAAAUUAUACUUUAUAAAAAAUUAUUAUUCUAAUUUUGGACUCACAAAGAUAACAAUAGAAUGAGAUUUUUGUUGGUAUUUAGCCUUUGCUUUGCUUUAUGCUUUUAAGUCUUCCCAUCCAAAUGUCUAAGUCUUCUUGCCCCAUCAUUACUCUAUGAAAAAUAAUUUUCUUAAUAGUUUGCUUAAGUCAAUUCUAUCUUUUGAAAAAGACAAAAAAACAUAGUAAUUUACUUAAUGGAGCUUAUCUUUUGUCUUCUAAUUAAAUUGACAAAUUGAGAAUGGAUUUUAAGUGUAUUACUGUAUUUUAGUCUGUUUUAUGACAUAGACCGAAGUAAAUGCUAAUAUUAUUUUGUGGAAAGUAAAGAUGGGGGCAAAAAAGACUUAACCACAUUUGCAUGCUUUUAUUGCCAAGACUAAAUCUAAAGCAAUACUAAGACUUGUCCAUUUCCUUUCUUUGGGUUUUACUAUUCCUUUUUAAAAACUUCCCUUAAUUUCUAUGAUAAAGUCUUGAGUCUUUCCUUUAUACUAUUUUUGUGAAGUAAAGAUGGGGACAAAAAGUCUGACACAUUUGCAUGCUUCAUGCCAAGACUAAGUAUAAAGCAAAGACUAAGACUUUAUCAUUUUUUCUUUGGUUUUACUUUCUUUUUAAAACUUCCCUUAAUUUCUAUUGAUAAGUCUUAGUUUUUGCUUUAUACUUAUUUUGUAGAGUAACUGAGGGCAAAAGAUUGACACCACUUUUACUUGCCAGUAAUACACAUCCUAAGAAAAUUAUCUUUCCAUGAUAUCUAUACCAAACCAUACUCCAAGAAGCAAUCCGCAAGUGAUAGAACAAUAUGUAGUGUCAAAGGUACCAGCAUCAACAAAUACUGUAUAUGCUGGAAUAGAAUCUGCAUAUGACCAUGAAAUAUUUUCAACCUUACUAUUUUCCUCUGUAGUAUAAUCAUAAGCAAAAUUAUCUUCCCUCUCUGCCAUAGCCUUGCCGGCCUCAAGAAGUUACAAUGUAUCAUUUUCUCUUUUCUCGGUAAGCAAAGCAUCACUUUCUUGAAAAGUCUUUUCACAAGUCCGUACAAAAUUCCUAGCAUCCUUCUUGAUAAAAGGCAACCGUCCGCGCUGGACUCCCUUUUCUAAUUCCAAAACUUUCAUGAUACCAUUGACAGGAAACCCGGCUUUGGAGAGUAAAAGAAUUCUUUCCUGAUCUGCUUCCUGUAUUUUCCGAUAUGCAGGAAGCAAACUGACUUGGUCAUCUUGCAAUAAUUCAUGGUUAUUUACAUUACUAAAUUGUGAAACACACCAUUGAGUAACAUCAUGGAUGACUUCUUUUGUGGAAUAAAAUUUUGCAUCACAUCCACAUCGCACUGAAUUCCAGUCUCCUGGAUGCUCCACAUUGACCUUUUUUCUUAGUUGGUUAAACCCAUAUCUAUAACAGAUAAACUCUCGAUGGUAGAUCCCUAAAUUCUAGCUUUCUCUGGAGCAUGCUUUUGUUAUUGAAAAUCCAUUCUUCCGUGCAAAAUUGCUAUAGUACUCAAAAUAAUCAUCAUCACCUUUGAAUAUUUGACAUACAUAUGGCAUAAAGAUAGCUUCUGAUGAUAAGGAUGUUGAAGCUGUCUCAUUCUUUAUUACCUGAGAGUGCUGAAAGCUUACUGAUGUCUGAUCUUCUCCUUCAUACUUAACAUAACACUUCCAAUCACCACAUGGACACUGCUGAUGUCGAAUCCAAAUGUUUUUUGACGGUUUCAUUGUCAUUUUGUGGGAAAAGAAGUGAUAAAUUCCCAACCUUGAUGCUCUUCUUAGUACCUGGAGAAAGAGAAAGCCUUAAGAAUUUCAUGAUCUUAGAUUUAUUAUUUGGGAUGAAAGAAAACAAAGACAUCCACCAGAAUAAAAAACAUCUUUUCCAAUAGGGAAGUGAAGGGGCUUAGCAGAAGUCCUGAACACCUUCCAAUUUCAGUAAGGAUAUUUUUCAGCAUAAUUUUUCUCACAUUAAUAAAAUUUUGGCCCCUGCAUGGGUGAGAAUAUCGUUGCCCUUCCACAUAAAAGUCCUAUAAAGUGGAAACAGUUUUGUACUGGAAAAUCUUUUAUUCAGGGUAAGUUUUAACCAAAAUUGAAUCGGUAAAUGAUUAAUUUGUUUGUAAUGGAUACUUAUAAAUGCAAUACUUGCCAACUUUUGACUCCAUACCAAAGGGUUAAAGUUUCAAUAUGUCUCCCAACUGUUUAAAAGAAACAACUAAGAGUAUAAAAGAAAUUAUAAGUCCCCAUCUAGGUGGAGCUUCUACUUUUUGCUUUUUGCUUUUAGAAGAAUUACCAGAAAGGAAAAGCCAAGGUGAAAAAAAAACGAUAUCAUAAUUGAUCUAAAACAGAAAAAAUAAUUAAAAUAUAAAAUCAAUUAUAACACAUUUAGUCUAUAUAGAAGUAGAAUUAUGUAGUUAAUCAUAAAAAAUUUACAUAUUUCAAAAUUUUUUUGCUUAUGGAAAUGCAAUUUUUGCUUUUUGCUUUAGGAAGCAAAAAGCAAAUAGCAAAAAUCCAUUCAAACAUACUCUAAAUGAGACAAAACAACCGAGAACUUCAUAUGGUUUGCUAAUGCAUUAAUUUUGCAUGAGUAAUUUUAUAUUCUCGAUAGUUUCAUUUUUUAGUGUUUUCUAUUUUUGGUUAUUAGGUUAUAUUCUAAUUUUAUUGAAUUUAAUUUUUAGAAAUUUUUUAGAAAUGAUUUAUGUAUGCACAAUGCUUGAAAUUUACAUUUUAUUUUGCAAUUACAUGAUUUUUUAUAGAAACAUCGUAUGUAGCAUAUUUUUUAAGCCUAUUUUAUGUAUACCAUAUACAUACAUCCAUACAUCCAUACAUCCAUACACACUAAUAUAAGGGCUAUUUAUAAUAGUUUUAAUAGUUUAUGUAUAACUCUUAGUUUUAAUAGUUUAAAAUUCAAACCAUGGCAAUCUCAUAUUAAAAAAAAUCUUUUAAUUUAAAAGAUUUCUUAUAUGCAAGAUAAUUUAUAUAUAUGUAUAUAUUUCUCCACGUAUGAUUAAUAGAGUUUUUAAAUUUUAUAAACAUUAAAUCUCAUACUUUCUAUAAGAUAUUUUCUCUUAAUUAUUUUUUUUCAAACCUAAAUGUAACCUUUUUCAACUUAUUGGAUAUGAAAAUCCAAUAAGUUAUAUAACUUAAGAAAUGCAUAUCUAGAAGCUUUAAAAUUAAAACGAGAUGAGUAAAUAAGUAAUUUCACUUAAAAAUUAAAAAAAAAAAGAGUGGAUGUAGAGAAAAAUAUGAUGGUGUAUUUAGAAUCACCCAUCACAAAAUUAUACUUUAUAAAAAAAAUUAAUAUUCUAAUUUUGGACUCACAUCAAAAAUGAUAGUAUGAGAUUAUUUUAUUGGUAUUUAGUCUUUUCUUUGCUUUAUACUUUUAAGCCUUCCUAUCAUGCAAAUGUCUAAGUCUUCUUGGCCCAUCAUUACUAUGUGAAGAAUAAUCUUCUUAGCAAUUGUUUAAGUUAAGUCUGUCUCUUAAAAAAGACAAAAAAAACAUCACAAUUUUUUCAAUGGUGGUUGUCUUUUGUUUUUCAAUUAAAUUGGCAAACUAAGAAAGGAUUUUAAGUAUAUUAAUUAUUAUUGUUAUAUUUUAGUCUUUUUAAUGAUUUAGAUUGAAGCAACUACUAAAAUUAUUUUUUUUGUGAAGUAAAGAUGGGGGCAAAAAGACUAACACAUUUGCGUGUUUGACACCAAUACUAUGUAUAAGGCAAAGACUAAGAUUUAGACUAAUGCAAUCCCAUACUAUCUAUCAUUUUCUUUCUUAUUCCACCAUUAAUUUUCAAAAUAGACAAGUUUGAGAUGUGGGAAUGAAUGUGUUCUUUAGAUUUUUUUUUUCAAACUUUUCAACAAAAAUAAAAGACAGGUUUUUAAUUCGUUGAUUUUUUUUUUCAAUCAAUUUGUUGAUUAAGCAACUUCUUUCUCAUGCUUUUGUUCUUGAUGUACUAUUAGAUCUCAUGGUAUGUGCAUUUCCUAUUUUUUUAGUUUUUUAUUGUUAAUAUAUUUUAAAAAGAUUCUUUGAUUUAAAAUUAAAUGAGCAAAUAACCAUGUAGUUUGUUAGUAAAAUGUUGAACUCUUAAUUUCAGUAGUUUAAAGUUUAAAUCCUAAUAACCUCACAUACAAAAAAAGGACAAUCUUCUAGUUUCAUAAAUUUCAUGUAUACGAGAUAAUUUAUAUAUAUUUUAAUUCCUUUAUAUAUGAUUAAUAGAAAUUUUAAAUUUUAUAAAUGGUAUUAAAUUCUUAUACUUUCUGCAAGAUAUUUUCUCCUAAUUUUUUUCCAAACCUAACUAUAACUUUUUUUUAACUUACCAGAUAUGAAAAUCCAAUAAGUUAUAUCUAGAUGAUUUACAAUUACAACAAGAUAGGUAAAUAAGUAAUUUCACUUAAAAAUAAAAAAAAUGAUAUAGAGAAAAAAUGAUGAUAUAUUUAGAAUCACCCAUCACAAAUUUAUACUUUAUAAAAAAAUUGAUAUUUUAAUUUUGGACUCACAAAGAAGAUGAUAGUAUGAGGUAUUUUUAUUGGUAUUUAAUCAUUUUAUUUGUUUUAUACUUUUAAGUCUUCCCAUCAAACAAAUGUCUAAGUCUUCUUGCCCCAUCAUUUCUAUGUGAAAAUAAUCUUCUUAGCAAUUUGCUUAAGUCAAGUCUACCUUUUAAAAAAGACAAAAAAAAAAAAAUCCAACAAUUUUCUCAAUGAAAGUUGUCUUUUGUCUUUUAUUAAAAUUGGCACACAAGGAAUAAAUUUAAAGUAUACUAAUUAUUGUUGUUAUAUUUUAGUCUUUUUAAUAACUUAGACUGAAGCAACUACUAAGAUUAUUUUUGUGAAGUAAAGAUGGGGGAAAAAAGAUUGACACAUUUGCAUGCUUGAUGCCAAAACUAAGUAUAGAGCAAAGACUAACACUUAAACCAAUACAUUCCAAUAGCAUCUAUCAUUUUCUUUCUUAUUCCACCAUUAUAAGAUCACGACUUUCAAAAUAGACAAGUUUGAGAAGUGAGAAUGAAUAUAUUCUAUAGAUUUUUUUUUCAAACCUUUCAGCAAAUAUAAAACACAAGUUUUUAAUUUGUUGAUUUUUUUUUGGCCAAUCAAUUUGUUGAUUAAGCAACUUCUUUCUCAUGUUUUUGUUCCUAAUGUACAAUUAGAUUUAAUGGUAUGUACAUUUUUAAAGUUUUUUACUGUUAAUAUAUUUUAAAGAUAUCCUCUACUUUAAAAAUUCAAUGAGCUAAUAAUCAUAUAGUCUGUUAAUAAAAUGCUAAACUCUUAGUUUCAAUAGUUUAGAAUUCAAAUCUUGACAAUCUCACAUAUCAAAAAAUUAAAAAAAAAAAAAGACAAUCUUCAAAUGAAAAAAUUUCAUGCAUACAAGAUAAAUUAUAUAUAUAUAUGUAUUUUAAUUUCCUCACAUAUAAUUAAUAGAGUUUUUAAAUUUUAUAAACAGUAUUAAAAUCUUAUACUUCAUGUAAGAUAUUUUGUCUUAACUAUUUUUUUAAACCUAAAUGCAACUUUUUCUAACUUACCGGAUAUGAAAAUUUUAUAAAUUAUAUAACUUAUUAGAAAUGCAUAUUUAGAAGUUUUAAAAUUAAAACAAGAUGAGUAAAGAAGUAAUUUCACUUAAAUUUUUUUUUAAAAAGGUGGAUGUAGAGAAAAAAUGAUGCUGUAUGUAGAAUCACCCAUCACAAAAUUAUGCUUUACAAAAAAAAAAUUGAUAUUCUAAUUUUGGACUAACAAAGAAAAUGAUAGUAUGAGAUUUUUUUUAUUGGUAUUUAGUUUUUUCUUUACUUUAUACUUUUAAGUCUUCAAUCAUGCAAAUGUCUAAGUCUUCUUACCCCAUCAUUACUCUAUGAAAAAUAAUCUUCUUAGUAGUUUGCUUAAGUCAAAUCUAUCUUUUAAAAAAGACAAAAAAAAUAGUAAUUUUCUCUAUGGUCUUUAUCUUUUGUCUUCCAAUUAAAUUGGUAAACUGGGAAUGGAUUUUAAGUGUAUUAAUUAAUAUUUUUAUAUUUUAGUCUUUUCAAUGACUUAGACUGAAGCAAUGGCUAACAUCAUUAAUUUUUUGAAGUAAAAAUGGGGGCAAAAAGAUUGACACAUUUGCAUGCUUGAUGCCAAGACUAAGUAUGAAGCAAGGACUAUGAUUUAGACCCAUGCAUUCCAAUAAGAUCUAUCUUUUCCUUUCUUAUUCCACCAUUAUAAAAUCAUAAUUUCCAAAAUAGACGAGUUUGGGAAAUGGGAGUCAAUGUGUUCUUUCGAUUAUUGUUUUCAAACUUUUCAGCAAAAAUAAAAGAUAGGUUUUUAAUUUUUUGAUUUUUUUAGCCAAUCAAUUUGUUUAUUAAGCAACUUGUCUCUUAUGCUUUUGUUCCCAAUGUACUAUUAGAUUUUAUGGUAUGUGCAUUUUUUUUUUAGUUUUUUGUUGUUACUAUAUUUUAAAAUGAUGCAUUGAUUUAAAAAUUCAACAAGCCAAUAACCAUGUAAUUUGUUAGUAAAAUAUUGAACUUUUAGUUUUAAUAGUUUAAAGUUCAAAUAUUGACAACCUCAUAUACAAGAAAAAAAAAAGACAAUCUUCUAUUUUCACAAAUUUCAUGUGUACAAGAUAAUAUAUAUAUAUAUAUAUAUUUUGAUUUCUUUACAUAUGAUUAAUAAAGUUUUUAAAUUAUUUUAAAUGGUAUUAAAAUCUCAUACUUUCUAUAAGAUAUUUUCUCUUAAUUAUUUUUUUUUCAAACCUCAAUAUAUAUUUUUUAAAUUACCAAAUAUGACAAUCUGAAAAGUUGUAUAACUUAUCAUAAAUGCAUAUCUAGAAGUUUUAAAAUUAAAAUGAGAUGGGUAAAUAAGUAAUUUCUCUUACAAAAAUUUUAAAAAAUGGAUGUAGAGAAAAAAAAUGAUGAUGUAUUUUGAAUCACCCAUCAUAAAAUUAUAGUUUAUAAAAAAAUUGAUAUUGUAAUUUUGGACUCACAAAUAAAAUGAUAGUAUGAGAUUUUUUUAUUGGUAUUUAGUCAUUUCUUUACUUUAUACUUUUAAGUUUUCCAAUCAUGCAAAUGUUUAAGUCUUUUUACCCUAUCAUUACUUUAUUAAAAAUAAUCUUCUUAGCAAUUUGCUUAAGUCAAGUCUGUCUUUUAAAAUAUAUAUAUAUAACAAUUUUCUCAAUGGAAGUUGUCUUUUGUCUUCUAGCUAAUUUGGCACAUAGGGAAUGGAUUUUAAAUAUAUUAAUUAUUAUUGUUAUAUUUUAGUCUUUUUAAUGAUUUAGAUUGAAGCAACUGCUAAAAUUAUUAUUUUUGUGAAGUAAAGAUGGGGGCAUACAGAUUAAUACAUUUGCAUGCUUGAUGCCAAAACUAAGUAUAAAGCAAAAACUAAAACUUAGACUAAUACAUUCCCAUAGUAUCUAUCAUUUUCUUUCUUAUUCCACCAUUAUAAAAUCAUAAUUUCCAAAAUAGACAAGCUUGAGAAGUGAGAAUGACUGCAGAACUCUUAGUUUCAAUAGUUUAAGUUUAAAUCCUAACAACCUCAUAAAAAAAAAAAAAAGACAGUCUUAUUCUUUCGCAAAUUUCAUGUAUGCAAUAUAUUUUGAUUUCUUCACAUAUGUUUAGUAGAGCUUUUAAAUUUUAUAAAUAAUAUUAAAAAAUUAUCAUAUAUCUUAAUAUUUUUUAUAUAAUUUUUUAAUAUAUUUGUAAAAGGGUUUGUGACAGCCCUCUAACUUGUAUAAUCUAAAAACUCCACCAACUGAUUGCAUUUUCUAAGUUAUAUGAUUCAAAAAAGACUAACCAAGUCAAUUAAUAAUUUAAUUGUUCGAUAAAUUUGAAGGUAAAAUGAAUGAAAAUUUUGCAGCCAAUAAGGAAUAUUCUUUUAUUCCCAUGAACAAACCAGAUGAAUAGAUGGAGGUGAAGAAUGAACUAUUUUGGGGCAAGAUAUCAGUAGUAUCUGGAUUUCUUAAACAGCAUAACAAGAAAAUCUAACUAGAACAACUUUACAUCAUGGCAAAAUUUCAAAGAAAAACCAGUAUCUUCUCAAUUUCAUUCCUUCUCUCUCUUCCCCAAAAUUACAAAUUAUCUGCAUCAAGUUGCAUAUUUACAUAAGAUGUUGGUAUAUAUCUUUCCAAAACAAAAAGGUACUAAAAUGAAGUCAACAAAUAAAACCAACCCUGAAACCUGAAAUAGGCUUUGAAGAAAAAGAAAAGUCAGUAUAUUUCCACCUCUAUGUUGUUUGAGAGUGUUCAAUGUCCAACAUUAUUAACAUCAGCACCACCUCUGUAUUUCAUCCUCCAAAAAUCUGAAAAUCUUUAGACAAGUAGGAUUCAAGUGAAUCUAUUAGCCAUGAUUUGCGUCAAGAAACCUAAGAUUCACUAAUGUUGUUAGCUGCCAUAUUCAAAGCAAAAUCGUUAGAUACUGGCAUUUCUAGAACAUGGUCAAGGAGUCUUGUAAGUUCCCUAAGAACACUAAUAAAAUGUAUAUAUUUUGCUAGAAAGGAAAAGCAAAAGGUAAAAAAUAUAUAUAUCAUAACUGAUCUAAAACAGAAAAAAUAAUUAAAAUAUAAAAUCAAUUAUAACACAAUUAGUAUAUAUAUAGAAGUAGAAUCAUGUAGUUAAUCAUAAAAAAUUUACUUAUUUUGUGUAUAACUCCUCAAAAUUUUAUUGCUUAUGGAAAUGCAAUUUACUUUUUUGCUUUCAGAAGCAAAAAGCAAAUAGCAAAAACCCAAUUAAACAGACACUAAAUAAGGCAAAAUAACCAAAAACUUCAUAUAGUUCGUUAAUGCAUUUAUUUUGCACAAGUAAUUUUAAGUUCUCGAUAGUUUCCUUUUCAGUUUUUUCUGUUUUUGGUCAUUAAGUCUUACUCUAAUUUUAUUGAAUUUAAUUUUUUGACAUUUUUUAGAAUUUAUGUAUGUACAAUGCUUGAAAUUUACAUUUUAUUUUGCGAUUACACAAUUUUUUAUGCAAACAUCGUAUAUAACAUAUUUUUUAAACCAAUGUUUAUAUAUACGUACGUAAAUACAUUCAUAUGCACUAAUAUAAGUGCUAUUUUUAUCUCCCCAAACCCCCUCCCCCUCUAAAAUAGAGGGGGGGGGGGGGGGUUAAAACAAGGCUUAUGUAGGAAAUCAAAAUUUUAAUCAGACUUUAACACUGAAAAUUUUAACCUAAAUUUCAACAGCUUGAACAUAAUGUGAAAUGCAAUUUCAAAAGCUAGAGAGGAAGGGCAGGAAUAGUGAGGGCAAAGUGAAAAUGGAAGAGCAGGAGAUCAAACUCUACCAUAAGCAAACCGACAAAAUACUAAGACCUAGGAAGUGAACAAAGACAGGGCAAAAGAUCAUUGCAGAAUAUGGAUGCAACAAAGAAAAGAUCAGAUUAUAGCCACCUUUUUCACAUAAACAUUCAAUUCCUAAUUUGCAAGAAGAACCUGUUAUGUCAUAUAUAUUAAUUCAUUUUGAAAACAGAAAACACUGACGAAACUUAUCUAAACCAAGAUACUUGAAAGGAGUGAAAUGGAAAUACGAAUAACUCCAUCCAUUCAAUUGUUGGAAAAUGCAAAAUGUACAAUUAAACAAAUGAUGAUUGCAUGCUAGAACUCCAUAAAAGGUAACACUUUCUACCCAACUAUUUCAUUUUAUUUUUCUUUCCCUAUUUCAACCCUCUCAUUCUUCCCAAUAAUAACAAGAGAUUCAAACUGCAAUGCCAAUGUGACGUUUCCAAAAAAUAGAAAAAAGAAAUUAUAGAAAAAGACAUUUAAAAAAAAAAUCAAAUACCCUGCCUUUGCCAAUGUGACGUUUCCAAAAAUUAGCUGCAAUUGCUCCAGCUCUCGAAUUACAGUGCCACUGUAAAAAACAGGCGAUGAAAUCAAUUGAAAAAAAACCCAUAUUUUACAGUAAAAAAAAAGAAUUUUUUAAGAUUGAAAAUAAAACUGGGCAUGAGGAUUUUUAUUUUCCUGGACAAAGAAAAAAGAGGGGGAAAAUUUGAUUAAAACCCCCAAACUUAAAAAACUUUUGAUAACAUUUUUUUAAUUUUGCUUUUCUCAGUUAAUUGUAUGUGUAUCUUUCUUCAAUCAGUUUAUGAUUCGUAAAAAUUGCCCAUUUGUGUAUUAGUGCAAAGAGUCAAAGGGAAGCCCAAUUUCGGUAUUAAUGGACCCUGCUCAUGUAAGAAAAACGGGGUCUUUUGACCCAAUAGGCCUAUCAAUAUCAAUCUGGUAACUAAUUUUGCAUUUUUUUGGUUGAUUAUUAAUUUUAUUUAUAUGCAUGAAUUUUUUUUACAAUUUUUUUAAAAACAAAUAUUAUUAAGCUUUAAAUUCUUAUUUUUGUUUUCAAGGUAUUAGUUUUUCUUUCCUUUAUGAUUGCUUCUUCAUUGUUGUUGUUUGAUCAAUGAAAGAGGAUUUUUUUGUUAAUUAAAUUGUGUUUAGAAAUUUGAAUUUAAAAGAAAAGGAUAUAAAUUUAAAAUGUUAAUAUAAAUUUUGAAAUAGAGUUAAAAUAAAAUAUGAUUAUACUUAAAUUCAUGAUUUCUUUUUUAUAUAUAAACGUAUGCCAUCUAAUAUGCAUUAUGUACCAAAAUAAAAAUUUUAUUUUUUUAUAAUGGAAAGAGUAAUAAGUAUUAUUUAGAUUUCACUUUUUUUUAAUAACAAUUUGAAUGAAAAUAAAAUUAAUUUAGAUGAAAUUAAAAAUAGCAAUAAAAAUAAAAUUAAUUAUUAUAAUAAUAAAAUUGAAUACAAUAAUAAUAAAAUUAAAAUCAAUUAUUAAUAUAUAUAUUAAAUAAAAACAAAAAACAAAGGUGACGAUGAAUCCAUAUUUGGGCUUAAAUUUUAUGACACCGAGUAUGCUAUGAAAUCCAUAAGGGCCAGAAAUGAUAUGAAGUUAAGUAUGCAUUAGAUUAUUUAAGCAGGCAUUAGAUUAUUUUUAACCCAACAUGACAUACUAUUACUUUUUAUUUUUUCAGUUUUUCAGUAUUGAACAAUUUGAAUAUGCAUCAAUUUUGUAGUAAUUCCAUUUUAUCUCAAAAAUUUUUAAAGAUUUUUUUCAUAUUCCUUGAGUUUUGAAUUUUAAUUUGAUUGUAAAAUUGUAUAAUUGGGUUUUAAUUGUAAAAUGAACUUUAGGUUCAAAAUUAAAAGUCUGAAAUGUUUUCAAUUUAUUUUAUGAUUUUAUUUUUAUUUUUGGGUUUUUAGUUUUAAUUUACUUUUUAUUAUUAUUCUCGAUUUUUUUUUUUUUGCUAUUUGAAAAAAAAAAAAAGAGAAAGUCAGAAAUACAAAAACGUGGGAUUUUUUCAGGGAAACCUGCUAGAUUUGGUUUUAGAUUUUCAAAGUUUAAUAAUUAACUUGCUUAUGGAAAUUCUUGCCCCCAAUUUCAUGCAAAAAGAAAAGUUUACAAAGAGAAUAAAUCUGAAGAGAAAUCCUUUAAUCCUUAUAUAAAGAACUCUAAUCUGUAAUCAAUGCACAUGCACCAAUGCACAUGCACCAAGCACUAAGUAAAUAGUAUAGUACGCAAUAUAACAGCUCAAGCAAAAAUUUUCUGUUCUUAGUUUGAAUUUUUGGUGUUUUUGAAGGGUUGUUUGAUUUUUGGAUAGUUUGGAGAUUUGGUUUGAUUUCUGGGUUGGUUUAAUUCUUUUGGGUUCUGGGUUUCUCUGGGAAAAUUUGGGUUUUCUGGCCGGAAUUCUAGAGAGAGGGACGAGAAAAUUUAGGCAGAGAGAGAAGCAGUAAAUGACGCCGUUUUGGCACCCAGGAUCCUCGCCUUGACCCGAAGCAGAUCCGCGGGCCGACCGGCUUAGACCUGACCCAAAUCGCAGGUUUUCCUUUACCUGGUUACUGUGAUUACGCAGAUUCAUGUAAGUUUAUGCAUGAUCGUGGAGAUUACAAGCCGGGAUGGCAGUUAGUGAAGGACCAGGAAGAAGCAGAGAAAGCAAGGAAGAGAAAUCUGGCUUUGGGUGGCGAUUAUGAUGAUGAUGAGGCAGGGGUACGCCAGAGUGAUGAUGACAAUGACGAUUCACUGCCCUUUAAAAUCAUUUCCCUUGUCUGAAUAACUUAUUAAAGGAAAUCAUUUCCCUGCUUGAGCUUGGGGGAAUUUUGGAUUAUGCAGUGAUGAGCUCUUUAAAAUCAUUGUUGCUGCAGGCAUGUGCAUUAGUUUUUACUUAAGCAUUUUUUCUGCGUCAUUCCACAACUGACUUACGAGUUGAGUGAUGGUAUUAAGUAGUGUAUGAAUUAGGUUUUUACAUUAACUUCUAAAAGUUGUCGAAAACAACUGAAUGACUAGACAAUUGUAAAACUUGUAAUGUAUAUACAAAAUUGGCGUUCCUAAGAUGCCAACAAAUCCUAUUGCUGCCUUUUACCCAUGAAGUAUCAUUUCUUCUACCUAGAGAUAGCGGUGCAAUCCAGUAUUAAUUUUCCAAGAAUCAGCACCCAACUUCACAACCUUCAUCAUGGCCAAUAAUUCAGCUUGAGCAGAUCAGAAUCCAGGUAUCGAUGACACAUACUGGUAGGAUCUUGGAUGUUACUUCAAAGAGUUUAAGAAUGUUGGAUUGCAGGUAGUUUCAAUUGGGUAGGGACGGCUAAUGGAAGCUGUGAUUUUUUCUGCUGUCCAAGUCCAAAGCAUAGAAAACAUUAAUGAUCAGUUUUCUUCCUGGAAAAAUACGGUUCCUGCAUUCAAGACAAACAAAAAAAAAAAUGAAAUUAGAUAGCAAACCUAAACUUAAACUCAAGAAAUAGUAAUCUUUAGCUCUUAGCAGUCGUAGAGACUUCAAUUUUUUAACAUAACCUUUUGUUUCCUUUUUUCCCUCUAGAAUUUUCUUUUUUAGCAUGAGUUUUUGUUUUCUUUUUUCCCUGUAAAAUUUUGAAAUGACCGAAUUCAUGAGAAUAAAAUAUUUUUCUUGUUGAUACUUACAUUACUAUUUAGAGAUGGAUUCAAAAGAGCAAGAACUUAGGGCUGCAUGAGAAGGCCAGUUGUAGGAGAAAGCCUCUAGCGGUAAAGUCUUGAUAUCAUUUUCAGCAUGCGUAUAAAAUAUGUCGCUGUCAUUAUUUCUUUUAAAUGAAGGCUUUAAAAGAUAAAAAUUGACAACUAUGAUAUUUAAAUGAUUUAAUAAUUAAAUGGGAGCUUGAAUGAUCCAACAGAUUACAAAUUGUUGAUUUCAUAUAAAACUGUUUUAGUAUAAAGAAAGACGAUUAAUUGAUCAUUUACCAUUUAUUAUUGAAGUAAUUAAGGGUGAUGAAAGAUAAGCCUUCGGAUCCCAGAACAAAUAGUAUAUCACAUAGCAAUUGUCGUUCAGUGUUGAUCCGUUUUCAUCAACAAUAAUGCAUGCGUUUUCUUUUCCUUUACAAGAAAAAAAGGGCAUGCAGCUGUCAUUAGAGUUGGGUUUGGCUGCCAGCUAUUGAAACUCUAUCUUCACUUCCAUGAAGUUUCAUGAGAGCAAUCCAAGAAGGAAAAAAAAAAAAUACAAAAUAGCAACAUCAUGCACUAAAUCAAAUAUUGAGAUUAGAGUAGGAAAUAGGAGAAAAUGCCAUACUCAUACUUUUUGAAUCAUGUGACUUCUAAUUUAUAUAAUUAAUGUUAUAAAGAAUGAAAGAAGGAGAGGGUGCUCACGUGCCACCCCUCCCUUUCUCCAAAAUUUUAUUUUUUCUUUAUUUUUAAAAUUUUUAAAAUUUACUUUUUAUUUAAUUUUUUAUGAAAUAAAUUUUGUAAAAAAAAAGUCAAUAGAAAUAAAUAUGAUAAAAUAAUAUAUAUUUGAUUAAUUUUAAUUUGCAUCAAUCUAUAUAGGUGCAUUCUUUUUAAAUCAAGAUUGGAUCAAUUUUAUUUUUUUUUUUGAAAAUAGAGUUGGGUUGAAAAUGGAUUUAAAGUGUUUUACUCCCUCUUGUUGUUCACAUGAUAUCUCUAUCUUUUUUUAUAUUUAAUUUUUUAAAACUUCUUAUUUUUGAGGUUUCCUUUUUCUUUAAAUUUUUUAAUUUUUAGUUUUUUAUCAGAUAAAUUUUAUAAUAAAAAAGUUAAUUGAAAUAGAAACGACAAAAUAACUUGUACAUAAUGGGUUUCAAUUGGUCCCAAUUCAAUUGGUUCACAUUCUUUUAAUUCAAAAUAAUUGGUUCAAACAUUUUUUUUUUAAAUUGAGCUCGAUAAACAGUAAGAUUUUUAGUAUUAUGCUUCGGUUUAGGUAUGUAUAAAAAAUAUAUAUUUUGUUAUUUAUUCAUUCUAUAUUUAUAUAUGUAUUUUUAUUAAAAAUGUAUUAUUUAAUAUUUUAAUUUAAUAAAUUUAUUUGUCACCCCAUUUGGUUUUUUUAGUCAUUUUCAUUUUUUAAAAUUUUUUAUGAGAUAAAUGUUAUAAAGAAAAAAGUCAAUAAAUGUAAAAAUUACAAAACAAUUUAUAUUUGAUAGACUUUGGUUUAUCACAAUCCAAUCAAUAUAUAUAUUUUUAAAUAAAGAUUGAAUUAAGUUUUAUCUCUUUAAAUAAUUUAGGUUGAGUUGAAAUUAGGUUUGAUAUGUUUUGUCUUGACUCUCCUUUGGAUAUAUAAAAGAAUAUAUUUUAUUAUUUAUUAAAUUUAUAUUUAUAUAUAUUGUAUUAAUAAAAAUAUUAUUUAAUAUCAUAAUUUAAUAAAAAAAUUAUAUUUAUAUAAUUAAGUUAUAAUUAAUAUUAAAAUAUAUAUACUUACAUUUGUCUAUAUAUUAUCAUCUAUUAAAAUUUGAUAUAAAAAUUUUACUUCACUUACAUUUAAGAUAUAAUUUCAAAAAUAAAAAAUAAUCUAUUGAAAAAUCACGGAUCUAAUUCUAAUGAAAGUACGAUUAUAGAAAAAAAAAAUAAAGCUUCUUCACUCUUUGGAAAUUUCAAUAAAUUCGAUGGUUUCAACUUACGAUUAUAAUUAAAGGUUAAAGUGAUUCGAUUUCACGAGUAUUUUUGGCCAUAAAUUUCCAUUACCCAAACUUUCAUAUGUUAGUGCAAUGUGCACCAUGCAAAGAUAUUCUCUCUCUCUCUCUUUAUGCCGUAAUGUAUUUUUAUUUUAAGUGUUUACUUAUAAUAUAUUUUAAAAAUUAUAAAUAUAAUUUUAAAAUAAUAUAUUGUUAUAUUAUUACAAUUAUUCAAAGUUCUUAUAUUUAAAAAAAUUAUAAUUACAUUAUUAUUAAUAUUAUCAAAUAUAUAAUUAUAUAAUAAUUAAAUAAUCAUUCAAUCAAGAAUAAUUGUUAAUACUAUUAAAUUUAUUUCGACGAAUUUAUAAAUUUUGUUGACAAAAAUUAUCUUAAGAGAAAAAUUUUAAAGAUGACUAUAGAAAAAGUUUCUUUUAAUAUAUAUUUUUUUAUUUUCUGAUACUUGAAGUGUUUAUGAGCACUGUGCUCCAACCUUUGCAUCCGACACUGUAUACAAAAAACAAUUGCUACCCAUGUUUAGGAUGAUGUUGGUGUCGGCAUAUCCAAGAAUUCUUCCUUUGUUAGAUCAAAAUCAGUGAUGCACUCAUGUUUUUGUUUUGAACCAUUUACAAUUCCUUAAUAAUAUGAUUUUAAUACAUCUUAAAUUACAAUAUGAAUAAAACUAAAUUAUUAAAUCACAUAAAAUAAUAAAUAAAAUUAAUAAUUUUCAUUGAUCCCAUUCCUUAUUUUGUAUGGCUUGCAUAGAUUAUAACAAAAUGCUAAAUAUGAUACCAAAAUUUUUAAAAAUUUUAAUGUGAUACUUGAACUAAUCAUGUUAAAAAUAAAAAUUAAAUUAAUUAAUAAAUUUAUAAUUUAAAUAUCAAAUUAAAAAAUUUUAAAAUUUAAAUAUAAUAUUAAAUAUUUUAUUAUAAUUUAAAAUUAUUCAUAAUAUUAAAUUUUCAUAAUAUUUUUAUGGGUAUGCUUCUUCCGCUACAGCUUUAUAUGAAAGGAUCUUUUUCCGCCGUUAAAAAGUUGGGUGUGAACUAAAUUUUUUGUGGCGAAAGAUUAAUUUUACAUUGAUGAAAAUAUUAGAGACGGUACCUUAAAGGGGCAGUAUUUUUUUUUUUUCUAAAUAUUUUCUGAUUCUACCUUAUUUUCCCCUAUUUUUUAUGAAAAUUCUUCAAAAAUUAAUUAUGGAUGAUGUUAGAUCCAUCAAUCAAACCAAUCAGACAGGUUAAAAUAGUAAUCAGAGGUUUUGGUUGUUGGUCCGAUUUAAAACAUUGUGUCCAGCAAGUUGGACCGAUAAGAAAUUCGUUUGAUUAUUUUUAUUAAUAUUUAGUAUUAUUAUUUUUCAAAAGUUAAUCUAAAUUUAAAUUGAUUUUUUUAAUUUGAAUUAAUUUGAAAUGAAUUUUAUUGAUUUAAUUUAAUUUAUUGAUUUUUAAAAAUUUAUUUACUAUUACUUUCAUAUUAUUUUUUAAAGGGAAUGAUUAAUUUAUAUCACUAUAAAAUUUUUUAAUUUUAUAUUUUUUUAAUUAUUGAUUUUAAUUGAUUUAAAAAAUGAGAUUAAAUUAUUUUAUUUAUUUAAUCAUUGAAUCAAUUGAAAUUAAUGAUUAAAAAANNNNNNNNNNNNNNNNNNNNNNNNNNNNNNNNNNNNNNNNNNNNNNNNNNNNNNNNNNNNNNNNNNNNNNNNNNNNNNNNNNNNNNNNNNNNNNNNNNNNNNNNNNNNNNNNNNNNNNNNNNNNNNNNNNNNNNNNNNNNNNNNNNNNNNNNNNNNNNNNNNNNNNNNNNNNNNNNNNNNNNNNNNNNNNNNNNNNNNNNNNNNNNNNNNNNNNNNNNNNNNNNNNNNNNNNNNNNNNNNNNNNNNNNNNNNNNNNNNNNNNNNNNNNNNNNNNNNNNNNNNNNNNNNNNNNNNNNNNNNNNNNNNNNNNNNNNNNNNNNNNNNNNNNNNNNNNNNNNNNNNNNNNNNNNNNNNNNNNNNNNNNNNNNNNNNNNNNNNNNNNNNNNNNNNNNNNNNNNNNNNNNNNNNNNNNNNNNNNNNNNNNNNNNNNNNNNNNNNNNNNNNNNNNNNNNNNNNNNNNNNNNNNNNNNNNNNNNNNNNNNNNNNNNNNNNNNNNNNNNNNNNNNNNNNNNNNNNNNNNNNNNNNNNNNNNNNNNNNNNNNNNNNNNNNNNNNNNNNNNNNNNNNNNNNNNNNNNNNNNNNNNNNNNNNNNNNNNNNNNNNNNNNNNNNNNNNNNNNNNNNNNNNNNNNNNNNNNNNNNNNNNNNNNNNNNNNNNNNNNNNNNNNNNNNNNNNNNNNNNNNNNNNNNNNNNNNNNNNNNNNNNNNNNNNNNNNNNNNNNNNNNNNNNNNNNNNNNNNNNNNNNNNNNNNNNNNNNNNNNNNNNNNNNNNNNNNNNNNNNNNNNNNNNNNNNNNNNNNNNNNNNNNNNNNNNNNNNNNNNNNNNNNNNNNNNNNNNNNNNNNNNNNNNNNNNNNNNNNNNNNNNNNNNNNNNNNNNNNNNNNNNNNNNNNNNNNNNNNNNNNNNNNNNNNNNNNNNNNNNNNNNNNNNNNNNNNNNNNNNNNNNNNNNNNNNNNNNNNNNNNNNNNNNNNNNNNNNNNNNNNNNNNNNNNNNNNNNNNNNAAAUAAAGGAAUUUGGUAGAUCUAAUAAAAAUGUCACUUAGCAUUAUAGUUUCACAUGGAUUAUCUUUAAUAUAUAACAAUAGGGGUUUAAUGCCAAUUAUUCUUGGCAAUUCUAUACAAGAAUAUCUAUAUCUAAAACAAUUCCAAGAACAUAUCUACACAAUACAUAUUGAACUGCAAGAAAGUCAUUAAUUGGGAAAAAAAAUACUAUGGUUUCAUUAUCAUUUUCAACAUAAGUAUAAAAAUAUGUUGCUCUCGUUAUUUCUUUUUUCUUUAAAUGAAGGCUUUAAAAGAUAAAAAUGACAAGGAUAUUAAAUUAAUAUGGGGCUGAAUGUCCAACAGAUUACAAAUUGUUGAUUUCGUAUUAAACUGUUUUAGUAUAAAGGAAGAAGAUUAAUUGAUCAUUUACCAUUUAUUAAUGAAGUAAUUAAGGGUGAUAAAAGAUAAGCCUUCGGAUUCCAGAACGAAUAAUAUAUCACAUAGCAAGUACCGUUCAAUGUUGAUCCGAUUGCAUCAACAAUAACGCGUAUUCUUUUGCUUUACAAGGAAGAAAGGGCAUGCAGCUGUCAUUAGAGUUGGGUUUGGCUGCCAGCUAUUGAAACUCUAUCUUCACUUCCAUGAAGUUUCAAGAGAGCAAUCCAAAAAGGACAAAAAAAAAAAAAAACAGCAACAUCAUGCACUAAAUCAAAUAUUGAGAUUAGAGUAGGAAAGAGGAGAAAAUGCCAUACUCAUACUUUUUGAAUCGUGUGACUUCUAAUUUAUAUAAUUAAUGUUAUAGAGAAUGAAAGAAGGAGAGGGUGUUCACGUGCCACCCCUCCCUCUCUCUAUAAUUUUAUUUAUUUUUUUAUUUUACUUAUUAUUUUAUUUUUUUAUGAAAUAAAUUUUGUAAAAAAAUUCAAUAAAAAUAAAAAUAAUAAAGUAAUAUGUAUUCGAUUGAUUUUAAUCUGCAUCAAUCUAAUAUAAGUAUUUUUUUAAAAAUUAAAAUUCGAUCAAGAAUUUUUCUUUUUUUUGAAAAUAGAGUUAGAUUGAAAACAGAUUUAAAGUGUUUUACUUUGUCUUAUUAUCCACAUGAUAUCUCUAUCUUUUUUUAUAACUUCCAAUUUUUGGGAUUUCCUUUUUUUAAAAAUUUUUUACUUUUAGUUUUUUAUCAAUGAAAUAUAAAUAGAGGUGACAAAAUAACCUGUAUAUGAUGGGUUUCAAUUGGUUCCAAUUCAAUUGGUGCAUAUUCUUUUAAUUUGAGAUAAUUGGAUUGAGCUCUUUUUUAAAUCGAGCUCCAAAAAUAUUAAGAUUUUUAAUAUUACGUUUCAGCUUGAAUGUGUAUAAAAAAUAUAUUUUUUAUUAUUUAUUCAUUCUAUAUUUAUAUAUAUUUUAUAAAACAUAUUAUUUAUAUUUUAAUUUAAUAAAUUUAUUUGUCACCCCAUUUGGUUUUUUAGUCAUUUUCAUUUUUUAAAAUUUUUUAUGAGAUAAAUUUUAUAAAGAAAAGAGUCAAUGAAAGUAAAAAUGACAAAACAACUUAUAUCUAAUAGGUUUCAGUUUAUUUACAAUCCAAUUGAUAUGAUUUUUUUAAAAUAAAGAUUGAGUUAAGUUUUAUUUCUUUAAACAAUUUAGAUCAAGUUGAAAUCAAUUUUGAUAUAUUCUAUCUUGAACUCUUUGGAUAUAUAAAAGAAUAUAUUUUAUUAUUUAUUAAUUUAUAUUUAUUAUUAUAUAAUAAAAUAUUAUUAAUAUCAUAAUUUAAUAAAAAACUAUAUUUAUAUAAUUAAGUUAUAAUUUAUAUUGAAAAAUAAAUACAAUUACAUUUGUCUAUUUGUUAUCAUCUAUUAAAAUUUGAUAUAAAAAUUUUACUUUGCUUACAUUUAAGAUAUAAUUUAAAAAAUAAAAAAUAAUAUCGUGACAAAAUGUGGAUCUAAUUUUAAUAAAAGUAACAAUUAUACAAAAAAAAAAAAAAGCUUCUUCACUCUUUGGAAAAUUCAAUGGUUUCAACUUACAAUCAUAAUUGAAGGUUAAAAGUGAUUUGUUUUCAAGAGUAUUUUUAGCCAUAUAUUUCUAUUACCCAAACUUCGUAUGUUGGUGCAAUAUGCACCAUGAAAAGAUAUCCUUUUCUCUCUCAAUACCGUAAUAGGUUUUUUUUAAGUGUUUACUUAUAAUAUGUAUAAAAAAUUAUAAAUAUAAUUUGAAAUAAUAUAUUAUUAUAUUAUUAUAAUUAUUUUGAAGUUUUUAUAUUUUGAAAAAAAAUUAUAAUUACAUUAUUAUUAAUAUUAUCAAAUAUAAAUUAUAUAAUAAUUAAAUAAUCUGUCAAUCAAGAAUAAUUGUUAAUACUAUUAAAUUUAUUUCGACUAAUUAUCAAUUUUGUGGACAAAAUUAUGUUUAGAGAAAAAUUUUAAAGAUGUCUAUAGAAAAAGUUUCUUUUAAUUUUUUUAUUUUCUAAUAUUUGAAGUGUCUAUGAACAUUGUACUCCAACCUUUAGUGUAUACAAAAACAAUGAUAGCCAUUUAUAGGAUGAUGAUCAGCUAUCGCUGUAGGGAUAUCCAAGAAUUCUUCCUUUGUUAGAUCAAAAGCAGUGAUGUACUCAUGUUUUUGUUUUGAACCAUUUACAAUUCCUUUUUAAUAAUAUGAUUUUAAUACAUCUUAAAUUACAAUAUGAAUAAAACUAAGUUAUUAAAUCACAUAAAAUAAUAAAUAAAAUUAAUAAUUUUCAUUUAUCUCAUUUUUUAUUUUGUAUGGCUUGCACAUAUUAUAAUAAAAUAUUUAAUUUGAUAUUUAAAUUUUAAAAAAAUUUAAUGCGAUAUUUAAACUAAUCAUGUUAAAAAUAAGAAUCAAAUUAAUUAAUAAAUUUAUAAUUUAAAUAUCGAAUUAAAAAAUUUUAAAAUUUAAAUGUAAUAUUAAAUAUUUUAUUAUAAUUUAAAAUUAUUCAUAAUAUUAAUUUUUGUAAUAUUUUUAUGGUAUGCUCUGCUACGCUACAACUUAUUAUAGAGGGAUCUUUUCCGCCGUUAAAAAGUUACUUAAAAAAAAAAGUUGAGUGUGAACUAAACUUUUUUUAGCGAAAGAUUAAUUUUACGUUGAUGAAAAUAUUAGAGACAGAGCCUUAAAAAGGCAGUAUUUUUUUUAUUUUUCUAAAUAUUCCUGAUUCUACCUUUUUUUUCCUUUUUUUUUUAAAUUCUUCAAAAAUUAAUUAUGGAUGACGUUGGAUCCAUCGAUCAAACCAGUCAAACAGGUUAAAACAGUAACCAGAGGUUUUGAUUAUUGGUCUGAUUUAAAGCAUUGUGUCUAGCAAGUUGGAAAGAUAAGAAAUCGGUUUGAUUAUUUUGAUUAAUAUUUAGUAUUAUUAUUUUUCAAAAGUUAAUCUAAAUUUUAAUUUAUUUUUUAAAUUGAAUUAAAUUGAAUUAAAUUGAAUUGAAUUUUAUUAAUUAGAUUUAGGUUAUUGAUUUUUAAAAAUUUAUUUAUUAUUAUUUUUAUAUUAUUUUUUUAAAGGGACUGAUUAGCUUAUAUCACUAUAAAAUUUUUUAAUUUUAUAUAUAUUUUUUAUUAUUAAUUUUAAUUGAUUUAAAAAAUGAGAUUAAAUUAUUUAUUUAUUUAUUUCAUCUUUUGUAUCAAUUGAAAUUAAUGAUUAAAAAAUAUAAUUUUUUUGAUGUAAUUUGAUUUCUCUUUAUUUUAAAAUAAAAAUUAUUUUUAUUUUAUAAAAUAAUAAAUUUUAUAUAAAAAUUAAUAAAAAUAUAAUUUAGUUCGAUUGAAAUUUUUUUAAUUUAAUGAAUCAAAAAUCAUUUAAAUUGAAUAAAAAUAUUUAAUAUUCGAUCUGAAUCAAAUAAAAAAAUUUAUUAUAAUUUUUAACCGAUUUUUUAUUUCUCAAUUCUUUGCAUACGCUUUCGGUUUAUUUACUUUGUUUCCUCAGCCUUGCUGCCAGGAGCUUUGCUCUAACAAAAAUAUGUUAUAUAUUUUAAUAAAAAUUUGAAAUUAACUAAUAGUUAGGUUGCUAGGGUCGAACGCGCAUCCCAUGAGCAAAGUUUUUUUUUUAUUUUACAUAAUUAGCGUAUUUUUAAUUUUUUCGUGCCUAUGAAACGAAUCAGGCCCAAACUGACUAAUCCUUGUUUCUUCUCUUCACAGAAUCCAGCAUUCUGAAACGGAAAACCGAGGCUUUAUGGCAGUAGUUUCAACUGCUCAUUCAACUGCCACCCUUUUUCACCACAUAAAUGGUUUCAAACGCUUCACUUUUUUCUUACCCUUCUCUUCUUCUUCUGUUGCUGCUUCUCUGUCUACUAUGAAAAAGUGGAGACAACCAGUGGCUUCCUCAGUGCUAGAGCAUGGUGGAAUCAGAAUUGCUAAAGAUGGUAACAAAUUCCUACUUUUAUGAACUUGGGCUUUGCUGUUAUAUGAUUUUAUUGACUUUUCCAUGAACUGCGCCAUUUCAGUAUUUGCAGAUAUAGCAUUUUUACUAUGACUAGUAAAUUGUUAAGAGUAAUGGGUAUUUUAUCUCGUGUUUAAAUCUGGGCUGGCAAAGGUUAAUUGCAUUUAUGUGUUGCUUCUUUUUUAAAUUUGCCCUUUGUGUGUGUUCAAGUUGUAUUUGAUAAGAAAGUUCAAUUUAUGGUGUUUUGAUUUGGUAUGUUUUGGAAUGGAAGAUGUAUAUAGUCUAGGUAGAUUACACCUUUCUUCGAGUAUGAUGAAUUGAUUGAAAGUGUCAGCAAUUGAAAUCUGUUGUUGAGGUUUUUUGGUUUGAAAAUUGGCAUGGUAUAUGCUUUGAUAUUUUGUUAUUGGUGAAAUUUGAUUCAUCACUUUCUGUGCUUUCAUAAUUUAUGAAUGACUUAGUAUUGUUUGGAUGGCGGGAUUUGUAGAUGUGGUGAGGGACGAUCAACAAACAAUGUUCCAGACCACAAUUUUUUCAAAACUGGGAAUGCAGCUCCACAGAAGGAAUAAACCACCCUCUUGGGAUUCUGAAGAAUGGAAUCUAUGACUAUUUCGAUCACAUUUGAUUUCUAAGUGUUGGAAUGGUGAACUCAGGUAUUUGACAAAGGAUGAUCUCUUCUUGUUCGGUAAUUUGAUAGUAUAAAAAAUUUAAUUCCUUCACUUUCUUACAUCAAUAGAAAUUUAUGAUUUGGGUAAAAAAUAGAGCAUUUAGCCUUUCAUGAGAGAAAGCUUGAUGUUAUCUAUGGAAAUUUAGUUGUGACACUAGUUAGUGUGUUAAUCCUGUAUCAUUCUUUACCUUAAUUAAUAGUAAUAAGGAUUUUGUCUCACUUAGUUUAAAACCUUCUUUCAAGUGAUUGAAGCAGCAGUCGUAAACGAUUGGAAGUUCAUCUUGUUUGAGGCAAGUAACCUAUAAAACCUUUGCUUUUGUUUCUGUUAAGAUGACAGAUUCAAGCGAGCCGCAGUAUCCAGGAAAAGAACCUCAGCAAUUUGAAACAGAACCUCAACAAUCUGAACAAGGUAAAAUUUGUUCCCUUUUUUAUUCUUUUUAAAGGUGUAUACGUAUAUUUACUUGUAUAGCUAACUCUUUGAUUUUUCAGUCUGCAAUUUCUUUAGGAAGCCAACAAAGGGCAAAAACAUGAGGAAAAGGACAAUAAAUGAAGAUGAAGUUAAAGAUGAAGACUCCGGAAAUGGGACAUCUCUGUUGCACAAUCAGAAAAAGGCUUUGAAGCCUGACAUUAUGUUAUGCUUUUCAACUGGAUCCUCCAGGAGUGCUGCUCCCACUGAAUCAAAUACAGAAUCUGACAAACUGAUUUUUCAAUUUGAGUCAGAAAUUCAAGUUCAAAAUGAUAGCAGAGCUACAGCAACCUUAGAAACUGAGACUGAGUUUACAAAAGAUGCUCAUGCUACGUGAAAAAGUUCUUAAAUGAGCAAAGGAGGCUUUGAAGGGGAAAAACACUAGCUCUGGGGGAGAGAAGUUGUAUAAAGGAAUGCAUGGCUAUGUGGAUCAUAAGGCUGGGUUUCGAAGAGAGCAAACAGUUGCCAGUGAGAAAGCUGGUGGGUCACAUGGACCUCUUAGGGCUUCUGCCUACAUCAGGGUUUCAGCAAGAUUUGAUUAUCAGCCUUAAAUCUGUAAAGACUACAAAGAAACUGGUUACUGUGGUUACAGAGAUUCAUGUAAGUUUAUGCAUGAUCGUGGAGAUUACAAGUCUGGAUGGCAGUUAGAGAAGGACUGGGAAGAAGCAGAAAAAGCAAGGAAGAGAAAUCUGGCUUUGGGUGUCGAUGAUGAUGAUGAGGCAGGGGUAGACCAGAGUGAUGAUGACAAUGAUGAUUCGUUGCCCUUUGCAUGUUUUAUUUGCCUGCAGCCUUUUGUGGAUCCUGUUGUGACUAAGUGCAAGCACUACUUCUGCGAGCAUUGUGCUUUAAAGGUACCCACAUAUGCCUUUUCAUGUAGAUUAAUUUUUUUAAUGUCCUUUUUGUGCUAGGUUAAUAUCUAUUAGAUUUUGUUACAUUUGUUGUUAAUGCAUUGCUUAGGUGCAAAACUUUUUUGGUUACUUGCAUACAAAGAAAAUUGUAUGUGGACCAACUGUUUUUCAGCUAUAGAAAGAGGACAUAUUUUAACUUUACAUCGUCAACUUUUGGUGCCUCAUGUCUGUAUAGUUUACAUUUUUAUUCUCAUUCCAAUGUAAAAUAACCAACUGCAUCUUUUAGUUGUUCGGCAUCAUGCAAAGAAUAAGGAAUGCUUUGUAUGCAACUAACCCACCCUUGGCAUUUUCAAUACUGCUUAUGAGAUACGUAUACAUUGAUGCUUUCCUUCAAUUCCUGUUGCCAUGAGCACUUUUAUUUCUUAGUUUAGUGUUGUAGUGGAGGAUUCACUUGUCUGAAUACCUUAUUAAAUGAAACCGUUUCCCUGCUUGAGCUUGGGGGAAUUUUGGAAUGUCGAGCUCUUUAAAAUCAUUGUUGCUGCAGGCAUGUGCAUUAGUAUUUAGGUAAGCAUUUUUUCUGCGUCAUUCCACAACUGACUUAUGAGAUGAGUGAUUGUAUUAAUCAGAGUAAGAAUUAGGUUUUUACAUGAAGUUCCAAGAGUUGUCGAAAACAACUGAAUGAGUAGACAAUUGUAGAACUUGUAAUGUAUAUACAAAAUUGGCAUUCCUAGGAUGCCAACAAACCCUAUUGCUGCCUUUUACCCAUGAAGUAGAAUUUCUUCUACCUAGAGAUAGCGGUGCAAUCCAAUAUUAAUUUUUCAACAAUCAGCAUCCAACUUCACAACCUUCAUCAUGAUCAGAUCAGAAUCCAGGUCCCGAUGACACAUACGGGUAGGAUCUAGGAUGUUACUUCAAAGAGUUUAAGAAUGUUGGAUUGCAGGUAGUUUCAAUAGGGUAGGGAUGGCUAAUGGAAGCUGUGAUUUUUUGUGCUGUCCAAGUCCAAAGCAUGGAAAACAUUAAUGAUUGGUUUUCUUCCUUGAAAAAUACAGUUCCUGGAUUCAAAAAAAAAAAAGAGUGAAAUUAGCUAGCAAACCUAAACUUAAACUCAAGAAAUAGUUAUCUUUUUUGUUUCCUUUUUUCCCUGUAAAAUUUUCAAAUGACCGAAUUCAUAAGAACAAAGUAUUUUUCUAGUUGAUACUUACAUUUCUAGUUAGAGAAGGAUUCAAAUGAGCAAGAACUUAGGGCUGCAUGAGGACAGUUGUAGGAGAAAGCCUCUAGCGGUAAAGUCUUCAUAUACGCAUAAUCACUCUGUCCAAUGUGGCUUUUGGCAACCUCUAAGUCAUCAAAUAUCUUUUUACUUGCAGCAAUCUUCUAAACAUAAAUUCUGAGCUAAUACUCAAAAUAGGCUAAAUAUCAGAAGGCUUGACAUCCUUCCUGGUUUACAGCAUCAAGCUGACUACUAGAGAAAAAACUACCUAUAAAAUGACGAGUGAUUGAAACAUAGCGUGUCUUCAUCUUUUAAUUAUGGAUUAGUGGCUAUAUCAGAACACUUAGCACAUCAAUGUCAAUAUUGGCUAUUUAGUUAUGAUGUUUUUUUUCUAUUAGAUAGAGAAUAAGUUACUGAAAGGAUUCAAUGGAAUAGAGAAGUGAGUAUAUAUAAGUUACUGAAUGUAUUGCCCUCAUUGUUUUUGUUUAGUCAGGGUCUAUUCUACAUGCAAAUCAAUCAUAUAGCAAUAGAGCUUACAACAAACCAUUUGUUUUUGUCUGUAGGAGUGCUGAAGCAAAGAAACAAAGGAUGAUAUGGGAUUAAAGUUGAAGAAAAUAAUAAAGGAAAUAUUUCAAUGUUUCUCGCUAUUGUCAAAUCUAUAGUUGUUAGGGACAAUAAAAUACUAUCGAAGUUAGUCUGGAAUUGUCGAGCUUGAUACCUGGAACUGGAAGCUUUGUUCUUUUCUUUUCGUUGUUUUUUUCUCUGUAGUGAUGUAGCAGUUAAUACAGGAAUAAAGCAUCUUAGCUUGAGCUUGGUCUGUGAAGAUUUUUCUGUGUUAGGAGAUGUAACAUCUAGUUUUGGCAGUUGAAAUGGUAGCGUAGUCAUUGUUGUACAUGCCAUGGCUUAUAUCAAAUUCCUGCACUGCAAAUAGUUGAGUGAAUUAAUGAUAUUGUUGAUGUAAUUCCUGGUCUGAUAGUUGAAAGUUUUACUGGAGGUUGAGAAGGAGAGUUUGUGUGACCUGUCAUAGAGUAGAAAGUCAGUGUGCCAAAAAUGUUAUUUUGAGGCAUUCUCCGAUGCAAGUUAAGUUAGUAAGGUAUAUUAGAAGCAAGUAAAUGAGAGAGAGUAAGGAGCAGUUAAAGAGAGCAAAGAGAAUUCAGUAGUGAAUCGCCUGUCUGGUCUGGUUCUACUUUUUAUACCUCUUAAUGACGACGUGGCAAACUGAGCUUUCAUGUGUAAGACCUAUUAUGUGGCUGCCGGCAUGAUCACUUAGGUAUAACCAUAAUGAAGAGUUUAAAAGAUAAUAGGACUUUUGUUAAGAAUUUCUUUGGAUAAAUGAUUUUUAUUAACCCAAAGAAAGCAGUAGACCUGCUACAAGUAAACAGUAAGCUAUCAAUACGCUACAAAUGUCCAAGAACAAUCUAACUUUUGCAAAGUAAUCAAACGAAGCAACAUUAAGGAACCAGUCCCCAAUUCAGACACAUUUUUCUUUUGCUAAGCCAGAAAUUAUUAAUAAAAACAGAGUUACACAAUAGGGUGAACAACAGGGGAACCCCAUAACUCAGCAGUAAAACACCACCCCAUAGACAGAACAGAAGACAAGCACAAUACAACCGGACAUACUGCCAAUCAUCUUUGGUGAGCAGAAGAGAAAGAACCGAGACACAAGUACCGUAACACCAAGCCAAAAACACUCAGACACAAUUUCUGUUGUUGAAGAGGAAGCGUGGAACUGGAGAAUGCAAUCUUGUUAUUGAACUAAGCCAAAAGGAACUUCUGAUAGUUGAAACAAUAGCUUCUAUAUCUUUAGAUGGCCUGCCAAACUUCCCUUGAUUGUGCUCCUGCCAAAUAAAAUAUAUAUGAGCAUCCCACGCCAAUCUAAUUAAGGACAAUAGACGCCAAAGCUUUGCUUUGCUCUUAAGAUGGCUGACAGCCCAAUCUAACUCAAAAUACCAGUCACCCACAUGUCUUUUACAAAUUGUUAACUUGGAAACUCAUUAUUGUCAUUUAUAAAAUGAGGUUAGGAAUUCAAAGGACAUAUCCUAGUUUGCAGGCAAUUUUUGCUUUUAGUUUUAAAAGCAAUGCCAAGUUUAAAAAGGGAAUGAGACGUCCAAAGUUGAAACCUUCUUGAAUUAAAUUUCAAAUGUAAUUACUUUAGUCAAAUAUCAAUUAGUGCAUAUAUAUAUAUAUAUAUAUAUAUAUAUAUAUAUAUAGCACACUUAUAAUGUAAGAGAGUAUUUAAAUAAUUUUAUUUGUUUAGGCAAUUAACUACAGCUGAAACAAUCAACAAGAAAACUUUUGAGUUAUUAAGUAUUCUAAAAUGCUUACCAAAUGAAUUUGAAACUUGAAUUUUGAUGGAGUCACCUAGAAGAUCUUCUCCAUUUUUUAUUCCGAUUCCAUGUAAACCUAUCCAUCCAUUUGUUUCCCAUCUCAUUCAGCACUGUAUAUCCAAUAGACAACCCAAUCACCAAACCACAUCCAUAACCAAUCAAUAUGAUUUUCCAAACAGAUAUACCAUCUACCCAUGAAUCUUGAUCUUCCUUAGGGGGUGGCAUUCCGAGACCAACUUCAUUGCAUUUCUUUGUCAAAGGAGGCCCACACAAUCUUGGGUUCCCUUUGAAAGAAUCGUUUGAAAAUGUACCAAAUUGGUAGCUUUGUGGUAUGGUUCCCUCAAGUUGGUUGUAAGAGAGAUUCAAUACUGCAAGAAAUGUUAGGCUUGUAAGCUGUAGAGGAAUCUUCCCGGAGAGUUUGUUCUGGGAGAGGUCCAAAGACUCAAGUUGAGUUAAGUUUCCAAGUGCUAAAGGAAUUGGGCCAAGGAAGCUGUUGUAGGACAAGUUUAGCACUUUGAGUGACUUGAGGUUUUGUAUUUCUUCUGGUAUUUUCCCAUGGAAACUAUUAUUGGAAAAGUCAAGACAAGCAAAGAUGGUUAAAAUUUUCUGGUAAAAAAGUUCAAACCCUUUAUUCACAAUUGUCACAGAGUCCUGGUAGUAAUCAUCUCCAAUAUAAUCUGGCUUACCUUUUUUGCCAUCAAUCAUCAUCUUCAUUGCCUUCAAAGAUUGAAAAAAUCCAACAGGUAACUCACCUGAAAAGUUAUUGGAAGCGAGGUCCAGUAUGUGUAACUCUAGGAAAGCAUUUUCAUCCUCAGAAAUUUUAAUCGGACCAUAAAAUCUAUUUGCUCUUAGUACAAGAACCUUUAAAGAAGGCAAUUUCACCAACCAAAAAGGAAAUGUGUCUUGUAUCAUAUUUUUUCCAACGUCCAAAACUUCAAGCUUUUUGCAAUGGGCUAAUGACCUCGGCAACUUUCCUUUCAGUUUAUUCCCGCCAAUUUUGAGUGACCUUAGUUGAGGGGCUUGAAAGAAUUCAAUUGGUAAUUGACCAGAAAAAUUAUUGAAAGCAAUGUCAAGUACAUCCAAGUCUUGAAAACAAUUUUUCACAUGUUUAAUUGGACCAUAAAACCUAUUUGCUCGCAAUACAAGGACCAUCAACGCCGGCAAUUUUCCCAACCACAAAGGGAAUGUGUCAUGUAGAGUAAAGGUUUAAAACUUGGAGGAUUGUGCAAUUGGCUAAUGACCUUGGCAACUUCCCUUCCAAUUUAUUAUCAUUGAGUUGAAGCCAAUAUAAUUGGGUCGCUUUUGCAAAAUCUGGUAUGCUGCCAUUGAAAUUAUUUUUUUGUAGAUCCAAAGUGUCGAGAGAACUGAUGUUGCCCAAGCAACUUGGGAUUGGCCCGGUUAAUUUGUUAAAGGAUACAUUAAGGGUCCCAAGCUGACUCAAAUUGCAAAUAGGUCUUGAUAAAGAGCCUUGUGAAGAAGUUAGAGAUUGGUUUAGUGAAAAUUGGUCCAAAAAUGAGAGAGAAUUGUUAGAAAGAUCCAGAUUCCUCAAACUUUUCUUCCACACCCAAUUUGGUACUGCACCACUUAUUUUAUUAUUUGAAAGGUCUAGAUGUUCUAAACUAGUUUGACUCUUUAAAAACUCUGGAAACAUACUUAGGUUACAGAAUUGUAAAUAUAAGACACUCAACAUUGGAAAAGAGGAGUUUGCGUCACCAAAAGGAACCUCUUUUGAAAAAUCAAUUGCAUUGAAAGAAAGGUCUAACCCUAAAAGAGUGGUCUUCCGUAACCAAUUAGGCACAAAACCAUGGAUUUGGUUGUUAGAAAGACCUAGAAAAGCCAACUUGUCUUGAGUUUUGAUGAAAUCUGGAAAUUCAGUAAGGUUACAUGAAUUUAGGUCCAGCUCCUCUAAUUGGGGAAAAGCAAGGCUUGUGAUGUUGCUUUCAAUUGACAAGCUCGUAUUUGAAAGGUCAAGAAACCUUAAGUUCUUGAGUUGGGAGAACAUGUCAAGCUUCAUGGAACUAAAGCUAUUGUAGCCUAAAUACAAUGCUUCAAUCAAGGAGGAAGAUGCAUUGAGAACCUCAUCAAUUUCACCAAACAAUUGAUUUUCACUAAAAUCCAAGGCCUGCAAUGAUGGGAGAGUAAAUACAGAAGAAUUUAUUGAUCCAGAGAGGUGGUUCCUCCACAAACAAAGAUAUGCAAGAUUUGGAACUCCAAAUCUAUGAAAUGCAGGGAUAAAACCACUUAAAUUGUUAUGGGAUAGAUCCAGUUCCACAAGGUUAGUAAGAUUUGCAAUUGAUGAUGGAAUUUGUCCAAAGAACUUGCAAACAUGGAGAUUUAAAUUUGUCAAGAAUUUGAGAUUACCAAUUGAUUCUGGUAAUUUUCCACUGAAAUUUGUAUAAGACAUCGUUAAGAUCCGUAAAGCAUUGUUUAAUGGAAAUUCUGGCAACUGACCUCCAAGAUUGUCAUUUUCUGAGAUGUCAAUGCUUUCUAUUUUUGGGAACAUGAGAAUUUUUGUUGGAAAAUGCCCACUCAAAUUGCAAUUCACUAAACUGAGAGAAACCAAACGAGAGGAAAUUUCCAAGAAAUUAGGAGGCAAAUAAGAGAUCGAAUUCCCACCAAGGAAAAGUUUGGAAAGAAAAGGAAGUCUUGAGAGUGAAGAACAAAAUGGACCUGUCAAACCACAAUUCGACAGACUUAGCACAUGUAGGUUAUGAAGUGCUAUGGAUGUGGCUUCACACCAUUUAGUACUUUGAGUUGAAAUGUUCACACUAUCCAGGUAGAGCUCUGUAAGAGGUCUCAAAUUGUGGAUGAAUGACUUGAAGUUUGGGUUUUCUAGUUUUAAAGGUUGAUAAAGGUUGUAAGGAAAAUCAUCAUACCAGAAAUUUGAAUCAAGAAUUUGGUAAUUGUGUAGAUAGCAAGAAUCUUGAUUAGAUAGAUCAAGAGAGACUAACCUUGUUAAGUAUGAAAUCCCCACUGGAAUUUGGCCAUGAAAACAUGAGUUUGAAAGGUUAAGAUGAGUUAAAUUUGGAAAUCUAUCAAACUCAUAUUGAAACAGAGUAGUAUUAAAAUUGUUUCCAGCAAGAUUAAGGCGUUGAAGAUGAUGGAGAUUGAAAAUGGAGUGAAAGCUGCCGGAAAGGUUUUUGUAACUGAGAUCAAGCCCAAUCACAUGACCCACAGCAUCACAUGUAAUUCCUUUCCAAGAGCAACAAUCAGUGUUGGGAUCCCAAAGCUCAAUUUUGAAAGAGAACGUAAAAUUUGGGGCAUAGUACAGAUCAUGGUGCAAUUGCAAUAGAGCAGAUUUCUGAUCAUUAAGGCACUGAUUUUGGAGAUCAGUAUGAGGAGGGGAAAAAGAUAGCACAAGAGAUACAGAGCAUGAGAAGAGAAACAAGGUAGGAAAAAUGAGUGAUAUUAGGAUAUGAAAAUUCUUCAUGUUUUGUUGGCUCUCUAUAGGAAAAAAAUUGAAGGGAAGAUUGUGGAAUUUAAGAUUUGCAUACACGAUAUUUAUAGACAAGUACUUCAUAUUACGAUUGUUAUUGUAGCUAUAUAUCUCCCUUGAUCUCAAGAGAUAGGUUCAAAUGUGUUUUUCCAACCACGUGUUUGUACAAAUCAUGAGUUUGAACUUUUUUCUGUAAGAGUUGAAUCAAAAUAGGUGGAAGACAAAUAUGGUUAUUGCUUGUCCAUUUUGAAUUUUAAAGAAUGAAUAAUGGGUUUCAAUGAUGCUAAGGCUAAUAGUUUUGCUUUUGUAAAUUAAUCUUUUAUCACUAUAUUCUUUCUUUAUUCCUACUUUUUAUUUCAUAUUAUGUAUUCCUACAAAAAAACAAAUAAAAAAUUAAUUUUCUCAAAGUUAGGUAAUAGUGGUAUGUAUAUAUCGGUAGGGAGGAAUCCUCUCUAGUACAAAAAAAAAAAUAAUAAUAAAAAUUAUCACUAACUUUGAUGUCUAAAGAGAAGUAAAACUUGUAAAGAUUUAUCAGUUAACUCAACUCUGAUAUUAUAGAAUUAGAUGGAAUAAAUUUUUUUUUUUAAAUUUUAACUAAUAAGUUUGUUUCUUCUUAUUUUUCUUCGAUUCAAAGUUUGAAUCUCCUUUUGUUCCCUCCAUCAACUUCCUCAUAUUUAUCAAUUUUUGUUUUCUAAAUAAGCAUUCAGAGAAAAGAAUAAUUACUGUAACAAUUAUUUCUUUAUAAUACUAUGCGUUAUUCAUUGGUCUGUAAUAGAGUUUAGUCAUCAUAGCACAUUAGAUUAAUAAUUAAGAAAAUAGGAUAUCGUUUAGUCAUAUGGAUACCGUUUGGUGCAUUUUUUUUACUUUUGUUGCAAAACCUGUUGUAAAAUGGCAUCACAUGUUGUAAAAAUACUGCCCACUUAACCUGAAAAUCUAUAAACGAAGGCAAAGAUGAAAGCAUGAAAGAAACAUCCAGCUAACAAAGUGAAAAUGCUGAAACUGAGUUUUGCUGGUAUAUAGAUGUCAAGUCGGUUGAAAUAAUGGGAGAUAGGAGCUUAGCUUUGGACAAUGCUUCACAUUCCCAUCCAUUCAAUUAGAUUUGAUUGAUUGCGUCUCCCUUGAUAUUCCGUUUAGGAAUGAUGAUGGAUAGAAAAUAAUUGAAUAUUUGAUAUAUUAUCUGACCUAUUUAUGUCUAAUUCAAAUAUUUAUAAAUAUAUAUUUAAUAGAUUCGGAUAGAAUUUAGAUAAUACCAUUUGAAUAUCUGAAUCCGUUCAAGUUUUAAAGCAUAUAGUAUCUAUUAUUUGAAUCUAUUAUUUAUUUACAUAUAUAAAAUUUUAUUUUCGAAUCUUAGCAAACAACAUUUACUUAUUAUUAAUUAAUAGUGAAUUUUAUAUUUAAAUUUAAUUCUUGUUGAAUUUAUAUUUUAGCAAAAAUUUUAACUUAAGUAAUUGGAUAUUUUAAAGGAUUAAAAAAUGAAACAGGCGAUAUUUAUUUAAAUGGUUUAUAUAAAGAUAAUGAUAGUAAAUUUAAUUGAAUAUUUAAAUGAAUUCACAUACCAUGAAAAUUAAAUAGAUUUAAAUACAAAUAUCUAAAUAAUAUGUAUUCACUCUGUUGUUAUUCUUACUUCUCCAUUCAUAAACAUGAUAAAACAAAUUCGCAAAAGAGUUUUUCACUCUCUAAAAUUAGUUAAUAUAUUAUUUAUUGUAAUAAUUUUAUGUUAAAUGCAAUACUUGAUACCUAAUAAUUUUCAUAUUUAUAAUUUUUAAUGUAUUGGAUGAAGAUAUUAUAUUAUGUAAUAACCUUAGAGUGUGCUUUUAGAGCAUUGUUUGCAAAAUCAUUUUAUUAAUCUCUGAAAAUUCAAAACAGCAUAUUAAUAAUUUAAUAUUGAAUUUAUCAUAUAUAUAUAUAGUCCUUUUUAUUAUUUUUGUUUUUAAUAUUGUUAAAGAAUAUUGAUUUGAAUAGUGAGAACUUAGAAUAUAUAUAGAUUCAUCAUUUUUAUAUUUACAAAAGCUUUCAAAUAAAAAAUAUUAACCAAUAUUAUUUUUUAAUGAUAAUGAACCUUAAUAUUAAUGAAUAAUGUGAAAGUUACAAACGUGAACAUUACAAAUAUAAAAGUGGACAAAUGAUUGUGUUUCCAAUAGAACAAAAAUUAAUGGGAUUUUCUAUAUAUGAAUUAGUCUUCAAUUUCAUCGUGCAUAGUUUUUCUUUGUCGGUUAAAGUCAAAAAAGUUACAUGAUUGGUUAAUUUUUGUUCAAAUUCCAUUGUCCACGCUUACACAAGAAAUUAAUACUAACUUUUCUUUUCAUUUAAUUGUUCAAAGGAAAUUUAAUUUAAAUUUAUUCAAAAUUAAAUAAUAAGUGUUCAACUUUAAUAUCUAAUUAGACUAUAUAUUUUCCAAAUGUCUUCAAUCAUCACGUCUAAGUUUUUUAUUUUUUGUUAUUUGUUCCUUAUUUUCAAUUCAUUUUUCUAAUUAGUAAUUAAUUAUAUUCUCCCUAUCUCGUUUUUUUUUAUCUAUCAUUCCCUAUUCGAAUAUUUUAAAAUUACCAUCUUUGCUUUUUUGAACACAAAAUGCUAUUAUUUUUCCAUACGAUUAUAUUCCAAAAUCAUUUUGAUUUUUUAAUUACAUUUUUAUAUUUAAAACCUCAAAAUAUAAAUUUUAUAUAAUAAAUUUAAUUUUUUAAUAUUAAAUACACUCAUAAUAAAUUGAAAAUUGACACCCCAACGAAAAUAAACAAAAUAAAAAGAACAUUAGAAAUUUUAUCCAUAAUAUCAAAUACACUCAUACUUUAUAUUGUUUUAAACUGAAUAAAUUUUUUAAUUGAAAAAAAAAGAAAUUAACCAAAGAGAUUACAUAAUUUUCUCACUUUUUAAUCUUCUAAUUAAUUGAUGCUUUUGGUUUUUAUUUUUUAAUAAAUGAAUUGAAAACCAAAAACAAAUAGUAAAAGAAAAAAAAUACAAACCAAAUGAAAUCUAAAUUAUAUUUUUUAGUUGAAUCUCAAGAAUGUAAUAAUUAAUCAUCUUAAAUAAUUAGCAAUUAUUCACUUGGUGGAAUCUUAUCUAUAAGAUUUGAGAAAGUACAACAAAAGUGUCAAGACAUUGAUCGUAGUAUUCAAUAGAUACAUAAAUUUUCAAUUAUUUGAAAAUAUUAGGAUCUAAAUUUCCAUUUAUUUGAAAAUAAUAGGAUGAAAGAAAAACUUUAGGAUUUGAAAAUUGUCUUCUUUUUUUUUUUUCAAAGUCCUUGAAUCAAUGGAAAUUAUACUUUAUAGAGAUCCACUUGUUAAUUUUAAAGUUUCUAGAUAUAUAUUUUUGAUAAGUUAUAUAAAUUACUAAAUUUUCAUAUCCGGAUGUAGGGAAAAAAAUGGUGUAUCUAGAAUCAUCCAUCAUAAAAUUAUACUUUAUAAAAAAUUUGUUUUUUUUUAUUUUUAUUUUGGACUUACAAAGAAAAUGAUAGUAUGAGAUUUUUUUAUUGGUAUUUAGACUUCUCUUUGCUUUAUAUUUUAAGUCUUCUCAUCAAGCAAAUGUCUAAAUCUUUUUGCCCCCAACAUUACUCUAUGAAAAAUAAUAUUCUUAGCAGUUUACUUAAGUCAAGUCUGUCAUUUAAAAAAGACAAAACAAACAACAAUUUUCUCAAUUGAAGUUGUUUUCUUGUCUUUUAGUUAAAUUGAUGGACUAGAAAUAAAUUUUAAGUAUAUUAAUUAUUAUUGUUAUAUUUUGAUCUUUUUAAUAACUUAGACUACAACAACUGCUAAUAUUGUUAUUUUUGUGAAGUAAAGAUGGGGCAAAAAGAUUGACACAUUUGCAUGCUUGAUGCCAAGACUAAGUAUAAAGCAAAGACUAAGACUUAAACCAAUACAUUACCAUAGUAUCUAUCAUUUUCUUUCUUAUUCCACCAUUAUAAAAUCACAAUUUCCAAAAUAAACAAGUUUAAGAAGUGAGAGAAUGAAUGUGUUCUUUAGAUUUUUUUUUUCAAACUUUUUAGAAAAAUAAAACAAAGAUUUUUAAUAUGUUGAUUUGUUUUGGCCAAUCAAUUUGUUGAUUAUAUAAUUUUUUCUCAUGAUUUUGUUCCUAAUGGACUGUUAGAUUUCAUGGUGUGCGCAUUUUUUCUUUCUUCAAUUUUUUAUGAUUAAUAUAUUUUAAAGAGAUCCUCUAAUUUAAAAUUUCAAUAAUCCAAUAACCAUGUAAUCUGUUAAUAAAAUACUAAACUUUUAGUUUCAAUAGUUUAAAGUUCAAAUCCUAACAAACUCACAUACAAAAAAAAAAAAAAGAUAAUCUUCUACUUUCACAAAUUUCAUGUAUACGAGAUAAGUUAUAUAUAUUUCAAUUUCUUCACAAAUGAUUAAUAAAGUUUUUAAAUUUUAUAAACGAUAUUAGCAUCUCAUACUUUUGUAACAUAUUUUCUUUUAACUAUUUUUUUCAAACCUAAAUGUAACUUUUUUUAAUUUAUCAGAUAUGAAAAUCCAGUAAGAUAUAUAACUUAUCAGAAAUGUUUAUUCAAAAGUUUUAAAAUUAAAACGAGAUGGGUAAAUAAGUAAUAUCACUUAAAAAAUUAAAAAAAAAAGUAAAUGUAGAGAAAAAUAUGAUGGUGUAUUUAGAAUCACUCAUCACAAAAUUAUACUUUAUAAAAAAAUUGAUAUUCUAAUUUUGGAAUCACAAAGAAAAUGAUAAUAUGAGAUUUUUUAUUGGUAUUUAGUCUUUUCUUUGCUAUAUACUUUUAAGUCUUCCCAUCAUGCAAAUAUUUAAGUUUUCUUUCCAAUUAUUAUUUUGUGAAGAAUAAUUUCUUAGCAAUUUGCUUAAGUCAAGUCUGUCUUUUAAAAAAGAUAAAAAAACAUAGCAAUUUUCUUAAUAGAGGUUGUCUUUUGUCUUCCAGUUAAAUUGGAAGACUAAAAAUGGAUUUUAAGUAUAUUAAUUAUUAUUGUUAAAUUUUAGUCUUUUUAAUAACUUAGAUUGGAGCAAUUGCUAAGAUUAUUAUUUUUGUAAAGCAAAGACGGGGGCAAAAAAACUAAUACAUUUACAUGUUUGUUGCCAAAACUAAGUAUAAAGCAAAGUCUAAGACUUAAACCAAUACAUUCCCAUAGUAUCUAGCAAUUUGUUUCUUAUUCCACCAUUAAAAAAUUACAAUUUCCAAAAUAGACAAGUUUGAUAAGUGAGAAUGAAUAUGUUCUUUAGAUUUUUUUUCAAACUUUUCAGCAAAAAUAAAAUUCAAGUUUUUAAUUUGUUGAUUUUUUUGUCCAAUCAAUUUGUUGAUUAAGCAACUUCUUUUUCAUGCUUUUGUUCCUAAUGUACUAUUUGAUUUCAAGGUAUGUCCUUUUUUUUUUUUCUAUUUUUUUUAGUUGUUAUUGUUAAUAUAUUUUAAAGAAAUCCUCUUAUUUAAAAAUUCAAUGAGCCAAUAACCAUAUAAUCUAUUAAUAAAAUGUUUAACUCUUAGUUUUAAUAGUUUAAAGUUCAAACCAUAGCAACCUCAUAUAAAAAAAAUCUUCUAAUUUAAAAAAUUUCUUGUAUGCAAGAUAAUUUAUAUAGAGUUUUAAAUUUUAUAAACAAUAUUAAAUCUCGUACUUUCUAUAAGAUAUUUUCUCUUAAUUAUUUUUUUUCAAACCUAAAUGUAACCUUUUUUAAUUUAUCAUAUAUGAAAAUCCAGUAAGUUAUAUAACUUAAGAAAUAUAUAUCUAAAAGCUUUAAAAUUAAAAUUAGAUGAGUAAAUAAGUAAUUUCACUUAAAAAUUAAAAAAAAAGAGUGGAUAUAAAGAAAAAUAUGAUGGUGUAUUCAAAAUCAUCCAUCACAAAAUUAUACUUUAUAAAAAAAUUGAUAUUCUAAUUUUGGACUCACAAAAAAAACUAUAGUAUGAGAUAUUUUUAUUGGUGUUUAGUCUUUUCUUUACUUUAUACUUUUAAGCCUUCUCAUCAUGCAAAUGUGUAAGUCUUCUUGCCCCAUCAUUACUAUGAGAAGAAUAAUCUUCUUAGCAAUUUACUUAAGUCAAGUUAGUCUCUUGAAAAAAAUAAAAAAACAUAAACCAGUUUUUCAAUGGCUGUUGUCUUUAUGUUUUUAAUGUAAAUUAGCAGACUAGGAAAAAUAUUUUAAGUAUAUUAAUUUAUUAGUAUAUAUUCUAGUCUUUUUAAUGAUUAGAUUGAAGAAUUAAAAUUAUUAUUUUUAUGAAGUAAGAUAGGGGCAAAAGACUAACAUGAUUUACAAAAGUUUACUGAUUUAGCAAUGACAUAGCUAUAAUGUAUAGCAAAGUUAUAGAUAGAUCUACAUGUGUAACAAUUGCAGUUACCAAUGCAAAAUCUAUUAUUUUCUUUCUUAUUCACCAUUAUUAAAUCACAUAUUUUCAAAUAGAAAAUUUGAGAAGUGGAAUGAAUAGUGUGUUAGAUUUUUUUUUUUCAACUUUCAGCAAAAAUAAAAGACAUUUUAAUUGUUGCUUUUUUUUUUGCCAAUCAUAUUUGUUGAUUAAGCAACUUCUUUCUCUUGCUUUUGUUCCUAAUGGUAUUUGCAUUUUUUUAAUUUUUUAGUUUUUAAUUGUUAAUAUAUUUUAAAAAGAUUCUUUAAUUUAAAAUUAAAUGAACAAAUAAUCAUAUAGUUUGUUAGCAAAAUGUUGAACUCUUAAUUUCAAUAGUUUAAAGUUCAAAUCCUAAUAACCUCACAUACAAAAAAAAAGGAUAAUUUUCAAAUUUCAAAAAUUCCAUGUGUACGAGAUAAUUUUUAUAUAUUUUUUGAUUUCAUAAUAUAUGAUUAAUAAAGAUUUAAAAUUUUAUAAAUGGUAUUAGAAUCUCAUACUUUAUGCAAGAUAUUUUCUCUUAACUAUUUUUUUUCCAAACCUAAAUGUAACUUUUAACUUAGUAGAUAUGAAAAUCUAAUAAGUUAUAUCUAAAUGCUUUAAAAUCAAAAUGAGAUGAUAAAGAAGCAAUUUCAUUUAAAAAUUAAAAAAAUUGAUAUAGAGUAAAAAUGGUCAUAAUUUUAGAAUCAACCAUCACAAAAUUAUACUUUAUAAAAAAUUGAUAUUUUAAUUUUGGACUCAUAAAGAAAAUGAUAGUAUGAGAUCUUUUUAUUGGUAUUUAAUCUUUUCUUUGUUUUAUACUUUUAAGUUUUCCCAUCAUGCAAAUGCCAAAGUCUUCUUGCCCCAUCAUUAUUAUGUGAAAAUAAUCUUCUCAUCAAUUUGCUUAAGUCAAGUCUACCUUUUAAAAAAGACAAAAAAAUAAAAAAAAGUUUUUUUCUCAAUGAAAGUUGUCAUUUGUCUGCUAGUUAAUUGGCACACAAGGAAUAGAUUUUAAGUAUAUUAAUUAUUAUUGUUAUAUUUUAGUCUUUUUAAUGACUCAGACUAAAGCAACUACUAAAAUUAUUUUUGUGAAGCAAAUAUGGGGGCAAAAUGAUUGACACAUUUGCAUGCAUGAUGCCAAAACUAAGUAUAGAGCAAAGACUAACACUUGGACCAAUACAUUCCCAUAUUAUCUAUCAUUUUUUUUCUUAUUCCACCAUUAUAAAAUCACAAUUUUCAAAAUAGACAAGUUUGAGAAGUGAGAAUGAAUAUAUUUUGUAGAUUUUUUUUUUCAAACCUUUCAACAAAAAUAGAACACAUGUUUUUGAUUUGUUAAUUUUUUUUUUGCGAAUUAAUUUGUUGAUUAAGCAACUUCUUUCUUAUGCUUUUGUUCCUAAUGUACUAUUAGAUUUCACGGUAUGUGCAUUUUUUUAGUUUUUUAUUGUUAAUAUAUUUUAAAGAUAUCUUCUAAUUUAAAAAUUCAAUAAACUAAUAACCAUAUAGUCUAUUAGUAAAAUGCUAAUCUCUUAGUUUUAGUAGUUUAAAAUUCAAAUCCUGGCAAUCUCACUAUAAAAAAAAGACAAUCUUAAAAUGAAAAAAUUUCAUGUAUACAAGAUAAUUUAUAUAUAUUUUAAUUUUCUUCACAUAUGAUUAAUAGAGUUUUUAAAUUUUAUAAACAGUAUUAAAAUCUCAUACUUUUUAUAAGAUAUUUUCUCUUAACUAUUUUUUUUUCAAACCUAAAUGUAAUUUUUUCUAACUUACCAGAUAUGAAAAUUCUGUAAGUUAUAUAACUCAUUAGAAAUGCAUAUUUAAAAGGUUUAAAAUUAAAACAAGAUAAGUAAAUAAGUAAUUUACUUAAAAAUUUUCUAAAAAAGGUGGAUGUAGAGAAAAAAUAAUGGUGUAUUUAAAAUAACCCACCACAAAAUUAUACUUUACAAAAAAAAUUGAUAUUCUAAUUUUGGACUAACAAAGAAAAUGAUAGUAUGAGAUUUUUUUCAUUGGUAUUUAGUCUUUUCUUCACUUUAUACUUUUAAGUCUUCCCAUCAUGCAAAUGUCUAAGUCUUCUUGCCCCAUCAUUACUCUAUGAAAAAUAAUCUUAUUAGCAGUUUGCUUAUGUCAAGUCUAUCUUUUAAAAAAGACAAAAAAAAUAGCAAUUUUUUCAAUGGUGAGUGUCUUUUGUCUUCCAAUUAAAUUUGCAGACUGGGAAUGGAUUUUAAAUAUAUUAAUUAAUAUUGUUAUAUUUAGUCUUUUCAAUGACUUAGAUAAAGCAAUUGCUAACAUCAUUUUUUUUUUUUGAAGUAAAAAUAGGGGCAAAAAGAUUGACACAUUUGCAUGCUUGAUGCCAAGACUAAGUAUGAAGCAAAGACUAUGAUUUAGACCGAUGCAUUCUGAUAGGAUCUAUCUUUUCUUUCUCAUUCCACCAUUAUAAAAUCACAAUUUCCAAAAUAGACAAGUUUGAGAAAUGGGAGUGAAUGUGUUCUUUAGAUAAUUUUUUCAAACUUUUCAGUAAAAUUAAAAGAUAGGUUUUUAAUUUAUUAUUAUUAUUAUUAUUAUUAUUAUUAUUAUUAUUAUUAUUAUUAUUAUUAUUAUUAUGCUAAUCAAUUUGGUGAUUAGGCAACUUCUUUCUCAUGCUUUUGUUCCUAAUGUACCAAUAGAUCUCAUGGUAUGUGCCAUUUUUUUUAUUUUUUAGUUUUUUAUUAUUAAUAUAUUUUAAAGAGAUUUUUUUAUUCAAAAUUAAAUGAGCAAAUAACCAUGUAGUUUGUUAGUAAAAUGUUGAAUUCUUAAUUUUAGUAGUUUAAAGUUCAAAUCCUGAUAACCUCACAUUACAAAAAAAAAGGACAAAUUUCUAAUUUCACAAAUUUCAUGUAUACGAGAUAAUUUUUAUAUAUUUCAAUUUCAUCAUAUAUGAUUAAUAGAGAUUUUAAAGUUUAUAAAUGGUAUUAGAAUCUCAUACUUUAUGCAAGAUAUUUUCUCUUAACUAUUUUUUUCCAAACCUAAAUGUAACUUUUUUUAACUUACCGGAUAUGAAAAUCCAAUAAGUUAUAUCAAGAUGCUUUAAAAUUAAAACGAGAUGAGUAAAUAAGUAAUUUCAUUUAAAAAUUAAAAAAAUUGAUAUAGAGAAAAAAUGAUGGCAUAUUUAGAAUCACCCAUCACAAAAUUAUGCUUUAUAAAAAAUUUGAUAUUUUCAUUUUGGACCCACGAAGAAAAUGAUAGUAUGAGAUCUUUUUAUUGGUAUUUAAUAUUUUCUUUGUUUUAUACUUUUAAGUCUUCCCAUCAUGCCAAUGUCUACAUCUUCUUGCCCUAACAUUACUUUAUGAAAAUAAUCUUCUUAGUAAUUUGCUUACGUCAAGUCUGCCUUUUAAAAAGGACAAAAAAAAAAAACAACAAUUUUCUCAAUAAAAGUUGUCUUUUGUCUUCCAGAUAAAUUGACACACAAGGGAUGGAUUUUAAGUAUAUUAAUUAUUAUUGUUAUAUUUUAGUCUUUUUAUUGACUUAGAUUGAAGUAACUGCUAAGAUUAUUUUUGUGAAGUAAAGAUGAGUGCAAAAAGAUUGACUCAUUUGCAUGCUUGAUGCCAAAAUUAAGCAUAGAACAAAGACUAAGACUUAGACCAAGACAUUCCCAUAGUAUCUAUCAUUUUCUUCCAUAGAAUAUAUUCUGUAGAUUUUUUUUCAAACCUUUCAGCAAAAAUAAAACUCUGGUUUUUAAUUUGUUGAUUUUUUUUUGGCCAAUCAAUUUGUUGAUUAAGCAACUUCUUUCUCAUGCUUUUGUUCCUAAUGUACUAUUAGAUUUUAUGGUGUGUGCAUUUUUUUAGUUUUUUAUUGUUAAUAUAUUUUAAAGAUAUCCUCUAAUUUAAAAAUUCAAUGAGCUAAUAACUAUAUAUUCUAUUAGUAAAAUACUAAACUCUUAGUUUCAGUAUUUAAAAUUCAAAUCCUAACAAUCUCACAUAUACAUAAAAAAAAAAAAAAAAGACAAUCUUCAAAUGAAAAAACUUCAUGUAUAUGAGAUAAUUUAUAUAUAUUUUAAUUUCUUCACAUGUGAUUAAUCGAGUUUUUAAAUUUUAUAAACAGUAUUAAAAUCUCAUACUUUCUGUAAGAUAUUUUCUCUUAACUAUUUUUUUCAAACCUAAAUGUAACUUUUUCUAACUUAUUGGAUAUGAAAAUUCUAUAAGUUAUAUAACUCAUCAGAAAUGCAUAUUUAGAAGUUUUAAAAUUAAAACAAGAUAAGUAAAUAAGUAAUUUCACUUAAAAAAUUUUUAAACAAGGUGGAUGUAGAGAAAAAAUGAUGGUGUAUUUAGAGUCACCUAUCACAAAAUUAUACUUCACAAAAAAAUUGAUAUUCUAAUUUUGGACUAACAAAGAAAAUGAUAGUAUGAGAUUUUUUUUAUUGGUAUUUAUCUUUUCUUUACUUUAUACUUUCAAGUCUUCCCAUCAUGCAAAUGUCUAAGUAUUCUUGCCCCAUCAUUAUUCUAUGAAAAAUAAUCUUUUUAACAGUUUGCUUAAGUCAAGUCUAUCUUUUAAAAAAGACAAAAAAAUAGCAAUUUUCUCAAUGGUGGUUUUUUUUUUUUGUCUUCCAAUUAAAUUGGCUGGGAAUUAAUUUUAAGCAUAUUAAUUAAUAUUGUUAUAUUUUAGUCUUUUCAAUGACUUAGACUAAAGCAAUUGCUAACAUCACUAUUUUUUUGAAGUAAAAAAGGGGGCAAAAAGAUUGACACAUUUGCAUGCUUGAUGCCAAGACUAAGUAUGAAGCAAUGACUAUGAUUUAGACCCAUGCAUUCCGAUAAGAUCUAUCUUUUUCUUUCUUAUUCCAUCAUUAUAAAAUCACAAUUUCCAAAAUAGAUAAGUUUGAGAAAUGGGAGCGAAUGUGUUCUUUAAAUUUUUUUUUCAAACUUUUCAGCAAAGAUAAAACACAGGUUUUUAAUUUAUCGAUUUUUUUGGCCAAUCAAUUUGUUGAUUAAGCAACUUGUUUCUUAUGCUUUUGUUCCUAAUGUACUAUUAGAUUUCACGGUAUGUGCAUUUUUUUUGUUUUUUAUUAUUACUAUAUUUUAAAGUGAUGCAUUGAUUUAAAAAUUCAAUGAGCCAAUAAUCAUGUAAUUUGUUAGUAAAAUAUUGAACUAUUAGUUCUAAUAGUUUAAAGCUCAAAUCUUGGCAAAUUUAUAUACAACAAAAAAAAAAAAGACAAUCUUCUAUUUUCACAAAUUUCAUGUAUACCAAAUAAUUUAUAUAUAUUUUGAUUUCUUUACAUAUGAUUAAUAGAGUUUUUAAAUUUUUUUAAUGGUAUUAGAAUAUCAUACUUUCUAUAAGAUAUUUUAUCUUAACUAUUUUUUUUCAAUCCUAAAUAUAACUUUUUUAACUUACCGAUAUGAAAAUUUGAAAAGUUAUAUAAUUUAUCAUAAAUGCAUAUCUAGAAGUUUUAAAAUUAAAAUGAGAUAGGUAAAUAAGUAAUUUCACUUUAAAAACUUUUAAAAUUGGAUGUAGAGAAAAAAAAAUGAUGUAUUUGGAAUCACCCAUCAUAAAAUUAUAGUUUAUAAAAAAUUGAUAUUUUAAUUUUGGACUCACAAAGAAAAUGAUAGUAUGAGAAUUUUUUAUGAGAUUUUAAUUCUUUUCUUUGCUUUAUCACAUAUCUUAAUUUUUUUUAUAUAAUUUUUUAGUAUAUUUGUAAAAGGGUUUGUGACAGCCCUCUAACUUGUAUAAUCUAAAAACUCCACUAGCUAAUUGCAUUUUCUAAGUUAUAUGAUUCAACAAAUACUAACAAGUCAAUUAAUAAUUUAAUUGUUCUAUAAAUUUGAAGGUAAAAUAAAUGAAAAUUUUGCAACUAAUAAAGACUAUGCUUUUAUUCCCAUAAACAAACCAGAUGAAAUAGAUGGAGUUAAAGAAUGAACUAUUUCGGGGCAAGAUAUCAGUACUAUCUGGAUUUCUUAAGCAUCGUAACAUCAAGAAAAUCUGACUAGAACAACUUUACAUCAUGGCAAAAUUUCAAAGAAAAACCACUAGUUUCUCAGUUUCAUUCCUUCUUUCUCUUCCCCAAAAUUACAAAUUAUCUGCAUCAAGUUGCAUAUUUACAUAAGAUGUUGGCAUAUAUCUUUCCAAAAAAAAAAGUAGUAGAAUGAAGUCAACAAAUAAAACCAACCUGAAACCUGUAAAAGUCAGUAUAUUUCCACCUCUAUGUUGUUUGACAGUGUUCAAUGUCCAACAUUAUUAACAUCAGCACCACCUUUGCAUUUCAUCCUCUAAAAAUCGAAAAAUCUUUAGAUAAGUAGGCUUCAAGUGAAUCUGUUAGCCAUGAUUUGCAUCAACAAACCUAAGAUUCACUGAUGUUGUUAGCUGCCAUAUUCAAAGCAAACUCGUUAGAUACUGGCAUUUCUAGAACAUGGCCAAGAAAUCUGGUAAGUUCCCUACGAACAUGAAUAAAACAUAUAUAUUUUACUAGAAAGGAAAAGCAAAAGGUAAAAUAUAUAUAUGUCAUAACUGAUCUAAAACAGAAAAAAUAAUUAAAAUAUAAAAUCAAUUAUAACACAAUUAGUAUAUAUAGAAGUAGAAUCAUGUAGUUAAUCAUAAAAAAUUUAAAUAUUUUGUGUAUAACUCUUCAAAAUUUUAUUGCUUAUGGAAAUGCUAUUUUUGCUUUUUUGCUUUUGGAAGCAAAAAGCAAAUAGCAAAAACCCAAUCAAACAAAUACUAAAUAAGGCAAAAUAACCAAGAACUUCAUAUGGUUCGCUAAUGCAUUAAUUGUGCACAAGCAAUUUUAUGUUCUCGGUAAUUACCUUUUUUAGUUUUUUCUAUUUCUGGUCAUUAAAUUAUAUUCUAUUUAUUGAAUUUAAUUUUUUGAAUUUUUUGGAAUUUAUGUAUGUACAGUGCUUGAAAUUUAUAUUUUAUUUUGGGAUUACACAAUUUUUAUACAAACAUUGUAUAUAACAUAUUUUUUAUACCAAUGUUUAUAUAUACAUAGAUACAUUUGUAUGCACUAAUAUAAGGGCUAUUUUUAUUUACCCGGACCCCCUCUCCCUCUAAAAAAAGAGGGGGGGGGUUAAAACAAGGCUUAUAUAAGAAAUCAAAACUUAAUCAAACUUUAACACUAGAAAUUUGAACCUACAAUUAAACAGCUUGAACAUAAUGUUAAAGUAUGCUUGUGAUCUACUACAACAACCAAGGCUCUAAAUGCAAUUUCAAAAGCUAGAGAGGAAGGGGAGGAAUAGUGGGGGCAAAGUGAAAAUGGGAAAGCACGAGAUCAAACUCUACCAUAAGCAAACCAACAAAAUACUGAGACCCAGGAAGUGAACAAAGAGACAGGGCAAAAGAUCUUUGCAGAAUAUGGAUGCAACAUAGAAAAGAUCAGAUUAUUUCCACCUUUUCACAUAAAACAUUCAAGUCCCAAUUUGCAAGAAGAACCUGUUAUGUCAUAUAUGUUAAAUCAUUUUGGGAACAGGAAACACGGACGAAACUUAUCUAGACCAAGGUACUUGAAAGCAAUGAAAUGGAAAUCCGAAAAACUUGCUCCAUUCAAUUGUUGGAAAAUGCAAAAUGUACAAUUAAACAAAUGAUGAUUGCAAGCUAGAACUCCAUAAAAGGUAACACUUUCCACCCAACUAUUUCAUUUCAUUUCAUUUUUCUUUCCCUUUUCAACCCUCACAUUCUUCCCUAUAAUAACAAGAGAUUCCAACUGCAAUAACCAUUCUUUUGCGGCAAAUUCAACAGCUAGCAAUUGAAUGACAAAUUGACAAUUAUGUCUAGUAAUAGUCAGAGAAAGUACUGCUUGGCAUAACUCAAUAUUCCUAUUCACAUAGUAGUUCGAUUCAAAUCAUAAAAUUAAAUGAAAUAUGGGUAAAACAGAAAAGACCCAACACAUGAUAAAGCCUAAAAAAACACAAAUAAUUGAAAAAAAAAAAGAGUUAUGCUUAGCUAAAAAUAGAAUCUUUCUACACAGUGAAAGUAUAACAAGGAUCAUAGAAAAAAUAUUUUAAAAAAAAAAAAAUACUCUGCCUUUGCCAAUGUGGGGUUUCCAAACAUUAGCUGCAAUUGCUCCAGCUCCUAAUUACAGUGUCACUGUAGAAACAGGAGAUAUAAAAAAAGACCCAUAUUUUACAGUUAAAAAAAAAAGAAGAAUUUUUUACGAUUGAAAAUAAAAGUGGGCAUGAGGAAAAUUUUACCUGGAAAAGGAAGAAAAGAAGGGGGAAAUUUUGAUUAAAAACCCCAUAACUUUAAACCCCUUUUGACAACCUUUUUUUUUUUUUUUUAAUUUUGCUUUUCUCAGUUAAUUGCGUAUCGUUCUAUAAUCAGUUUAAGAUUCGCAAAAAUUGCCCAAUUGUGUUUUGGUGCAAAAGUCAAAGGGAAGCCCGAUUUCGGUAUUAAUGGACCCAUCUCAUGUAAGAAAAACGGGUGUUUUGAAAUUUUGAUAUUCUAAUUUUGAACUCACAAAGAUAAUGAUAGUAGGAGAUUUUUUCUCAGUAUUUUGUCUUUUCUUUGCUUAAUAUUUUAAGUCUUCCAUCAUGCAAAUGUCUUCUAUUAGUAUUUUGUCUUUUCUUUGCUUUAUACUUUUAAGUCUUUCAUCAUGCAAAUAUCUAAGUCUUCUUGUCUCAUCAUUAGUAAUAUAUAAAAAAUAAUCUUCUUAACAAUUUGUUUAAGUCAAGUCUUUCCUUUUAAAAAAACAAAAACGUAGCAAUUUUACUCACUAGAAAUUAUCUUUUGUCUUCCAAUUAAAUAAGUAGACUGAGAAUGAAUUUUAAGUGUAUUAAUUAUUAUUAUUAUUAUUGUUAUAUUUUAGUCUUUUUAAUUGCUUAAAAUAAAGCAACUACUAAGAUUAUUAUUUUUGUAAAGUAAAGAUGAGGAGCAAAAAGACUUGACAUAUUUGCAUGCUUCAUGCCAAGAUUAAGUAUAAAGCAAAGACUAAUACUUGUUUUUUUUUUUUUUUAAACUUUCCUUUAAUUUCUAUGAUAAACGCAUUAAACUUUGAGUAAAUUACCCCACAAAUCUAUAUUUUUAUAUAAUAUUUUACUUUCAUUCGUAACUUUUAAUAUUUAAUUUUUGAAUCACGAUAAAUUAUUAUCUUUUACAUGAAUAAUUUGUUAUUUGAUCAUGAUUUCACUUAUCUAAUAAUUGAUCAAGGUUUAGCCUAACACAUAAGACUAAUAUAUACCAUACACUUAAAUUUCCAAUUAUUUAAAAAUAAUAAGAUGAAAGAAAAACUUUGAGGAUUUGAAAAUUGACUUUACUUUUUUUCAAGGUCUAUAAGCCAAUUGAAAUGACAUGGAAAGUUUGUAUUCUUUAGAUUUUUUUUUUCUUCAAACUUUUCAGCAAUAGUAAAGCACAAAUUUUCAAUUGGUUGAUUUUUAUUCUGUCAAUUUGUUGAUUAAGCAACUUGUUUCUCAUUCUUUUAUUCCUAAUGUACUACUAGAGUUCAUGGUAUGUGCAUUUUUUUUAUUUUUGUUAUUGUUAAUAUAUUUUAAAGAAAUCCUCUCAUUUAAAAUUUAAUGAGCCAACAAUUAUGUAGUUUAUUGAUAAAAUGUUAAACUCUUGGUUCCUAUAUUUUAAAAUUCAAAUUUUGACAAUCUCACGUACAAACAAAAAAAAUAAUCUUCUAAUUUCGUAAAUUUCAUCUAUAUGAGAUAAUUUUUAUAUAUUUUGAUAUCUUCACAUAUGAUUAAUAGAGCUUUUAAAUUUUAUAAACGGUAUUAGAAUAUUAACACAUAUCCUAAUAUUUUUUAUAUAAUUUUUUAAUAUAUUUAUUAAAGGGUUUAUGACAACCUUGUUGACACUUAUAAUCUAAAAACUCUACUAACCGAGUGCAUUUUCUAAGCUAUAUGAUUCAACAUAUACUAAUCAAGUCAAUUACUAAUUUAAUUGUUUGAUAAAUUUGAAGACAAAAUGAAUGAAAAUUUUCAGGAAAUAAGGAAUAUGCUUUUAUUCCCAGAAACAAACCAGAUUAAAUAGAUGAAGGUGAAGAAUGAACUAUUUUGGGGCAAGGUAUCACUAGUAUCUGGAUUUCAUAAGCAUCAUAAGAUUAAGAAAUCUGACAAGAACAACUUCACAUCAUGGUUAAAUUUCAAAGAAAAACCACUACCUUCUCAAUUUCAUUCUUUUUCUCUCUUCCCCAAAAUUACAAAUUAUCUGCAUCAGGUUGCAUAUUUACAUCAGAUGUUGGUAUAUAUCUCUCGGAAAAAAAAAAAAACGUAUAAUGAAAUCAACAAAUAAAACCAACCCUGAAACCUGAAAUAGGCUGUGAAGAAAAAAAACAAAAAAAGCCGGUAUAUUUCCUCCCCUAUGUUGUUUGACAGUGUUCAAUCAUCAAUGUCCAUCGUUAUUAACAUCAGCACCACCUCUGUAUUUCAUCCUCCAAAAUAGUAUUUGAGUUUAAAUAUUCCUGUACGAUCAAUCUUAUGCUCGGUUUUGGAAUAAUUUGUCGAGGAUCUUUAAAAAUAAUAAAAAAAAAAGUCUCUGAAAUUUGUAUCUGUAUGGGCUUUUGUAGAUCCCCAAAGGUUGUGUUUUAACUUAGGAUUACAUAUGUUACCAUGUAGGCUUGAACCUAUGUGUGCGUGAGUGAGUGCAAGGGAAACAAUAGUUUUGCUAAAAUAUUGAGUUUAUGGUCAUUGCUCUCUCCGUACAUAUGGCCCAUUAAGGCAUGUUGUUGUUCCACAAUACACGGUCUCUAGUCAGCUUUUUAAUUUGACCAUGUGAUUUUGAAUAUCAUUCCAUCUCUCCAAUCUAAAAAGGCUUUUAUAUUUCCACAAAGCUGUUUUUGGAGCUAUGCAAGCAGUAUGACCAGCCAAUAGGGUCUUUUUUUGCCCGUAAGUUUUCAAGGAUGUAUUAAUUUGGAUACUUAUAUUCAAGUUUGAUUUCCUUAAAAUUGAAGUUAACAGUUUCAAGAAAUUUUUUCAUGCCUUUCUAAGCUCAUGUACUCAUUAGAAUUGUUCAAACUUGUAAUUGACCGAUUCUGGACCUCCAUUUGUGUCCAAUUUUAUAUGCUCAUAAUUGGAUUACGAGUAAGAAAGUUAUGCCUCGUUUUUAAUUUGUGCUCCUCUGAAAGGAAGAAACCUGUUGUCACCUGUUUGAUGAAAUAAUUUGCAAAAUGAAGAAACCUUUUAUACACAAUAUAUGUUGUAUCAUAUUAUUUAUUUUGGAUCCUUGGAUAAUGAUUUUGAGAAUAUAUUUAUUUCCUUUUGCAGAAUUUUGAUGACGUCCUGGUGCAUGCUGAUCACGUAAGCAGGAGCUAUAAUGAUACAUACUAUGUUGACUCUCAAAUUAUAUUGAGGUGUCAUACUGCUCAUCAAGCAGAGCUGUUGAGAAGAGGAUAUACUCAUUUCCUUGUAACUGGCGAUGUUUACCGUAGAUCUUCUAUAGAUUCUACUCAUUACCCUGUGUUUCAUCAUGUUUCAUUUUGUUGAAAAUCUCUUUAAUUUUGACUAGCUUUUAAAAAUUUUCUUCGCUUCAGAAAUUAUUUCAAGUACAUGUGAAUUUUGCAUCACAUGCUACAUGCGUAGCACAGCCAUCCAUAUGUUGGGCCUUACAAUGGGCUCCUUCGUAGGUUCACAUGAUGAACAGCAGUGAUUUGACAUGUAACAUUUGUUGUAAGAUGGCCAUGUUCAUAAAUUAAGGUUCCUUAUUUUUUUCCCUCUGAAACAUACGCCCUUUUACCAUACAGAUGGAAGGGGUUCGUGUUUUUACUCCAAAUAAUUGGGAGGCAUCAUCUGGUCUGGAUCCCACAUCAUUUGCAGCCUAGGACUUAAAGAAAAGUCUAGAGGGCCUGGCUUGUCACCUAUUUGGCAAUUUUUAGAGUCAAAGCUUUGUUGAGGGAUUACAAUUUUGCAAAUGGUCAUGCAUUUCUAUCCGAAUGAGAUAUAGGGAUUAAGAGAUCAUAUUGGGUCCAAUUUGUGAUUUACAUCUUGAAUGCACUAAUUGAUUUGGCAAGAAGUGGCAAUUAUUGUAACAAGAAAUCAUUACAGAUUUGCAAAUUUUUUUUGGGGAUACCAUGGAGAUAUAUUUACCAAUGUGCUAGACAUCCAGUCCUAUGUGCAAUAGUAAAACUUUUGGUAAAAUACAUCUAGGUUUUUGAGUUUUAAGUAUAAUUUAACUAGAUCUAUUAAUUUGAAAAAAAGACUUCUUGUCCCAAAACUUUUUAAUUAAUAAUACACUAAGAUCUUUCUUUUAAUUAGCUUAGUUAAAGGCUCAUUAAAAGAUCAUUUUACAUUUAAAAAAUCAAUAUCUUAAAAGACUCACAUAAAAUAAUUAUUUAUAAUAUUAAAUUUUUUUCUUAAAAUAUAUAAAAUAUAUUAAUGAUACAUAAAAAAAUUUUAGGUGCAAAAUAUAAAAACAAAAUUCACAAUCAUAAAUAACAUUUUUUUCAAUCAAAUAUUUUUUCUUAUUAUAUGUUACAUGUUUUUAAUAUAACAUUUUUCAUAUUAUAAUUUUGAAUUUUAUUUUUAUAUAUUGCACGUAAAAAUCUUUUUAUAUAUUAUUAAUAUAUUUUAUAUAUUUUAAGAAAAAUUAUUAUUAUAAAUAAUUAUUUUAUGUGAGUAUUAACUUAUUAUAUUUACAUGCUCUUAUUGGAGCAAUAUAUGAAAACAAAAUUCACAAUUAUAAAUAACAUUUUUUUCAACCAAAUAUUUUUUCUUAUUAUAUGUUACAUGUCCUUGUUAUAACAAUUUUUUUCUUAUUAUAAUUUUGAAUUUUAUUUUUAUAUAUUGCACCUAAAAUUUUUUAUAUAUUAUUAAUAUAUUUUAUAUAUUUUAAGAAAAAAUUAUUAUUAUAAAUAAUUGUUUUAUGUGAGUAUUUGCUUAUUAUAAAUAACAUUUUUUUCAACCAAAAUUUUUUUUUAUUAUAUGUUACAUGUUCUUAUUAUAACAUUUUUUCUUACUAUAAUUUUGAAUUUUGUUCUUAUAUAUUGCACCUAAAAUUAUUUUCUAUAUAUUAUUAAUAAAUUAUUAUAUUUUAAGAAAAAAAAUUAUUAUUAAAAAUAAUUAUUUUAUGUGAGUAUUUGCUUAUUAUAUGUUACAGUUUCUUAUUAUAACAUUUUUUCUUAUUAUAAUUGUGAAGUUUGUUUUUAUAUGUUGCACCUAAAAAUCUUUAUAUAUAUAUAUAUAUAUUAUUAAUAUAUUAUAUAUUUUUUAAAAAAAUUUAUUAUUAUAAAUAAUUAUUUUAUAUGAAUAUUUAAGGAUAUUGAUUUUUUAAAGGUAAAAUGAUCUUUUAAUGAAUCUUUUAAUGGAGUUAACUGACUGAAAGAUCUUAGUGUCUUAUUAAUAAAAAAGCAGGAUGUUCACACCUGAGUUGAAUUAUACUUAAACUCAAGGAUCUAAAUGUAUUUUACGCAAAACUUUUUAUUGGGAGAAGUAUCUAACCAGCUGCUAUAAAUUCAUAUCACUUGCAAAAUUUUAUAAAGUUAAUCAUGAUGUGUUAGCAUCAGGGGUUGAUAAUGUACUUUGUAAGGACUGCUAUAUGUGGAAGCCAAUUAGCCUCACUCUGUUAACAUUCCAGUGGAGAUGCGUUGGAUCAAUGCCUAUUUCCCAUUUACCAGUCCUUAUGAAGCUAGAAAUCUAUUUCAAGGUAUUCUCUUUAUCCUUUUUAGAGGAUAUUGUUAGUAUUUUCUUUAAGAUCGAGUUAUUCAGUCGGAAGAAUCUUGAUUCAUUUUUUUGCCUUUUUCCCUUGCUUUAUUGCAAUGCUUAUGGUCAUUUUGUCAAAAAAUUCUUUUAUGAUUGUUUGACAGCCAAAUUUAGGGGUGAACACUAUGCUUAUUAUUGUAAUGAUAAAUUCUAUUAAGAUAAAUCAAGAUUUGGACGUUUAUAAUACCUUACCUACAUGUUUGUACUCUGUGUUGUUAGCCCUCACUUUUAUUUUUAUUGAUUCCUGUUCAAUAUGAAUCUUUUUAAAUGAACGGUUAUUGCAUGUGAUAACUUUAGCACCGAGUAUAACUUAGCAGUGACCUACACAAUUGUCAGGAGAAAUGGAUGGAGGUUUUGGGUUGCAGGGUAAUGGAGCAAGAAAUAUUGAAAAGUAAUGGUAGAUUAAACAGCGUUGGUUGGGCCUUUGGACUUAGAUUGGAGCGGCUAGCAAUGGUUUUAUUUGACAUACCAGAUAUUCGUCUUUUUUGGUGAACUGAUGAGCGAUUUAACUCACAGGUAGCCUCUGAAUGUAGCUCCAUGAUUUGAGUGUUGAAGUUCAUCGAUUCCUAAUUUAAUAUCUCCGCGUAAGUCUGAUUAAGCUACUUGAAUGCUGUUUUCCGAAGGCCAAAUGGGGGUAAAGUUUAAACCCUUUUCGAAGGUAUAAAUUAAGCAAAUGGUUUCUUUUAACCCUUUCCACUGUAUAUUACUUUUGUUAUUUAAUACCUAUUAUAGAAGCGUGACUUGACUCCUCAACGGUUUUUGCAGUAUCCUCCCUGUUACAAAGACAUGAGCUUUUGGAUCAAUGAAUCAUUUACUGAGAACAAUUUAUGUGAAAUUAUAAGAGGUUCUUACCCCACAGGUGGGCUAUAUGAAACAAUUUAGGAGUAACCAGUGGAAAUGGAUAUGCAUGCUGAUUGAGCUGUUUUUACAUAGAAAAAAAUAAAAAGAAAUUGUCAGCUAGCCAUUGUUGUGUCUCAAGAGACAGUUAAAAGGAAUUUGAUCACCUAAAAUUUAAUGAAAAUGACUAGGACUCUAACCUUUGGAUAUUGGAAAAAUAUUUUCUCUGAAUCUGUGAUACCAAUUGUAACCAUUUAAGCUCACUUAAAUAUUGAAGGCAGGUGUGGAUGGCUGGUUUGUUUCUUAAGGUGUCUUUGUGAUGUAGUAAGCAUAUUUUAAAUUCUACACAGAAAGAUCUUAUAAACCAUAUCAACAAGUUAAUAUUGUAAACGUUUGGAAGUUUUGUACAUGUUUAGCUUUAAUUAAACCGAGGAUUAUCAUCUUAAAUCUUUCAACAAUCAUAAUAUGAAGAAUUUGAGGGUCUUUGUUGAUAGGUCUGUUUGACAGAAAAUAUUUGUCUUGUGGCUACCAGGUGAGUUUGAUAGAUAACUUUACCAACAAGAAUGGAAUGAUAAGUCAUUGUUAUUGGAUUGCACAUUGCUCCAUGGAGCGCUCACUUGAGGUGCACUUUGGGAAAUUGAGGGUCAGAGAUCAAAGACCGCCGUGGCUUGCAUUACACAUUUGAAUGUUUAAGAGAGAUUUGACUGGUAUCUUCAGCAGUAUAUUGAUUAUAAUAUCAUCAAGGAGUUGAAAGCCGGUCAAUUUGAUUAACUUUCUCUUCUUGAUCUUUGUUUACCCUUCAAGACAUUGCAGCGCAGAAAAUUGAAGCUUAUACCAAAUGCUGAAAUAAAGGAUGUCAAUGGGAUGGAUACAACAAUUUUUAUUCUCAUUUUUAAUUUUUUACAUUAUAUCUAUAUUAUAUAUAUUUUAAAUUUAUAUUCAUUUUUAUUUUUGUGGGGGAGUUAAUGGGUUGAACGGCCCAUUUUUACAACUUAAAAAACUAAAAAAAUUUUGUUAUUAUGUUCGAUAAAAAUUUAAAAUUAUAUUAUUUUCGUUUUUAUUUUAAAAUUUUAAAUACAUAUUUUUAUUCUUAUUCAGAUAAAAAGAUUAGAUUUUUCAUCGAAUUUGAAUAAAAACAAAGUCAUCAGAAACGAAAAUUCUUUUAUUGAAGAAAUUUAGCAGUUUAGAAGAAGCAACUUUUUUGCGCUUUGGUCAAAGCUAGUUUGAAAGGACAACCAACACAAAAGUCCAAUUGGUGCAAAAGAUUAUUCCGAUGGGCAUUGCCAACAUGGGAAGGAAUUAUUCGCGUGUACUACACGUGCUUUUAAUUGCUGAGCCAGAAUAUUAUGUAGAGGACGUGUAAUUUUCAGGUGAGGUGGCAUGCUUUGUCUACGUGUGCAAUUUGGACAAAAAAUUGACUGAUUUUCAAAACAAGUAAGAAGGCCGAAAAAGAAUCCGAAAGCCUGAUAAAAGAAUUUGGCGUUUUGGGUUCCUCCUUUACUCCUUCGUUCUUUAAUCCCUUCAGUCGAUUCAUACCCAAUUCUUCAAUCCUUCAGUCGAUUCCUAUCCAAUUCCAAUUCUGAUUUCAAAAAAUCCCAAAUCCGAUGAUCGAAAGGAAUUAAUUGAUGAAGGACGAUCUCUUCUUGUUGGGUAAUUUCAAUUCGGAUUAGUCAAUCGUGGGUAAAAGUUAAAUGUAUUGGGCGUUUUAGACUUUCUUGUUCAGGUGAGUACUGUAAAUAUUUGUUAUUUGGAUAAAAAAUUUAAUUCCUUCUUUUUCUUACAUCAAUAGAAAUUUAUGAUUUGGGUAAUAAAAUUGAGCAUUUAGCCUUUUCAUGAGAGAAUGCUUGAUCUUAUCUAUGGAAAUUUAAUUAUGACACCAGUUAGUGUGUUGAUCACGUUUGAUUCAUUACCUUAAUUAAUAGUAAUAAGGAUUUUCACUCACUUAGUUUAAAACCUUCUUUCAAGUGAUUGGAGCAACAGUCGUGAAUGAGAAUUGAAGUUCAUCUUGCUUGAGGCAAGGAAUCUAUAAACCUUUUCUCUUGUUUCUGUUAAGAUGACUGAUUCAAGCGAGCCCCAGUAUCCAGGAAAAGAACCUCAGCAAUCUGAAACAGAACCUCAACAAUCUGAGCAAGGUAAAAUUUGUUCCUUUUUUUUAAUUCUUUUUAAAGGUGUAUAUGUAUAUUUACUUAUAUAGCUAACUCUUUGACUUUUCCGUUUGCAAUUUCUUUAGGAAGCCAACAAAGGGCAAAAAACCAUAAGGAAAAGGACAAUAAAUGAAUAUGAAGAUGAAGAUGAAGACUCCAGAAAUGGCACAUCUUUGUUUCACAAUCAGAAAAACGCUUUGAAGCCUGACUAUAAGUUAGUCUUUUCAACUGGAUCCUCCAGGAGUGCUACUCCCACUGAAUCAAAUACAGAAUCUGACAAACCGAUUUUUCAAUUUGAGUCUUCGAAGGAAAUUCAAGUUCAAAAUGAUAGCAGAGCUAUGGCAACCUUAGAAACUGAGACUGAGUUUACAAAAGAUGCUCGCGCGAUACGCGAGGAAGUUUUUAAACGAACAGAGGAGGCUUUGAAGGGGAAAAACACAAGCUCUGGGGGGGAGAAGUUGUAUGAAGGAAGGCAUGGCUAUGUGGAUCAUAAGGCUGGGUUUCGAAGAGAGCAAACAGUUGCCAGUGAGAAAGCAGGUGGCUUACAUGGACCUCUUAGGGCUUUUGCCCACAUCAGGGUUUCAGCAAGAUUUGAUUAUCAGCCUGACAUCGGUAAAGACUACAAAGAAACUGGUUACUGUGGUUACGGAGAUUCAUGUACGUUUAUGCAUGAUCGUGGAGAUUACAAGUCUGGAUGGCAGUUAGAGAAGGACCGGGAAGAAGCAGAGAAAGCAAGGAAGAGAAAUCUGGCUUUGGGUGGCGAUGAUGAUGAUGAUGAGGCAGGGGUAGACCAGAGUGAUGAUGACGAUGAUGAUUCGUUGCCCUCUGCAUGUUUUAGUUGCUGGCAACCUUUUGUGGAAGUGCAAGUACUACUUCUGCCAGCAUUGUGCUUUAAAGGUGCCCUCAAUGCCUUUUCACGUGGAUUAAUUUUUUUUAGUGUCUUUUUUGUGCUAGGUUAACAUCUAUUAGUUUUUGUUAUGUUUGUUGUUAAUGCAUCACUUAGAUGCAAAACUUUUUUGGUUACUUACAUACAAAGAAUAUUUUAUGUGGUCCAACUUUUUUCAGCUAUAGAAAUAGGACAUAUUUUAACUUUACAUCAUCAACUUUUGGUGCCUCAUGUCAGUAUAAUUGACAUUUUUAUUCUCAUUCAAAUGUAAACUAACCAACUGCAUCUUUUGGUUUUUCAGCAUCACACAAAGAACAACAAGUGCUUUAUGUGCAACCAACCCACCCUUGGCAUUUUCAAUACUGCUCAUGAGAUACGUAGAAAGAUGGCUGAAGAGGGUAAAUGAUAAGUCCAUUGAUGCUUUGCUUCAACUCCUGCCGCCAUUAACAUUUAUAUUUCUUUGUUUUACCGUUGUAGUGGAAAGAUUUACUUGUCUGCAUACCUUAUCGACCAAAAUGUAUUUCUCAGCUAGAUUUUCGGGGAAUUUUGGAUUAUGCAGUGAUAAGCUCUUUAAAAUCAUUGUUGCUGCUGGAAUGUGCAUUAGUAUUUAGGUAAGUAUUGUUUCUGUGUCACGCUGCCACUGCUGCCUUUUGCCCAUGAAGUAACAUUUCUACCUUGAGGUAGCAGUGCAAUGCAGUAUCAACUUUCCAAGAAUCAGCUUCCAACUUCACCACCUUCACAAUGGCCAAGAAUUCAGCUUGAUCAUAUCAGAAUCCAUGUCUAGAUGACACAUACUGGUAGGGUCAUGAUCUAGGAAGGAUGUUACUUCACAGAGUUUAAGGCUGUAGGAUUGCGAAUAGUUUCAAUUGGGUAGGGACAGCUAAUAGAAGCUGUGAUUUUUUGUGCUGUCCAAGUCCAAAGCAUAGAAAGCUUUAAUGAACAGUUUUCUUCCUUGAAAAAACAGUUCCUGCAUUUAAGACAAAAAAAAAAUAAUGAAAUCAGCUACCAAACCUAAACUUAAACUCAAGAAAUUGUAAUCUUUGGCUCUUAACAGCAGAUGUAUACUCAUCAAAUUUUAAGGAUGACCUUUUGUUUCCUUGUUUACCCUCUAUAGUUGUUACGACAAUUAAACACUAUCAAAGUUAGUUUGGAAUUGUCGAACUUGAUGCCUGGAAUCAGAAGCUUUCUUCUGUUCCUUUUCAGUGUUUUUAUGGUGAUGUAGCAUCUUAUACAGCAAGAAAGCAUCUUAGCUUGAUCUUGGUCUGUGUCAACAAUUAUUCUGUGUUAGCAUAUGCAAUUUAACUUCUUGUUUUGGCAAUUAAAGUGGUAGGCCUACUCAUUGUCGUACAUGCCAUGGCUGGUAUCAUCUUCCUGCACUGCAAAUAGUUGUGUUGAAUCAUUGAUAAUCCUGAUCUGGUGGUAGAAAGUGUUGCUUUGGUGCCUGAUACAAAUUUUCUCUGUCCUACCUUGGAUGGUUUUCACUUCUAAACACAAUGGUUGUUUUUGCUUCUGACUGGACAAAAAAUGUAGCCGAAACAUCAGUUUUGUAAGAAACAGAUACGCUGAAUAAGCUUUUACUCAGAAAUCAUAUCCUUUUCUGAACUGUAUUCUGGCAAUCCAUGCUUUCUUUUCCUAGUAUCUUCUUAAAUCAUUGGCCUGAAAAUUCAAACGAUGAAGUUACUCCAUUUUAUUGGAAACAAUUAAGUUUUAUAUAUGCAUAAACUCAAUUUGACCAGGAAUAAGGGAUGUGAUUAAGGGGAAAAAAUCAUAAGAAAAUUACUGGAUGCUCAUUUUCAUAACAAAGAUUUUACCACUACCUUUUCUAAAUAUAAAAUUAAAUCAAUUAAUCAAGUCCACAUAAUAAUUCAAGAAUGGCAUUCACAUAACUAUCAUGUUGUUAAAAGUUUCUUUGUAUUGCACACAUGUUUUUGUUUAGUGAAGGUCUAUUCUACAUGGAUAUCAAUCAUAUAGCAAUAGCAAUAGAGCUUACAACAAACCAUUUGUUUUUGUCUAUGUCGGAGUGCAGAAGCAGAAAAACAAAGGAUGAUACGGGAUUAAAGUUAAGAAAAUAAUAAAGGAAAUAUUUAAAUCUCUCUCGCCAUAGUCAAAUCUAUAGUUACUGGGGGCAAUAAAAUAGUAUCGUUUGGAUUCGUCGAGCUUUAUACCUGGAACUGGAAGCUUUGUUCUUUUCUUUUCACUGUUUUUUUUUUUUUUUCUGUGUAGUGAUGUAGUGGCUAAUACAGGAAUAAAGCAUCUUAGCUUGAGCUUGGUCUGUAAAGAUUGUUCUGUGUUAGCAGAUGUAAACUUCUAGUUUUGGCAGUUAAGUAGUAGGCAUAGUCAUUUUUGUACAUGCCAUGGCUUGUAUCAGAUUCCUGCAAUGCAAAUAGUUGAGUUGGAAUCAUUGAUUUCGUUAAUGUAAUUCUUGGUGUUAAUGUAAUUCCUUGUCUGGUAGUCGGAAAGUCCUACUGGAGGUUGAGAGGAGAGUAUGUGUGACCUGUCACAGAAUAGAAAGUCAGGGGUGCCGAACAUGUUAUUUUGAGGCAUGCUCCGACGCACAAGAUAAGAUAGUAAGAUACACCAGAAGCAAGAAAAUGUAAAAGAGCAGGAAGUAGUUAAAGAGAGUAAAGAGGGUUGAGUAGUCAAUCACCUAACUCGUCUGAUUUUACUUUUUAUACCUCUUGGGUAAUAAUGUGGCAAACUGGGCUUUCAUGUGUAAAACCUAUUAUGUGAUUGCUGACAUGACCACUUAGAUAUAAUAAUACUGAAGAGCUUAAAAGAUAAUAAGAUUUUCCUUAAGAAAAUUUUUUGGAUAAAUGAUUUUUAUUAAUCCAAAAAAAGCAGUAGACCUGCUACAAAUAAACAGUAGGCUAUCAAGACCUUACAAACGUCAAAGAGCAACCUAAUAAAGUAAACUAAUUAAACUAAGCAACAUAGAGGAACCAGUCCCCAAUUCAGACACAUUUUUCUUUUGCUAAACCAGAAAUUAUUGAUAAAAACAGAGUUACACAAUAGGGUGAACAACAGGGGAACCCCAUAACUCAGCAGUAAAACACCACCCCAUAGACAGAACAGAAGACAAGCACAAUACAACCAGACAUACCGCCAAUCAUCUUAGGCGAGCAGGAGAGAAUGAACUGAUACACAAGUACAGUAACAGCAAGCCAAAAACAUUCAGACACAAUUUCUGUUGUUGAAGAGGAAGAGUGGAACUCGAGACUGCAAUCUUGUUAUUGAACUAAGCUAAAAGGAACUUCUGAUAGUUGAAACAAUAGCUUCUAUAUCUUUGCAUGGCCUGCCAAACCCUUUGAUUGUGCUCCUGCCAAAUAAAAUAUAUAUGAGCAUCCCAAGCCAAUCUAAUUUAAUUACAAUAGAUGCCAGAGCUUUGCUUUGCUCUUAAGAUGGCCGACAGCCCAAUCCAACUCAAAAUACCAGUGACCCACAAGUCUUAUACAAAUUAAUAACUUGGAAGCUAAUUUUCAUUUGUAAAAUGAGGUUAGGAAAUUCAAAAGACAUCCUAGUUUGCAGGCAAUUUUUGUUCUUAGUUUGAAAAGCAUUACCAAGUUUCAAAAAGGGAAAGAGGCAUCAAAAGUUGAAACGUUCUUGAAUUAAAUUUUAAACACAAUCACUUUAGUAAAUUAUUAUUUAGUGCAGAUAAAAGACAAUAUAAGAGAGCAUUUAAAUAAUUUUAUUUGUUUAAGCUACAGUUCAGAGUCAACAGCAAAACUUUUGAGUUAUUAAGUAUUUUAGAAUACUUACCAAAUGACAUUGAAACUUGAAUUUUGAUGGAGUCACCUAGAAGAUCUUCUCCAUUUUUUAUUCCGACUCUGUAUAAACCUAUCCAACCAUUUGUUCCCCAACUCAUUCAGCACUGUAUAUCCAAUACAUAAUCCAAUGACCAAUCCACAUCCAUAACCCAUCAACACAAUUUUCCAAUCAGACAAACCAUCUACCCAUGAAUCUCCAUCUUCCUUAGGGGGUGGCAUUCCAAGACCAUCUUCAUUGCAUUUCCUUGUCAGAGGCAGCCCACAUAAUCUUGGAUUCCCUUCGUAAGAAUCGUUUGAAAAUGUACCAAAUUGGUAGCUUUGUGGUAUGCUUCCCUCAAGUUGGUUGUAAGAGAGAUUCAAUACUGCAAGAAAAGUUAGGCUUGUAAGCUGAAGAGGAAUCUUUCCGGAGAGUUUGUUCUGGGAGAGGUCCAACGACUCAAGCUCAGUUAAGUUUCCAAGUGCUAAAGGAAUUGGGCCAAGGAAGCUGUUGUAGGACAAGUUUAGCACUUUGAGUGACUUGAGCUUUUGUAUUUCUUCCGGUAUUCUCCCAUGGAAACUAUUAUUGGAAAGGUCAAGACAAGCAAAGAUGGUUAAAAUUUUCUGUUAAAAAAGUUCAAACCCUUUAUUCACAAUUAUCACAGAGUCCUGGUAGUAAUAAUCUCCAAUAUAAUCUGGCUUAGCUUUGUUGCCAUCAAUCAUCAUCUUCAUUGCCUUCAAAGAUUGAAAAAAUCCAACAGGUAACUCACCUGAAAAGUUAUUGGAAGCAAGAUCCAGUAUGUGUAACUCUAGGAAAGCAUUUUCAUCCUCAGAAAUUUUAAUCGGACCAUAAAAUCUAUUUGCUCUUAGUACAAGAACCUUUAAAGAAGGCAAUUUCACCAACCAAAAAGGAAAUGUGUCUUGUAUCAUAUUUUUUCCAACGUCCAAAACUUCAAGCUUUUUGCAAUGGGCUAAUGACCUCGGCAACUUUCCUUCCAGUUUAUUCCCACCAAUUUUGAGUGACCUUAGUUGAGGGGCUUGAAAGAAUUCAAUUGGUAAUUGACCAGAAAAAUUAUUGAAAGCAAUGUCUAGUACAUCCAAGUCUUGAAAAUAAUUUUUCACAUGUUUAAUUGGACCAUAAAACCUAUUUGCUUGCAAUACAAGGACCAUCAAAGCAGGCAAUUUUCCCAACCACAAGGGGAAUGUGUCGUACAGAGCAUUUUUCCCAAGGUUUAAAACUCGAAGGAUUGUGCAAUUGGCUAACGACCUUGGCAAUUUCCCUUCCAAUUUAUUGUCAUUGAGUUGUAGCCAAUAUAAUUGGGUUGCUUUUGCAAAAUCUGGUAUGCUACCGCUGAAAUUAUUUUUUUGUAGAUCCAAAGUGUCGAGAGAACUGAUAUUGCCCAAGCAACUUGGGAUUGGCCCGCUGAAUUUGUUAAAGGAUGCAUUAAAGAUCAGAAGUUGACUCAAAUUGCAAAUAGGUCUUGAUAAAGAGCCUUGUGAAGAAGUUAGAGAUUGGUUUAGUGAAAAUUGGUCCAAAGAUGAGAGAGAAUUGUUAGAAAGAUCCAGAUCUCGCAAACUUUUCUUCCACACCCAGUUUGGUACUGCACCACUUAUUUUGUUAUUUGAAAGGUCAAGAUAUUUUAAACUGGUUUGACUCUUUAAAAACUCUGGAAACAUACUUAGGUUACAGAAUCGUAAACCCAACCGACUCAACAUUGGAAAAGAGGAGUUUGCAUCACCAAAAGGAACCUCUGUUGGAAAAUCAAUCGCAUUGAAAGAAAGGUCUAACUCCAAAAGAGUGGUCUUCCACAACCAAUUAGGGACAAAACCAUGGAUUUGGUUGUCAGGAAGAUAUAGACAAGCCAACUUGUCUUGUGUUUUGAUGAAUUCUGGAAAUUCAGUAAGGUUGCAUGAGUGUAGUUCCAGUAUCUCUAAUUGGGGAAAAGCAAGGCUUGUGAUGUUGCUUUCAAUUGACAAGCUCGUAUUUGAAAGGUCAAGAAACCUUAGGUUCUUCAGUUGGGAGAACAUGUCAAGCUUCAUGGAACUAAAGCUAUUGAAGCCUAAAUACAAUCCUUCAAUCAAUGAAGAAGAUGCAUUGGGGAUCUCACGAAUUUCACCAACCAAUUGAUUUUUACAAAGAUCCAAGUCCUUCAAUGAUGGGAGAGUAAAUACAGAAGAAUGUAUUGAUCCAGAGAGGUGGUUCCCCUGCAAAAAAAGAUGUGUAACAUUUGGAACUCCAGAUCUAUGAAAUGCAGGGAUAAAACCACUGAAAUUAUUGAAGGAUAGAUCCAGUUCCACAAGGUUAGUAAGAUUUGCAAUUGAAGAUGGAAUUUGUCCAUAGAAAUUGCUACCAAAAAGAAUUAAAUUUGUCAAGAACUUGAGAUUACCAAUUGAUUCUGGCAAUUUUCCGCUGAAAUUUGUAGAAGAAAUCUUUAAGACUCGUAAAGCAUUGUUUAAUGAAAAUUCUGGCAACUGACCUUCAAGAUUGUCAUUUUCUGAAAUGUCAAUGCUUUCUAUUUUUGGGAACAUGAGAAUUUUUGUUGGAAAAUGCCCACUCAAAUUGCAAUUCACUAAACUGAGAGAAACCAAACGAGAGGAAAUUUCCAAGAAAUUGGGAGGCAAAUAAGAGAUCGAAUUCCCACCAAGGAAAAGUUUGGAAAGAAAAGGAAGUCUUGAGAGUGAAGAACAAAAUGGACCUGUCAACCCACAAUUCGACAGACUUAACACAUGCAAGUUAGGAAGUAUUAUGGAUAUGGUCUCACACCAUUUACUUCUUUGAGUUGAAAUGUUCACACUAUCCAAAUAGAGGUCUGUAAGAGGUCUCAAAUUUUGGAUUAAUGACUUGAAGUUUGGGUUUUCUAGUUUCAGAGUUUGUUGAAGGUUGUCAGGAAGAUCAUACCACCAGAUAUUUGGAUCAAGAAUUUGAUUAUACCGUAGAUAGCAAGAAUCUUGAUUAGAUAGAUCAAGAGAGACUAACCUUCUUAAGUAUGAAAUCUCCACUGGAAUUUGGCCAUGGAAACAUGAGUUUGAAAGGUUGAGAUGAGUUAAAUUUGGGAAUCUAUCAAACUCAUAUUGAAACAGAGUAGUAUUAAAAUUGUUUCCAGCAAGAUUAAGGCGUUGAAGAUAAUGGAGAUUGAAAAUGGAAUGAAAGCUGCCGGAAAGGUUUUUGUAACUGAGGUCAAGCACAAUCACGUGACCCAGAGCAUCACAUGUAAUUCCUUUCCAAGAGCAACAAUCAGUGUUGGGAUCCCAAAGCUCAACUUUGGAAGUGAAAGUAAAAUUUGGGGCAUAGUACAGAUCAUGGUGCAAUUGCAACAAAGCAGAUUUCUGAUCAUCAAGGCACUGAUUUUGAAGAUCAGUAUGAGGAGGGGAAAAAGAUAGCACAAGAGAUACAGAGCAUGAGAAGAGAAACAAGGUAGGAAAAAUGAGUGAUAUUAGGAUAUGAAAAUUCUUCAUGUUUUGUUGGCUCUCUAUAAGAAAAAAAAUGAAGGGAAGAUUGUGGAAUUUAAGAUUUGCAUACACGAUAUUUAUAGACAAGUACUUCAUAUUACGAUUGUUAUUGUAGCUAUAUAUCUCCCUUGAUCUCAAGAGAUAGGUUCAAAUGUGUUUUUCCAACCACGUGUUUGUACAAAUCAUGAGUCUGAACUUUUUUUUGUAAGAGUUGAAUCAAAGUAGGUGGAAGACAGAUAUAGUUAUUGCUUGUCCAUUUUGAAUUUUAAAGAAUGAAUAAUGGGUUUCAAUGAUGAUAAAUUUUGCUUUUGUAAAUUAAUCUUUACCACUAUAUCCUUUCUUUAUUCCCAUUUUUUAUUUCAUAUUAUGUAUUCCUACAAAAAAAACAAAUAAAAAAUUAAUUUUCUCAAAAUUAGGUAAAUAGUGGUACAUAGAUAUCGGUAGAGAGGAAUCCUCUCCAGUACAAAAGAAAUAGUAAAAAUUAUCACUAACCUUGAUGUUUAAAGAAAAGUAAAACUUAUAAAGAUUUAUCAGUCAACUCAACUCUGAUAUUAUAGAAUUAGAUGGAAUAAUUUUUUUUUGAAAAUUUUAACUAAUAAGUUUGUUUCUUCUUAUUUUUCUUAGAUUCAAAGUUUGAAUCUCCUUUUGUUCCCUCCAUCAACUUCCUCAUAUUUAUCAAUUUUUGUUUUCUAAAUAAGCAUUCAGAGAAAAGAACAAUUACUGUAACAAUUAUUUCUUUAUAAUACUGUGCGUUAUUCAUUGGUCUGUAAUAGAGUUUAGUCAUCAUAGCACAUUAGAUUAAUAAUUAAGAAAAUAGGAUAUCGUUCAGUCAUAUGGAUACCGUUUGGUGCAUUUUUUUUCUUUUGCUGCAAAACCUGUUGUAAAAUGGCAUCACAUGUUAUAAAAAUACUGCCCACUUAACCUGAAAAUCUAUAAACGAAGGCAAAGAUGAAAGCAUGAAAGAAACAUCCAGCUAACAAAGUGAAAGUGCUGAAACUGAGUUUUGCUGGUAUAUAGAUGUCAACUCGGAUGAAAUAAUGGGAGAUAGGAGCUUAGCUUUAGACAAUGCUUCACAUUCCCAUCCAUUCAAUUAGAUUUGAUUGAUUGGUUCUCCCUUGAUAUUCCGUUUAGGAAUGAUGAUGGAUAGAAAAUAAUUGAAUAUUUGAUAUAUUAUCUGAUCUAUUUGUCUGAUUCAAAUACUUAUAAAUAUAUAUUUAAUAGAUUCGGAUAGAAUUUAGAGAGUACUAUUUGGAUACCUGAAUCCGUUUAAGUUUUAAAGCAUAUAGUAUCAAUUAUUUGAAUCUAUUAUCUUUUUACUUAUAUAAAAUUUUAUUUUCGAAUCUUAGCAAACAACAUUUACUUAUUAUCAAUUAAGAGUGAAUUUUAUAUUUAAAUUUAAUUCUUGUAGAAUUUAUAUUUUAGCAAAAAAUUAAACUUAACUAAUUGGAUAUUUUAAAGGAUUCAAAAAUGAAACGGACGAUAUUUAUUUAAAUGGUUUCAUAUUCAGAUAGUGAUUUAAUCGAAUAUUUAAAUGGAUUCACAUACCAUGAAAAUUAAAUAGAUUUAAAUAUAAAUACCUAAAUAAUAACAGGUAUUCACUUUGUUAUUAUUCUUACUUCCCCAUUCAUACACAUGAUAAAACAAAUUCGUGAAAGAGUUUUUCACUCUCUAAAAUUAGUUAAUAUAUUAUUUAUUGUAAUAAUUUUAUAUUAAAUGCAAUAGUUGAUACCUAAUAAUUUUCAUAUAUAUAAUUUUUAAUGUAUUGGAUGAAGAUAUUAUUUUAUGUAAAAACCUUAGAGUGUGCUUUUAGAGCAUUGUUUGCAAAAUUAUUUUAUUAAUCUUUGAAAAUUCAAAACAACAUAUUAAUAAUUUAAUAUUGAAUUUAUCAUACAUAUAUAGUCCUUUUUAUUAUUUUUGUUUUUAAUAUUGUUAAAGAAUAUUGAUUUGAAUAGUGAGAACUUAGAAUAUAUAGAUUCAUAUUUUAUACUUUACAAUGCUUCAAAUAAAAAUAUUAACCAAUAUUAUUUUUAAUGAUAAUGAACCUUAAUAUUAAUGAAUAAGUGAAAGUUACAAACGUGAACAUUACAAAUAUAAAAGGGACAAAAUGAUUGUGUUUCCAUAGAACAAAAAUUAAUGGGAUUUUCUAUUAAUGAAUUAGUCUUCAAUUCAAUGCAUAGUUUUGUUUCAAUCCCAUUGUCAAGCUACACAAGAAAUUAAUAGUAACUUUUCUUUUCAUUAAUUGUUCAAAAGGAAAUUUAAUUUAAAUUAUUCAAAAUUAAAUAAUAAGUUUUCAACUUUAAUAUCUAAUUAGACUCUAUAUUUUCCAAAUGUCUUCAAUCAUCACGUCUAAGUUUUUUUUAUUUUUUGUUAUUUGUUCCUUAUUUUCAAUUCAUUUUCUAAUUAGUAAUUAAUUAUAUUCUUACUAUCUCAUUUUUUUUAUCUAUCAUUCCCUAUUCGAAUAUUUUAAAAUUACCAUCUUCGCUUUUUUGAACACAAAAUGCUAUUAUUUUUCCAUACGAUUAUAUUCCAAAAUCAUUUUGAUUUUUUUAAUUACAUUUUUAUAUUUAAAACCUCAAAAUAUAAAUUUUAUAUUAUAAAUUUAAGUUUUUAAUAUAAAAUACACUCAUAAUAAAUUGAAAUUUGACACCCCAGCGAAAUUAAAAAACUAAAAAGAACAUUAGAAAUUUUAUCCAUAAUAUCAAAUACACUCAUACUUUAUAUUGUUUUAAACUGAAUAAAUUUUUUAAUUGAAAAAAAAGAAAUUAACGAAAGAGAUUACAUAAUUUUCUAACUUUUUAAUCCUCUAAUUGAUUGAUGCUUUUGGUUUUUAUUUUUUAAUAAAUGAAUUGAAAACCAAAAACAAAUAGGAAAAGAAAAAACAUACAAACCAAAUGAAAUCCAAAUUAUAUUUUUUAGUUGAAUCUCAAGAAUGUAAUAAUUAAUCAUCUUAAAUAAUUAGCAAUUAUUCACUUGGUGGAAUCUUAUCUAUAAGAUUUGAGAAAGUACAACGAAAGUGUCAAGACGUUGAUCGUAUUAUUCAAUAGAUACCUAAAUUUUCAAUUAUUUGAAAAUAAUAGGAUCUAAAUUUUCAUUUAUUUGAAAAUAAUAGGAUGAAAGAAAAACUUUAGGAUUUCAAAAUUGUCUUUAUUUUUUUUUUCAAAGUCCUUGAAUCAAUGGAAAUUAUACUUUAUAGAGAUCCACUUGUUAAUUUUAAAGUUUCUAGAUAUGUAUUUUUGAUAAGUUAUAUAAAUUACUAAAUUUUCAUAUCCAGAUGUAGGGAAAAAAAAUGAUGGUGUAUCUAGAAUCAUCCAUCAUAAAAUUAUACUUUAUAAAAAAUUUUUUUUUUUUUUUUAUUUUGGACUCACAAAGAAAAAGAUAGUAUGAGAUUUUUUUUAUUGGUAUUUAGACUUCUCUUUGCUUUAUAUUUUAAGUCUUCUCAUCAAGCAAAUAUCUAAGUCUUUUUACCCUCAACAUUACUCUAUGAAAAAUAAUAUUCUUAGCAGUUUACUUAAGUCAAGUCUGUCAUUUAAAAAAGACAAAACAAACAACAAUUUUCUCAAUUGAAGUUGUUUUUUUUGUCUUUUAGUUAAAUUGAUGGACUAGAAAUAAAUUUUAAGUAUAUUAAUUAUUAUUGUUAUAUUUUGAUCUUUUUAAUAACUUAGACUACAACAAUUGCUAAUAUUGUUAUUUUUGUGAAGUAAAGAUGGGGCAAAAAGAUUGACACAUUUGCAUGCUUGAUGCCAAGACUAAGUAUAAAGCAAAGACUAAGACUUAAACCAAUACAUUACCAUAGUAUCUAUCAUUUUCUUUCUUAUUCCACCAUUAUAAAAUCACAAUUUCCAAAAUAAACAAGUUUAAGAAGUGAGAGAAUGAAUGUGUUCUUUAGAUUUUUUUUUCAAACUUUUCACAAAAAUAAAACAAAGAUUUUUAAUAUGUUGAUUUUUUUGGCCAAUCAAUUUGUUGAUUAUAUAAUUUUUUCUCAUGAUUUUGUUCCUAAUGUACUGUUAGAUUUCAUGGUGUGUGCAUUUUUUCUUUCUUCAAAUUUUUAUGAUUAAUAUAUUUUAAAGAGAUCCUCUAAUUUAAAAUUUCAAUAAUCCAAUAACCAUGUAAUCUGUUAAUAAAAUACUAAACUUUUAGUUUCAAUAGUUUAAAGUUCAAAUCCUAACAAACUCACAUACAAAAAAAAAAAAAGAUAAUCUUCUACUUUCACAAAUUUCAUGUAUACGAGAUAAUUUAUAUAUAUUUUGAUUUCUUCACAAAUGAUUAAUAAAGUUUUUAAAUUUUAUAAACGAUAUUAGCAUCUCAUACUUUUGUAACAUAUUUUCUUUUAACUAUUUUUUUCAAACCUAAAUGUAACUUUUUUUAAUUUAUCAGAUAUGAAAAUCCAGUAAGUUAUAUAACUUAUCAGAAAUGUUUAUUCAAAAGUUUUAAAAUUAAAACGAGAUGGGUAAAUAAGUAAUAUCACUUAAAAAAUUAUUAAAAAAAAGUAAAUGUAGAGAAAAAUAUGAUGGUGUAUUUAGAAUCACUCAUCACAAAAUUAUACUUUAUAAAAAAAUUGAUAUUCUAAUUUUGGAAUCACAAAGAAAAUGAUAAUAUGAGAUUUUUUAUUGGUAUUUAGUCUUUUCUUUGCUAUAUACUUUUAAGUCUUCCCACAUGCAAAUAUUUAAGUUUUCUUUCCAAUUAUUACUCUGUGAAGAAUAAUUUCUUAGCAAUUUGCUAAAAUCAAGUCUGUCUUUUAAAAAAGAUAAAAAAACAUAGCAAUUUUCUUAAUGGAGGUUGUCUUUUGUCUUCCAGUUAAAUUGGAAGAUUAAAAAUGGAUUUUAAAUAUAUUAAUUAUUAUUGUUAUAGUUUAGUCUUUUUAAUAACUUAGAUUGGAGCAAUUGCUAAGAUUAUUAUUUUUGUAAAGUAAAGAUGGGGGCAAAAAAACUAAUACAUUUACAUGUUUGUUGCCAAAACUAAGUAUAAAGCAAGGUCUAAGACUUAAACCAAUACAUUCCCAUAGUAUCUAGCAUUUUGUUUCUUAUUCCACCAUUAAAAAAUUAUAAUUUCCAAAAUAGACAAGUUUGAUAAGUGAGAAUGAAUAUGUUCUUUAGAUUUUUUUUCAAACUUUUCAGCAAAAAUAAAAUUCAAGUUUUUUAUUUGUUGAUUUUUUUCUCCAAUCAAUUUGUUGAUUAAGCAACUUCUUUUUCAUGCUUUUGUUCCUAAUGUACUAUUUGAUUUCAAGGUAUGUGCUUUUUUUUUCUAUUUUUUUAGUUGUUAUUGUUAAUAUAUUUUAAAGAAAUCCUCUUAUUUAAAAAUUCAAUGAGCCAAUAACCAUAUAAUCUAUUAAUAAAAUGUUUAACUCUUAGUUUUAAUAGUUUAAAGUUCAAACCAUAGCAACCUCAUAUAAAAAAAAUCUUCUAAUUUAAAAAAUUUCUUGUAUGCAAGAUAAUUUAUAUAGAGUUUUAAAUUUUAUAAACAAUAUUAAAUCUCGUACUUUCUAUAAGAUAUUUUCUCUUAAUUAUUUUUUUUCAAACCUAAAUGUAACCUUUUUCAAUUUAUCAGAUAUGAAAAUUCAGUAAGUUAUAUAACUUAAGAAAUAUAUAUCUAGAAGCUUUAACAUUAAAAUGAGAUGAGUAAAUAAGUAAUUUCACUUUAAAAUUAAAAAAAAAAAGAGUGGAUAUAAGGAAAAAUAUGAUGGUGUAUUCAAAAUCAUCCAUCACAAAAUUAUACUUUAUAAAAAAAUUGAUAUUCUAAUUUUGGACUCACAAAAAAAAUUAUAGUAUGAGAUAUUUUUAUUGGUGUUUAGCCUUUUCUUUACUUUAUACUUUUAAGCCUUCUCAUCAUGCAAAUGUCUAAGUCUUCUUACCCCAUCAUUACUAUGAGAAGAAUAAUCUUCUUAACAAUUUACAUAAGUCAAGUUUGUCUCUUGAAAAAAAUAAAAAAACAUAACAUUUUUUCAAUGGUGGUUGUCUUUUGUUUUUAAUUAAAUUAGCAGACUAGGAAAAUAUUUUAAGUAUAUUAAUUAUUAUUAUUAUUAUAUUCUAGUCUUUUUAAUGAUUUAGAUUGAAGCAAUUGCUAAAAUUAUUAUUUUUAUGAAGUAAAGAUGGGGGCAAAAAGACUAACACAUUUUCGUGUUUGAUGCUAAGACCAAGUAUAAAGCAAAGACGAUGAUUUAGACCAAUGCAUUCCCAUAGUAUCUAUCAUUUUCUUUCUUAUUCCACCAUUAUAAAAUCACAAUUUUCAAAAUAGACAAGUUUGAGAAGUGGGAAUGAAUGUGUUGUUUAGAUUUUUUUUUUCAAACUUUUCAGCAAAAAUAAAAGACAAGUUUUUAAUUUGUUGCUUUUUUUUUUUGCCAAUCAAUUUGUUGAUUAAGCAACUUCUUUCUCUUGCUUUUGUUCCUAAUGUACUAUUAGAUCUCAUGGUAUGUGCAUUUUUUAUUUUUUAGUUUUUAAUUGUUAAUAUAUUUUAAAAAGAUUCUCUGAUUUAAAAUUAAAUGAAGAAAUAAUCAUAUAGUUUGUUAGCAAAAUGUUGAACUCUUAAUUUCAAUAGUUUAAAGUUCAAAUCUUAAUAACCUCACUUACCAAAAAAAAUGAUAAUUUUCUAAUUUCAAAAAUUUCAUGUAUACGAGAUAAUUUAUAUAUUUUUUUUUAUUUCAUAAUAUAUGAUUAAUAAAGAUUUUAAAUUUUAUAAAUGGUAUUAGAAUCUCAUACUUUAUGCAAGAUAUUUUCUCUUAACUAUUUUUUUUCCAAACCUAAAUCUAACUUUUAACUUAGCAGAUAUGAAAAUCUAAUAAGUUAUAUCUAAAUGCUUUAAAAGUAAAAUGAGAUGAUAAAUAAGUAAUUUCAUUUAAAAAUUAAAAAAAAAUUGAUAUAGAGUAAAAAUGGUCAUAUUUUUAGAAUCAGCCAUCACAAAAUUAUACUUUAUAAAAAAUUGAUAUUUUAAUUUUGGACUCAUAAAAAAAAUGAUAGUAUGAGAUCUUUUUAUUGGUAUUUAAUCUUUUCUUUGUUUUAUACUUUUAAGUCUUCCCAUCAUGCAAAUGCCAAAGUCUUCUUGCCCCAUCAUUAUUAUGUGAAAAUAAUCUUCUCAUCAAUUUGCUUAAGUCAAGUCUACCUUUUAAAAAAGACAAAGAAAUAAAAAAAAAAUUUUUUCUCAAUGAAAGUUGUCAUUUGUCUGCUAGUUAAAUUGGCACACAAGGAAUAGAUUUUAAGUAUAUUAAUUAUUAUUGUUAUAUUUUAGUCUUUUUAAUGACUCAGACUAAAGCAACUACUAAGAUUAUUUUUGUGAAGCAAAUAUGGGGGCAAAAUGAUUGACACAUUUGCAUGCAUGAUGCCAAAACUAAGUAUAGAGCAAAGACUAACACUUGGACCAAUACAUUCCCAUAUUAUCUAUCAUUUUCUUUCUUAUUCCACCAUUAUAAAAUCACAAUUUUCAAAAUAGACAAGUUUGAGAAGUGAGAAUGAAUAUAUUUUGUAGAUUUUUUUUUUCAAACCUUUCAACAAAAAUAGAACACAUGUUUCUGAUUUGUUAAUUUUUUUUUUUGUGAAUUAAUUUGCUGAUUAAGCAACUUCUUUCUCAUGCUUUUGUUCCUAAUGUACUAUUAGAUUUCACGGUAUGUGCAUUUUUUUUAGUUUUUUAUUGUUAAUAUAUUUUAAAGAUAUCUUCUAAUUUAAAAAUUCAAUAAACUAAUAACUAUAUAGUCUAUUAGUAAAAUGCUAAACUCUUAGUUUUAGUAGUUUAAAAUUCAAAUCCUGGCAAUCUCACUAUAAAAAAAUUAUAAAAAAAAAAAGACAAUCUUAAAAUGAAAAAAUUUCAUGUAUACAAGAUAAUUUAUAUAUAUAUAUUUUAAUUUUCUUCACAUAUGAUUAAUAGAGUUUUUAAAUUUUAUAAACAAUAUUAAAAUCUCAUACUUUUUAUAAGAUAUUUUCUCUUAACUAUUUUUUUUUCAAACCUAAAUGUAAUUUUUCUAACUUACCAAAUAUGAAAAUUCUAUAAGUUAUAUAACUCAUUAGAAAUGCAUAUUUAAAAGGUUUAAAAUUAAAACAAGAUAAGUAAAUAAGUAAUUUACUUAAAAAUUUUCUAAAAAAGGUGGAUGUAGAGAAAAAAAUAAUGGUGUAUUUAAAAUUACCCACCACAAAAUUAUACUUUACAAAAAAAAUUGAUAUUCUAAUUUUGGACUAACAAAGAAAAUGAUAGUAUGAGAUUUUUUUCAUUGGUAUUUAGUCUUUUCUUCACUUUAUACUUUUAAGUCUUCCCAUCAUGCAAAUGUCUAAGUCUUCUUGCCCCAUCAUUACUCUAUGAAAAAUAAUCUUAUUAGCAGUUUGCUUAUGUCAAGUCUAUCUUUUAAAAAAGACAAAAAAAAAGCAAUUUUUUCAAUGGUGGGUGUCUUUUUUCUUCCAAUUAAAUUUGCAGACUGGGAAUGGAUUUUAAAUAUAUUAAUUAAUAUUGUUAUAUUUUAGUCUUUUCAAUGACUUAGACUAAAGCAAUUGCUAACAUCAUUUUUUUUUUUGAAGUAAAAAUAGGGGCAAAAAGAUUGACACAUUUGCAUGCUUGAUGCCAAGACUAAGUAUGAAGCAAAGACUAUGAUUUAGACCCAUGCAUUCUGAUAGGAUCUAUCUUUUUCUUUCUCAUUCCACCAUUAUAAAAUCACAAUUUCCAAAAUAGACAAGUUUGAGAAAUGGGAGUGAAUGUGUUCUUUAGAUAAUUUUUUCAAACUUUUCAGUAAAAUUAAAAGAUAGGUUUUUAAUUUAUUUAUUAUUAUUAUUAUUAUUUUGCUAAUCAAUUUGGUGAUUAAGCAACUUCUUUCUCAUGCUUUUGUUCCUAAUGCACCAUUAGAUCUCAUGGUAUGUGCCAUUUUUUUUUUAUUUUUUAGUUUAUUAUUAUUAAUAUAUUUUAAAGAGAUUUUUUUAUUUAAAAUUAAAUGAGCAAUAACCAUGUAGUUUGUUAGUAAAAUGUUGAAUUCUUAAUUUUAGUAGUUUAAAGUUCAAAUCCUGAUAACCUCACAUUACAAAAAAAAAAAAGGACAAAUUUCUAAUUUCAUAAAUUUCAUGUAUACGAGAUAAUUUUUAUAUAUUUCAAUUUCAUCAUAUAUGAUUAAUAGAGAUUUUAAAGUUUAUAAAUGGUAUUAGAAUCUCAUACUUUAUGCAAGAUAUUUUCUCUUAACUAUUUUUUUCGAAACCUAAAUGUAACUUUUUUUAACUUACCGGAUAUGAAAAUCCAAUAAGUUAUAUCAAGAUGCUUUAAAAUUAAAACGAGAUGAGUAAAUAAGUAAUUUCACUUAAAAAUUAAAAAAAUUGAUAUAGAGAAAAAAUGAUGGCAUAUUUAGAAUCACCCAUCACAAAAUUAUGCUUUAUAAAAAAUUUGAUAUUUUCAUUUUGGACCCACGAAGAAAAUAAUAGUAUGAGAUCUUUUUAUUAGUAUUUAAUCUUUUCUUUGUUUUAUACUUUUUAGUCUUCCCAUCAUGCAAAUGUCUACGUCUUCUUGCCCUAACAUUACUUUAUGAAAAUAAUCUUCUUAGCAGUUUGCUUAUGUCAAAUCUGCCUUUUAAAAAGGACAAAAAAAAAAACAACAAUUUUCUCAAUGAAAGUUGUCUUUUGUCUUCUAGAUAAAUUGACACACAAGGGAUGGAUUUUAAGUAUAUUAAUUAUUAUUGUUAUAUUUUAGUCUUUUUAAUGACUUAGAUUGAAGUAACUGCUAAGAUUAUUUUUGUGAAGUAAAGAUGGGUGCAAAAAGAUUGACUCAUUUGCAUGCUUGAUGCCAAAAUUAAGUAUAGAACAAAGACUAAGACUUAGACCAAUACAUUCCCAUAGUAUCUGUCAUUUUCUUCCAUAGAAUAUAUUCUGUAGAUUUUUUUUCAAACCUUUCAGCAAAAAUAAAACUCUGGUUUUUAAUUUGUUGAUUUUUUUUGGCCAAUCAAUUUGUUGAUUAAGCAACUUCUUUCUCAUGCUUUUGUUCCUAAUGUACUAUUAGAUUUUAUGGUGUGUGCAUUUUUUCAGUUUUUUAUUGUUAAUAUAUUUUAAAGAUAUCCUCUAAUUUAAAAAUUCAAUGAGCUAAUAACUAUAUAUUCUAUUAGUAAAAUACUAAACUCUUAGUUUCAGUAUUUAAAAUUCAAAUCCUAACAAUCUCACAUAUAUAUAUAUAUAUAUAAAGACAAUCUUCAAAUGAAAAAACUUCAUGUAUAUGAGAUAACUUAUAUAUAUUUUAAUUUCUUCACAUAUAAUUAAUUGAGUUUUUAAAUUUUAUAAACAGUAUUAAAAUCUCAUACUUUUUGUAAGAUAUUUUCUCUUAACUAUUUUUUUUCAAACCUAAAUGUAACUUUUUCUAACUUAUUGGAUAUGAAAAUUCUAUAAGUUAUAUAACUCAUCAAAAAUGCAUAUUUAGAAGUUUUAAAAUUAAAACAAGAUAAGUAAAUAAGUAAUUUCACUUAAAAAAUUUUUAAACAAGGUGGACGUAGAGAAAAAAUGAUGGUGUAUUUAGAGUCACCUAUCACAAAAUUAUACUUCACAAAAAAAUUGAUAUUCUAAUUUUAGACUAACAAAGAAAAUGAUAGUAUGAGAUUUUUUUAUUGGUAUUUAUCUUUUCUUUACUUUAUACUUUCAAGUCUUCCUAUCAUGCAAAUGUCUAAGUCUUCUUGCCCCAUCAUUAUUCUUUGAAAAAUAAUUUUUUUGACAGUUUGCUUAAGUCAAGUCUAUCUUUUAAAAAAGACAAAAAAAUAGCAAUUUUCUCAAUGGUGGUUUUUUUUUUUGUCUUCCAAUUAAAUUGGCUGGCAAUUAAUUUUAAGCAUAUUAAUUAAUAUUGUUAUAUUUUAGUCUUUUCAAUGACUUAGACUAAAGCAAUUGCUAACAUCACUAUUUUUUUGAAGUAAAAAAGGGGGCAAAAAGAUUGACACAUUUGCAUGCUUGAUGCCAAGACUAAGUAUGAAGCAAGGACUAUGAUUUAGAACCAUGAAUUCCGAUAAGGUCUAUCUUUUUCUUUCUUAUUCCAUCAUUAUAAAAUCACAAUUUCCAAAAUAGACAAGUUUGAGAAAUGGGAGAGAAUGUGUUCUUUAAAUUUUUUUUUCAAACUUUUCAGCAAUGAUAAAACACGGGGUUUUAAUUUAUCGAUUUUUUUGGCCAAUCAAUUUGUUGAUUAAGCAACUUGUUUCUUAUGUUUUUGUUCCUAAUGUACUAUUAGAUUUCACGGUAUGUGCAUUUUUUUUUUAGUUUUUUAUUAUUACUAUAUUUUAAAGUGAUGCAUUGAUUUAAAAAUUCAAUGAGCCAAUAACCAUGUAAUUUGUUAGUAAAAUAUUGAACUCUUAGUUCUAAUAGUUUAAAGCUCAAAUCUUGACAACUUUAUAUACAAGAAAAAAAAAGACAAUCUUCUAUUUUCACAAAUUUCAUGUAUACCAGAUAAUUUAUAUAUAUUUUGAUUUCUUUACAUAUGAUUAAUAGAGUUUUUAAAUUUUUUUAAUGGUAUUAGAAAAUCAUACUUUCUAUAAGAUAUUUUAUCUUAACUAUUUUUUUUCAAUCCUAAAUAUAACUUUUUUAACUUACUGCAUGUGAAAUUUUGAAAAGUUAUAUAAUUUAUCACAAAUGCAUAUCUAGAAGUUUUAAAAUUAAAAUGAGAUGGGUAAAUAAGUAAUUUCACUUAAAAAACUUUUAAAAUUGGAUGUAGAGAAAAAAAAAUGAUGUUGUAUUUUGAAUCACCCAUCAUAAAAUUAUAGUUUCUAAAAAAUUGAUAUUUUAAUUUUGGACUCACAAAGAAAAUGAUAGUAUGAGAAUUUUUUAUGAGAUUUUAAUUCUUUUCUUUGCUUUAUCACAUAUCUUAAUUUUUUUUAUAUAAUUUUUUAGUAUAUUUGUAAAAGGGUUUGUGACAGCCCUCUAACUUGUAUAAUCUAAAAACUCCACUAACUAAUUGCAUUUUCUAAGUUAUAUGAUUCAACAAAUACUAACAAGUCAAUUAAUAAUUUAAUUGUUCUAUAAAUUUGAAGGUAAAAUAAAUGAAAAUUUAGCAACUAAUAAAGACUAUGCUUUUAUUCCCAGAAACAAACCAGAUGAAAUAGAUGGAGUUAAAGAAUGAACUAUUUCGGGGCAAGAUAUCAGUACUAUCUGGAUUUCUUAAGCAUCAUAAUAUCAAGAAAAUCUGACUAGAACAACUUUACAUCAUGGCAAAAUUUCAAAGGAAAACCACAAGUUUCUCAAUUUCAUUCCUUCUUUCUCUUCCCCAAAAUUACAAAUUAUCUGCAUCAAGUUGCAUAUUUACAUAAGAUGUUGGCAUAUAUCUUUCCAAAAAAAAAGUAGUAGAAUGAAGUCAACAAAUAAAACCAACCCUGAAACCUGUAAAAGUCAGUAUGUUCCACCUCUAUGUUGUUUGACAGUGUUCAAUGUCCAACAUUAUUAACAUCAGCACCACCUUUGCAUUUCAUCCUCCAAAAAUCGAAAAAUCUUUAGAUAAGUAGGCUUCAAGUGAAUCUAUUAGCCAUGAUUUGCAUCAACAAACCUAAGAUUCACUGAUGUUGUUAGCUGCCAUAUUCAAAGCAAACUCGUUAGAUACUGGCAUUUCUAGAAUAUGGCCAAGAAGUCUGGUAAGUUCCCUACGAACAUGAAUAAAACAUAUAUAUUUUACUAGAAAGGAAAAGCAAAAGGUAAAAUAUAUAUAUCAUAACUGAUCUAAAACAGAAAAAAUAAUUAAAAUAUAAAAUCAAUUAUAACACAAUUAGUAUAUAUAUAGAAGUAGAAUCAUGUAGUUAAUCAUAAAAAAUUUACUUAUUUUGUGUAUAACUCAAAAUUUUAUUGCUUAUGGAAAUGCAAUUUACUUUUUUGCUUUCAGAAGCAAAAAGCAAAUAGCAAAAACCCAAUUAAACAGACACUAAAUAAGGCAAAAUAACCAAGAACUUCAUAUGGUUCGUUAAUGCAUUUAUUUUGCACAAGUAAUUUUAAAUUCUCGGUAGUUUCCUUUUUAGUUUUUUCUGUUUUUGGUCAUUAAAUCUUACUCUAAUUUUAUUGAAUUUAAUUUUUUGACAUUUUUUAGAAUUUAUGUAUGUACAAUGCUUGAAAUUUACAUUUUAUUUUGCGAUUACACAAUUUUUUAUGCAAACAUCGUAUAUAACAUAUUUUUUAAACCAAUGUUUAUAUAUACAUACAUACGUACAUACAUUCAUAUGCACUAAUAUAAGUGCUAUUUUUACAAGGCUUAUGUAGGAAAUCAAAACUUUAAUCAGACUUUAACACUGAAAAUUUUAACCUAAAAUUCAACAGCUUGAACAUAAUGUGAAAUGCAAUUUCAAAAGCUAGAGAGGAAGGGCAGGAAUAGGAGGGCAAAGUGAAAAUGGAAGAGCAGGAGAUCAAACUCUACCAUAAGCAAACCGACAAAAUACUAAGACCUAGGAGGUGAACAAAGACAGGGCAAAAGAUCAUUGCAGAAUAUGCAUGCAACAAAGAAAAGAUCAGGUUAUAACCACCUUUUCACAUAAACAUUCAAUUCUUAAUUUGCAAGAAGAACCUGUUAUGUCAUAUAUAUUAAUUCAUUUUGAAAACAGAAAACACUGACGAAACUUAUCUAAACCAAGAUACUUGAAAGCAAUGAAAUGGAAAUCCGAAAAACUCGCUCCAUUCAAUUGUUGGAAAAUGCAAAAUGUACAAUUAAACAAAUGAUGAUUGCAUGCUAGAACUCCACAAAAGGUAACACUUUCCACCCAACUAUUUCAUUUUAUUUUUCUUUCCCUUUUUCAACCCUCUCAUUCUUCCCAAUAAUAACAAGAGAUUCAAACUGCAAUAACCAUUCUUUUGCAGCAAAUUUAACCGCUAGCAAUUGAAUGACAGAUUGACAAUUAUGUACAGUAAUAGUCAAAGAAAAUACUACUUGGCAAUAAAAAUAAAUGACAUAUGGGUAAAACAGAACAAAACCAACAUACAAUAAAAAUAAAUGACAUAUGGGUAAAACAGAACAAAACCAACAUACAAUAAAGCCCGAGAAACACAAAUAAGGAAAAAAAAAAAAAGUUAUGCUUAGCUAAACAUAGAAUCUUUCAACACAGUGAAAGUCUUACAAAGAUCAUGGAAAAAAGAAAUUAAAAAAAAAAUAAAAUACUCUGCCUUUGCCAAUGUGGGGUUUCCAAAAAUUAGCUGCAAUUGCUCCAGCUCUCUAAUUACAGUGUCAAUGUAAAAACAGGAGAUAAAAUCAAUUUUAAAAAAAAGACCCAUAUUUUACAGUAGCAAAAAAAAAAGAAUUUUUAAGAUUGAAAAUAAAACUGGGCAUGAGGAAAUUUUUACCUGGAAAAAGAAAAAAAAGAGGGGGAAAAAUUGAUUAAAACCCCCUAGCUUUAAACCCCUUUUGACAAUUUCUUUUUUUAAUUUUGCUUUUUUCAUUUAAUUGCUUUGUGCAUUCAAUCGGUAUAUUGCCCAAUUGUAUUUUAGUGCAAAAAGUCAAAGGGAAGCCCGAUUCGGUAUUAGUGGACCCAGCCCAUGUAAGAAAAACCGGGUCUUUUGAUCCAAUAGGCCUAUCAAGUAUCAAGACCAAUUCGGGUAAUUAAUUUUCCUUUUUUUGGUUGAUUAUUAAUUUUAUUUGGAUGUAUGAAAUUUUUUUUUUACAAUCUUUUUGAAAAAACAAAUUUUAUAAAAGCCCUAAAUUCUUAUUUUUGUUUUCAUAGGUAUUAGUUUUUCUUUCCUCUAUGAUUGUUUCUUCAUUAUUGUUGUUUGGUCAAUGAAAGAGAAUUUUUUUGGUAAUUAAAUUCGUGUUUAGAAAUUUGAAUUCAAAAUAAAGGGAUAUAAAUUUCAAAUGUUAAUAUAAAUUUAGAAAUAGAAUUAAAACAAACUAUGAUUGUACUUAAAUUCAUGAUUUAUUUUUUAUACAUUAAAAGUAUUCUAUCUAUUGUGCAUUAUGUACCAAAAUAUAAUUUUUUUUAUAUAUAAUGGAAAGGGUAAUAAGUAUUGUGUUUUUUCCUUAAUAACAAUUUGGAGGAGAAGUGAAAUCAGUUUUAGUGAAAUUAAAAAUAAAAGUAAUGGUAAAAUUAAUUAUUGUAGUGAUAAGAUUAAAUAAAAUAACAAUAAAAUUAAAAUCAAUAAUAAAAUAUAUAUUAGAUAUAAAUGUAAAGGCGACCAUGAAUCCAUGUAUUGACUUGCAUUGUAUUGCACCGAAUAUGCACUGAAUCCAAAAGGGCCUAAAUAAUCUCUUUAGAGAUGAUCUAAUGUUAAGUAGGCAUGAGAUUUUUUUUAACCCAACAGCCAACAUGGCAUGCUAUUGCUUCUUAUCUUUUCAGUUUUUAAGUACUGAACAAUUUGAACAUACAUCAACUUCAUUUUCAUUGAGUUUUAUUUAUAUUUUUUAAGAAAAUUGAAGGUACUAUUUCAGUAUUUUAUUUAAUUCCUCACCAGUCACCAAGUCUUUGCUUGACCCUGUGAAGCUGAUCUUUACUUCAAAAACAUCCUGCCCAAUAUUGAAGAUAGCGAUCCUGUCCCAUAUAGUUUCUCGAUACUCACUAGCUUCUCCCAAUAAUUUUCUUGCUGCCAAGUUGUAUGAAAUGAAAGCUUCACAAAUCCGCUUUCAACAAAAUUGCCAUGUACAGCUUUAGAAUCCUCGGCAUUGGUGGAAGCUAUUUGCAGGGACUUUUGGUCAUGGAGCUCAUGCUUUUGGGUUAGACAUUGGCACCAAGUACAAUCAAUGUUGUGGCAAAUGGAAUGUCUUUGAAGUAUGAUUCCAUUUUCUGAAUUGUUGCAGUGGGCUCAUUUGAUUAUUGAUAUGAAAUCAUUAAGGUUUUUUUCUCUUAUUUUAUGUAGUAAGCAGGUAAUUAAUAUGUGUUUGUUUAUCAUUUCUCGCUAAUUUUCAAUCUCUGCAGUUUCAUUGCAAUCAAGACAGAUCGUCAAGCCUAUUUUGCAGGUUCCAGAAGCACACUUCUUAUGCUAAGUUUUUUUUUUUUUCCUUUUUCUAUUUGAUUGCAUAUCCAACUCUAUUCAUAAUUUUGGUUUCUAAACAUCAAAACUGGGUUUCAACAGAGACAGUUUACAGCUUGCAUUAAAUUAAGACAGUACUAGCAGACACUUUAGAUUAAUUGAUUGUCACACUACAAUUUUCAGCAAAUCAAAACACAUUAACUCUUUAUAUUCCCCAUUGCAUAUUAAAAUCAAUCUAUUUACAUUAAAAAAAAUCAGCAAAUUAGUCGUUUCCGCUGCAACUAAUAAUUCAAAUGUGCACAUAUAUUUGACAACAAAUGUACUGUAAUCAAAGGAAAAGUUGUAACAUGUAAAUUGAGGAUGGCACUUACAAGAAGAAAUAUAAACCCCAUGAAACAGAGGACGCUAAAACUGCAGGAAAGAAGCUUGCAUAAAGCCCUUUCAAACCCUGCAUGACAAACCCACUAAACUUUUAGCAUAUAUCAAAAGAAAAACAGCAUACAAAAGAGAAACGUUAAUCUCCAAUGCAAGCGAGAAAGACCUCAAAUUUACAUGUAGAGAAAAGAAAAAUAAAGUACCUAAGCCUAAUUAAAUGAAAGGAAAAAAAAAGAGUAAAAAAAAGUGCGAACCUCUAAGCGAGUAAUGGUAAAAAUGACGUGGGCGGUGUUCUUGUAAAUCGGGAAAUUGGUGAGUCGAUCGUCUUUAACUAUUUGAAAACUCGAUCCAAUCAGCACCUAAAAAGACUGAAACUUUUUGUCGAGACUAUGUAUAUAUAAAGAAAGAGACGGAAAAAGAAGAAGAAGAGGAUAACCUUGAAAUCUCGUACGGACGAUGUUCAGAGGGUAAAUCGCUGCAACGGUGGCGAAGCCCGCCACUGCACCGGCGGUUGCGUUCUCCCAUUGCCACUGUCAUUGUGACAUUUCUUUUUGAAUAAAUAAUAAUAAUGAAAAGGAACAGGCCGUUUCUGUUAAUGUGCAUCAAAUUAAGACAGUAUCUUUACUUAUAUCGUUAACUCUUUGAUUUUUCAGUCUGCAAUUUCUUUAGGAAGCUAACAGAAGGGCAAAAACGUAAGGAAAAGGACAAUAAAUGAAGACGAAGAUGAAGACUCCAGAAAUGGCACAUCUCCGUCACACAAUCAGAAAAAGGCUUUGAAACCUGACAAUAAGUUAUACUGUUCGACCGGAUCCUCCAGGAGUGCUGCUCUCAAUGAAUCAAAUACAGAAUUUGACAAACCGAUUUUUCGAUUUGAGUCUUCGAAGGAACUUCCAAUUCAAAUUGAUAGCAGAGUACGGCAACCUUAGAAACUGAGACUGAGUUUACAUAAGAUGCUCGCGCUAUACGUAAGAAUGUUCUUAAACGAGCAGAGAAGGCUUUGAAGGGGAAAAGCAUAAGCUCUGUGGGAGAGAAGUUCCAUAAAGGAAUGCAUGACUAUGUGAAUCACAAGGCUGGGUUUGAAGAGAACAGACAGUUGCCAAUGAGAAAGCUGGUGGCUCACAUGGACCUCUUAGGGCUUCUGCCCACAUCAGGGUUUCAGAGAGAUUUGAUUAUCAACCUGACAUCUGUAAAGACUACAAAGAAGCUGGUUACUGUGGUUACAGGAUUCAUGUAAGUUUAUGCAUGAUCGUGGAGAUUACAAGUCUGGAUGGCAAUUAGAGUAAGGACUGGGAAGAAGCAGAGAAAGCAAGGAAGAGAAAUCUGGCUUUGGGUGGCGAUUAUUAUGAUGAUGAGGCAGGGAUAGGCCAGAGUGAUGAUGACAAUGACGAUUCAUUGCCCUUUAAAAUCAUUUCCCUUGUCUGAAUACCUUAUUAAAGGAAAUCAUUUCCCUGCUUGAGCUUGGGGGAAUUUUGGAUUAUGCAGUGAUGAUCUCUUUAAAAUCAUUGUCGCUGCUGGCAUGUGCAUUAGUAUUUAGGUAAGCAUUUUUUCUGUGUCCUUCCACAACAGACCUAUGAGUUGAGUGAUAGUAUUAAGCAGAUUAAGAAUUAGGUUUUUACAUUAAAUUCCAAGAGUCGUCGAAAACAACUGAAUGAGUAGACAAUUGUAAAACUUGUAAUUUAUAUACAAAAUUGGCGUUCCUAAGAUUCCAACAAACCCUAUUGCUGCCUUUUACCUAUGAAGUAGCAUUUCUUCUACCCAGAGAUAGCAUUGCAAUCCAGUAUUAAUUUUCCAAGGAUCAGCAUCCAACUUCACAACCUUCAUAAUGGCCAAGAAUUCAGCUUGAUCAGAUCAGAAUCCAGGCCUCGAUGACACAUACUGGUAGGAUCUAGGAUGUUACUUCAAAGAGUUUAAGAAUGUAUCGCAGGUAGUUUCAAUUGGGUAGGAACGGCGAAUGGAAGCUGUAAUUUUUUGUGAUGUCCAAGUCCAAAGCAUAGAACACAUUAAUGAUCAGUUUUCUUCCUGGAAAAAUACAGUUCCUGCAUUCAAGACAAAGAAAAAAAAUGUGAAAUCAGCAAGCAAACCUAACUUAAGCUCAAGACAUAGUAAUCUUUAGCUCUUAGCAGUAGUUGUAUAGAAAUCAAAUUUUUAACAUAAACUUUUGUUUCCUUUUUUCCUCCUAAAAUUUUCAUUUUUAGCAUGAGUUUUUGAUUUCUUUUUUCCCUGUUAAAUUUUGAAGUGACCGAAUUCAUGAGAAUAAAGUAUUUUCCUAGUUGAUACUUACAUUUCUAGUUAGAGAUGGAUUCAAAAGAGCAAGAACUUAGGGCUGCAUGAGAAGGACAGUGUUGUAGGAGAAAGCCUCUAGUGGCAAAGUCUUGAUGUCAUUUUCAAUAUAAGUAUAAAAUAUGUUGCUGUCAUUAUUGCUUUUAAAUGAAGGCUUUAAAAGAUAAAAAGUUGACAAGUAUCAUAUUUAAAUGAUUUAGUAAUUAUAUGGGUGCUUGAAUGAUUGAACAGAUUACAAAUUGUUGAUUUCAUAUAAAACUGUUUUAGUCUAAAGGAAGAUGAUUAAUUGAUUAUUUACCAUUUAUUAUUGAAGUAAUUAAGGGUGAUAAAAGGUAAGCCUUCGGAUCCCAAAACAAAUAAUAUAUCACAUAGUAAGUGUCGUUCAGUGUUGAUCCGAUUGCAUCAACAAUAACGUGUAUUAUUUUCCUUUACAAGGAAAAAAGUGCAUGCAGCUGUCAUUAGAGUUGGGUUUGGCUGCCAGCUAUUGAAACUCUAUCUUCACUUCCAUGAAGUAUCAUGAGAGCAAUCCAAGAAGGAAAAAAAAAAAUACAAAAUAGCAACAUCAUGCACUAAAUCAAAUAUUGAGAUUAAAGUAGGAAAUAGGAGAAAAUGCCAUACACAUACUUUUUGAAUCAUGCGGCUUUUAAUUUAUAUAAUUAAUUUUGUAGAGAAUGAAAGAAAAAGAGGGUGUUCACAUGCCACCCCUCCCAUUCUCCAAAAACUCUUUUUUGUAGUUUUUUAUUUUUUAUUUUUAUUAUUUUAUUUAUUAUUUAGUUUUUUAUUUUAUUUUUUAUGAAAUAAAUUUUGUAAAAAAAGUCUAUAGAAAUAAAGAUUAUAAAAUAAUUUGUAUUUGAUUGAUUUUAAUUCACAUCAAUCUAAUAUAGGUGCAUUUUGUUUAAAUUAAUUGCGUCAAGUUUCUUUUCUUUUGAAAAUAAAGUAGGGUUGAAAAUGGAUUUAAAGUGUUCUACUCUGUUUUGUUGUCCUUAUGAUACCAUACCUUUUUCUCUCUUUUUUUUUUUUAACUUUUGAUUUUUGGGGUUUUUUUUUAAUUUUUUUACUUUUAGUUUUUUAUUAGAUAAAUUUUGUAAUAAAAAAUUCAAUUGAAAUAGAAAUAAAAAAAUAAUUUUUAUAUGAUGGGUUUUGAUUCAUCCCAAUUCAAUUGGUACACAUUCUUUUAAUUCGAAAUUUUUGGUUUGAGCUCUUUUUUAAAUCAAACUAAAGGAAGAAUAAGAUUCUUGGUAUUAUGCUUUGACUUUGACACGUAUAAAAGUAUAUAUUUGAUUAUUUAUUUAAUUUUAUAUUUAUAUAUGUAUUUUAUUAAAAAUAUUAUUUAAUAUUUUAAUUAACAAAUUUGUUUGUCACCCUAUUUCGAUUUUUUAGUCAUUUUCUUUCCUUAAAAAUUUUUUAUGAGAUAAAUUUUGUAAAGAAAAAAGUUAAUAAAUAUAAGGAUAACAAAAAAACUUAUUUUUAUGAGAUAAAUUUCAUAAAGAAAAAAGUUAAUAAAUGUAAGGAUGAUUAAAUAAUUUAUAUUUAAUAGAUUUCAAUUCGUUACGAUAUAAUCGAUAUAUCAUUUUUUUAAAUAAAAAUUGAGUUAAAUUUUAUCUCUUUAAAUAAUUUAAGUUAAGUCCAAAUCAAGUGUAAUAUGUUCUAUCCCAACCUUUCUUUGGAUUUAUAAAAGUAUAUAUUUUAUUAUUUAUUAAAUUUAUAUUUAAAUAUAUAUUAUAUUAAUAAAAUUAUUAUUUAAUACCAUAAUUUAAUAAAAAACUAUAUUUAUAUAAUUAAAUUAUAAUUUAUAUUAAAAAAUAAAUAACUUACAUUUUUCUAUAUAUUAUCAUCCAUUAAAAUUUAAUAUAAAAAUAUUACUUCUCUUAUAUUUAAAACAUAAUUUUAAAAAAUAAAAAAUAAUCUCGUCAAAAACACGGUUUUAGUUCUAACGAAAGUAAUAUUAUAUAUAUAUAUAUAUAUAUAUAUAUAUAUAUAUAUUUAUAAAAACACACACACACACGCGCUCACAAAACUUCUUCGCUCUUUGGAAAAUUCAGUGGUUUCAGUUUUCUAUCGUAAUUGAAGGUUAAAGUGAUUCCUUUCCUAGAUGUUUUUUGGCCAUAUAUUUCCAUUACCCAAACUUCGUAUGUUGGUGCCAAAUGCCAAGAUAUCCUCUCUUUAUACACAGCAAUGGAUUUUUUUUUCCAGAGUGUUCACUCAUAAAUAUAUAUAUAUAUAUAUAUAAAUAAUAAACACAAAUUUAAAAUAUUAUAUCACUACAUUAUUACAAUUGUCCAAAAUUCUCAUAUUUUAAAAAACUUAUAAUUACAUUAUUAUAAUAUCAUCAAAUUCAUAAUUUUUAAAAAUAUAAGUAACUGAAUAAUCAUUCAGUAAAUAAUCAUUGUUAGUACUAUUAAAUUUUAUUUUGAUGGAUUUAUCAAAUUAUAUUGACAAAAAUGAUAUUAAGAAAAAAAUUUUGAUGAUGUCCUUAGAAAAAUUUUCUUUUAAUUUUUUUUUUUAAAUAUUUGAAGUGUCUGUGAAUACGGCACUCCAACCUUUGCAUCUGUAUACAAAAACAAUUCAUACCCAUGCAUAAGAUGAUUAUCAGCUAUUGGUGUAGGGAUAUCCAAGAAUUCUUCCUUUGUUAGAUCAAAAGCAGUGAUGCACUCGUGUUUUUGUUUUGAACCAUUUACAAUUCCUUUUUAAUAAUAUGAUUUUAAUACAUCUUAAAUUACAAUAUGAAUAAAACCAAGUUAUUAAAUAACAUAAAAUAAUAAAUAAAAUUAAUAAUUUUCAUUGAUUCUAUUUUUUAUUUUGUAUGUCCUCCAUAGAAAAUGUAGCUUUCUAAUAAAAUUAAUAUUAUGAAUGAUUUUUAAAUUAUAAUAAAAUAUUUAAUAUGAUAAUUAAAUUUAAAAAAUUUUUAAUAUGAUAUUUGAAUUAAUCACAUUAAAGAUAAAUAUCAAAUUAAUUAAUAAAUUUAUAAUUUAAAUAUCAAAUUAAAAAAUUUUAAAGUUUAAAUGUAAUAUUAAAUAUUUUAUUAUAAUUUAAAAUAAUUCAUAAUAUUUAUUUUUAUAAUUUUUUUUGGGUAUGCUCUGCUCGAUCUUAUGCUACAUCUUUAUAUAAAGGGACCUUUUUCCACCAUUAAAAAGUUUUGAGUGUGAACUGAACCCUUUUUAGCAAAGGAUUAAUUUUACGUUGAUGAAAAUAUUAGAGACAUGCCUUAAAGGGCAGUAAUGUUUUUUAAUUUUUUUAAAUAUUUCCUGAUUCUACCUUAUUUUCCUCUAUUUUCUUGAAAACUCUUCAAAAAUUAAUUAUAGAUGAUGUUAGAUCCAUCGGUUAAACCAAUCAAUCAAACUAGUUAGACAAGUUAAAUCAAUGACAGGAGAUUUUGAUUAUUGGUCUAAUUUAAAACAUUGUGUCUAUCAAGUUGGACUGAUAAGAAAUCGGUUUGAUUAUUUUGAUUAAUAUUUAGUAUUAUUAUUUUUUUAAAGUUAAUCACAAUUUGAAUUGAUUUUUUUAAAUUGAAUUAAUUUGAAUUGAAUUUUAUUGAUUAGUUUUAAUUUAUUGAUUUGUAAAAUUUUAUUUAUUAUUAUUGUCAUCUUAUUUCUAAAAGGGAAUAUUAACUUAUAUCACUAUAAUUUUUUUUAAUUUUAUAUUUUUUUAAUUAUUGAUUUUAAUUAAUUUUAAAAAUGAUAUUAAAUUAUUUUUUUAUUUAUCUAUUUCAUCUUUGAAUCAAUUCAAAUUAAUGAUUAAAAAAAUAUGAAACUUUUUUUAUGUAACUUGAUCUUUCUUUAUUUUAAAAGAAAAAUUAUUUUUAUUUUAUAAAAUAAUAACAUUUAUAUAAAAAUUAAUAAAAAUAUAAUUAUGUUCUAUUUAAAUUUUUUAAUUUAAUGAAUCAAAAAUCAUUUGAGUCAAAUUAAAAUAUUUAUUCGAUCUGAAUCAAAUAAAAAAAUUCCUUAUAAGUUUUAAUCGAUUUUUGAUUUAUCAAUUCUUUGAAAAGGUUUUCGGUUUCUUUAUUUUUUUUUCCCCAGCCUUCCUGGCAGGAGCUUUGUUCUAACAAAAAUAUGUUAUAUAUUUUGAAAAAAAUUUGAAAUUAACUAAUCGUUAGGUUGCUGGGGUCGAAACCGUGUCCCAUGAGUAAAGGUUUUUUAUUUUACAUAAUUAGCGUAUUUUUAAUUUUUUCGUGCCUUCCAAAGUCCAAAACAAUCAGGCCCAAACUGAUUAUCCUUGUUUGUGCUCUUUACAGAGUCCAGUGUUCUAAAACAGAAAACCAAGCCUUUAUGGCAGUAGUUUCAACUGCUCAUUCAACUGCCUCCCUUUUGCACCACAUAAAUGGUUUCAAACGCUUCACUUUCUUCUUACCCUUUUCUUCUUCUUCUGUUGCUGCUUCUUUGUCCACUAUGAAAAAAUGAAGACAACCAGUGGCUUCCUCAGUGCUAGAGCUUGGUGGAAUCAGAAUUGCUAAAGAUGGUAAAAAAUUGCUACUUUUAUGAACUUGGACUUUGCUGUUAUAUGAUUUUGUUGACUUUUUCACGAACUGAGCCAUUUCAGUAUUUGCAGAUAUAGCAUUUUGACUAUGACUAGUAAAUUGUUAAGAGUAAUGGGUAUUUUAUCCCCUGUUUAAAUCUGGGUUGGCAAAGGUUAUUUGCUUUUAUGUGUUGCUGCUUUCUUAAAUAUGCCCUUUGUGUGUGUUCAAGUUGUAUUUGGUAAGAAAGUUCAAUUUAUGGUGUUUUGAUUUGGUAUGUUUUGGAACGGAAGAUGUAUAUAAGGUGAUUAGUCUAGGUAGAUUACACCUUUCUUGGAGUAUCAUGAAUUGAUUGAAAGUGUCAGCAAUUGAAAUCUAUUGUUGAGUUUUUUGGUUUGAAAAUUGGCAUGGUAUAUGCUUUGAUAUUUUGUUAUUGGUGAAAUUUGAUUCAUCACUUUCUGUGUUUUCAUAAUUUAUGAAUGAUUUAGUAUUGUUUGGAUGGUGGGAUUUGUAGAUGUGGUGAGGGAUGAUCCAACAAACAGUGUUCCGGACACAAUUUUUUCAAAACAUGGAAUGCAGCUCCAUAGAAGGAAUAACCAGUCUCUUGGGAUUCUGAAGAAUGGAAUGAUAUAUGAGUCUUUUGAUAUUAAUUACUCAAACAUUUUUAUAAGUUUGGUGAUCUCUGCCCAAUUGUUUCAGUAAAACAGGUACAAUGUUUGUCCACUAUUGCCGNNNNNNNNNNNNNNNNNNNNNNNNNNNNNNNNNNNNNNNNNNNNNNNNNNNNNNNNNNNNNNNNNNNNNNNNNNNNNNNNNNNNNNNNNNNNNNNNNNNNNNNNNNNNNNNNNNNNNNNNNNNNNNNNNNNNNNNNNNNNNNNNNNNNNNNNNNNNNNNNNNNNNNNNNNNNNNNNNNNNNNNNNNNNNNNNNNNNNNNNNNNNNNNNNNNNNNNNNNNNNNNNNNNNNNNNNNNNNNNNNNNNNNNNNNNNNNNNNNNNNNNNNNNNNNNNNNNNNNNNNNNNNNNNNNNNNNNNNNNNNNNNNNNNNNNNNNNNNNNNNNNNNNNNNNNNNNNNNNNNNNNNNNNNNNNNNNNNNNNNNNNNNNNNNNNNNNNNNNNNNNNNNNNNNNNNNNNNNNNNNNNNNNNNNNNNNNNNNNNNNNNNNNNNNNNNNNNNNNNNNNNNNNNNNNNNNNNNNNNNNNNNNNNNNNNNNNNNNNNNNNNNNNNNNNNNNNNNNNNNNNNNNNNNNNNNNNNNNNNNNNNNNNNNNNNNNNNNNNNNNNNNNNNNNNNNNNNNNNNNNNNNNNNNNNNNNNNNNNNNNNNNNNNNNNNNNNNNNNNNNNNNNNNNNNNNNNNNNNNNNNNNNNNNNNNNNNNNNNNNNNNNNNNNNNNNNNNNNNNNNNNNNNNNNNNNNNNNNNNNNNNNNNNNNNNNNNNNNNNNNNNNNNNNNNNNNNNNNNNNNNNNNNNNNNNNNNNNNNNNNNNNNNNNNNNNNNNNNNNNNNNNNNNNNNNNNNNNNNNNNNNNNNNNNNNNNNNNNNNNNNNNNNNNNNNNNNNNNNNNNNNNNNNNNNNNNNNNNNNNNNNNNNNNNNNNNNNNNNNNNNNNNNNNNNNNNNNNNNNNNNNNNNNNNNNNNNNNNNNNNNNNNNNNNNNNNNNNNNNNNNNNNNNNNNNNNNNNNNNNNNNNNNNNNNNNNNNNNNNNNNNNNNNNNNNNNNNNNNNNNNNNNNNNNNNNNNNNNNNNUGAAAAAAUUUUAUAUAUGUAAACAGAUUAUAGAUUCAAAUAAUUGAUACAGAUUAUAGAUCAGACAUAAAUAGAUCAGAUAAUAUAUCAAAUAUUCAAUUAUUUUCCAUCCAUCAUCAUUCCUAAACGGAAUAUCAAGGGAGAAGCAAUCAAUCAAAUCUAAUUGAAUGGAUGGGAAGGUGAAGCAAUGUCUAAAGCUAAGCUCCUAUCUCCCAUUAUUUCAUCCGACUUGACAUCUAUAUACCAGCGAAAUUUGAAUGCGUGGAAACCCAGUUUCAGCACUUUCACUUUGUUGGCCGGAUGUUUCCUGCAUGCUUUCAUCUUUGCCUUCGUUUCAUUUCGUUCAUACUUUUGCUUUAGAUUUUCAGGUUAACCGGGCAGUAUGUUUUUGUAGGAAUACAUAAUAAGAAAUAAAAAGGGGGAAUAAAAGAAAGAAUAUAGUGAUAAAGAUUAAUUUACAAAAGCAAAACUAUUAGCGUUAUCAUCAUUGAAACCCAUUAUUAAAAUUCAAAAUGGACAAGCAAUAACAAUGUUUGUCUUCCACCUAUUUUGAUUCAACUUUUACAAAAAAGGUUUAAACUCAUGAUUUGUACAAACACGUGGUUGGAAAAACACAUUUGAACCUAUCUCUUGAUAUCAAGGGAGAUAUACAGCUACAAUAACAGCAUGCAAUAGGAAGUACUUGUCUAUAAAUAUCUGUAUGCAAAUCUCAAACUCCACAAUCUUCCCUUCAUUUUUUUUUUUUUAAAGAGAGCCAACAAAACAUGAAGAACUUUCAUAUCCUAAUAUCACUCAUUUUUCCUACCUUGUUUCUCUUCUCAUGCUCUGCAUCUAUUGUGCUAUCUUUUUCCCCUCCUCAUACUGAUCUCCAAAACCGGUGCCUUAAUGACCAAAAAUCUGCUCUGUUGCAAUUGCACCAUGAUCUGUACUAUGCCCCAAAUUUUACUUUCUCUUCCAAAGUUGAGCUUUGGGAUCCCAACACUGAUUGUUGCUCUUGGAAAGGAAUUACAUGUGAUGCUCUAGGUCAUGUGAUUGGGCUUGACCUCAGUUACAAAAAUCUUUCGGGCAACUUUCACUCCAUUUUCAAUCUUCAUCAUCUUCAAUGCCUUAAUCUUGCUGGAAACAAUUUUAAUACUACUCUGUUUCAGUAUGAGUUUGAUAGAUUCCCAAAUUUAACUCAUCUCAACCUUUCAAACUCAUGUUUCCUUGGUCAAAUUCCAGUGGGCAUUUCAUACUUAACCAGGUUAGUCUCUCUUGAUCUAUCUAAUCAAGAUUCUUGCUAUCAACGGUAUAACCAAGUUCUCGGUCCAUUCUACUUGUUCUACCUCUAUCCACAGCCUUUUGACCUUCAACAACCUCUUAAACUAGAAAACCCAAACUUUAAGACAUUAAUCCAAAAUUUAAGACCUCUUACAGAGCUCUACUUGGAUAGUGUGAACAUUUCAGCUCAAAGUACUAAAUGGUGUGAAACCACCUCUGUAGUACUUCCUAACCUGCAUGUGUUAAGUUUGUCGAAUUGUGGUUUGACAGGUCCAUUUUGCUCUUCACUCUCAAGACUUCCUUUUCUUUCCAAACUUUUCCUUGGUGGGAAUUCGAUCUCUUAUUUGCCUCUCAAUUUCUUUGAAAUUUCCUCUCGUUUGGUUUCUCUCAAUUUAGUGAAUUGCAAUUUGAGUGGGCAUUUUCCAACAGAGGUUUUCUUAUUGCCAAUAAUACAAAGCAUUGACAUUUCAGAAAAUGACAAUCUUGAAGGUCAGUUGCCAGAAUUUCCAUUAAAUAAUGCUUUACGAAUCUUAAAGAUUUUUUCUACAAAUUUCAGUGGAAAAUUGCCAGAAACAAUUGGUAAUCUCAAGUUCUUGACAACUUUAGAUCUCCGUUUUUGCAAUUUCUUUGAACAAAUUCCAUCAUCAACUGCCAAUCUUACUAACAUUGUGGAGCUGAAAUUAGGAUAUAAUAAUUUCAGUGGUUUAACCCCUCCAUUUCAUAGAUUAGGAGUUCCAAAUCUUUCAUGUCUUGAUUUGACAGAGAACCACCUCUCUGGCUCAAUUCCUUCUUCUUUAUUUACUCUCCCAUCAUUGCAUACCCUGUUUCUUUGGAGAAAUCAAUUGAUUGGUGAAAUUGGUGAGUUCCCGAAUGCAUCUUCUUCAUUGAUUGAAGCAUUGUAUUUAGGCUACAAUAGCUUUAGCUCCGUGAAGCUUGACAUGUUCUUCCAACUCAAGAACUUAAGGUUUCUUGACCUUUCCAAAACGAGCUUGUCAAUUGAAAGCAACAUCACAAGCCUUGCUUUUCCCCAAUUAGAGGAGCUAUACCUAAAUUCAUGUAACCUUACUGAAUUUCCAGAAUUCAUCAAAACUCAAGAUAAGUUGGCUUUUCUAGGUCUUUCUAACAACCAAAUCCAUGGUUUUGUGCCUAAUUGGUUAUGGAAGACCACUCUUUUAGGGUUAGACCUUUCUUUCAAUGCGAUUGAUUUUUCAAAAGAGUUUCCUUUUGGUGACGCAAACUCCUCUUUUCCAAUGUUGAGUUUCUUAUAUUUAAAAUUCUGUAACCUAAGUAUGUUUCCAGAGUUUUUAAAGAGUCAAACUAGUUUAGAAUAUCUAGACCUUUCAAAUAAUAAAAUAAGUGGUGCAGUACCAAAUUGGGUGUGGAAGAAACGUUUGUGGUAUUUGGAUCUUUCUAACAAUUCUCUCUCAUUUUUGGACCAAUUUUCACUAAACCAAUCUCUAACUUCUUCACAUGGCUCUUUAUCCAGACCCAUUUGCAAUUUGAGUCAACUUGUGAUCUUUAAUGCAUCCUUUAACAAAUUAAGCGGGCCAAUCCCAAGUUGCUUGGGCAACAUCAGUUCUCUCGACACUUGGAUCUACAAAAAAAUAAUUUCAAUGGCAGCAUACCAGAUUUUGCAAAAGCGACCCAAUUAUAUUGGCUUCAACUCAAUGAUAAUAAAUUGGAAGGGAAGUUGCCAAGGUCAUUAGCCAAUUGCACAAUGCUCCAAGUUUUAAACCUUGGAAACAAUACUCUGCAUGACACAUUCCCUUUGUGGUUGAGAAAAUUGCCGGCGUUGAUGGUCCUUGUAUUGCGAGCAAAUAGGUUUUAUGGUCCAAUUAAACAUGUGAAAAAUUGUUUUCAAGACUUGGAUGUACUUGACAUUGCUUUCAAUAAUUUUUCUGGUCAAUUACCAAUUGAAUUCUUUCAAGCCCCUCAACUAAGGUCACUCAAAAUUGGUGGGAAUAAACUGAAAGGAAAGUUGCCGAGGUCAUUAGCCCAUUGCAAAAAGCUUGAAGUUUUGGACGUUGGAAAAAAUAUGAUACAAGACACAUUUCCUUUUUGGUUGGUGAAAUUGCCUUCUUUAAAGGUUCUUGUACUAAGAGCAAAUAGAUUUUAUGGUCCGAUUAAAAUUUCUGAGGAUGAAAAUGCUUUCCUAGAGUUACACAUACUGGACCUCGCUUCCAAUAACUUUUCAGGUGAGUUACCUGUUGGAUUUUUUCAAUCUUUGAAGGCAAUGAAGAUGAUGAUUGAUGGCAAAAAAAGUAAGCCAGAUUACAUUGGAGAUGAUUACUACCAGGACUCUGUGACAAUUGUGAAUAAAGGGUUUGAACUUUUUUACCAGAAAAUUUUAACCAUCUUUGCUUGUCUUGACUUUUCCAAUAAUAGUUUCCAUGGGAAAAUACCAGAAGAAAUACAAAACCUCAAGUCACUCAAAGUGCUAAACUUGUCCUACAACAGCUUCCUUGGACCAAUUCCUUUAGCACUUGGAAACUUAACUCAACUUGAGUCUUUGGACCUCUCCCAGAACAAACUCUCCGGAAAGAUUCCUCUACAGCUUACAAGCCUAACAUUUCUUGCAGUAUUGAAUCUCUCUUACAACCAUCUUGAGGGAACCAUACCACAAAGCUACCAAUUUGGUACAUUUUCAAACGAUUCUUUCAAAGGGAACCCAAGAUUGUGUGGGCCUCCUUUGACAAAGAAAUGCAAUGAAGUUGGUCUCGGAAUGCCACCCCAUAAGGAAGAUCAAGAUUCAUGGGUAGAUGGUAUAUCUGUUUGGAAAAUCAUAUUGAUUGGUUAUGGAUGUGGUUUGGUGAUUGGGUUGUCUAUUGGAUAUACAGUGCUGAAUGAGAUGGGAAACAAAUGGAUGGAUAGGUUUACAUGGAAUCGGAAUAAAAAAUGGAGAAGAUCUUCUAGGUGACUCCAUCAAAAUUCAAGUUUCAAAUUCAUUUGGUAAGCAUUCUAGAAUACUUAAUAACUCAAAAGUUUUCUUAUUGAUUCUUUCAGCUGUAGUUAAUUGCCUAAACAAAUAAAAUUAUUUAAAUACUCUCUUACAUUAUAAGUGUGCUAUAUAUAUAUAUGCCCUAAUUGAUAUUUAACUAAAGUGAUUACAUUUGAAAUUUAAUUCAAGAAGGUUUCAACUUUGGACGUCUUAUUCCCUUUUUAAACUUGGCAUUGCUUUUAAAACUAAAAGCAAAAAUUGCCUGCAAACUAGGAUAUGUCCUUUGAAUUUCUAACCUCAUUUUAUAAAUGACAAUAAUGAGUUUCCAAGUUAACAAUUUGUAAAAGACAUGUGGGUGACUGGUAUUUUGAGUUAGAUUGGGCUGUCAGUCAUCUUAAGAGCAAAGCAAAGCUUUGGCGCCUAUUGUCCUUAAUUAGAUUGGCGUGGGAUGCUCAUAUAUAUUUUAUUUGGCAGGAGCACAAUCAAGGGAAGUUUGGCAGGCCAUCUAAAGAUAUAGAAGCUAUUGUUUCAACUAUCAGAAGUUCCUUUUGGCUUAGUUCAAUAACAAGAUUGCAGUCUCCAGUUCCACGCUUCCUCUUCAACAACAGAAAUUGUGUCUGAAUGUUUUUGGCUUGGUGUUACGGUACUUGUGUCUCGGUUCUUUCUCUUCUGCUCACCAAAGAUGAUUGGCAGUAUGUCCGGUUGUAUUGUGCUUGUCUUCUGUUCUGUCUAUGGGUGGUGUUUACUGCUGAGUUAUGGGUUCCCAUGUUGUUCACCCUAUUGUGUAACUCUGUUUUAUAAUAAUUUCUGGCUUAGCAAAAGAAAAAUGUGUCUGAAUUGGGACUGGUUCCUUAAUGUUGCUUCGUUUGAUACUUUGCAAAAGUUAGAUUGUUCUUGGACAUUUGUAGCGUAUUGAUAGCUUACAGUUUACUUGUAGCAGGUCUACUGCUUUCUUUGGUUAAUAAAAUCAUUUAUCCAAAGAAAUUCUUAACAAAAGUCCUAUUAUCUUUUAAACUCUUCAUUAUGGUUAUACCUAAGUGAUCAUGCCGGCAGCCACAUAAUAGGUCUUACACAUGAAAGCUCAGUUUGCCACGUCGUCAUUAAGAGGUAUAAAAAGUAGAACCAGACCAGACGGGCGAUUCACUACUGAAUUCUCUUUGCUCUCUUUAACUGCUCCUUACUCUCUCUCAUUUACUUGCUUCUAAUAUACCUUACUAACUUGCAUGGGAGAAUGCCUCAAAAUAACAUUUUUGGCACACUGACUUUCUACUCUAUGACAGGUCACACAAACUCUCCUUCUCAACCUCCAGUAAAACUUUCAACUAUCAGACCAGGAAUUACAUCAACAAUAUCAAUUAUUCACCUCAACUAUUUGCAGUGCAGGAAUUUGAUAUAAGCCAUGGCAUGUACAACAAUGACUACGCCUACCAUUUCAACUGCCAAAACUAGAUGUUACAUCUCCUAACACAGAAAAAUCUUCACAGACCAAGCUCAAGCUAAGAUGCUUUAUUCCUGUAUUAACUGCUACAUCACUACAGAGAAAAAAACAACGAAAAGAAAAGAACAAAGCUUCCAGUUCCAGGUAUCAAGCUCGACAAUUCCAGACUAACUUCGAUAGUAUUUUAUUGUCCCUAACAACUAUAGAUUUGACAAUAGCGAGAAACAUUGAAAUAUUUCCUUUAUUAUUUUCUUCAACUUUAAUCCCAUAUCAUCCUUUGUUUCUUUGCUUCAGCACUCCUACAGACAAAAACAAAUGGUUUGUUGUAAGCUCUAUUGCUAUAUGAUUGAUUUGCAUGUAGAAUAGACCCUGACUAAACAAAAACAAUGAGGGCAAUACAUUCAGUAACUUAUAUAUACUCACUUCUGUAUUCCAUUGAAUCCUUUCAGUAACUUAUUCUCUAUCUAAUAGAAAAAAAACAUCAUAACUAAAUAGCCAAUAUUGACAUUGAUGUGCUAAGUGUUCUGAUAUAGCCACUAAUCCAUAAUUAAAAGAUGAAGACACGCUAUGUUUCAAUCACUCGUCAUUUUAUAGGUAGUGUUUUCUCUAGUAGUCAGCUUGAUGCUGUAAACCAGGAAGGAUGUCAAGCCUUCUGAUAUUUAGCCUAUUUUGAGUAUUAGCUCAGAAUUUAUGUUUAGAAGAUUGCUGCAAGUAAAAAGAUAUUUGAUGACUUAGAGGUUGCCAAAAGCCACAUUGGACAGAGUGAUUAUGCGUAUAUGAAGACUUUACCGCUAGAGGCUUUCUCCUACAACUGUCCUCAUGCAGCCCUAAGUUCUUGCUCAUUUGAAUCCUUCUCUAACUAGAAAUGUAAGUAUCAACUAGAAAAAUAUUUUGUUCUUAUGAAUUCGGUCAUUUGAAAAUUUUACAGGGAAAAAAGGAAACAAAAAAGAUAACUAUUUCUUGAGUUUAAGUUUAGGUUUGCUAGCUAAUUUCACUUUUUUUUUUUUUGAAUCCAGGAACUGUAUUUUUCAAGGAAGAAAACCAAUCAUUAAUGUUUUCCAUGCUUUGGACUUGGACAGCACAAAAAAUCACAGCUUCCAUUAGCCAUCCCUACCCUAUUGAAACUACCUGCAAUCCAACAUUCUUAAACUCUUUGAAGUAACAUCCUAGAUCCUACCCGUAUGUGUCAUCGGGACCUGGAUUCUGAUCUGAUCAAGCUGAAUUCUUGGUCAUGAUGAAGGUUGUGAAGUUGGAUGCUGAUUGUUGAAAAAUUAAUAUUGGAUUGCACCGCUAUCUCUAGGUAGAAGAAAUUCUACUUCAUGGGUAAAAGGCAGCAAUAGGGUUUGUUGGCAUCCUAGGAAUGCCAAUUUUGUAUAUACAUUACAAGUUCUACAAUUGUCUACUCAUUCAGUUGUUUUUGACAACUCUUGGAACUUCAUGUAAAAACCUAAUUCUUACUCUGAUUAAUACAAUCACUCAUCUCAUAAGUCAGUUGUGGAAUGACGCAGAAAAAAUGCGUACCUAAAUACUAAUGCACAUGCCUGCAGCAACAAUGAUUUUAAAGAGCUCGUCAUUCCAAAAUUCCCCCAAGCUCAAGCAGGGAAAUGGUUUCAUUUAAUAAGGUAUUCAGACAAGUGAAUCCUCCACUACAACACUAAACAAAGAAAUAAAAGUGCUCAUGGCAACAGGAAUUGAAGGAAAGCAUCAAUGUAUACGUAUCUCAUAAGCAGUAUUGAAAAUGCCAAGGGUGGGUUAGUUGCAUACAAAGCAUUCCUUAUUCUUUGCAUGAUGCUGAACAACCAAAAGAUGCAGUUGGUUAUUUUACAUUGGAAUGAGAAUAAAAAUGUAAACUAUACAGACAUGAGGCACCAAAAGUUGACGAUGUAAAGUUAAAAUAUGUCCUCUUUCUAUAGCUGAAAAACAGUUGGUCCACAUACAAUUUUCUUUGUAUGCAAGUAACCAAAAAAGUUUUGCACCUAAGCAAUGCAUUAACAACAAAUGUAACAAAAUCUAGUAGAUAUUAACCUAGCACAAAAAGGACAUUAAAAAAAUUAAUCUACAUGAAAAGGCAUAUGUGGGUACCUUUAAAGCACAAUGCUCGCAGAAGUAGUGCUUGCACUUAGUCACAACAGGAUCCACAAAAGGCUGCAGGCAAAUAAAACAUGCAAAGGGCAACGAAUCAUCAUUGUCAUCAUCACUCUGGUCUACCCCUGCCUCAUCAUCAUCAUCGCCACCCAAAGCCAGAUUUCUCUUCCUUGCUUUUUCUGCUUCUUCCCAGUCCUUCUCUAACUGCCAUCCAGACUUGUAAUCUCCACGAUCAUGCAUAAACUUACAUGAAUCUCUGUAACCACAGUAACCAGUUUCUUUGUAGUCUUUACAGAUUUAAGGCUGAUAAUCAAAUCUUGCUGAAACCCUGAUGUAGGCAGAAGCCCUAAGAGGUCCAUGUGAUCCACCAGCUUUCUCACUGGCAACUGUUUGCUCUCUUCGAAACCCAGCCUUAUGAUCCACAUAGCCAUGCAUUCCUUUAUACAACUUCUCUCCCCCAGAGCUAGUGUUUUUCCCCUUCAAAGCCUCCUUUGCUCAUUUAAGAACUUUUUCACGUAGCAUGAGCAUCUUUUGUAAACUCAGUCUCAGUUUCUAAGGUAGCUGUAGCUCUGCUAUCAUUUUGAACUUGAAUUUCUGACUCAAAUUGAAAAAUCAGUUUGUCAGAUUCUGUAUUUGAUUCAGUGGGAGCAGCACUCCUGGAGGAUCCAGUUGAAAAGCAUAACAUAAUGUCAGGCUUCAAAGCCUUCUUCUGAUUGUGCAACAGAGAUGUCCCAUUUCCGGCGUCUUCAUCUUCAACUUCAUCUUCAUUUAUUGUCCUUUUCCUCAUGUUUUUGCCCUUUGUUGGCUUCCUAAAGAAAUUGCAGACUGAAAAAUCAAAGAGCUAGCUAUACAAGUAAAUAUACAUAUACACCUUUAAAAAAGAAUAAAAAAGGGAACAAAUUUUACCUUGUUCAGAUUGUUGAGGUUCUGUUUCAAAUUGCUGAGGUUCUUUUCCUGGAUACUGCGGGCUCGCUUGAAUCUGUCAUCUUAACAGAGACAAAAGCAAAGGUUUUAUAGGUUACUUGCCUCAAGCAAGAUGAACUUCAAAUCGUUUACGACUGCUGCUUCAAUCACUUGAAAGAAGGUUUUAAACUAAGUGAGACAAAAUCCUUAUUACUAUUAAUUAAGGUAAUGAAUGAUACAAGAUUAACACACUAACUAGUGUCAUAACUAAAUUUCCAUAGAUAACAUCAAGCUUUCUCUCAUGAAAGGCUAAAUGCUCAAUUUUUUACCCAAAUCAUAAAUUUCUAUUGAUGUAAGAAAGUGAAGGAAUUAAAUUUUUUAUACUAAUCAAAUUACCGAACAAGAAGAGAUCAUCCUUUGUCAAAUACUGAGUUCACCAUUCCAACACUUAGAAAUCAAAUGUGAUCGAAAUAGUCAUAGAUUCCAUUCUUCAGAAUCCCAAGAGGGUGUUUAUUCCUUCUGUGGAGCUGCAUUCCCAGUUUUGAAAAAAUUGUGUCUGGAACAUUGUUUGUUGGAUCGUCCCUCACCACAUCUACAAAUCCCGCCAUCCAAACAAUACUAAAUCAUUCAUAAAUUAUGAAAGCACAGAAAGUGAUGAAUCAAAUUUCACCAAUAACAAAAUAUCAAAGCAUAUACCAUGCCAAUUUUCAAACCAAAAAACCUCAACAACAGAUUUCAAUUGCUGACACUUUCAAUCAAUUCAUGAUACUCCAAGAAAGGUGUGAUCUACCUAGACUAACCAUCUUAUAAAUAUAUUCCAUUACAAAACAUAUCAAACCAAAACACCAUAAAUCCAACUUUCUUAUCAAAUACAACUUGAACACCCACAACACAAAGGGCGUAUUUAAAAAAGCACCAACGCAUAAAUGCAAUUAACCUUUGCCAACCCAGAUUUAAACACGGGGUAAAAUACCCAUUACUCUUAACAAUUUACUAGUCAUAGUCAAAAUGCUAUAUCUGCAAAUACUGAAAUGGCUCAGUUCAUGGAAAAGUCAAUAAAAUCAUAUAACAGCAAAGCCCAAGUUCAUAAAAAGAGCAAUUUGUUGCCAUCUUUAGCCAUUCUGAUUCCACCAAGCUCUAGCACUGAGGAAGCCACUGGUUGUCUCCACUUUCAUAGUAGACAGAGAAGCAGCAACAGAAGAUGAAGAAAAGGGUAAGAAAAAAGUGAACCGUUUGAAACCAUUUAUGCGGUGAAAAAGGGAGACAGUUAAAUGAGCAGUUGAAACAACUGCCAUAAAGCCUUGGUUUUCUGUUUCAGAGUACUGGAUUCUGUGAAGAGAAGAAACAAGGAUUAGUCAGUUUGGGCCUGAUUCGUUUGAAAGGCACGAAAAAAUUAAAAAUAUGCUAAUUAUGUUAAAAAAAAAAAAAAAAAAAACUUUACUCAUGGGACGCGCGUUCGACCCCAGCAACCUAAGUAUUAGUUAAUUUCAAAUUUUUAUCAAAAUAUAUAACAUAUUUUUGUUGGAGCAUAGCUCCUGCCAGCAAGGCUGAGGAAACAAAAUAAAGAAACCGAAAACCUUUUCAAAGAAUUGAGAAAUAAAAAAUCGAUUAAAAAUUAUAAUAAAAUUUUUUUAUUUGAUUCAGAUCAAAUAUUAAAUAUUUUAAUUUGAUUCAAAUGAUUUUUUAUUUAUUAAAUUAAAAAUUUUUCAAUCGAACUUAAUUUUAUUUUUAGUAAUUUUUAUAUAAAUUUUAUUAUUUUAUAAAAUAAAAAUAUUUUUUAUUUUAAAAUAAAGAGAUCAAGUUACAUCAAAAAAAUUUUAGAUUUUUUUAAUCAUUAAUUUCAAUUGUUCAAAGAUUAAAUAGAUAAAUAAAUAAUUUAAUCUCAUUUUUUAAAUCAAUUAAAAUCAAUAAUUAAAAAAAUAUAAAAUUAAAAAAUUUUAUAGUGAUAUAAAUUAAUCAUUCCCUUUAAAAAAUAAUAUGAAAGUAAUAGUAAAUAAAUUUUAAAUAUCAAUAAAUUAAAUUAAAUCAAUAAAAUUCAUUUCAAAUUAAUUCAAAUUAAAAAAAUCAAUUUAAAUUUAGAUUAACUUUUGAAAAAUAAUAAUACUAAAUAUUAAUAAAAAUAAUCAAACGAAUUUCUUAUCGGUCCAACUUGCUAGACACAAUGUUUUAAAUCGGACCAACAACCAAAACCUCUAAUUAUUAUUUUAACCUGUCUGAUUGGUUUGAUUGAUGGAUCUAACAUCAUCCAUAAUUAAUUUUUGAAGAAUUUUCAUAAAAAAUAGGGGAAAAUAAGGUAGAAUCAGAAAAUAAUUAGAAAAAUAAAAAAAGAUACUGCCCCUUUAAGGCAUCGUCUCUAAUAUUUUCAUCAACGUAAAAUUAAUCUUUCGCCACAAAAAAUUUAGUUCACACCCAACUUUUUAACGGCGGAAAAAGAUCCUUUCAUAUAAAGCUGUAGCGUAAGAAGCAUACCCAUAAAAAUAUUAUGAAAAAUUAAUAUUAUGAAUAAUUUUAAAUUAUAAUAAAAUAUUUAAUAUUAUAUUUAAAUUUUAAAAUUUUUUAAUUUGAUAUUUAAAUUAUAAAUUUAUUAAUUAAUUUAAUUUUAUUUUUAACAUGAUUUAGUUCAAGUAUCACAUUAAAAUUUUUAAAAAUUUUAGUAUCAUAUUUAACAUUUUGUUAUAAUCUAUGCAAGCCAUACAAAAUAAGGAAUGGGAUCAAUGAAAAUUAUUAAUUUUAUUUAUUAUUUUAUGUGAUUUAAUAAUUUAGUUUUAUUCAUAUUGUAAUUUAAGAUGUAUUAAAAUCAUAUUAUUAAGGAAUUGUAAAUGGUUCAAAACAAAAACAUGAGUGCAUCACUGAUUUUGAUCUAACAAAGGAAGAAUUCUUGGAUAUGCCGACACCAACAUCAUCCUAUAUAUGGGUAGCAAUUGUUUUUUUGUAUACAGUGUCGGAUGCAAAAGUUGGACACAGUGUUCAUAAACACUUCAAGUAUCAGAAAAUAAAAAAUAUAUAUAUUUUAAAAGAAACUUUUUCUAUAGUCAUCUUUAAAAUUUUUCUCUUAAGAUAAUUUUUGUCAAAAAAAUUUAUAAAUUUGUCGAAAUAAAUUUAAUAGUAUUAACAGUUAUUCUUGAUUGAAUGAUUAUUUAAUUAUUAUAUAAUUAUAUAUUUGAUAAUAUUAAUAAUAAUGUAAUUAUAAUUUUUUUAAAUAUAAGAACUUUGAAUAAUUGUAAUAACAUAACAAUAUAUUAUUUUAAAAUUAUAUUUAUAAUUUUUAAAAUAUAUUAUAAGUAAACACUUAAAAUAAAAAUACAUUACGGCAUAAAGAGAGAGAGAAAGAGGAUAUCUUUGCAUGGUGCAUAUUGCACUAACAUAUGAAAGUUUGGGUAAUGGAAAUUUACGGCCAAAAAUACUCGUGAAAUCGAAUCACUUUAACCUUCAAUUAUGAUUGUAAGUUGAAACCAUCGAAUUUAUUGAAAUUUCCAAAGAGUGAAGAAGCUUUAUUUUUCUUUUCUAUAAUCGUACUUUCAUUAGAAUUAGAUCCGUGAUUUUUCAAUAGAUUAUUUUUUAUUUUUUAAAUUAUAUCUUAAAUGUAAGUGAAGUAAAAUUUUUAUAUUAAAUUUUAAUAGAUGAUAAUAUAUAGACAAAUGUAAGUAUAUAUAUAUAUAUAUUUUUUUUCAUAUUAAUUAUAACUUAAUUAUAUAAAUAUAAUUUUUUUAUUAAAUUAUGAUAUUAAAUAAUAUUUUUAUUAAUACAAUAUAUAUAAAUAUAAAUAUAAUAAAUAAUAAAAUAUAUUCUUUUAUAUAUCCAAAGGAGGGUCAAGACAAAAUAUAUCAAACCUAAUUUCAACUCAACCUAAAUUAUUUAAAGAAAUAAAACUUAACUCAAUCUUUAUUUAAAUAUAUAUAUAUAUAUAUAUAUAUAUAUAUUGAUUGGAUUGUGAUAAACCGAAGCCUAUCAAAUAUAAGUUGUUUUGUUAUUUUUACAUCUAUUGACUUUUUUCUUUAUAACAUUUAUCUCAUAAAAAAAUUUUAAAAAAUGAAAAUGACCAAAACAACCAAAUGGGGUGACAAAUAAAUUUAUUAAAUUAAAAUAUUAAAUAAUAUAUUUUCAAUAAAAAUACAUAUAUAAAUAUAGAAUGAAUAAAUAAUAUAUAUAUAUAUUUAUACAUACCUAAGCUAAAGCAUAACACUAAAAAUCUUAUUGUUUCUCAAGCUUGAUUUAAAAAAAAGUUCGAACCAAUUAUUUUGAAUUAAAAGAAUGUAAACCAAUUGAAUUGGGACCAAUUGAAACCUAUCAUGUACAGGUUAUUUUGUUGUUUCUAUUUCAAUUAACUUUUUUAUUAUAAAUUUAUCUGAUAAAAAAUUAAAAAUUAAAAAAUUAAAAGAAAAGGGAAACCCCAAAAAUCAAAAGUUUUAAAAAAUAAUAAAAAAAAAAAGAUAGAGAUAUCAUGUGAACAACAAGACGAAGUAAAACACUUUAAAUUCAUUUUCAACUCAACUCUAUUUAAAAAAAAAAGAUUGAUCCAAUCUUGAUUUAAAAAGAAUGCACCUAUAUAGAUUGAUGCGAAUUAAAAUCAAUCAAAUAUAUAUUAUUUUAUUAUUUUUAUUUCUAUUGACUUUUUUUACAAAAUUUAUUUCAUAAAAAAAUUAAAUAAAAAGUAAAUUUAAAAAAUUUAAAAAAUAAAGAAAAAAUAAAAUUUUGGAGAAAGGGAGGGGUGGCACGUGAGCACCCUCUCCUUCUUUCAUUCUUUAUAACAUUAAUUAUAUAAAUUAGAAGUCACAUGAUUCAAAAAGUAUGAGUAUGGCAUUUUCUCCUAUUUCCUACUCUAAUCUCAAUAUUUGAUUUAGUGCAUGAUGUUGCUAUUUUGUAUUUUUUUUUUUCCUUCUUGGAUUGCUCUCAUGAAACUUCAUGGAAGUGAAGAUAGAGUUUCAAUAGCUGGCAGCCAAACCCAACUCUAAUGACAGCUGCAUGCCCUUUUUUUCUUGUAAAGGAAAAGAAUACGCAUGCAUUAUUGUUGAUGGAAACGGAUCAACACUGAACGACAAUUGCUAUGUGAUAUACUAUUUGUUCUGGGAUCCGAAGGCUUACCUUUCAUCACCCUUAAUUACUUCAAUAAUAAAUGGUAAAUGAUCAAUUAAUCGUCUUUCUUUAUACUAAAACAGUUUUAUAUGAAAUCAACAAUUUGUAAUCUUUUGGAUCAUUCAAGCUCCCAUUUAAUUAUUAAAUCAUUUAAAUAUCAUACUUGUCAAUUUUUUAUCUUUUAAAGACUUCAUUUAAAAGAAAUAAUGACAGCAACAUAUUUUAUACGUAUGUUGAAAAUGAUAUCAAGACUUUGCCGCUAGAGGCUUUCUCCUACAACUGGCCUUCUCAUGCAGCCCUAAGUUCUUGCUCUUUUGAAUCCAUCUCUAAAUAGUAAUGUAAGUAUCAACAAGAAAACUAUUUUAUUCUCAUGAAUUCGGUCAUUUCAAAAUUUUACGGGGAAAAAAGAAAGCAAAAACUCAUGCUAAAAAAGAAAAUUCUAGAGGGAAAAAAGGAAACAAAAGGUUAUGUUAAAAAAUUGAAGUCUAUACGAUUGCUAAGAGCUAAAGAUUACUAUUUCUUGAGUUUAAGUUUAGGUUUGCUAUCUAAUUUCAUUUUUUUUUGUUUGUCUUGAAUGCAGGAACCGUAUUUUUCCGGGAAGAAAAAUGAUCAUUAAUGUUUUCUAUGCUUUGGACUUGGAUAGCACAAAAAAUCACAGCUUCCAUUAGCCGUCCCUACCCAAUUGAAACUACCUGCAAUCCAACAUUCUUAAACUCUUUGAAGUAACAUCCUAGAUCCUACCAGUAUGUGUCAUCGAUACCUGGAUUCUGAUCUGAUCAAGCUGAAUUCUUGGCCGUUAUGAAGGUUGUGAAGUUGGAUGCUGAUUCUUGGAAAAUUAAUACUGGAUUGCACCGCUAUCUCUAGGUAGAAGAAAUGCUACUUCAUGGGUAAAAGGCAACAAUAGGAUUUGUUGGAAUCUUAGGAACACCAAUUUGUAUAUACAUUACAAGUUUUACAAUUGUCUACUCAUUCAGUUGUUUUCGACAACUUUUAGAAGUUCAUGUAAAAACCUAAUUCUUACACUGCUUAAUACUAUCACUCAACUCGUAAGUCAGUUGUGGAAUGACGCAGAAAAAAUGCUUUCCUAAAAACUAAUGCACAUGCCUGCAGCAACAAUGAUUUUAAAGAGCUCAUCACUGCAUAAUCCAAAAUUCCCCCAAGCUCAAGCAGGGAAAUGAUUUUGUUUAAUAAGUUAUUCAGACAAGGGAAAUGAUUUUAAAGGGCAAUGAAUCGUCAUUGUCAUCAUCACUCUGGCGUACCCCUGCCUCAUCAUCAUCAUAAUCGCCACCCAAAGCCAGAUUUCUCUUCCUUGCUUUCUCUGCUUCUUCCUGGUCCUUCUCUAACUGCCAUCCCGGCUUGUAAUCUCCACGAUCAUGCAUAAACUUACAUGAAUCUGCGUAAUCACAGUAACCAGGUAAAGGAAAACCUGCGAUUUGGGUCAGGUCUAAGCCGGUCGACCCGCAGAUCUGCUUCGGGUCUAGGCGCGGAUCCUGGGUGCCAAAACGGCGUCAUUUGCUGCUUCUCUCUCUGGCUAAAUUUUCUCGUCCCUCUCUCUAGAAUUCCCGCCAGAAAACCCAAAUUUUCCCAGAAAAACCCAGAACCCAAAAGAAUUAAACCAACCCAGAAAUCAAACCAAAUCUCCAAAACUAUCCAAAAAUCAAAACAACUCUUCAAGAACACCAAAAAUUCAAACUAAGAACAGAAAUUUUUGCUUGAGCUGUUAUAUUGCGUACUAUACUAUUUACUUAGUGCUUGGUGCAUGUGCAUUGGUGCAUGUGCAUUGAUUACAGAUUAGAGUUCUUUAUAUAAGCAUUAAAGGAUUUCUCUUCAAAUUUUAUUCUCUUUGUAAUCUUUUCUUUUUUGCAUGAAUUGGGGGCCAAGAAUUUCCGUAAGCAGUUAAUUAUUAAAUUUGAAAGAUCUAAAACCAAAUCUACAGGUUUCUGAAAAAUCCCACGUUUUUGUAUUUCUGACUUUCUCUUUUUUUUUUUUUCAAAUAGCAAAAAAAAAAUCGAGAAUAAUAUAAAAAAGUAAAAUUAAAACUAAAAACCAAAAAUAAAAAUAAAAUCAUAAAAAUAAAUUGAAAACAUUUUCAGACUUUUAAUUUUGAACCUAAAGUUCCAUUUUACAAUUAAAACCCCAAUUAUACAAUUUUACAAUCAAAUUAAAAUUCAAAACUCAAGGAAUAUGAAAAAAAAUCUUUAAAAAAUUUUUGAGAUAAAAUGGAAUUACUACAAUAUUGAUGCAUAUUCAAAUUGUUCAAUACUUAAAAACUGAAAAAAUAAAAAGUAAUAGUAUGUCAUGUUGGGUUAAAAAUAAUCUAAUGCCUGCUUAAAUAAUCUAAUGCAUACUUAACUUCCUAUCAUUUCUGGCCCUUAUGGAUUUCAUAGCAUACUCGGUGUCAUAAAAUUUAAGCCCAAAUAUGGAUUCAUCGUCACCUUUGUUUUUUGUUUUUAUUUAAUAUAUAUAUUUAAUAAUUGAUUUUAAUUUUAUUAUUAUUGUAUUCAAUUUUAUUAUUAUAAUAAUUAAUUUUAUUUUUAUUGCUAUUUUUAAUUUCAUCUAAAUUAAUUUUAUUUUCAUUCAAAUUGUUAUUAAAAAAAAGUGAAAUCUAAAUAAUACUUAUUACUCUUUCCAUUAUAAAAAAAUAAAAUUUUUAUUUAGGUACAUAAUGCAUAAUAGAUGGCAAACGUUUAUAUAUAAAAAAGAAAUCAUGAAUUUAAGUAUAAUCAUAUUUUAUUUUAACUCUUUUUCAAAAUUUAUAUUAACAUUUUAAAUUUAUAUCCUUUUCUUUUAAAUUCAAAUUUCUAAACACAAUUUAAUUAAUAAAAAAUCCUCUUUCAAUGAUCAAACAACAACUAUGAAGACGCAAUCAUAAAGGAAAGAAAAACUAAUACCUUGAAAACAAAAAUAAGAAUUUAAAGCUUUAAUAAUAUUUGUUUUUCAAAAAAAUUGUAAAAAAAAAAUUCAUACAUAUAAAUAAAAUUAAUAAUCAACCAAAAAAUGCAAAAUUGGUUACCGGAUUGAUAUUGAUAGGCCAAUUGGGUCAAAAGACCCGGUUUUAUCUUACAUGAGCGGGGUUCAUUAAUACCGAAAUUCAGCUUCCCUUUGACUUUUUCCACAAAUACACAAAAUGGGCAAUUUUUUCGAAUCAUAAACUGGUUGAAGUAAGGUACACAAACAAUUAACUGAGAAAAGCAAAAUUAAAAAAAUGUUGUCAAAAGGUUUUUAAGUUAGGUGGUUUUAAUCAAAUUUUCCCCCUCUUUUUUUUUUCUUUGUCCAGGUAAAAAUUUCCUCAUGCCCAGUUUUAUUUUCAAUCUCAAAAAAUUCUUUUUUUUUUUACUGUAAAAUAUGGGUCUUUUUUUAGUUGAUUUUGUCUCCUUUUUUUUACAGUGGCACUGUAAUUCGAGAGCUGGAGCAAUUGCAGCUAAUUUUUGAAAUCCCCACAUUGGCAAAGGCAGAGUGUUUGAUUUUUCUUUUUUUUAAUUUCUUUGUUCUAUAAUCUUUUUUAGGCUUUCACUGUGUAGAAAGAUUCUAUUUUUAGCUAAGCAUAACUUUUUUAUUUCCUUAUUUGUGUUUCUCAGGCUUUAUUGUAUGUUAGUUUUGUUCUGUUUUUAUCCAUAUUUCAAUUUAUUUUAUGAUUUGAAUUGAACUACUAUGUGAAAAGGAAUAUUGAGGAUUGCCAAGUAGUAUUUUCUUUGACUAUUACUGUACACAAUCGUCAAUCUGUCAUUCAAUUGCUAGCUUUUAAAUUUGCUGCAAAAGAAUGAUUAUUGCAGUUUGAAUCUCUUGUUAUUAUGGGGAAGAAUGGGAGGGUGGUUGGAAAAGGGAAAUAAAAAUAAAAUGAAAUAGUUGGUUGGAAAGUGUUACCUUUUAUGGAGUUCUAGCUUGCAAUCAUCAUUUGUUUAAUUGUAUAUUUUGCAUUUUCCAACAAUUGAAUGGAGCGAGUUUUUGGGAUUUGCAUUUCUUUGCUUUCAAGUAUCUUGGUCUAGAUAAGCUCCGUCUGUGUUUUCUGUUUUCAAAAUGAAUUAAUAUAUGACCUAAAAGGUUCUUGAUGCAAGUUGGGAAUUGAAUGUUUAUCUGAAAAGGUGUUUAAAUUCUGAUCUUUUCUUUGUGGCAUCCAUAUUCUGCAAAGAUCUUUUGCCCUGUCUUUGUUCACCUCCUAGGUCUCAGUAUUUUAUCGGUUUGCUUAUGGUAGAAUUUGAUCUUCUUCUUGCCCAUUUUACCUUUGCCCCCACUAUUCCUCUCCUUCCUCUUUAGCCUUUGAAAUUGCAUUUUAGAGCGUUGGUUGUUAUAUUGGAUUACAAGCAUACUUAACACCAUGUUCAAGCUGCUGAUUUUUAGGUUCAACUUUCAAGUGUUAAAGUUUUAUUAAAGUUUUGAUUUCUUGUGUAAGUCUUGUUUUACCCCCUUUUUUAGAGGGAGAGGGGGUUUGGGAGAGAUAAAAAUUGCACUUAUAUUAGUGUAUAUGGAUGUAUGUAUGUCUGUAUAUGGUAUACAUAAACAUAGGUUUAAAAAAUAUGCUACAUAGGAUGUUUCUAUAAAAAAUUGUGUAAUUGCGAAAUAAAAUGUAAAUUUCAAGUACUGUGCAUACAUAAAUCAUUUCUAAAAAAAUUCUAAAAGUUAAAUUCAAUAAAAUUAGAGUAUAACUUAAUGACCAGAAACAAAUAAAACUAAAAAGGGAACCACCAAGAACAUAAAAUUACUUGUGCAAAAUUGAUGCAUUAGCAAACCAUAUGAAGUUCAUAGUUGUUUUGCCUUAUUUAGAGUCUGUUUGAUUGGGUUUUUGCUAUUUGCUUUUUGCUUCCGAAAGUAAAAAAGCAAAAAUUGCAUUUCCAUAAGCAAUAAAAUUGUGAAGAGUUAUACACAAAAUAUGUAAAUUUUUUAUGAUUAACAACAUGAUUCUACUUCUAUGUAUACUAAUUGUGUUAUAAUUGAUAUUAUAUUUUAAUUAUUUUUUCUGUUUACAUCAGUUAUGAUAUAUAUAUUUUUUACCUUUUGGUUUUCCUUUCUAGUAAAAUAUAUACGUUUUAUUCAUGUUCAUAGGGAACUUACCAGACUUCUUGACCGUGUUCUAGAAAUGCCAGUAUGUAUCGAGUUUGCUUUGAAUAUGGCAGCUAACAACAUCAGUGAAUCUUAGGUCUGUUGAUGCAAAUGAUGGCUAAUAGAUUCACUUGAAGCCUACUUAUCUAAAGAUUUUCAGAUUUUUGAAGGAUGAAAUACAGAGGUGGUGCUGACGUUAAUAAUAUUGGACAUUGAACACUGUCAAACAACAUAGAGGUGGAAAUAUACCGACUUUUUAAGGUUUCAGCGUUGGUUUUAUUUUUUGACUUCGUUCUACUUUUUUUUUUUUUUUUUUGGAAAGAUAUAUACCAACAUCUUAUGUAAAUAUGCAACUUGAUGUAGAUAAUUUGUAAUUUUGGGGAAGAGAGAGAAGGAAUGAAAUUGAGAAGAUAGCGAUUUUUCUUUGAAAUUUUGCCAUAAUGUAAAGGUGUUCUAGUCAGAUUUUCUUGAUGUUAUGAUGCUUAAGAAAUCCAGAUGCUACUGAUAUCUUGCCCCAAAAUAGUUCAUUCUUCAACUCAAUCUAUUUCAUCUGGUUUCUUUAUGGGAAUAAAAGCAUUUUCCUUAUUGGUUGCAAAAUUUUCAUUCAUUUUACCUUCAAAUUUGUCAAACAAUUAAAUUAUUAAUUGACUUGGUUAGUAUUUGUUGAACCAUAUAACUUGGAAAAAGCAAUCAGUUACUGGAGUUUUUAGAUUAUACAAGUCAGAGGGCUGUCACAAACCCUUUUACAAAAAUAUUAAAAAAUUAUAUUAAAAAAUAUUAAGAUAUGUGAUAAUUUUUUAAUAUUGUUUAUAAAAUUUAAAAGUUCUAUUAAACAUAUGUGAAGAAAUCAAAAUAUAUAAAAAUUAUUUCAUAUAUAUGAAAUUUGCAAAAGAAGAAUAUUGUCUUUUUUUUUUAUUAUGUGAGGUUGUUAGGAUUUAGACUUAAAAUAUUGAAACUAAGAGUUCUGUAUUUUACUAACAAAUUACAUGAUUAUUGACUUAUUGAAUUUUUAAAUCAAAGGAUCUCUUUAAAAUAUAUUAGCAAUAAAAAACUAAAAAGAUGCAUAUACAAUGAAAUCUAAUAGUACACUAAGAACAAAAGCACGCGAAACAAGUUGCUUAAUCAACAAAUUGAUUGGCCAAAAAAAUCAACGAAUUAAAAACUUGUUUCUUAUUUUUGUUCAAUAGUUUGAAAAAAAAAUCUAAAGAACACAUUCAUUCCCACUUCUCAAACUUGUCUAUUUUGGAAAUUGUGAUUUUGUAAUGGUGGAAUAAGAAAGAAAAAGAUAGAUCCUAUGAAUGCAUGGGUCUAAAUCAUAGUCCUUGCUUCAUACUUAGUCUUGGCAUUGCUUCCAUUUUUACUUCAAAAAAAAAAAAUGAUGUUAGCAAUUGCUUCAAUCUAAAUCAUUGAAAAGGCUAAAAUAUAACAAUAUUAAUUAAUAUACUUACUAUUCUUAGUCUGCCAAUUUAAUUGGAAGACAAAAGACAACCAUUACUGAGAAAAUUGUUAUUUUUGUCUUUUUUUAAAAGAUAGACUUACUUAAACAAACUGCUAAAAAAAAUUAUUUUUCACAGAGUAAUGAUGGGGCAAGAAGACUUAGACAUUUGCAUGAUGGGAAGACUUAAAAGUAUAAAGUAAAGACAAGACUAAAUACCAAUAAAAAAAAUCUCAUACUAUCAUUUUCUUUGUUAAUCCAAAAUUAGAAUAUCAAUUUUUUUGUAAAGUAUAAUUUUGUGAUGGGUAAUUCUAAACCAUCAUUUUUUCUCUACAUCCACCUUGUUCAAAAAUUUUUUAAGUGAAAUUACUUAUUCACUCAUUUUGUGUUAAUUUUAAAACUUUUAAAUAUGCAUUUUUGAUAAGUUAUAUAACUUACAAAUUUUUCAUAUCCGGUAAAUUAGAAAAAGUUACAUUCAAGUUUGAAAAAAAAUAGUUAAGAGAAAAUAUCUUAUAAAAAGUAUGAGAUUUUAAUUCUGUUUAUAAAAUUUUAAAUUUCUAUUAAUCAUAUGUGAUGAAAUUAAAUACAUAUAAAUUAUUUUGUAUACAUGAAAUUUUUUCGUUUGAAGAUUGUCUUUUUUUAAAAAUUUUUUUAGCAAGAUCGUCAAGAUUUGAAUUUUAAACUACUAAAACUAAGAAUUUAGCAUUUUACUAAUAGACUAUAUGGUUAUUAACUUAUUGAAUUUUUAAAUUAAAGGAUAUCUUUAAAAUGUAUUAACAAUAAAAAACCAAAAAAAUGCACAUACCAUAAAAUCUAAUAGUACAUUAGGAUCAAAAACAUGAGAAAGAAGUUGCUUAAUCAACAAAUUAAUUGGCAAAAAAAAAAUCAACAAAUUUAAAAUCUGUGUUUUAUUUUUGUUGAAAGGUUUGAAAAGAAAAUCUACAUAAUAUAUUCGUUCUCACUUCUCAAACUUGUCUAUUUUGAAAAUUAUGAUUUUAUAAUGGUGGAAUAAGAAAGAAAAUGAUAGAUAUUAUGGGAAUGUAUUGGUCCAAGUGUUAGUCUUUGCUCUAUACUUAGUUUUGGCAUCAAGCAUACAAAUGUGUCAAUAUUUUUGCCCCCAUCUUUACUUCACAAAAAUAAUCCUAGCAGUUGCUUCAGUCUAAGUCAUUAAAAAGACUAAAAUAUAAACAAUAAUAAUUAAUAUACUUAAAAUCCAUCCCUUGUGUGUCAAUUUAACUAGAAGCCAAAAGACAACUUUCAUUGAGAAAAUUGUUGUUUUUUGCUUUUUUGUCUUUUUUAAAAGUAGACUUGACUUAAGCAAAUUGCUAAGAAAAUUAUUUUCACAAAGUAAUGAUGGGGCAAGAAGACUUAGACAUUUGCAUGAUGGGAAGACUUAAAAGUAUAAAACAAAGAAAAAAUUAAAUACCAAUAAAAAGAUCUCAUACUAUCAUUUUUUUUUGUGAGUCCAAAAUUAAAAUAUUAAUUUUUUUUAUAAAGUAUUAUUUUGUGAUGGGUGAUUCUAAAUAUACCAUAAUUUUUCCCUAUAUCAAUUUUUUUUUAAUUUUUAAGUGAAAUUACUUAUUUACCCAUUUCAUUUUAAUUUUAAAGCAUCUAGAUAUAACUUAUUAGAUUUUCAUAUCCGGGAAGUUAAAAAAAAGUUACAUUUAGGUUUGGAAAAAAAAUAAUUAAGAGAAAAUAUCUUCCAUAAAGUAUGAGAUUCUAAUACCAUUUAUAAAAUUUAAAAUCUCUAUUAAUCAUAUAUGAUGAAAUUGAAAUAUAUAUAUAUAUAUAUAAAUUAUCUCGUAUACAUGAAAUUUGUGAAAAUAGAAAAUUGUCCUUUUAUUUGUAUGUGAGGUUAUUAGGAUUUGAACUUUAAACUAUUGAAAUUAAGAGUUCUACAUUUUACUAACAAACUACAUGGUUAUUUGCUCAUUUAAUUUUAAAUCAAAGAACCUCUUUAAAUUAUAUUAAUAAUAAAAAACUAAAAAAUAAAAAAAUGCACAUACCAUGAAAUCUAGUAGUACAUUAGGAACAAAAGCAUGAGAAAGAAGUUGCUUAAUUAACAAAUUGAUUAGAAAAAAAAAUCAACAAAUUAAAAACCUAUCUUUUAUUUUUGCUAAAAAGUUUGAAAAAAAAUCUAAAGAAUACAUUCACUCCCAUUUCUCAAACUUGUCUAUUUUGGAAAUUGAAAUUUUAUAAUGGUGGAAUGAGAAAGAAAAAGAUAGAUCCCAUCAGAAUGCAUGGGUUUAAAUCAUAGUCUUGGCAUCAAUCAUGCAAAUGUGUCAAUGUUUUCACCCCCAUUUUUACUUCAAAAAAGUAAUGAUGUUAGCAAUCGCUUCGGUCUAAGUUAUUGAAAAGACUAAAAUAUAACAAUAUUAAUUAAUAUAAUUAAAAUCCAUUCCCGAUCUUCCAAUUUAAUUGGAAGACAAAAGACACCCAUCAUUGAGAAAAUUGCCUUUUUUUUUUGUUUUUUUAAAAGAUAGACUUGACUUAAGCAAACUGCUAAGAAGAUUAUUUUUCACAAAGUAAUGAUGGGGCAAGAAGACUUAGACAUUUGCAUGAUGGGAAGACUUAAAAAUAUAAAGUAAAGAAAAGACUAAAUACCAAUAUAAAAAAUCUCAUACUAUCAUUUUCUUUGUUAGUCCAAAAUUAGAAUAUCAAUUUUGUUUGUAAAGUAUAAUUUUGUGGUGGGUGAUUCUAAAUAUACCAUCAUUUUUUCUCUACAUCCACCUUUUUUAAAAAAUUUUUAAGUGAAAUUACUUAUUUACUCAUCUUGUUUUAAUUUUAAAACUUCUAAAUAUGCAUUUCUGAUUAGUUAUGUAACUUAUAGAAUUUUCAUAUCUAGUAAGUUAGAAAAACUUACAUUUAGGUUUGAGAAAAAAUAGUUAAGAGAAAAUAUCUUAUAAAAAGUAUGAGAUUUUAAUACUAUUUAUAAAAUUUAAAAACUCUAUUAAUCAUAUGUGAAGAAAUUAAAAUAUAUACAUAAAUUAUCUUGUAUACAUUAAAUUUUUUUCAUUUGAAGAUUGUCUUUCUUUUUUAAUUUUUUUUAUAGUGAGAUUGUCAGGAUUUGAAUUUUAAACUAUUGAAACUAAGAGUUUAGCAUUUUACUAAUAAACUAUAUGGUUAUUAGCUUAUUGAAUUUUUAAAUCAGAGGAUCUCUUUAAAAUAUAUUAAUAAUAAAAAACUAAAAAAAUGCACAUACCAUGAAAUUUAAUAGCACAUUAGGAACAAAAGCAUGAUAAAGAAGUUGCUUAAUCAAUAAAUUGAUUGGUAAAAAAAAAUCAACAAAUUAAAAACCUUUGUUUUAUUUUUUCUGAAAGGUUUGAAAAAAAAUCUACAAAAUAUAUUCAUUCUCACUUUUCAAACUUGUCUAUUUUGAAAAUUGUGAUUUUAUAAUGGUGGAAUAAGAAAGAAAAUGAUAGAUACUAUGGGAAUGUAUUGGUCCAAGUGUUAGUCUUUGCUCUACACUUAGUUUUGGCAUCAAGCAUGCAAAUGUGUCAAUCUUUUUGCCCCCAUCUUUACUUCACAAAAAUAAUCUUAGUAGUUGCUUCAGUCUAAGUCAUUAAAAAGACUAAAAUAUAACAAUAAUAAUUAAUAUACUUAAAAUCCAUUCCUUGUGUGCCAAUUUAACUAGAAGACAAAAGAUAACUUUCAUUGAGAAAAUUAUUUUUUUUUUGUCUUUUUUAAAAGGCAGACUUGACUUAAGCAAAUUGAUAAGAACAUUAUUUUCACAUAGUAAUGAUGCGGCAAGAAGACUUAGACAUUUGCAUGAUGGGAAGAUUUAAAAGUAUAAAACAAAGAAAAGCUUAAAUACCAAUAAAAAGAUCUCAUACUAUCAUUUUCUUUGUGAGUCCAAAAUUAAAAUGUCAAUUUUUUUUAUAAAGUAUAAUUUGGUGAUGGGUGAUUCUAAAUAUAUCAUCAUUUUUUUCUCUAUAUCAUUUUUUUUUAAUUUUUAAGUAAAAUUACUUAUUUACCUAUCUCAUUUUAAUUUUAAAGCAUCUAGAUAAAAUUUAUUGGAUUUUCAUAUAUGGUAAGUUAAAAGUUACAUUUAGGUUUGCAAAAAAAAUAGUUAAGAGAAAAUAUCCUGCAUAAAAUAUGAGAUUCUAAUACCAUUUAUAAAAUUUAAAAUCUUUAUUAAUCAUACAUGAUGAAAUCCAUAUAUAUAUAUAAAUUAUCUCGUAUACAUGAAAUUUUUGAAAUUAGAAAAUUAUCCUUUUUUUUUGUAUGUGAGGUUAUUAGGAUUUAAAUUUUAAACUAUUGAAAUUAAGAGCUCAACAUUUUACUAACAAACUACAUGGUUAUUUGUUCAUUUAAUUUUAAAUCAGAGAAUCUUUUUAAAAUAUAUUAACAAUUAAAAACUAAAAAAUAAAAAAAAUGCACAUACCAUGAGAUCUAAUAGUACAUUAGGAACAAAAGCAUGAGAAAGAAGUUGCUUAAUCAACAAAUUGAUUGGCAAAAAAAAAAAAAUUUAAAACUUGUCUUUUAUUUUUGUUGAAAAGUUUGAAAAAAAAAAUCUAAAGAAACAUUCAUUCCCACUUGUCAAACUUGUCUAUUUUGAAAAUUGUGAUUUUAUAAUGAUGGAAUAAGAAAGAAAAUGAUAGAUACUAUGGGAAUGCAUUGGUCUAAAUCAUAGUCUUUCCUUUAUACUUAGCCUCGGCAUCAAACACGCAAAUGUGUUAGUCUUUUUGCCCCCAUCUUUACUUCACAAAAAUAAUAAUUUUAACAAUUGCUUCGGUCUAAAUCAUUAAAAAGACUAAAGUAUAACAAUAAUAAUUAAUAUACUAAUAAUAAUUAAUAUACUUAAAAUCCUUUCCUAGUCUCCUAAUUUAAUUAAAAAACAAAAGACAACCACCAUUAAAAAAAUUGUUAUGUUUUUUUUAUCUUUUUUAAGAGACAAACUUGAUUUAAGUAAAUUGCUAAGAAGAUUAUUCUUUACAGAGUAAUGAUGGGGCAAAAAGACUUAGACAUUUGCAUGAUGGGAAGGCCUAAAAGUAUAAAGUAAAGAAAAGACUAAAUACCAAUAAAAAAAUCUCAUACUAUCAUUUUUUUGUGAGUCCAAAAUUAGAAUAUCAAUUUUUUUAUGAAGUAUAAUUUUGUGAUGGAUGAUUCUAAAUACACCAUCAUAUUUUUCUUUAUGUCCACUCUUUUUGUUUUUUUUAAACUUUUAAGUGAAAUUACUUAUCUACUCAUCUCAUUUUAAUUUUAAAGCUUCUAGAUAUGUCUUUCUUAAGUUAUAUAACUUAAUGGAUUUUCAUAUCCGAUAAAUUGAAAAAUGUUACAUUUAGGUUUGAAAAAAAUAGUUAAAAAAAUCUUAUAGAAAGUACGGGAUUUAAUAAUGUUUAUAAAAUUUAAAAACUCUAUAUAAAUUAUCUUGUAUACAAGAAAUUUUUUAAAUUAGAAGAUUUUUUUUAAUAUGAGGUUGCUAGGGUUUAAACUUUAAACUAUUAAAACUAAGAGUUAAGCAUUUAUUAACAGAUUAUAUGGUUAUUGGCUCAUUGAAUUUUUAAAUAAGAGGAUCUCUUUAAAAUAUAUUAACAAUAACAACUAAAAAAAAAUGCGCAUACUCUGAAAUCAAAUAAUACAUUAGGAACAAAAGCAUGAAAAAAAGUUGCUUAAUCAACAAAUUAAUUGGCCAAAAAAAUCAACAAAUUAAAAACUCAUGUUUUAUUGUUGCUAAAAAGUUUGAAAAAAAAGUCUACAGAACAUAUUCAUUCUCACUUAUCAAACUUGUCUAUUUUGAAAAUUGUAAUUUUUUAAUAGUGGAAUAAGAAACAAAAUGAUAGAUACUAUAGGAAUGUAUUGGUUUAAGUCUUAGACUCUGCUUUAUACUUAGUUUUGGCAACAAGCAUGCAAAUGUGUUAGUUUUUUUAUGCCCAUCUUUACUUUACAAAAAUAAUAAUCUUAGCAAUUGCUCCAAUCUAAGUCAUUAAAAAGACUAAAAUAUAACAAUAAUAAUUAAUAUACUUAAAAUCCAUUUUUAGUUUGUCAAUUUAACUGGAAGACAAAAGACAAUCUUCAUUGAGAAAAUUGCUAUGUUUUUUUUAUCUUUUUUAAAAGACAAACUUGUCUUAAGCAAAUUAUUAAGAAUAUUAUUUUUCACAGAGUAAUAAUGGGAAAGAAAACUUAAUAUUUGCAUGAUGGGAAGACUUAAAAGUAUAAAGCAAAGAAAAGACUAAACACCAAUAAAAAAUCUCAUACUAUCAUUUUCUUUGUGAUUCCAAAAUUAGAAUAUCAAUUUUUUUAUAAAGUAUAAUUUUGUGAUGGGUGAUUCUAAAUACACCAUCAUUUUUUUUCUCUACAUUUACUUUUUUUUUUAAUUUUCUAAGUGAUAUUACUUAUUUACCCAUCUUGUUUUAAUUUUAAAAUCUUUUGAAUAUACAUUUUUGAUAAGUUAUAUAACUUACCGGAUUUUCAUUUCUGAUAAGUUAAAAAAGAUAAAUUUGGUUUGGAAAAAAAUAGUUAAAAGAAAAUAUGUUACAAAAGUAUGAGAUGCUAAUAUCAUUUAUAAAAUUUAAAAACUCUAUUAAUUGUAUGUGAAGAAAUUGAAAUAUAAAAAAUUAUCUUGUAUGCAUGAAAUUUGUGAAACUAGAACAUUGUUUUUUUUUUUUUAAUGUGAGAUUGUCAAAAUUUGAACUUUAAACUAUUGAAACUAAAAGUUUAGUAUUUUACUAAUAGACUACAUGGUUAUUGGAUCAUUGAAAUUUUAAACUAGAGGAUCUCUUUAAAUAUAUUAAUCAUAAAAAAUUGAAGCAAUAAAAAAUGCACAUACCAUGAAAUCUAAUAGUACAUUAGGAACAAAAUAAUGAGAAAAAAUUGUUUAAUCAACAAAUUGAUUGGCCAAAAAAAUCAACAAAUUAAAAAUCUGUGUUUUAUUUUUUCUGAAAAGUUUGAAAAAAAAAAUCUAAAGAACACAUUCUUUCUCUCACUUCUUAAACUUGUUUAUUUUGGAAAUUGUGAUUUUAUAAUGGUGGAAUAAGAAAGAAAAUGAUAGAAACUAUGGUAAUGUAUUGGUUGAAGUCUUAAUCUUUGCUUUAUACUUAGUCUUGGCAUUAAGCAUGCAAAUGUGUUAGUCUUUUUGCCUCAUAUUUACUUCACAAAAAUAAUAAUAUUGGCAAUUGCUUUAGUCUAAGUUAUUAAAAAGACCAAAAUAUAAAAAUAACAAUUAAUAUAUUUAAAAUCCAGUCUUAUGUCAAUUUAACUAAAAGACAAAAGACAAUUUCAAUUGAGAAAAUUGUUGUUUGUUUUGUCUUUUUUAAAUGACAAACUUGACUUAAACAAAUUGCUAAGAAGAUUAUUUUUCAUAGAGUAAUGUUGGGGUAAGAAGACUUAAACAUUUGCAUGAUGAGAAGACUUAAAAGUAUAAAGCAAAUAGAAAAUUAAAAACCAAUAAAAAAAUCUCACACUAUCAUUUUUUUUUAGUCCAAAAUAAAAAAUCAAUUUUUUUUAUAAAGUAUAAUUUUAUGAUGGAUGAUUCUAGAUACACUAUCAUUUUUUUCUCUACAUCCGGAUAUGAAAAAUCGGUAAUUUAUAUAACUUAUUAGAAAUACAUAUCUAGAAGCUUUAACAUUAAAAAACGGAUCUCUAUAAAGUAUAAUUUCCAUUGAUUCAAGGACUUAGAAAAAAAAAAAUAAAGACAAUUUUCAAAUCCUAAAGUUUUUCUUUCAUCCUAUUAUUUUCAAAUAAUUGAAAAUUUAGUAUCUAUUGAAUCCUAUGAUCAACGUCUUGACUCUUUCAUUGUACUUUCUCAAAUCUUAUGGAUAAGAUUCCACCAAGUGAAUAAUUGCUAAUUAUUUAAGAUGAUUAAUUACUACAUUCUUGAGAUUCAACUGAAAAAUAUGAUUUAGAUUUCAUUUGGUUUGUAUUUUUUUUUCUUUUACUAUUUGUUUUUUGUUUUCAAUUCAUUUAUUAAAAAAUAAAAACCAAAAGCAUCAAUUAAUUGGAGGAUUAAAAAGUGAGAAAAUUAUGUAAUCUCAUUGGUUAAUUUCCUUUUUUUGAUUAAAAAAUUUAUUCAGUUUAAAACAAUAUAAAGUAUGAGUGUAUUUGAUAUUAUGGAUAAAAAUUUCUAAUGUUCUUUUUAUUUUUUUAAAUUUUGUUGGGAUUUUAGAUUUCAAUUUAUUAUGAGUGUAUUUUAUAUUAAAAUCUUAAAUUUAUUAUAUAAAAUUUAUAUUUUGAGGUUUCAAAUAUAAAAAUGUAAUCAAAAUCAAAAUGAUUUUGGAAUAUACUCGUAUAGAAAAGUAAUAGAAUUUUGUGUUGGAAAAGCAAAGAUGAUAAUUUUGAAAUAUCCAAAUAGAGAAUGAUAGAUAAAGAAAAUGAGAUAGUGAGAGUAUAAUUAAUUACUAAUUAGAAAAUGAAUUGAAAAAAAAAAAAAACAACUUAGAAGUGAUGAUUGAAGACAAUUGAAAAGAUCAAUAUAAUUACGUAAAGAUGGUAAUAUAUAGUCUAAUUAAACAUUGAAGUUGAACAAUUAUUAUUUAAUUUUGAAUAAUUUAAAUUAAAUUCCCUUUUGAACAAUUAAAAAAAGAGUUACUAUUAAUUUCUUAUGUAGCGCGACAAUGAGAUUGAAACAAAGAUGCACCAAAUGACGUUCUUCUUCUGACUCCACUAGUGCCAAGUGUGCUUAAGUUCAUUCUCCAUUUUUGUCAUCUGAAUGACUUUACCGGUAAGCAAUUCCAAAGGCUAUAAACUUUAAUUAGCAUAAAACAACACCAAUUCUAAGAUUACAUAUAAUAUUUUAUAGAAAAAAUUAUUAUAAUUUUUUUUAAAAAGCCAAAUUUAAGAAGAGAAAAGGUGUUAUAGGUGUAAGAAUUUGAACUCUAAACCUGUAAAAUACUAUCUUGUAAUCAUAAUUGUAUAAAUCAACUAGGGGCAUAUCUAGGCCCAAAAUUUUUUUUUCACCAUUGUAGCAUAAUACCUUAUCCCGCCAAAAAUAAUAUUUGAUCCCCUCUUUUCUAGUAAAAUUAUUAUUUAACCUCUCAUUUCUCAAGUUUUUGCUUCACUUCUGAAAUUAACUGAGAUAAAUCUCAAAUUAAAAAAAUUAUUUUAUUAUUAAUAUUCCUUUAUAGAAAUGUAUUUAUUUAUUUAAUUUGUUAUGAGGUAGAUAAUGGAAGGACGAAAGAAGCUUCUGAUAUUAGACAAAGCAACUUUAGACCAAUUCUAAAGAUUUUUUAAAGAAAAGGAAACAACUUUAGACAAAGCAAAGCAAGAAACAUAUAUAUGAGGCAAGAACAAGAAAAAUCCACGCGUGAUGAAUUGAAGACUAAUUCAUUAUUAGAAAAUCCCAUUAAUUUUUGUUCUAUGAAAAAGCAAUAAUUUUGUCCCUUUCAUAUUUCUAAUGUUCACAUUUGUAACUUUCAUUUAUUCAUUAAUAUUAAGGGUCAUUCCCAUUAAAAAUAAUAUUGGUUAAUAUUUUUAUUUGAAGUAUUGUAAAAUAUAAAAUAUGAAUCUAUAUGUUCUAAGUUCUUAUGAUUCAAACCAAUAUUCAUUUACAAUAUUAAAAACAAAAAUAAUAAAAAAGUGCUAUACAUAUGAUAAAUUCAAUAUUAAAUUAUUAAUAUGUUGUUUUGAAUUCUCAACGAUUAAUAAAAAGAUUUUGCAAACAAUAAUCUAGAAAUACAUUUCAAGACGAUUACAUAAAGUAAUAUCUUCACCUAAUACAUUAAAAAUAAUAGAUAUAAAACUAUUAACUAUAUCAACCAUUACAUUUAAGAUAAAAUUAUUACAAUAAAUAGUAUAUUAACUAAUUUUAAAGAGUGGAUAAUUAACUAUUCCAAUAAAUAAUGAAUUAACUAAUUUUAAAUAGUAUAAAUAGUAUAUAUAAAAUAAUAUAUCAAAUAUUCAAUUAUUUACUAUCUAUCACUAUCCCUAAACAGAAUAUCAAGAGAGAAGCAAUCAAUCAAAUCUAAUCGAAUGGAUUGGAAGGUGAAGCACGGUCUAAAGCUAAGCUCCUGUCUCAGAUCCCAUUAUUUCCUCUGACUUGACAUCAAUAUACAAGCGAAAUCUGAAUGCUUGGAAACUCAUUUUCAGCAAUUUCACUUUGUUGCCUAGAUGUUUCCUGCAUGCUGUCAUCUUUUGCCUUCGUUUCAUUUCAUUCAUACUUUUGCUUUAGAUUUUCAGGUUAGGUAGGCAAUAUUUUUACAACAUGUGAUGCCAUAUUACAACAAGUUUUGCAAAAAAAAAAGCACCAAAUGGUAUCCAUAUGACUAAAUGAUAUCCUUUUUUCUUAAUUAUUAAUCGAAUGGUGCUAGGAUAAACUUUAUCAUGACCAAAGAAUAACGCAUACUAUUAUAAAGAAAGAAUUGUUAAAGUAAUUAUUUUUUUCUCUGAAUGCAUAUUUAGAAAAAAAAAAAAAAAGAAAUAGAUACUUUUGAGGAAGUUGAUCAAGGAAACAAAAGGAGAUUCAAACGUUGAAUUGAAGAAGAAGAAGAAGAAGAAACAAACUUAUUAAUUAGGAUUUUCAAAAAAAAAAAAAAGAAGUGUUCCAUCUAAUUUCAUAAUAACAAAGUUGAGUUGACUCAUUAAUCUUUGCAAGUUUUACUUCUCUUUAGAUGUUAAACUUAGUGAAAAUUUUUAUUAUUUUUUAGUAGUGAAGAAAUACUUUACUACCGAUCUACUUGUAAUACUAUUACUUGAGAAAAUUAUUUUUAUUUAAUUUGUUUUUUUGCAUGAAUGCAUAAUAUGAAAUAAACAGUGGGAAGAAAGGGGAAAAUAUAGCGACAAAGAUUAAUUUACAAAAGCAAAACUAUCAACCUUAUCAUCAUUCAAACCUAUUAUUCAUUCUUUAAAAUUCAAAAUGAACAAGCAAUAAAUAUUUCUGUCUGUCUUCCACCUAUUUUGACUUAACUUCUACAGAAAAAGCUCAAACUCAUGAUUUGUACAAACACGUGGUUGGAAAAACGCAUUUGAACCUAUCUCUUGAUAUCUAGGAGAUAUAUAAGCUACAAUUAAACAGUAUGUUAAUGUGGAAGGACUUGUCUAGUUAUGAUAACCAUGCAUGGAAAUUUCAAACUCCACAUCUUCCCUUCAUUUUUUUAUAGAGAGCCAACAAAACAUGAAGAAUCCUCAUAUCCUAAUUUCACUCAUUUUUCCUACCUUGUUUUUCUUCUCAUGCUUUGUAUCUCUUGUGCUAUCUUUUUCCCCUUCUUAUACUGAUCUCCAAAACCAGUGCCUUGAUGACCAGAGAUCUACUCUGUUGCAAUUGCAUCGUGAUCUUUACUAUGCUCCAAAUUUUACUUUCUCUACCGAAGUUGAGCUUUGGGAUCUCAACACUAAUUGUUGCUCUUGGAAAGGAAUUACAUGCGAUGCUCUUGGUCAUGUGAUUGGGAUUGAUCUCAGUUACAAAAAUCUUUCAGGCAGCUUUCACUCCAUUUUCAAUCUCCAUCAUCUUCAACGCCUUAAUCUUGCUGGAAACAAUUUUAAUUCCACUCUGUUUCAAUAUGAGUUUGACAAACUCCCAUAUUUAACUCAUCUCAACCUUUCAAACUCAUGUUUCCAUGGCCAAAUUCCUGUGGGGAUUUCAUACUUAACAAGGUUAGUCUCUCUUGAUCUAUCUAAUCAAGAUUCUUGCUAUCUACAAAAUUACCAAAUUCUUGAUCCAAAUUUCUGGUAUGAUGAUUUUCCUUACAACCGUCAUCAACCUUUAAAACUAGAAAACCCAAACUUCAAGUCAUUCAUCCUAAAUUUGAGACCUCUUACAGAGCUCUACUUGGAUAGUGUGAACAUUUCAACUCAAAGUACUAAAUGGUGUGAAGCCACAUCCAUAGCACUUCAUAACCUACAUGUGCUAAGUCUGUCGAAUUGUGGUUUGACAGGUCCAUUUUGUUCUUCACUCUCAAGACUUCCUUUUCUUUCCAAACUUUUCCUUGGUGGGAAUUCGAUCUCUUAUUUGCCUCCUAAUUUCUUGGAAAUUUCCUCUCGUUUGGUUUCUCUCAGUUUAGUGAAUUGCAAUUUGAGUGGGCAUUUUCCAAUAGAAGUUUUCUUAUUACCAAAAAUCCAAAGCAUUGACAUUUCAGAAAAUGACAAUCUUGGAGGUCAGUUGCCAGAAUUUCCAUUAAACAAUGCUUUACGGAUCUUAACGAUGUCUUAUACAAAUUUCAGUGGAAAAUUACCAGAAUCAAUUGGUAAUCUCAAGUUCUUGUCAAAUUUAAAUCUUAAUGGUUGCAAUUUCUGUGGACAAAUUCCAUCUUCAAUUGCAAAUCUUACUAAUCUUGUGGAACUGGAUCUGUUCAAUAACAAUUUCAGUGGUUCUAUCCCUGCAUUUCACAGAUCUGGAGUUCCAAAUCUUGCAUAUCUUAAUUUGGGGGGAAACUACCUCUCUGGAUCAAUAUAUUCUUCUUUAUUUACUCUCCCAUCUUUGCAGACCUUGCAUCUUAGUGGAAAUCAAUUGUUUGGUGAAAUUGAUGAGUUUCUUAAUGCAUCUUCUUCUUUGAUUGAAGCACUGGAUUUAGGCUACAAUAGCUUUAGUUCCGUGAAGCUUGACAUGUUCUCCAAACUCAAAAACUUAAGGUUUCUUGGCCUUUCCAAUACGAGCUUGUCAAUCGAAAGCAACAUCACAAGCCUUGCUUUUCCCCGAUUAGAGUGGCUAGACCUAAAUUCAUGUAACCUUACUGAAUUUCCAGAAUUCAUCAAAACUCAAGACAAGUUGGUUUUUCUAGGUCUUUCUAACAACCAAAUCCAUGGUUUUGUGCCUAAUUGGUUAUGGAAGACCACUCUUUUCUGGUUAGACCUUUCUUUCAAUGCGAUUGAUUUUUCAAAAGAGUUUCCUUUUGGUGACGCAAACUCCUCUUUUCCAAUGUUGAGAUUCUUGUUUUUACAAUUCUGUAACCUAAGUAUGUUUCCAGAGUUUUUAAGUCAAACUAGUUUAGAAUAUCUUGUCCUUUCAAAUAACAAAAUAAGUGGUGCAGUGCCAAACUGGGUGUGGAAGAAAAGUUUGCGGUAUCUGGAUCUUUCUAACAAUUCUCUCUCAUCUUUGGACCAAUUUUCUCUGAACCAAUCUCUAACUUCUUCACAAGGCUCUUUAUCAAGACCUAUUUGCAAUUUGAGUCAACUUGUGACCUUUAAUGCAUCCUUUAACAAAUUAAGCGGGCCAAUCCCAAGUUGCUUGGGCAAUAUCCGUUUUCUCGACACUUUGGAUCUACAAAAAAAUAAUUUCAAUGGCAGCAUACCAGAUUUUGCAAAAGCGACGCAAUUAUAUUGGCUUCAACUCAAUGAUAAUAAAUUGGAAGGGAAGUUGCCAAGGUCAUUAGCCAAUUGCACAAUGCUCCAAGUUUUAAACCUUGGAAACAAUACUCUGCAUGACACAUUCCCUUUGUGGUUGGGAAAAUUGCCUGCGUUGAUGAUCCUUGUAUUGCGAGCAAAUAGGCUUUAUGGUCCAAUUAAACAUGUGAAAAAUUGUUUUCAAGACUUAGAUGCACUAGAUAUUGCUUUCAAUAAUUUUUCUGGUCAAUUGCCAAUUGAAUUCUUUCAAGCUCCUCAACUAAGGUCACUCAAAAUUGGUGGGAAUAAACUGGAAGGAAAGUUGCCAAGGUCAUUAGCCUAUUGCAAAAAGCUUGAAGUUUUGGACGUUGGAAAAAAUAUGAUACAAGACACAUUUCCUUUUUGGUUGGAGAAAUUGCCUUCUUUAAAGGUUCUUGUAUUAAGAGCAAAUAGAUUCUAUGGUCCAGCUAAAACUUCUGAGGAUGAAAAUGCUUUUCCAGAGUUACACAUAUUGGACCUUGCUUCCAAUAACUUUUCAGGUGAGUUAUCUAUUGGAUUUUUUCGAUCUUUGAAGGCAAUGAAGACGAUGACUGAUGGCAAGAAAGCUAAGCCAGAUUACAUUGGAGACAAGUACUACCAGGACUCCCUGACAAUUGUGAAUAAAGGGUUUGAAAUUUUUUACAAGAAAAUCUUAACCAUCUUUGUUUGUCUCGACCUUUCCAAUAAUAGUUUCCAUGGGAGAAUACCGGAGGAAAUACAAAACCUCAAGUCACUCAAAGCGCUAAACUUCUCCUACAACAGCUUCCUUGGCCCAAUCCCUUCAGCACUUGGAAACUUAACUGAGCUUGAGUCGUUGGACCUCUCCCAGAACAACCUCUCAGGAAAGAUUCCUCCACAGCUUGCAAGCCUAACUUUUCUUGAAGUAUUGAAUCUCUCUUACAACCAACUUGAGGGAAGCAUACCACAAAGCUACCAAUUUGGUACAUUUCCAAACGAUUCUUACAAAGGGAACCCAAGAUUGUGUGGACCGCCUUUGACAAAGAAAUGCAAUGAAGUUGGUCUUGGAAUGCAACCCCCUAAGGAAGAUGAAGAUUCAUUGGUAGAUGGUAUAUCUAUUUGGAAAAUCGUAUUGAUUGGGUAUGGAUGUGGUUUGGUGAUUGGGUUAUCUAUUGGAUAUACAGUGUUGAAUGAGAUGGGAAACAAAUGGAUGGAUAGGUUUACAUGGAAUCGGAAUAAAACAUGGAGAAGAUCUUCUAGGUGACUCCAUCAAAACUCAAGUUUCAAAUUCAUUUGGUAAGUAUUCUAGAAUAUUUAAUCACUCAAAAGUUUUUUUAUUAGUUCUUUCAACUGUAGUUAAUUGUCUAAACAAAUAAAAUUAUUUAAAUACUCUCGUGCAUUAUAAAUGUGAUAUAUAUAUAUAAUUGCUCUAAUUGAUAUUUGAUUAAAGUGAUUACUUUUGAAAUUUAAUUAAAGAAGGUUUCAACUUUGUACGACUUAUUUCCUUUUUAAACUUGGCAUUGCUUUUAAAACUGAAAACAAAAAUUGCCUGCAACCUAGGAUAUGUCCUUUGAAUUCCUAACCUCAUUUUAUAAAUGACAAUCAUGAGUUUCCAAGUUACUAAUUUGUAAAAGACAUGUGGGUGACUGGCAUUUUGAGUUAGAUUGGGCUGUCAAUCAUCUUAACAGCAAAGCAAAGCUUCGGCAUUUAUUUUCCUUAAUUAGAUUGGCUUGGGAUGCUCAUGUAUAUUGUAUUUGGCAGGAGCACAAUCUAAGGAAGUUUGGCAGGCCAUCUAAAGAUAUAGAAGCUAUUGUUUCAACUAUCAGAAGUUACUUUUCGCUUAGUUCAAUAACAAGAUUGCAGUCUUCAGUUGCACUCUUCCUCUUCAACAACAGAAAUUAUGUCUGAAUGUUUUUGGCUUGGUGUUACGGUACUUGUGUCUCAGUUCUUUCUCUUCUGCUCACCUAAGAUGAGUGGCAGCAUGUGUGGUUGUAUUGUGCUUGUCUUCUGUUCUGUCUAUAAGGUGGUGUUUUACUGCAGAGGUAUGGGGCUCCCCUGUUGUUCACCCCAUUGUGUAACUCUGUUUUUAUUAAUAAUUUCUGGCUUAGCAAAAGAAAAAUGUGUCUGAAUUGGGGAAUGGUUCCUUAAUGUUGCUUAGUUUGAUUACAUUGCAAAAGUUAGAUUUUUCUUGGACAUUUGUAACGUUUUGAUAGCUUACUGUUUACUUGUAGCAAGUCUAAUGCUUUGUUUGGGUUAAUAAAAAUCAUUCACCCAAAGAAAUUCUUAACGAAAAUCUUAUUAUCUUCUAAGCUCUUCAUUAUUGUUAUACCUAAGAGAUCAUAUUAGCAGCCACAUAGUAGGUCUUACACAUGAAAACCCAGUUUGCGACGUCAUCAUCUAAAAGGUAUAAAAAGUAGAACCAGACCAGACAGAUGAUUCACUACUGAACUCUCUCUACUCUCUUUAACUGCUUCUUACUCUCUCUCAUUUACUUGCUUGUGGUAUACCUUACUAACUUGAGCGUUGGGGAAUGCCUCAAAAUAACAUUUUUGGCACACUGACUUCCUACCAUGUGAUAGGUCACACAAACUCUCCUUCUCAACCUCCAGUAAAACUUUCGACUAUCAGACCAGGAAUUACAUCAACAAUAUCAAGUAUUCAACUCAACUAUUUGCCGUGCAGGUAUUUGAUAUAAGCCAUGGCAUGUACAACAAUGACUACGCCUACCACUUUAGCUGCCAAAACUAGAAAGUACAUCUCCUAACACAGAAAAAUCUUCACAGACCAAGCUCAAGCUAAGAUGCUUUAUUCCUUUAUUAACUGCUACAUCACUACAGAGAAAAAAACAACGAAAAGAAAAUAACAAAGCUUCCAGUUCCAGGUAUCAAGCUCGACAAUUCCGAACUAACUUUGAUAGUAUUUUAUUGUCCCUAACAACUAUAGAUUUGACCAUGGCGAGAAAGAUUGAUAUAUUUCCUUUAUUAUUUUAUUCAACUUUAAUCCCAUAUCAUCUUUUGUUUCUUUGCUUCAGCACUCCCACAGACAAAAACAAAUGGUUUGUUGUAAGCUUUAUUGCUAUAUGAUUGAUUUGCAUGUAGAAUAGACCUUGACUAAACAAAAACAUGAGGGCAAUACAUUCAGUAACUUAUAUAUACUCACUUCUCUAGAAUGCCAAUGAAUCCUUUCAGUAACUUAUUCUCUAUCUAAUAGAAAUAAAGCGUCAUAACUAAAUAGCCAAUAUUCACAUUGAUGUGCUAAGUGUUCUGAUAUAGCCACUAAUCCAUAAUUAAAAGAUGAAGUAAUAGACGACAUGCUAUCUUUCAAUCACUGGUCAUUUUAUAGGUAGUAUUUUCUCUAGUAGCCACCUUGAUGCUGUAAACCAGGAAGGUUGUCAAGCCUUCUGACAUUUAGCCUAUUUUGAGUAUUAGCUCAGAAUUUAUGUUUAGAAGAUUGGUGCAGGUAAAAAGAUAUCUGAUGACUUUGGGGUUGACAAAAGCCACAUUGGACAGAGUGAUCAUGCAUAUAUGAAGACUUUGCCGCUAGAGGCUUUCUCCUACAAGUGUCCUCGUGCGGCCCUGAGUUCUUGCUCAUUUGAAUCCUUCUCUAACUACAAAUGUAAGUAUCAACUAGAAAAAUAGUUUAUUCUUAUGAAUUCAGUCAUUUGAAAAUUUUACAGGGAAACAAGAAAACAAAAACUCAUGCUAAAAAAGAAAAUUUUAGAGGGAAAAAAGGAAACAAAAAGAUUACUAUUUCUUGAGUUUAAGUUUAGGUUUGCUACCUAAUUUCACUUUUUUUUUUAAUUUAAUGCAGGACCUGUAUUUUUCCAGGAAGAAAACCAAUCAUUAAUGUUUUCUAUGCUUUGGAAUUGGAUACCACAAAAAAUCACAGCUUCCACUAGCCAUCCCUACCCAAUUGAAACUACCUGCAAUCCAACAUUCUUAAACUCUUUGAAGUAACAUCCUAGAUCCUACCAGUAUGUGUCAUCGAGACCUGGAUUCUGAUCUGAUCAGGCUGAAUUCAAGGCCAUUACGAAGGUUGUGAAGUUGGAUGCUGAUUCUUGGAAAGUUAAUACUGGAUUGCACUGCUAUCUCUAGGUAGAAGAAAUGCUACUUCAUGGGUUAAAGGCAGCAAUAG